RNAcentral lists this long non-coding RNA (343012 nucleotides) under Olea europaea (common olive). RNAcentral's name for it is "long non-coding RNA (OEUR_LNC001742)". The stretch from base 225289 to 225395 matches the Rfam family "Plant small nucleolar RNA R71". Lineage: Eukaryota; Viridiplantae; Streptophyta; Magnoliopsida; Lamiales; Oleaceae. The record is from RNAcentral.
UCUCAAUGCCAUCAACUUGCCAUCUAAUAUUUCAACCUCACUUGGUUCGGAACCUCCUGCAUCAAAAGGUGAACCUAAAACCCCACUACAUGGUGAAAUGGUCUUCCAAAAAAUUGAACUUUACAAGGAAUUCUAAGUUAACGAAAUCAUUAAAUAAUAUUAACUUCAUCAAUUAAAUAGAUCCUCUAGUAAGUUAACAAGCAAUCGUAAUUUGUAAAUCAAUAAAAAAAAAUAGUCAAUUGUGAACCAAAUAUCAAGGAAGAGAAACCACUAGAUGUAAAACUACGAAAUCCGACGGAGAGGAAUUAUAGAAGUUUGCACAUUAAAUGCACACUUAUAAUAUGGAGAUAAGCAAGUUAAUUUGAAUUUUAGAGAGAAAAACAAUGUACAUUUCAUUUCCUUUUCGACAUUCCGAUCACAUAAAAAGAUAAGAAACAAUAUGAUACAACAUUAAUUCAAAAAAUAUAAAUUAAUUUAUUUUUUCAUCUCAGGAUUGCAACCGCAUAAAAUUACAAUGAAUAAUAAUCUUCAAAAAUAAAUUUGCACACAAGAUGAAUGAUGUUUAUACAUAUAAAAAUAAAAGAGUAAGCAUUUUAAAUUGACUUCAUUCUCUUGUCUCAAUCUCAAAAACUCUUCGAUCAUCUUCAGUGGCUGCAAUACAAGCAAAAAAAUAUUCACCACAGCACGACUUUACUGAGAAAAAAAAAGAGAGAGAGAGAGAGAAAGAGAAAAAGAAACUCCCAUGUAAUCUAUAAUCUUUUUGAAACAAUAAUGUUAUCUUCUAAUAUGUACAAGUUAAGGACCAGUAUAACACUCACAACAAGAAGAUAAUGAAAGAAGCAGGAACAAGGGGUUAUUAAGGUUAUCUGAUGUACCCAACUGAGAAUUGUCAUUCUCCAGUUUAUUCUUGAGUGGAGGAUCACACUCUACCUCCGGUAGGAUGCAGCAAUCUACCAAUAAACACAAACAGAAAGCACUCUGUUGUUGAGUCUACAACCAUUGAAAUGCUAUUUUUUACUGCUACAGACUCGUAUUGCCCAAUCUGAUUCAGGUUAUAAACAUAGUGACACAGUUUUGAAAUGUUAAAAGCAAUUAACAUUGUCGAUACUGUUGUUUGAGCUAGUGAAUUUAUGUGACUUUCCAUACUAAAAGUCUAUAGUUUUAUGUGAUUUUCAUAAUUUUUUCGACUAAGAUAAAAAUGAUUAGCUUACACACUUAUCCCAAGAGAAUAAAGAAAAGAAAAUACAUGCACGCGAACAACGAUUAUUUAGUCUUGACAGAACCUUGCAUUUUAAUUAAACUGACAACAGUACAGUUACAUAUUUAAUAUGGGUACAAGAAAAUUAAUUAAUUAUUUGAAGAUAAAGGUGGCAGAAUGAAAUGACUUUCAUUAAAAGGAAAAGAUCAAGCAAAUUAGGAAAUGAAGUUUAAUGGUGUUUACCUCUGUCACAGCUCUUGGCCCCAUGCAGUCAUCGUGAAGACCCUUUGGAAGUAGUAAACUGAGAGAUCUGCAACAAUUAUUCCUGCUUUGGAAGAGGUAAACUGAGAGAUCUGCAAAAAUUUUCAGCACAUCAAAGCACUAAUUCAUGAAACUUAAUAAAAUUGUAUGAUUUGAUCUCCCAUUAAGAAAUUAUUUGCAAACAAAACUUAGCAAAGCAAUAUCUGCAGAGACAAGUGAAAAUAGUAGGUUGUUCAGACAAACUUAGAAUAGAUGAUAGCAUCUAAAAGCACCACCACUUGUUAUAGAAAUUGAAUUUGGCUGCAACGUUCCUUGGGCGAUGCAAUUGGAAAACUUUAAAGUAGAUGGAAAAAUCAGAUUGAUUGAAAAUGCUUCCGAAAUAGUUACGAAGGUUCUCUAUAAAUUGAAAUGAACAUGUUUAUCUCAUUCUUACAGGCGUGCAUUAAAUACACGAAUUAUUAUAAUACAACUAGAGAGGCUUUAUAAUUUUACAUCUCCAGAUUUUUUCUCCUUUGAUAUUUUGUACACUGAUGAUGGUUAUGUUUUAUUCAUUCACAAAUCACAUUUACUUGUCACAUCUUGUGUGCCACCCCAAUAUCUCACGUAACGAUUAGAAGAAUCGAGAUUCAAUCACUAAUAGUGACAGAAAAUGCAUUCCCUUUUCUAGGACUUGUUUGCUAACGAUACUACAAAGACUUCACAUCAAACAGCUGAUUAUAAUUAAUUUGCAUGCCAUCCUAGAUGUCGUAAAUUGCAGCAAUUAACUCUACGAAGUUAGGAAGAUAGCAACAUAUAUCAUGAUGCUCUUAGUUGAGAAUAUAGGAAGUUCUCCAACGUACUUUAAUUAGGAAUUAUCUUAUAUUAUUAUGCAAUCUAAAUCUUAUUAACUGAUCUAUUGUCCUUACCGCUGGAAUAUUGUAAUAAAAGAUUAUUUAUUGUGCUUCCUUUGAAUGAGUGAAUUUCGGAUGAGUGAUGUUUAUACAUAUAAAAACAAAAGAGGUAGCAUUUCAAAUCGAAUUCAGUCUCUUUUACCAAUCUCAAUACCUCUUACAUCAUCAUCAAUUGCAGCAAUACAAGCAAACUAAUUUAGCAUCAUAUUCGCCCACAACCCGACUUACAUGUCCAAUCUAUAAUUUUUUUGAAAGUCUAAUAUUUACAAGCUAACGAUCAGUUUAACAGAUUGAUAACAUGAAGAUCAUGAAAGGGGAUGGAACUGGGCAACCCAUCUUGAGAAAGUUUUGAAGGUCGAGGCCUUGGGAUCAGAAACUAUUGAUGGAGACAUAGGAAGAAGCUCUAGAUUCAGUUGUCAGAGAACAGGAGGUUGUGAAGGUUGUAUGAUGUUGCCCAACUGAGAAUUGUUAUUCUCUUUAUUCUUGAGUUCGGAGGAUCACACUCUUCACUUUCAGUAAGACGUAGCGAUCUGCCAUUAAAUACAGAUAGAAAGCACUCCGUGGUUGAGUCUACCACUAUUGAAAUUCUAUCUUUACUGCCUUAGUCUCAUAUUGUCCAAUGUGAUUCACGUCAUAAACACAGUGACACAAUUUUGAAAAGUUAAAAGCAAUUAACCUUGUAUAUACAUAAGUUUGAGCCUGUGUUUCUAUAUGUGUAUUGUAUCGAAAGCAAAUUUUUAAAUUUAUAGUACUAUCCAUACAAAAACUCUAUAAUUGAGCUGCAACAACAGCAACAUGAUUUUAUGGACUAGGAUAGAAAUGAUUACUUAUACAUUCCCCCCCCCCCCCCCCCCCCCCCCUCCCAAAAAAAAAAAAGGUAAGGAAAAGAAAAUACACGCACGCCUACGAGUACAGUACACCUACAGCACUUUCACAAUUGUUGGGCCCACAAUUAAUUUAAUCAUGAGCCCCACUUCUUGUAUGUGGGAGGGCUGUCAACCAUGAUGUUAAAAUUGCUGUACUUGUAGCAAGGUUCUUCCAUUAAAGAAAAAGAUCAAGAAACAAAGAAAUGAAGGUUAGCACCCAGUAAUGAUACAUCUAAAUAAUCGACCACAUAAGAAAUUUUCAAAUCAAAAUGCCAUAGGAAACUAGAUUAGACACCUAUUCAUGCACGCACUCAUUGUGCAUGCAUUGAUCAAAAGUGUGAAUAAGCAUAUACACUAAUAAAACUUAAUCGUUCUAGUAAUAUCAAUGUCUACGGAAAUUUAUAACCAAAAUUUAUUGCAAAAAUGCAAUCUUUUAUAAAAUCUAUGCUGCAUUCACUUGGGUUUAAAUUUGACUUGCAUUUCCUUAUCAUUCCAAAUACUAUAGCCAUUUGUGAAUCAAUAAAAAAUAGAUGCUUUCUGUUUAAAAAUAUCAAGGGAGAAAUAUCCAAGUAAUGUAAAACUAUGAAACCUGCCGAGGUGGUAUCAUAACAAUUUGUACAUUAAUUUUUUUAAUUAACACCAUAGUUCUUUCAAUCAUAAUACACUGAAUUCCACACAGACCUUGUAAAGGGGGGGGGGGGGGGGGAAAAAAAAAAGAAGAAGGGGGGGGGGGGGGGGGGAAGAAAAAGAAAAAGAAUUGCCUAGAUGCUAAGUUUUUUAUUGAGAUAAAGAUAUUAUUGAAGAAUCAUAUGUUUUCACCAUAUAUAUAAAAGAGAUGGACAUAAAACUUAGAAUUCUUUGCAAUGAUUUUACUUUGUAUUUGUCACUAGUAUUUUGAUGACAAACAUUAAUAUUAGAAACCCAAUGUUGAGUAGUCAACACUCAUCUUAUGCAAUGUACAUCAUCACUCAUCCAGAACACUAAAUAGUAAAAUUUACAUUAAUUUUUCUCCUUUUGGUAUUCCAAUGACGUAAAAAAAGAAUAAACGAAAUAAUAUGAUUCAACACUAAUUCAAAGUUCAAACAAUGUAAAUUUAUCUAUUUUCCUUUUUGGCAUUCCAAUGGCAUGAAAGAAUAAGUGAAAUAAUUUAUAUGAGUCAGCAAUAAUUUAAACAAUGUUUAUCAGAUUAUUCCCAUUUUAAAUUCCAACAGCAUAAAAUAAUCCGAUUCCGCUCUAAUUUGAACAAUUUACAUGAUCCUUUAUUUGUUUCGACAUAAUACUGUAAGUGAAAUAAUUUGGAACAGAGCAUUCUUAAAAAUGUGUACACAUGGGGGGUCAUAAUUUUCAUUAAAUCAUGGACAUUGUGAAUUCAUAUAUAUGCAUACGUGGGGUUCAUAAUUUUAGAAAUGAUAAGGAUAAGCAAGUCAACCAAAAACCCAACUAUAUGGCGAAUUGGUCUUCGAAGAACUUUACAAGGAAUUCUAAGUUAAUGAAAUCAUUAAAUAAUAUUAACUUCAUCAAUUAAAUAGAUCCUUUAAUAAGUUUACAAGAAAUUGUAAUUUGUAAAUCAAUUAGAAAAAUAGUCAGCUGCGAACCAAAUUAAUAUCACAGAAGAAAAAUCCAUAAAUGUAGAACUACGAAAUCCGAUGGAAAGGAAUUAUAGAAAUUUGCACAUUCAGUGCACACUUGUAAUAAGGAGAUAAGCAAGUUAAUUUGAAUUUUAGAGAGAACCUAUGGAGCACAAAUUCGAACAAUAUACAUUUAUUUUACAUCUUAGCAUUCCAAUCACGUAAGAAGAUAAAAGAAAUAAUAUGAUUCAACAGUAAUUUAAAAAACAUCUAUUAAUUUAUUUUUUCAUUUCAGAAUUGCAACAGCAUAAAAUUACAAUGAAUAAUAAUCUUCAAAAAUAAAUUAUUGUUUAUUAAGUUCAUAACUAAAAGAAAUUAUUACAUAAUAUCGAAAUUAAAUAUUAAAAGUAAUUCUGAUUUCUGAAUCAAAAAAAAUAGGCAUUAACUAUGUAUAAAAUAUCAAGGGAGAAAAUCAAAGAGAUGUAAAACAAUGAAACGUGACUAUGUGGUAUUAUAACAAUCCAUACAAUAAAUGCAUGCCUAUAAGAUCUAAAAAAUUUAAUGAGAGACACAGUUCUUUUCAAUCCGAAAACAUCAAAUUCCACACAAAAAUGCAAUGAAAAAAUUGGUUAGAUUCUGAGCUUUUUUUAUUAAAACAAAAAUACAGUUGACUUGUCAUGUGCUUUUAUAGUAUAAAUUGAAUGCACAUAAAAUUUACUUUGUAAAUAUCACUAAUACUUUGAUGAAUAUUUUUCAUACUAGGACCCCAUUUAUGUACCUACAAAGUUGAACAGUGCAUUGCCUUGGUAACAGUGCAGCCACAUUCUCUUUUCUCAAACAAUCUAUGAAAACUAGCAGACUCCUUGUCAGUGAACAUACCUGCAACCUUUCGCUUUCAAAUACAAUCAUUUUCCUACAUUGCAAAAAUAGUUUUAUUAGUCUUUGUAGAAGAUUUAAAUGUUUAAAAAGAAAAAUAAUUCAACAAAGACCUUGCAAAAAAGGAAUUGUUCGGAUGCUAAGUUUUUUAUUGAAAACAAGAUAUGUUUGAAUAAUCAUAUGCUUUUACUGUAUAUAUAAGAGAUGCACAUAAAAACUUAGAAUUCUUUGCAAUGAUUCUACUUUGUAUUUUGAUGACAAACAUUAAUAUUAGAACCCCAUCUAUAUACCUACAAUGCUGAGCGGUCAACUCUCAUGUUAUGACAUGUGCAUCAUCAUUCAUUGAGGACACUAACUCAUAAAAUUUACAUUAAUUUUUCUCCUUUCAGCAUUCCAACAACAUAAAAAAAGGAUAAAUGAAAUAAUAUGAUUCAUCACUAAUUCAAACAAUGUACAUUUAUUUAUUUUCCUUUUUAUCAUUCCAGUGCAUGAAAGAAUAAACGAAAUAAUAAAUAUGAGGCAGCACUAAUCCGAAGAAUGUUUAUUAAUUUAUUUCCAUUUUAAAAUUGCAGUGGCAUAAAAUUAAAAUAAAUUAUACGAUUCUUUUCUAAUUCAAACAAUUUAGAUUAACCAUUUUUCCUUUAAAUAUAAUACUAUAAAUGAAAUAAUUUGGACACAGAGCAUUCUUAACUGUGUACACAUGGGGGAUCAUUAAAUCAUGGACAUUGUGCAUUCAUAACUGUGUAUACAUGGAGAACCUAAACCCCAACAAUACCGAGAUUUGGUCUUGGAAAAAUUGAACUUUACAAGGAAUUCUAAGUUAAUGAAAUCAUUACAUAAUGUUAACUUCAUCAAUUAAAUAGAUCCUCUAGUAAGUUUACAAGUAAUUGUGUUUUGUAAAUCAAUAAAAUAAAAAUAAAAAAUGGUCAGCUGUAAACCAAAUAUCAAGGAAGAAAAACCAGUAAAUGUAAAAUUAUGAAAUCUGACGGAGAGGAAUAUAGGAAUUUGCACAUUAAAUGCACGCCUAUAACAAGGAGAUAAGCAAGUUAAUUUGAAUUUUAGAGAUAACCUUUGGAAUUAUUUUGGAAGCAAUUGCUAUCAAUCUCAAGUUUUCCGUCAACAAAAACUCUAUGUUUUCCAACUGUGCCGUCUUGGUAACAAUGCAACAACAUUAACUUUCUAAAGAUUCUAUUUUCUUCAACAAUCCAUGACAACUAGUUGAUGAACAUACGUUCAACUUUUUCCUAACAGUUCCAGUCACCUUCCCCGUUAUUUAUAAAUAGUUUUCUCUGCUCUUGUAGUAGAUUUAAAAUUUUAAUAAGAAACACUGUUCUUUUCAAUCAGAAAACAUUGAAUUCGAUAUCAGUGAUCCUCUAGUAAGUUUACAAGUAAUUGUGUUUUGUAAAUUCAUCACGAAGAACAGUUUGUUGUAAAGGUCUUUAGAAGGCAUGUUUAGUAAAGAAGUCGCCGUCAAAGAAACUCCUUCCUAUCACUAAUAGUGACCCAAACUUGAGCCUUCCAAUUGUAUGAUGAUUUUUCUAGCAUCAUUUGCAAACUCAAAGACAAAAUGAUGUCAUGAUCUAAGAUAGAAUUGUUAGUUUUUGUUAAAAUAUCUCAAAUCAAUAAAGGAACAAGUACACUUCCUAGAAAAACAUAAGUCCUUGAUUUAGAGGAGGUUUUUUUUUUUCUUUUUUUUUUUUUUUUUGGCUUCAUUAAUUAAAAUUUUGAUCUCAUGCUAUUUUAUAUGUUGUUUUAUGUUUUUGGAAUGUCAAUGAGUAGAAUAAUUAAUGUAAAUUAUUUGAGUUAGUGUUGCCGAUGGGUAAUGAUGCUCAUUCCAAAUAACUGGAGUUGACUACUCGACAUUGUAGGUAGAUAAAUAUAAAUAGGGUUCGAACAUAACUGGUCAUCAUUAAAUUAUCAGACAUGAUUAUCUCCUACAGGCGUGCAUUAAAUGUGCAAAGUGAUAUAAUACAACCGAGAGGGGUCUCUUAUUAGUUUUACAACUUCAGGUUUUUUGUCCUUUGAUAUUUUGUACACAGCUAAGGGCUAUUUUUUAUAUUACAUCUUGUGUGCCACCCCAGUAUCGUAGAGGAAAAGCAAGAAUGGUUAUAAAUUACAAAAGAUUAAACGAUAAUACCAUAGAAGAUACCAAAUAAAGAUAUUUUAGUAAAUAAAAUACAAAAUAACAAGAUAUUUUCUAAAUUUGAUUGUAAAUUUGGAUUUUGGCCAAAAAUUCUAUUCCAUGAAUAGCUUUUACUACUUCAUUAGGACAUUUUGAACGGUUAGUUAUGACUUUUGGUUUAAAAAAUGCACCUUCUUUUUUUCAAAGAAAAAUGGAUAGCUUAAUUCUCUCCCAUUUGUUUGUAUAUAUAGAUUAUAUUUAGGUACAUAGUAAAAAUCAUAAAGAACAUAUGAAACAUUUGGAGAUAACUUUGAAUAAGUUCAUAGAAAAUGGUUUAAUUAUAAGUAAAAAGAAAAUGGAAAUAAAUAAACAAAAAUUUGAAUUUUUAGGGAUAAUUUUAGGAAAAGGAAAGAUCCAAUUGCAACCAGAAAUAGUACAGAUCAUUUUACAAUUUUCAGGUAAAAUUGAAGAAACUAGAAAAUUACAAGCUUUUUUACGAAUAUUAAAUUAUAUUAGACAUUUUUUUAUAGAUUUGGGAAAGAAACUAGGAUCAUCAUAUAGUAAAUUAUCUGAUAAAAGAGAAGAUUUGUAGAUAUGUUAGUGGAAAAUAUAAGAUAAAUGAAAAAUAUUUAACUAGCUUGGAUUAUGAAGCAAUGGCCAUCAUAAAUAGUAUAGAAAGCUUUAAAUUAUUUUUAAACACUGAAUUUACAAUAAGAACAGGCUGUGAAGCUCUAGCAAAAUUUAUUAAAAAGACAAAUUUUGAUAAAAUAAGACAUGAAAGAUAGUUAAAAUUAUAUGAGAUACCAAAUAGUGAUAAAAUUAAUAUAGAACAUAUAGAUGAGGAAAAUAAUAUUUUAGCAGAUAAUUUAAGUAGGGAAGUUAUUAAUUUUCUAACCCACUAUCUUCAUGAUGCAGAUGAAUCAGAGGAUGAUGAACUUUGGAAAUGUUACACUAAAAGUGGUCUCAUAAGGAUCAAAUCUCCUAUUCAAAAGAAAUAAUUUGAAAAGACUACCAGAAAGGGAGCAUUGUCUACUAGAUAAUUUAUAGAUGACACGUGAAUCUAAACAAAAAUUAGAUAGCAUUAAUGUCCUAACUAAUCAUUUUACAUAGAUUCAUAAUUAAGUAGAAAGUAGAGAUUUUAGUUUCUUUACAGUAAUUAAAAGUAGAAAGCCUAGUAUAUACAAUUGUUGGUCCAAAGUACUAAAACAAAUAGAAAGAUAUCUUGACCCAUUUUUCAAAGGAUUUUAUACACUUCAAGAAGCUUCAAAUUUCUGUAAAGAAAUUAUAGGAUUUACCUUUUAUAUAUCUGAAAGAGUUAGACAGACUAUGUAAAACACUACAUCCCAAGCUUCAUCUUCAUCCUCAUCAAUACAACUUUGCGAUAAUUGUGAAAUUAUAACUGAAGUUUUUAGAAAUUUGAAUCUUAUAAGCAUUCAUUAAAAGAAAGGCUAUACAUCCUUGAAAAUGAAAUCUCUUAAUCCUAAAAAACUAUAAUUAAAUAUCAAAAUGAGAUUCUUCAAUUACAAGAUAGUUUAAAAAGACUUAGUUCUAGAGAUAUUCUUGAGACCCGUUUUUCUGAAGACAUUGUUUCCACACAUAGAAAUUAUUCUAGUAAAAUAAAAGGACUUAUUGAACUAAUAGAUUCUACAGAUACAGGGUAAGAAAAUACUUUAUAUGAAUUAGAAAAAAAAUUGGUGAUUGUGCCAGUAUUGUACGAAGUUCUAUAAACAAUUCAGUCAUACAAGAGAUUAUCAACUUUUAUCAAAUUUUAAACUAUUAUCACAAUGAAAAUAGAUACUAUCUAAAAUAGGUCCCAAAUAUGAAUUAGCCAAAAAUUUGGCCUUCUUAAACACAAUUAUUUUACAAUUUUCUUUUAUUAUACAAUCCUUGAAGAAGAAUAUAUUUUUUGUCAUGCUUUACUAUUUGGUAUAAUAGAUAUUAUAUACAUUUUAAACAGAUCUUUCAAAUUUUUUCCAUCAGAGCUUAAUGGAUUCUUGAUCAAUUAAAUGAUCAUCCCUUGAUAAUUUAAUUCAUUUUCAUACCCCCUCUUGUAAAUAAUGGUAUUGUAAUCCUAGCCCAUCAUCAUAUCAUAAUAUAUGAAGGAGUCACAAGAUCUAGACCCUCUUCAAAGACAAAUACUAAAAUAAAAAUUAGACAAAUUGAUUAUGGAAGACGUAUCUAAAAAAUCGUUGCCAUGAGGAAACUCAAAGUAACGAUUUUAGACUAGUAACACAAUAGAAUAAUGGGAUCAUUUUCUGCCAAGACCAUGUUGCUAUAAAAGUCAACACCUAAAAAAUUCCAAUACCAAUUAUUGAGCGAAAAAAAUUAUAUCUGACGACAUUUCAAGAAGUAAAUGCUAAAUCACAGAAACUCAAAUCAGAUACAGAAGAAAGAGAAUACAUAUCCGAUGGCAAAAAUAAUUAAAUGGAUGUAGAGCUAGGAGAAACAUGCAUAGAAAUGAUGGACAGACAAAUGCAAUAAUUGAAAAGAAGAAAAGAUAUAAAGAAAAAGGCAAAAUGCGGAGAAAUGAUGACUAAAGGACAAUUAUUAAGAAAAGAAAGUCAACAAGAAGAAGCAUAAAGACAAAACAAAGCUUUCGGAAUAAGUCGCAUACAGUUGUAAAGUUGUACAGUAUUGAUUCAUUUUUCUUUAUUAUAGAUCACACAUAUGUAAAGAUGAAGAGCAUGGAUUCCUUUUCUUUAAUUGUAAAUCAUGCACUUGUAAAAGUUACACGGUAUCAAAAUAAUAGAUGUGAUGUACCAGCAUAUAUAAAUACCAAUAUCACUCACAAAGGAAGACGCACCAAAAAACAACACAGAGCACAUUAUAACACCUACUGAAAAGCAUUCCUUUCUCGGUCCUUGUAAAUUCAAAGGCAUCUUUGUGAAUUCAAAAACUUCAAAUUAAAAAUAAGUUAUUCUCAUACUUCCUCUUGUUUAUUUACCUUAUUUAUUUUCGAGCGAGGCCUAAAAGAGGAAAGACAAAGUAAGCAAUUAAUUUAUUCAGAAGAAGAUUUUUAUCUUUUCUAUAUUUAUAUAAAAUAAAAAAUAAAAAAAAUUAAUGCUCUUAGCUUCUUUAUUCUAGAUUCCAUGAUUAAGAAGAUAAAGUAACCCUCUGAGUUAUGCUGACUGUUUUGUAUUUCAUCUUAGGAGUUUGUUUAAGCCUUUUUAAACAUGAUGAACAUCUUUUUAAUUAGCCUUAUGCCUUUCUUAGAAUGUCAGGAAAAAAGCUAAGAGAAAGUUUAAAAAAAAGUGAAGAAAUUAAUUGUUGAACAAUAAAGUACUCUAAGACCAUUAUAAAACAUAUUGUUUUUAAGUACUAAUAUUUUAUGCCACUAGACAAUCAUACUUCAUCUACUUUGCUUUGUUGUUCAGUAGAAAGUUUUUGAAGCAACCUCAUUUCAAUCAGAGCUUUGAUCUUUUUAGGGCUGGCCUCAAACAUCUUUGAUUGACCAUGUAGCUUAGAAAUUUCCCUUAAACAACUCUGAAGCGCAUUUGAUGGGAUUAAGUCUCAUCCUAUACUUCAUAGUAUUCGAAGAGCUUUGUCAAGAUGUUUAACACGAUCCUCUACUUUCUAGCUCUUCACCAACAUAUUUUCCACGUCCUCCAUUGUUUUUUCAAUAAGGUUUAGGAACAUCUUGUUAACAAGUCUCUAAUAAGUGGCCCCGGUAUUUUUUAGACCAAAGGACAUCACCUUAUAGUAAUAAAGACUUAUGUUCGUUAUGAAUGACAUAUGUUUUUUGUUCGUUGGAUGCAUUAAGAUCUAAUUGUAGCCUAAGCAGACAUCCAUGACGUUCACCAAUUCAUGCCCAGCAUUGAAAUCAAAUCAACAAGCUAAUCUAUUUGUGAAAGUGGGAACAAGAUUGGAGAAACCUACGUAUAACCUCCAUUUCUCAUUGUGCUUCUUAACAAGAAUGGGGUUUGAUACCUACUUCAGAUAAAUUGAAUCUUGGAUGAAGAAAUUGUCAAUCAAUUUCUUUACUUCAUCUACUAAUGCCUCAUACCUUUCUGGAUUGACAUCUUCUUUUUUUGAUGAUAAGGGGUAGCUUUGGGAUCAAUCUUUAAAUGGUGAUAACUAACCUUUGUGUCAAUAGCAACAUGUCCUCGUAUUUCUAGGUGAAUAUAUUCAAGUUGUCACCAAAAAAACACUUCAACUUUUUCUUAGCCUCCACUGGUAGGUUUGUCCAGACCUAUGAGGAUUAGGAGUGGUCCCUAGAAUCUACUGUGAAGCUCUCUAGUUCUUCAAUUGGGGCUGUUAAGGUUCGCAAUCAAUUAUGUAAGGAUCUUGUUUAUUAAGAUUAGGCACUUCUUCAGUAGCUCUACCUUCUUCAGGGGCUGAUUGUACUUCAAAAACUGCAUCUUUUUUAGAUGCAUCUAUUAUUUCGACGUCCUCUUCUUGUUUAGGGUUUCACCUUUAAUCAGAGUUGUUCUCUAUGUCAAUGUCCAUUAAAAUUACAUCGAUAUAUCUUGGUUUGGCCUUCCUAAGAGAGUUUGAAUAGCAUUCUCUUGCACUACUUUGAUUGCUUCUAACCGUGGCAAUGUCGCUUUUCAUUGGGAUAUUCAUACAUAAGUGAUGAAUGGACGUGAUGGCCCAUAGUUCCUUUAAUACUUGCCUCUCUAGCACUUCGUGAUGGGUUGAAUGAUUGUUUACCACCAACAAUUCCACAAAAUGAUGAGCAGUUAAUGGUGUCGUCCCCAUCUCUACUGCUAGCGUGAUUUUUCCUUGGGAUGAUGUUAUUACUAGUGAAACCAUACACGGGGGAGUUCAUUGGGGUCGGCUCAUUAUCAACUUCUAUUUUAUCAAUGGUUGCUCCAAAUAUAAUGUUGACCGAACUCCAUUAUCCACCAGUAUUCUUUUGAGGCCAUUUUGUGCCGCAACGACCCUUACUACUAAAGCGUUGUACAUUGGAAAAUGCACACCGAUGGUGUCGUCUUGUGUGAAAGUGAUGGGUUAAGAAGCUCGCCAUUGGGGGGGUCCUUGGCCUCCAUUGCAUAGUUUCUUUGGGCAUUUCUUUUUUUCCCCAACAUAUGGGCCUCUAAAAAUUGUGUCGUUUUCUUGAAUAGGUUCACAACCAACAUUAGUUAGGGGGUCUUUCUUUGUCUUUGGCCUUCUCUAGGUCUUUCUCCAUCAUUUUCUUGCCUCCAUUGGGUAUUAUUCCUGAUGGGGUACUUUAUCUCAUCAUUCCGAGGUUGUUGAUCCUAUUUAGAAAGAAGUACAUCUCUCGUGGGCAUCUACUCCUCAUUCAAUUGUCGAUUUUGGGAGUGUAGUGUGAUAUCUCUAUGGUCAACAGUACUAUGGCUAUAGGAUUGGUGGUAGGUACAGUGGAGGGGUGUUUCAUACCUAUUUCUAGGUUCAGCGCUUCGUCCCUUGUCUCUUUUCUUUUGAAGAAACUGUUGAUUACACUAUUUUUGGUGAGUUUCAAUGCUAGAGUUCACUUCCUUGUAGGUCAAAAUAGGUACUUCAUUUAUUGUUGCCAUAGCUAGCGCUUGCACAGGAUUGAGAGGGGUCGAUUGUCCGAUCUGGUGGUCAAUCAAAUGAGAGGUGAAACCCUCUUUUCAUUGCAUCUAAGGAGCUGAGAAUCCUUGAUUGGCCCUAUUUCAAUGAUCUUUCAAUUCUUCAUUGAUAAUAUCACAUCUUCUAAUCCAGAAAAGCUUCAUAGCUAAUAGGUUCUUUAUUUUGUACAUCUAUCUAAAAGAGAAAAUUCAUAUCCAGCUAUUCUCUUAGGGCUAACAGUACCUCUAUGUCGAUAACUUGUACACAACAUGUCAUUUCAUAAUGAAACGGGAUAAAAAUAAUUUCAACGACUCUCUUAGUUGUUGCCUCAUGUCCUUGGGGCGUUGUAUUGACCCUUUGUCCUCUUUGCUAGUUGCAAAGCACUUAAGGAAAGUCUUCUUGAAGUUUGGCCCACUUUGGAUGCUUCAUUUCGAAAGUCUAGUAUACUAUACUUCAGUCACUCUACUUAGGGUCAAGUGGAAGAUUCAGCAUUUUACAGUGGGUGGAAUCACUAAGGCUUAAGUCGGCUUUGAAGUUGUUAAUGUGCUUCACAGGAUCAUUUCUUCCAUCAUACUUAGGAAUUUUAGGAAGCACGAAGUGGCUUGGAACAGGAGCAUCCCUGAUUUCUUGAAAUAAUGGCAAACUGUUACCAUCAUCAUCAAGGUGGAACGACCUUUGUGGUUCAUCAAAAUCUUCAUCCUCUCUAACUUGAGCUUCUUAAGUUGGUUGAGAUGGUCCUACUUCAUUCAUGGCAUGUUCUACGCUCCUCUCAUGCUUAUUUCUAAUGGAAUAUUUUGAGGCAUGUUGUCAUAAAUAUGUUUGUUUUGUUUUUCAACUUGAGGUGGUCUCUACUACUUAUUUCUAGGUGUAAGGAAAGGUUGAGCCAGCCUAUUUCUAGGUUAUUUAGGGCUCAGCCUGUCAAAGACGCUUAUGAACCUUUGAAGCAUAUCAUUUGGAUUGUAGUUUGGAGAAAUGUUGAAUGGAACCUCAUUGGGUCGGUCUGUGGCAUAGUUGACGGAGGUAUCAACCCCAACUUUCCUUUCCUGAGGGGCUAUCUUCCUUGCGUAGUGUUGGUAAUCAGUCAUUUAGCUUUGGAUAUACUUUUCACCCUGGUUGUAGUCUCCUUGUGAGGGUCAUGCAAGAAUGCAUUUUGUUAAGUUGCGUACAGAAAAAUUAGGUAUACUUCUUGGUCCCGUAUGCUCUUUAGCAGCUUAUGCAUGGCAAUGUUUUGCUAAGUUAUAUCUCAGUUAUAGGCAAACUUUGCAAGAGCUAGCAUAAGUUCCCACUGACGAAUAUUCUUACCCACUAGACUCCUCAACAGAUUGCCUAAACUUUGAUUGACAACUUUGGUUUGUCCAUCAGUUUACUGGUAAUGAGACGUGCUAAAAAAGCAAUUUUAUACCAAGCUUGCAAACUUGGGCAUCUUGAUCUGAGACAAUUGCUUUUGGUACACCAUGAAGUGGCACAGUCUUUUGAAAAUACAAAUCAACUACGUGUGAAGCAUCCAUAGUCUUGUUACAAGGAACAAAGUAUGUCAUCUUGAAGAAGCGAUCAACAUCCACCAUGAUUGAAUCUUUGUUCCUUUGUGUUUGCGGUAACCGCAAUACUAAAUCAAUGAUAACUUCCUCCCAUGGUGAAUUUGGAAUGGCCAGGAUUAACAGUUGAUGUUUCUAGCCUCGGACUGACUUUUGAUGAUGUCAAUCUGGUAGGAUUGCUCCUAGAUGGACCUGUAUCUCAUGAUUAAAAUUAGUCUCGCAAUUCAUGGAAUGAAAUGCUUCCCUACGAUGCUCUUGUAACUACUUUUCAACCUUAGAUGCAAUUUUACACACAUCCUUGAAAGUCCAGUAAGGCUGUAGCUGCACCACAUCAUAGAUUUCAGUACAUAACCCAUGAAGAUAACGGGCUAUAGUUUGCUCUUCGGGCUUCUCAAUCUCACACCGCACCAUCAGAUAUUGAAAUUCAGCUGUAUAGUCGUCAACAAAUAAUUCUUUCUGCUUAAAAUUAUUAAGGAAAGAAUCCAGCCUAUAGUUAUCUCGAAGAAAUUUUUUCUUGAAGGCCUUUCGCAUCUUCUCCCAAGUCAAAAUACAGCUCUUCCCUUCACGUACCCACUAUUUCUUAAGAUGCUCCCACCAAAUCGACGCUUGUUUCUGUUGGAAAUCUACUUAUCAUACACAACGGAAAUAAAAAUAAUUUUCGAUUCCCACCAGGACUCAUUUUUGUGUUUAGAUAGAAACUAUGAUAAAGAUGUAACUUUUACAAGAUCUGCAAACUCUUUUGCCAUAUCUCUGUUCCAGCAACUUGGAUCUAUCUCCCAUAGCUGUCCAAUUGUCUAGCCUCCAACGGUGAUCCACACAGAGAACAAUAUUGUAGUAUUAGGGUUUUUUUUUGUACUAGCAAGAAUAAUGAAUUCACUACUAAAUUAUAAACCCUAAUAAGUUAUUUAUAUAAGUCCAAACGGACUUGGCCUGACCCGGUCCAACAUUUAAUUAAUCCAUUUAAUUAAAUCCGGUUCGUGAAUUAAUUAAUCCAAGUAAUUAAUUCGAGCCUAUAAAUAACCAACCAAAUUAAUUAAUUUAUCCAAUGAUUGUUAAAUUAAUUAAUUGACAAAUUGCAAUCUUCCAAUUCUCUUUUCUGUGCGACCCAUCAGGUUCCCGAUCACGAUAUCUAUGUGUUCAUUUAAGUAUAAAAACAUGAAUAUGACGUGAUGUAAUAUGGUAUUAAAAGUAAAUUUUGUAAUCAUAUCUUUCAUGUUAUGUUAAGAGACAUUUUUAUAGACUUUUUCUUGCAAGUGAUAAAAGAGGCAGAAACGGGACAGUUUUUGGGUCAACUUCAAAGUGCUAUUUCCAACUCUAUAAACAUCCAUUUGAGACUCUAAAAAUAUUGAUGCGUUCCUUCUUGAGUUUUCUUAGUAUGAACGCAGGAAUCACUCAAUUUGGAUAACUGUGGCCUGAAAUAUAAAUUUUUAAGUGUCAAAGGGUCAAUAUGAAUUUUCUGUACAAUGCCUCACUGUUUUCAGUAAAACGCCAUAUCAUAUGAUCUUGGAAAUUUUCAAUAUUUUUGCCUAGAAAACUGCUUGAAAAUAUAUUUCUUAUGCCAUAAAUUUCAUGAAAAACAGAGUUGGGAUGAAUUUUAUAAAAAUAGUUGGACUGGCUACCCCAAUUAGCCGUGGCAGCACCGAGUCCAUAUACCUAAAGUAUAAUUUCAUGUCGACAUGUACUUUUGCUGGCCAUUAAAUUUUAUCAGAGAUAUUUUACUAACUUGAAAAGAAGUUUCAACAUGUAUUACUUUUGUUUAAGAGUCUUUACAUGUAGCAAAGGCAGAAGUUAUUAUGUUUAGUGCGUGGCACUCGAAGUUUAAGUUCGGGGCGUUACAGCGUGGUAUCAGAGCGGUUAUACUUUUCUGUAGAUUUUUUUUUGAGAUAAUGAGUUCAGUAUGAACUUUUGAUUAUGCAAUAUAUAUAUAUAUAUAUAUAUAUAUAUAUAUAUAUAUAUAUAUAUAUAUAUUUUAAGAAAAAAAUUGUUCAUCAUCAUUGAGCAAGCUAGCAACUGACUUUCAACCGGCGAUCAAGGUAAAAAUCUUUUUCAAAGUUUAUGAGUUUUCUUAUGCAAUGAACUACUAUAUCUAUGGCUGGAUAUAGGAAUAUUUUGAAUCAAGUCAUAGUUGAGAUUAAGAAGUCGUUAACACUUAUAUGUAAUUAUUUAUUAGAGCCUUGUAGAGUAAUAUAAUCUUCCAAUAUCUAUGUGUUCAUUUAAGUGUCACCACACUUUAGCUUGUGAGAUCAGCUACUUACUUCACAAGUAAGAAAUAACACACGUGAUGGUCUAUUCGUAAUAACAAUAUUCGUAUCUCGUUAUUACUUAUGACCACGGACGAUUUAAGAUUCAAUCAUAUGCAAUUUGUAUCUCACAAUUACAACUCCUUGUGAUUAACAAAUUACGAAGAUUUGAAUCUACGGACUCUAUUAUUUAAUUUAAUUGUCUAUUAAUUAAAUAAUAGAUCUGUCAUUAAAUUGCAUUAAUUAUAUAUCAAAAGUAUUUAUGUCCAAGGUUGAUUGGACCUAGGGCAUAACACUUACAAACUCCCACUUGCACUAGAUCCAAUCACUUAUGUAUCCAAUAUCAUAAGAGUCUACAUGACGAUCAUGUUUAUGCUACGACAACUCUUUGUCAGUAGAUUUGCAAUAUUGUUAAAUGUGAGAAUUUGUUCUUCUCUUUACAUCAUUUCUAUGUGUUAUCUCUCUGAUGAGAUUGUACCGCCUUAAUACAUGUUUGGAUCAUUGAUGAGAUCUCAAUUCCAUCGCUUUCGCGGUGGCUCUAUUGUCACACAAUACAAUGGCAUGUGAUCAUUAAUAUUAGGAACUACUCCAAGUUCAUUAAUGAACAUCUUGAUCCACAUCAUAACUUAUUGCUACUUCUGAAGCAAUCAUGUAUUAGGUUUCGGCCAAUGAACUAACGGUUGUUUCAUGUUUGGAACCUUUCCAACACACCGUUUAAGAGUAAACCAAUUUCUCCAUAUAAAAUAUUUUGAAGAUUUUAUCUAUAUAGACUAGGAUGAGUUAAGCAAUUUUCUAGAUUUAUUUCUAUAGAUCAAGUUGCUUCCCCAUAUCAUUCAUGAAUAAAUGCUUUAAUAACCAUUAUUUCAGUGAUUAGGGAUGUCAUUUCCUAUAAUAUUAGGAAUGCGACAAUGCUCCCACUAUCUUCUUAUAAGCACACAAUUCGUCUUCAUAUUUGAUAAAAUCAAACAUUUUUUAUUUUUCCAUCAAAUCGAAGAUUUCAGUUCCAAGAGAUUUGUUUUAACCCAUAGUCAUGGUAUGCAACUAUUGCAACCAAAAUCCGAAUGGACCUCAACAUGGCCACAUGCGAAAAGUUUUAUCAAAGUCAACACAUUGUCUUUGUCAGUUACCUUUUGCUACUAGCCUUGCUUUGUAUGUAUGGAUAUUCCCGUCCAUGUCAACCUUUUAUUUUAAACCAUUUACAACCUAUGGAUUUUAUCCCAUCAGGAGGGUUGACCAAGAUCUAAACCUUGUUCACAUACAUCGAGUUCAUCCCAGGUUUCAUGGUUUCUUGCUAUCUCUUUUAAGUCAACACUUGACUUUAUUUUUGUGCAAUUAGUACGUCAUCACCCUAGAUCAGUAAUACCUAAUUAGUAAUCAUGAAUUCGCACCUUCUUGAAGGUCGAAUGAUCCUACUAGACUCACAUAGAGCUGACAUGUCCUCAGGAUUCUUUACUCCCUGAUUAAGAGUAUGUCCCAUAUCAGAUAUGGGAUAAAACUCGGAUUCAUUACUUGAUCUGUGGACUCUUGAACUCUUUCAAGUUCUAUUUUGCUCCCACUGUCCUUUCCUAGAGUAAACAUUUUCUCCAAAAGGGUGAUAUGUCGUGAGACAAAGACUUUCUUUUCAAUAGGUUAAUAGAACUGAUAUAUAAAUAUCUGCUUUGAAUAUUUCACAAAUAUGUAUUUAUCGGAUUUAGUCUCACACUUAUCCGAUUCAAUGUGCUUCAAAUAAGCGUCACAGUCUCAAACUUUCAUAUGAGAUAAGUUGGGACUAUUGCCUUUUCAUAGCUUGUACAGAGUUCUGUUAACCAACUUAGAUGAGACAAGAUUUAGUGUGUAAACACUUCAAUCAGUGUAUGACUCCAAAAUGAUUUUGGGAGAUUUACAUGGCUCAUUAUUAAUCGCACUAUAUCUGAUAGUUAACGAUUCCUCCUUUUAGAUACACCAAUAUGGUGCAAUGUAUAUAGAGGAAUCCACUGCAAGAGAAUCUCGUUCUUUCUUAAAUAAUUUAAAUUUUAUCUUUAAGAUACUCUCAUUUCAAUCGGAUCUUAAUGUGAGGGUAUCUUUACUUAUUUGUUUCUCUACUCCUAGCUUGAAUCCUUUGAACUUUUCAAGAACUUCAUACUUGAAUUUCAUCACGAUAAUUGAUGACAUAAGAGAAAACUCAUUUGACAUAUGUCCAUAUACAUCACUCUGUAUUAUGCCAAUAUUUAUGCAAACUUAUUCCUUUUCAUGUAAAAGGAGAUUUGGUCAUUGUGCCAAACGAUUCAAAAUCAAUUGACUUUACGUAUACAUCUGAAUGUAAUUAUGAAAUUCCAUUUCAUCUAUAUGACCAAGUCUGCAAUGCCAUAUUUGAGUAUUAUUCAGAUUAUCACUUUUAUGUCUCUUAACUUCUAUACUCAUUAUAGAAUGCUUAGCGUUUAGAAUAUAAAUGUUAUUUUGUGGCUUACCAUAACUAUUAAGAUCUUAAGCUAGAUAAGCAGGAAUAACAAUUGUCCUUAACAUUAAAAUAGUUCAUGUCUGAACAUGAAACUCAUUUAAUGUUUCAGUUAUAGUGGGUAUAAAGUAGCAUUUCUCAAAUUCUAAUACUAAGCCAAAAGGCAACGGCAAGAAGUAUGCUUCUACAGGCAAUGCAACAACUGUUGCUCAUCUUCAACGUGUAGAUUAACUUCUCCCACUUACAGUGGUCUACUUCUAUUUAGUUUCACCAUAUUUGUAUAAAUAUGAGAUCUACAUCUUGUAUCAAAUACAUAAGAAAAGCCACGCUAUAUUCCUUCCAAUGACCAUUCAUUCUAUAAUGAAACCAAAAGUCAUUAGAUUUGGUAUUGUCCUUCGCUCUGACGAUCUUAGCCAUAUUGGACGCUUUCACAAAGCCCCUUUAGACUUCCUCUUAAUAUCCUUAGAGGAAUCAAUGGCUUGCCCACUUAUAACUUUGAUAUUGGGCAUAACAGUUUUAAGCAGGUUAAGCAACUCAAUGAGUGUGCAUUCGAGCUUAUUCACAACUAGUAUAAAUAAUUCUCUGAUAGAGAUUGCAUAGCUAAGUCAAUAAUUAGUUCAUAGUUCAUGACUGGACCUUAUUGAGACAACCAAUCAAUGACAAUCAUCUAAAGUACAUAAGCACCGAUCGAAGAUUGCUAUGUCAUUUUGCAUCGGUAUAGUUGUUUGAGAUUCUCGUAUCCUUCCACACAUGAUUAUUAUCACACAAUUCUUUGUAAUGAAGAAUUAUGUGUUAACAUCUAUACUCUCAAGUUGCUUUUGUAACUCACGUGACAUAGUUGCAACAUCACAUGUGUGCAAUACUAUCUUAUCAUUGUUUUUAUUACAGUAGCCACAUUUUUCUUCAUUGAGUCAUCACCAAGUGUCUCUGGAAAUUAGCUACUUAAGGACAACCAACUUUCUCAUGUCUGAGAACAAUUCUCGACUCGCAGUGCCAAUCAAGAAGAUUUAAUUUGGUUGUUGGCAUCCAGUAUGCCUCUCAAAUAUACAUGGUUACUCACGAUUCCAUAAAUAUAAAUGACGAAAAAGAAAAGAAUAAUAUAUAAAAUGCAUUAAUUAAUUGAACAUGAACUUUUAUUAAAUUAAUUAUGCUCCCACUGUUUAAUUCAAAUUUAUGACCCUCUCAUAUAAAUUUAUAGAAUCCAUACUUGACUCAUAGUGGUCGAGAUCCCAUCUGUUAUACCAAGACCUUGAGUGUACUCAACAAGCCUUAAUAUAACAUUUGGGUAGAUACUAUUAUCAAUUGUAUCUCCAUACAACUCCCAAAUCAUUAAGCCGACAACUCUUUAUCUUCACAUAUCUUAUGUGUUAACUUAAUAUGCCUCUUAAAUUUAUCUUCUUGAGUGUACUCAACAAAAGAUAAACUUUAGUUAAGUCAAACCUGUCAUUGAGAAAUAUCAAAUAUUUCAUAAUGUCAAACAUAUCCCUAAUGGACUAGCCUUGAGUGUACUCAACAAGUUGAGACGAUUUGGGACUCUGAUUUUUCACUAUAAUGAUGGAAGACAAUUAUAAAUAUGACUUAAUAUUUUAUUGAGGGGUUUUGCAUUCAAAAGUCUCAUUGUAACAAUCAUAUAUAUUGUAACAUCUACGAUGCAAAUAAACAUACAUAUACUAUAAUAAUAAUAGUGUGGACGAUUAUGGACUUUUACUAUCUAGUCUUCCCGAACCAUAAGGAAGACUAGUUGGUCAAUUCCUAGGAGAUAUAGUACUGAUUCAAUAUCUAUGCGCCAUCUCCAUGGUCUCCUCCCCUUCUUGGUUCUUCAAUUAGUCCAGCUGAAACUUAUAUCCUAUAGUAGUUGGCAAGCAGGGCUAAAUAUAAUUAGACUUGCAAGCCCAUAACAAUAAUAAUAACAAUAAUGGACUCGCAGGUCUAAAACAAUUAAGAGCUCGCAGGCCCACAAAAUGACAAGAUUAAAAAUGAACCAUUCAAUACAUCCAUAUGGUCGAGUCCAUAAUUAUCCAUUAAUAAUGCAUUUAUCACGUAUUCUUAUAUAAUAUCUAAUAUUAUAUGCAAACACGUUUCUAGUUUCUAGCAAUUACGGUAGUCUAAACUCUUUUAAACAAAUGGAUCGUGACAAUUAAAUAAUUAAUUAAUUAUAUUAAUUAAUUAAUUUAAUUAGCAGGCAUAUAUAAUUAAAAUCAUAUUUUAAUUAAACAUCGAAUUAGAGUCCAACUCUAAUUUCACAAUUAUAGGGCAGGAUUACUUAUUCAAAAUCAAAUUUUAAUUAAAUAUCAAAUUAGAGUCCAACUUUAAUUUCAAAACUUAACACGAUUGAAUUUAAUUAAAAUCAAAUUUUAAUUAAUUAACAAAAAUAGAGUCCAACUCUAAUUCAAAGAUUUCAGGGCGAAUUUUAUUUAAUCAAAAUCAUAUUUUAAUUAAAUACCAAAUUAGAGUCCAACUCUAAUUCCAAGAAAAAAUUUAGGGCGAGACAAUUUAAUUAAAUUCCAAUUUUAAUUAACACCAAAUUAGAGUCCAACUCUAAUUUCGAGAAAAUUUUAGGGUGAGAUAAUUUAAUUAAAAUCAAAUUUUAAUUAAUUAUCUAAUUAGAAUCCAAUUCUAAUUUCAGGAACAUAUUCGGGCGAAAAAUUAAUUAAAAUCAAAUUUUAAUUAAAUACUAAAUUAAAGUCCAACUCUAAUUUAAAUUGAAUGAAUAUUUUAAUUUAGGAUAAAAUUCCUAAACAAAAUAAAUUCAAUUUAGGGUCAUAUUUAAUAUUUAAGCUAAAAUCAAAUUUUAACGAAAAUAUAAAAGGUUGUCAAUUUUGAAUAAAAUUUUUGCUUUGAGUCAAAAUUAAAAUUAUGGGUUAAACCCAUUUAAAACAUAAUCUUAAAAUCAUUUUAAAAUUAAAAUUCAAAAUCAAAACAAUUUUGCAAUUUACAAAUUGACCCAAGAUUAAAUUUAGAAGGUAGUCCUUCAAUUAACUUAAUUGCAUGACAGACCCUUCAUUCAAAAAUUGCAAACUGACCCUAAAUCAUUAAUUGCGGGCAACCCUCUUAAAUUUCACAAAUUGCAGAGUAAGCCCCCAUCUUCAAACAUCUUACCCGUUUGAGAAAACCUUAAACUGUCACCCUUCCUCUUGUUGCGGCGCCGUGCGUGGAUGAGGCGGUGGUGUGCCGUCGCCGUCUAACAGAGGCGGCACACCCCCACCCAAGUAGUUGCCUGCUUCGCUACUGCAAUGUUUAGCAGCGGCACUGGCCGCUACCAAUGACGCAGCGACCAGAGCAACAGUUCAUGCGACUAGGCGCUGCUUCCUGAUUGCAGCGGCGCCCAACGCUUCUGCAAGCGCAGGGCAGUGCGCGGCCUUGCACUGCGCGCCGACCAACCCAAACCAACCCUUUUUUUUUAAAUACGAAAAUUUAAUUUAUUUAUUUUAUCUCAAAACAAAUUUUUGAAUGUGAUAAUAAAUUUUCUGAAUUGCUAGAAAGUAGAACAUAUAUAACAAUCAACUUUUGAUUGCAUAAAGACAUUAAACAAUCUCUAACAAACACAAAGAAUGCUCUGAUACCACUGUUAAAAAUAAAAACAAUUUUUGAUUCCCACCAGGAUUCAUCUUUGUGUUUAGAUAGAAACUAUAAUAAAGAUGUACCUUUUACAAGAUCUGCAAACUCCUUUGUCAUAUCUCUGUUCCAGCAACUUGGAUCUGUCUCCCACGACUAUCCAAUUGUCCAGCCUCCAACGGUGAUCCACACAGAGAGUAAGAUUUUAGUAUUAGGAUUUUUUGUGCUAGCAAGAAUAAUGAAUUCACUACUAAAUUGUAAACCCUAAUAAGUUAUUUAUAUAAAUCCAAAUGAGCUUGGCCUGACCCGGUCCAACAUUUAAUUAAUCUAUUUAAUUAAAUUCUGUACAUGAAUUAAAUAAUCCAAUUAAUUAAUUUGGGCCUAUAAAUAACCAACCCAAUUAAUUAAUUUAUCCAAUGAUUGUUAAAUUAAUUAAUUGACAAAUUGUAAUAUUCCAAUUCUCUUUUGUGUGCGACCCAUCAAGUUCCCGAUCACGAUGUCUAAUGACGUGAAAUAUUAUUUUGAUCUAAUCAAAAUUGAUAAAUUAAAACACCCUUUUAAUUUAUCACCAAUCAAACUUACCGUCCCAGAUUGAUAUCUAGCAAUGUGUCAGGGCAAUACAUGUGAUGGGAAAUGUCAUGUGGUAUGACAAAACCAAACUCGUUCGUUUAUCGUGAAACUAUAAUCCCUUUCGUCAAUAUGAUCCGAUCAAUUACGAGAUAUGGAAGUGUGUCAAUCUCGAUUAUCGAUCAUAUCUUUCACUCCACUAUUAAGUCAAUAUAAGUCGAAAACUCCUUUUCGACUUAUGAGUACACCUUGACCAAGGAUUUCAUUAUCGACUUAAUUGAAUGAAACAUUGAUCAUAAUCUCUUACUAUCUAAGAGUGACGAAUCCUCUAUUGGUCAUUCACAACCUUCAUAUGAUUCUUGACAUACCCGAACGAUGCCGUAAUAGCGGCCCUUGGCAGAGCAACAUCCAAUACCGUCAAAGCAUGACCGUCCUCAUAUAAGGUACUAUGAUGACCUCAAGUCAAAAGGACUGAUCCCACUACUGAACGUUAGAGAUUAACCACUGAUGCUCAGAUAGUUAUCCAUGUGGAAUCUCUCGACGGGUCUCCAAUGUUUUGUUCUAUAACAAAACAUUCACGUGUUCAUUUAAGUGUCACCACACUUUAGUUUGUGAGAUCAGCUACUUACUUCACAAGUAAGAAAUACCACACAUGAUGGUCUAUUCGUAAUAAUGAUAUCCAUAUCUUGUUAUUACUUACGACCACGGACGAUUUAAGAUUAAAUCAUAUGUAAUUUGUAUCUCACAAUCACAACUCCUUGUGAUUAACAAAUUACGAAGAUUUGAAUUUACGGACUCUAUUAUUUAAUUUAAUUGUCUAUUAAUUAAAUAAUAGAUCUGCCAUUAAAUUACAUUAAUUAUGUAUCAAAAGUAUUUAUGUCCAAAGUUGAUUGAAUCUAGGGCAUAACACUUACAGUUUCUUCAACUUUAUGGCUACAAUCUUCACCUUGCGGUCUUCUGGCACAUCCUUGUACUCAAAUAUUCUCUCCACUGUACGCAACCAUCAAUGAAUUCAUCUGGCUGGUUCUACCUUCAAAUUCUGGAACAUCAACUUUGAUGUCGAAAUCUCGCUCAAACUUGCGAUUCCUUCGAGAACAAUUAGACCUCGAGCUAUGAUCUCGAUGGAAAGGAUUACCCUUUUCUUCAUCAUCAUAUGAAUUUUCUUCCUCAGAUUCCUGAUUUGCUGCCUUUCAUCUCCCGAUUUGAAGAUACGCCGAUUGCUGUUGAACUGUUGCACUUCCAUGUACAAUGCUUCAUUCUCAAUAUCACGAUGAUCCCGCUCACGAUUUGGUCUUUCAACAUCAGGCAUGUCGACAUGACUCGAUAAGCCAUAAUAACCUGGAGCUCUGAUACCAAAAUUGAUGCUGAAAAAUCACAGCAACAAAUUUAUUUAGAAAAAAGGGAACUGAUAGUUACCAAGUAUUAGUGAUCACCACUCACAGACAACUUUCGUAAGAUACAGAGCUGGGCACAACUCACCACUUAAAUGAAAAAAAGACUCGAGAUACAAAACACUCAAAGAAGAAAAAUUCUUCUUAAAAAAAAUGGCCAAGCCUUCAGAUUAUUCUAAAAAAUAAAAAUAAAAAAUCCCAUCCUUUAAGAUUACAUAGAGCCUGUCUUUAUAGGCAAUAAUCUCUAAACUUAGAAUGUAAUAUUUUAAAAAUUAGAAACAAAAUUAAUACUAAACUUAAAGAUAAGAAAAUCCAAAAAAAAAAAACACUAGAAUUGAUUGUUUAAAAUUCUUCUUCAUUUUGUGUAGAACUUUCCAUAAUUGUGCCACCCGUCUCAUAUAACAAAAUACAGAUUUAAAAAAAUUGAAUUUAAAUUUAAGAGGGUAAACAUAAUUUAAUACUGUGAAAUUAAUGAAGCAUAACAAAGUUUCAAAUUUUGCGAUAAGUAAAAAUAUAUUUCAAACUAAAUUUCUAAAAUAGAAAAUAAGUUAAUCUAUAUCUUUUAUCACAUCACCCUCAAUCAAAUGGUCAAUAUUUCCAUCUGGAUCAACAAAAAAAUUGAGGACAUCCAAAUGAGUCAUAUCAAUCAUAAUCAACAAAAUUUGUCUCUACCUUUCCCUUCCCCAUGAUUGAUUUUUGGAAAAGAUCCACAAGAUUUUUUCUCAUACGACAUGUGUCCAAUGCCCUUUCAUUCAAUAUCUAAAGCAACUUUCUUCCUAUUCCUUGUUGGAAUUGUUACUUUCAUUUGUUUUGUGCCUUUUGAAAUUGUUGUCUUGUUGUUGAUAGCUUUGUUGAUUAUUUCGUCCAUGGUUUAUUCGACGUGCACGUCUGCGUCCACAUUCAAACCCGUGUUCAUGUCUUUGUCUUGAUAUUGUAUUUACUUCAGGCAAUGUAGUACUAUUUGUUUCAGGCAAUGGUAAAGAACCAAUUGGACAUAGCCCAUGUUUUUUUAUCAGUAGUUCAUUAUUUUGUUUAACAAACAGGAAGAUAUAAGUUUUGAGUUCUUUUUUAAACCAUGCUCGCGAUAUUACUGCUGUAGGAGCACAUUCGAGUCAUGAAAAGUAGAAAAAGUUUUUUUUCAAACAUAUCUUUAUCAAUGAUUUUUUUCCACACAAUAUCAAUUUUGUACAUAUUCUAAAAUUAUAUUCGCUAACAGUUUUUAAAUCUUGCAAAUGAAGGUGUAUCCACUCAUAGUAGGCUUUGGGGAGACUAUAGUCUUUUGAUGAUUAAAUAUCUCGGUUAAAUUUUUUGAAAAAAUCUGUAGAUUUUUCUUAUUGAGAUAUACAAUUUUCAAUCCAUUGUGAAGAUGAUGGUGAAGGAAGAUGAGGCUUUUGCAUGAUCUUGUAGGUAUUCUUUGUUUCCUUAUUUCAUUGUCUCCCCCAAACCUUUUGAAACAAAAUGAAUAUCAUCAUCGAGUACUCACGUCAGAUACUUUUUAAAAGAUAUGUCAAGUGUAACAAAAUUAAGCUUUGUAAUGUUUGCUAUUUGAUUAACUACACAAUAAAGUAAAAGAAAAUAAAAGUAGCUUAGAAGAAUGUGAUUAUACAUCACAAAAUGGUUGAUCAAAUAAUAAUAUCAACAUGACAUAAGUAACGUGUUUUCCUUAAGGGAUAAAUUUUAAAAUAAUAUAUUUUUCGAAACAUGUGCUACUUCAGGAGAACGUUGCAUUUUACUAUUACUUCUUAAUGAGAAAUAUGCCAAUAUUCUUUUGAAAUAUUGAAAAUUAUAAUUUAUGCUCUUCAAUAGUAAGUAUUAUUUUUCAAGAAUAUCAAUUAUAAUAUUGUGUUAUUUUAGGAGCAUCAACCAACUAUUUAUAAUAGACAAAUCUACAUUAAUAUUCUUUUGGAAUAUUAAUCAUAAAGUGUGCUACUUUAGGAGCAACAACAUGAUAGAGUAUCAAUUUAAAAUUUAUAAUACAAUAUUUAAAGUUAUUUAAUCAGGUUAAAAAUAUUAAUGACCAUACAAACAUGAAUAUAAAUUACCAAACAUGCACUAAGAAAAAAACUUCAUAUAUAAAAGCUGACAAACUUGAAUAAAUCUUUUCCCAACAUGUAUUAGUAAAAAAGAAAGAUGCCAAAGAUGCACGUGAUUUCAUAAAUAAUUUUUGUUUUGCAUUAGUACAUGAAAUGGUUAGUGUUAACGGAACAUGAAAUAAUUGCAGUCUUGUUAGUGCAUUAGUAUAUGAAUUCAAUGCAAACAGGAACAUGGAAUAAAUGCAGUAAAUUCAUUAGUUUAUUGGUGCAGCACAUGAAAAAAAGGAAUUGUAGUAAUUGGUAGGCAAAAAUUGAGGUCACGUAUUUCGGCAGAAAUAAUAUGAUGUAUAUGUGAAAUUCAUUUGUUAUCAAAUUAAUUUUGGUACACAUAAUAGAUGAUUAUGCUUAAAAACAUUACUACCUUCUCUAAACAUUAAAGAAUUAAGCUUUCGUACUCAUAAUGUGUUAUGAAAAGAGAGAAGAGAAGAGAGAGAAUAGAGAGAACUUGCGUGUGUUAAAUUAAGUGUGUAUUUGGUAGGGAUUUUGUUAAUUGAUUUUUUAACCGUUAGAGAUAAAGUGGGUCCUACCAGCUAGAGAAGAAUUCAAAAAUGACGUCUGGAAUAGUGAAAUAAUGGUUAAAAAAAAACUGAUGUUAAUUGGAUUAAAAUCUCUACCAAACAUGCUCUAAGAACCAAAGUCCUAUAUUUAUAGAGUAGAAUUAGGGAUAUAACAGUAAUAAUUUUCAGGGUUGUAAGGUUAUAAUUGUCAUUUACUUAUAAACCCUAAUAAAUUUACCAUUUACGACAUAGAAAAAUUUAAUGAAUAUUGUUUUUCUAAUUAUUUUGUCUAAGUAGAUUUUAUAGUAGUAAUCAAGGGGCAUGUAAACCUCAUGUUUACAUUUGAAAGUAGCUAGAAAUUGGUGGCGGCGAUCUAUGUAUUGAUUGUAAGCCAUCUGCAUCAGAUGUGUUAUGAAGAUAACGAAUCUAAUUUAUAUAUUAUUGAAUUGAUCAGGCAAUCAAUCUAUAAAAUGUGUUUCCAAUUCAUCAUAUUAAUUAGAAAAAUUUCCACCAGAGUAACAUUUGUUACAACAAAUAAGACUUGCUCCGAGUAACUUGAAUAAUUUUUUGCAAUUCCAUUCAAAUCAUUACCUGAAUUACUCAAAUAUCUACUUAUCUUCUAACUCAAUCACGAGUAGGUGCAUAAUCUUGUAGCCUAUGGCCUUCUGUUUCAAAAACUUCUCGCGUUUCAAAAACUUCUCGUGUAAUAGAAUUUUCAGAUACUUCACCACUUACUGAAAAAUAUAUAAUUGGACGAUCCUUUAUGUCAUAUUACAAAUAAACGAGCCACAUAGGAGACGUACUUGACUUCUUGGCAACAACUUUAAAUUCAUUUUCAAAAUAACUGAUGAUGAUGACCUCUCAUCUUUAGACCCAAUUUAUACAACAGCAAUCUCCAAAAUAAUGAUACCUUUACGAGAAUGAAGUUAAUUUGAUAUGUUAUCUCUGCGUUUUUUGUAGGUAUAAUCAUCACCAAUCAAAAUUUACUCAUUCAUAGGAAUGACAAUAUUUUAUUUUUUGUUUACAAUAUUUCAUUCGGUGGUCUUCCCUAUUUAACAUCCCCGCCUUUAUAUUUAUUAUCAUUAAAUAAUAAACAAGCGUGGUAUAAUUCAGUAAACCCCAGCUCUAUGUAGUGUCACAAUACACACAAGAGGUAAUUUUCAUUCAUACAUUCAAUAGGUGGGUUACAGAGUUUAUAUAGGAAAAAAAAACUCCUAAUUUUGGAUAAUCAAAAUCUGCAGCUAGUUAAUUGAUUCUACACAUAAUUCCCUAAUUCUAUUCCCUUAAAAUGAUACAAUUAUAUAUGAUUUAUGUUUCCAGAAAAAUAUUUCUAACAACUCACGCCAACACUCCCCCUCAAGUUGAUGCAUACAGGUCUCUGAUGCCCAACUUGUCAAGUGAGUUGUGAAAGUCUUUGCUUGAAACUGCCUUUGUGAGUAUGUCUGCUAGUUGAUCCUCGGACUUUACAAAAGGGAAACGAAUUGUCUUUGCUACCAAGUUUUCCUUGAUGAAGUGUCGAUCUAUUUCCACAUGUUUUGUUCUAUCAUGUCGAACCGAGUCAUGAGAUAUGGCAAUGGCAGCUUUGUUGUCACAGUAUAGAUCCAUCUCAGUAAUAGGAGCAAAGCCAAGUUCAGUGAGCAGUUUUCUGAUCCAGAGGAGUUCACAAAGUCCUUUUGCCAUUCCACAAAACUCCGCUUCAGCACUCGAUAAUGAUACCACUUUUUGCUUCUUACUUCUCCAUGUAACGAGAUUACCGCCUACAAACAUGAAGUAGCCUGAGGUAGACCUCCUAUCUGAACUGUUCCCUGCCCAAUCUGCAUCUGUAUAGCCAUCAACUUUCAAUUGAUCAUUCUUUGAAAACAUCAGUCCCCUUCCUAGUGAGGACUUUAGAUAUCGAAGUAUUCGAGUCACAGCAUCCAUGUGGUCUUUGCUAGGGCUAUGCAUAAACUGGCUAACUACACUUACGGCAUAGGCAAUAUCUGGACGAGUAUGAGACAAGUAUAUAAGUUUGCCAACUAAUUUUUGAUAUCUCCCUUUAUCCAUUGGCACUUGAUCUGAACACUCACUCAGCUUAAGGUUUUGAGUGGUAGGAGUAUCUGCUGGUUUACAUUCCAACAUCCCUACCUCAGCCAGCAAGUCUAGCACAUAUUUUCUUUGGGAUAGGAAUAUGCCUUGUCUUGAUCUAACCACUUCAAUUCCCAGGAAAUACUUGAGGCCUCCCAAGUUCUUUAUCUCGAACUCAGAUGCUAGCUGUUUCUGAAUUCUGGAUAUCUCUUCUUUACCAUCCCCUGUGAUAAUCAUGUCAUCCACACACACUAUCAAUGCAGUUACUUUGCCUCCAUUAUGCUUAAGAAAGAGUGUAUGGUCUGAGUCACUCUGUUUGAACCCAUAUUUCUUCAUUGCCACACUAAAUCGUCCGAACCAUGCUCGAGGUGACCGCUUCAAGCCAUAUAAUGCUCGCUGCAAUUUACACACGACAUUUUGUGAAGACCCUGUAUAGCCCGGAGGGAGAUCCAUAUAGACUUCUUCUUCAAGGUCGCCAUGAAGAAAUGCAUUCUUCACAUCAAGCUGAUGUAGUGGCCAGUCAAGAUUAGCAGCGAGGGACAAUAGUAUUCUAACAGUGUUUAGUUUAGCAACUGGUGAAAACGUCUCUUGGUAGUCUAUCCCAUAUGUCUGUGUAUACCCCUUCGCGACUAGCCUUGCUUUGUACCGCUCAAUGGAUCCAUCUGCCUUGUGUUUGAUGAAAAAUACCCAUCUGCAUUCUACUGUCUUCUUUCCUUCAGGUAAUGGAACUAGUAUCCACGUGUUAUUCUUUACUAGUGCCUCCAUCUCAUCUUUUAUUGCCUGAGUCCAUUUGGAAUCUGAUAAGGCAUCCUGAAUUCCUGUUGGAACAUGAUUAGAAGAGAGAACAUGUACAAAAGCUUUCAGUGGAUCAGAUAACUUCGUGGUGGAUACAUAGUUGGCAACUGGAUAUCUUGAUCUUCAUUUUUCAAUGUCUGGAGAGUUUCUGCUUGGCGGUUUGCCUCGAUUAUGCCUGAAAGGUAAAUUAUAGCCACCAGGAGUAUCUAAAUUGCUUAUAUGUGAAGGAGUGCUUACCUCAGAGAUAUUCUCAGGAGAUGGGCCUGCAGAUACUGAAGAGAAAGGGGGCUCUGGUUCGGUGGAGUUUGGUUCAGCUUCUACAGUUGGUUCCGGAUCUUGAGUCAUAUCAUUCCUUAAGUCAAUAUCUAUCGAAGCUGUCUCUAUCUCAGUAUUAUUUGACCACUCAAACUUCGACCAAUUGAACUCUUCAUCCCUUGUCUCCCCCUGAAGAGGAGAAUUGGAUGUUGGAGUAAAAAAUGUGUCAGACUCCGAGAAGGUAACAUCCAUAGUUACAUAGGUCUGUUUGGAGGAUGGAUCAUAGCACUGAUAGCCCUUUUGAUGUGUAGCAUAUCCCACAAAAAGACAUCGGAGAGCACAUGGGUCAAGUUUUGUCUGUUGAUUCUUGUGAAGAUGUACAUAGGCCACACAAUCAAAUACUCAAGGAGAAAGCAUUAGAGUUGGUGGUAGAGCAACAUGGGAUGAUAGGACCUGGAGUGGAGUCUUAAAAUUUAAGACUUUAGAGGGCAUCCAAUUGAGUAAGUAUACAGCUGUGGACACUGCAUCAGGCCAGUAACAGUUUGGAACAUAGGUUCCAUGAAGGAGAACUCUUGCAGUUUCAAGAAUAUGUCGAUUUUUCCGUUCAGUAACACCGUUUUGUUGAGGGGUUUGAGGGCAAGACGUCUCAUGAAUGAGACCGUGUUGUUCAAAGUAAGUGCAAAACCAUUGGUUGAUAAAUUCACCACCAUUAUCGGAACGAAGAACUCUUAGUUUGGCAGAGAACUGAGUUUGAAUCAUGGCAUGGAAUGACUAAAAUACUUUGAACACUUCAUCUUUAUCUUUUAGUAGAUAGAGCCAGGUCAUGCGAGUGCAGUCAUCAAUAAAUGUAAAAAACCAACGAACCCCAAACCUUGUAGCAAUAGGUGAAGGGCCCCACACAUCAGAAUGUACUAGGGAAAAAGGAAUACUACUUUUAUUCAUGCCUGAUUGAUAAGAAGUGCGUUGACUUUUCGCUAAAAUGUAGGUAUUACAUUUAAAAUCAGAAACUUCCUUAUUCGAAAAAAGGCUAGGUAAUAAAUGCUUUAAAUAACCGAAUGAUGGAUGCCCAAGAUGACGAUGCCACAUCCAAAUCUGUCUUUCUAUCACAUUACUUUGAACAUGAUGAGUGCGAUCGACACUGAAAUCCUCCAUGUAGUAUAACCCCUUUCUCUUAGUACCACGCCCAAGUAUCUCCUUGGUGAGAAUAUCCUGAAGAAGACAAAAGGUUGGAUAAAUAAGUACCACGCAAUUUAAUUCAGCCGUCACUUGGCUUACAGACAAUAAUUUAUGUAAGAGUGAUGGAACAAGUAAAGUGUGGGAUAAAUGUAGAGAGGGAGACAAAGAUAUAGAGCCAGCCCCGGUGACUGGGAAAAUAACUCCAUUUGCAUUCGCAACCCUGUUGCGUCGAGGUGAGGUCCUUUGAAUAAAAUCUCUUUCAUCAUAAGUCAUAUGGUCAGUUGCCCCGGAGUCAAGUAACCAUAAAUUAUUAUUCUUGUCACUGGAGGAUGUAACACAAGCUGAACCAAAAUUACCUGGUUCUGAUGAGGGGUCGGUAUCCUGAAAAUAAUCAUUUUUAGGAAUCAAAGAUAGUUGAGAGUCAGAUGUUGCCACGGCCGCCUUGCCUAUUCGCUUAUUGGUACCCGUCCCAUUUUUGUUCUUUUUUUCCUGCAACUCAUGCCACCAAUCGGGGUAUCCAUUAAGUUUAAAGCAGUUUUCUCGUGCGUUCUUGUUAUUUCUAUAGUAUGAACACUUAAUUUCCUCAUCCAAACCCUUUAACUUAUUUGGCCCACUUUAUUUGGGCCUCUACUUUUAUUUGGGUCUCCCUUUAAAGAAUUUAUUCCAGCAACAGCAAAUGAUCCCAUCUUCACGCCUUUGGUUGCCAAGAUCGCUCCAGGAAGAACAUUGUCGGAGUCUGUAGAAACCAUGACUGCUUGUCGUAGUGCCUCACGACGGACGUACGCAUACGCCUGCUCAAAUGUAGGAAACGGGUCCAUCUGCAAAAUUCUACGGAUGCUAUUGAGACGUUCAUCGAGCCCAUCAAGGAAGGUGUAAACUCUGUCUUCCUGGGUCAAAUUAUUGAAGUGGCGAAUGUCAGCGGCACACUUCAUUGGAUUUGGGCAACGGAAGUCAAUUUCGCAACCCCUGCAGUUCAGUGUAAUAUUUCUCCACAGAUCCGCCUGCUUGUUUGAGGCGACUCACCCUUCGUCGAAGAUCAUAGACUUGGGAUUUAUCAUUCCCAUCAAAGUAUGUAGUGGCAAUAGCAUCCCAAACUUCCUUAGCAGUGUGGAAACGAAAGAAAUUGCCAAUGAGAACAGGGUCCAACGAAUUGAUAAUCCAUCCCUUGACAAUGGCAUUCUCAGUUCGCCAUUUUUCGAAGGAGGGAUCAGUUGGUAGGGGUGGAGGUGUAUCUCCAUUAAUGUAACCCAGUUUAUCUUUCCCGGAAAUAUACAUUUCCAUAACCUGGGACCAUAGGCCAUAGUUUUGUAUCAAUAUACCAAUCUGGGGCGAAUUUUCAGUGAGUGGGGCUGAUAUGUGUGUCUUGGUUAAGGCUUCAGAAUUUUUGGUGGAAAUAUCUGUAAGUAUAGCAUCAGAAUUAGGUGAAGAUUGGUUGGGAUCGGUGAUGAAGUUGGGGUCUUCCAUGUGUUUGUGAAAAUGUUCACAAGAACCGGGCUACAGGUAACUUGGAGAAGAGGAACCAGGACCGUGUGUCCUGCUCUGAUACCAUGUGACAAUACACACAAGAGGUAAUUUUCAUUCAUACAUUCAAUAGGUGGGUUACAGAGUUUAUAUAGGAAAAAAAAACUCCUAAUUUUGGAUAAUCACAAAUCUAUAGCUAAUUAAUUGAUUCUACACAUAAUUGCCUAAUUCUAUUCCCUUAAAAUGAUACAAUUAUAUAUGAUUUAUGUUUUCAGUAAAAGAUUUCUAACAACUCACGCCAACAUGUAGUAGCUGUUGCUGCUACUGGAACGAUUGAGUUCUUCUAGUCUUGGGAUUUCAUCGCCCACAAUAUCAAUGUGAGAAAAUAUGUGCACGCAAAGCUAUGUGAUGAUUCUGUUGUAUGUAAUUCCUUUUGAUUUGAUGAAAUAAUGAAUAAUUGAAUUUUCAAAUGAACUUCAUAUGCAAAAGCUAAUAACAGAGAUAGAUACAAGAUAAACUAUGAAUUCCAUGCAACUGUAACUUUUAUUUGCUCAAUAGUUUACUAUCACUUUUCAUUUUCAAACUCAGUUAAUUCAACUGCAACAUCAACAUUAAUGACACGUGUAUUAAAUGCAAGCUCUCCUUUUUGGUAUUUAUAAUCAUCAUUCUUCCACAGUUCACUAAUUCAAAUGAAGCAUAUUAAUUGAUUUUUCAUCUACAAUGUUCCAACGGUAAAAUACAAUUAAUUGAAUGAGGUACAUCAUGCUUGUUAUAACUCACUCACUCAUAGUCAAAGUAAAGAAAAUUAUUUAGUCAAAGUCCAAAAUUCAAUUGGUCAAAGUCAAUGUCAAAUACGGAUUUAAAUGAAAUAAAUUAUUUUAUUGGGGUUUAAUUUAUUAUGAAAAAUAGUUCAAGGUUUAAAAUGGAUAAAACUUAAUUUUAUGGAUCUACUUAUAUAUUAUUGGAAGUAAAGGACUAGAUGUUAUAUUAAAUUGAAGAAUAAGGACUUCCUUUGCAAAAAUGAGUUAGUGGAGUCCAAAUGUCCAAAUUUUAAUCCCAUUGCCUUGAAUUUUCAUUUGCAUACAUAUGUAUAGAAAAAUUAGAGACGGCAGAGAAGAAGAUCCAAGAGAAAGGAAGAAAAAGAGAAAGAAAAGAAGAAAAAAAAGAGAGGAAGAAGAAAGAAGAAAAAAUAGAAAAUAGAAAAUUUUUGCCAAGUUGUUAGAAAAUAAUUGGUCUAUACUAUUAUGCUUGGAUUUUUCAAUUUUGAAAGGUAUGUAAAAAGUUACUUAUUGUCAAGUUAUGUUUAAUUUUAUAGUUAGAUUUUUAGACUAAAUUCAAUUUUAUUGAAAAUGUUAAGUAUAAUAAACUAUGAAAUUGAGUAAAGUGAAAGAAAAACUAGUUUUAGUUAUUAAAGAGAUUGUAGAAAUCACCUAAACGUGAAAUGAUUAAGUUUGGAUAUCGCCUAUUUCAUUAUUGAGAUUACUUAAAAUAGUUAAUUCUUGAUUUAAAAGUUAUAUUAUAUUAUAUUAUAUUUCAGACGGCGAUACGGACAUCGGGACAGCGUACCAUUCGAGUUAAUUUUGGUGUACAUAAUUCUGUGAGUAGAAAAAUAUAAAUAUUUUUAAAGUAUUUAUAAACUAAGUAUAUUAUAAAAGUAUGUGUAAUUAUGUGAAUUAUUUGCUCUAUUAUGUGAUUACGAUGAAAAUUUCUUUUAAUAUGAUCCAUAAGGAAUUUCAAGGAUUUUUUAUAGUACGUUUGUGAUUUGGGAGGUGAGACAUGUGAUAUUGAUAUUUGUUUUGGUAUGUGAGACAUGUAAUAUUGAGAUCGGUCAAAAAAAUUUCCAUGAUUAUGUACUUCUUCUAGUUCACAGAGGGGCCUUGGCCGUAUUCUAUCCUACACGGAGGGUUUUGACCUGACAUUGGUCUUGAUCGUGUACAUAUAGUUCACAGAGAGGCCUUAUACAUGUUCUAGAAUUGAUUAUAAAAAGUCUUUGAGAUCGGUUUUCGUUCAAGGAGGGGGCCGGCCAAAGGCCCGUAGUGAACGUUCUUAGCCCGAGAGGCAGAUUACAGAUUUCAAUCAGAGGGUACAUUUUUGGUGAUUUUUUCAGUACAUUUGAUGUGAUGAGAUUAUAGCAUGAUUACCAGCUUAUGUUCAUAUCACGAUUUGAGAUGAUAUUUUACCACCUUAUGUGAAUAUCUCACGUUUUUCUAUAACUAUAUGAUGUCAUCUUACGAACUCGGUUUUCGAUAAAAAUGUAAAUUUGGAAAAGUAUAAUUAUUUGCAAAAUUCUUCACUCACUGAACUAUCUGCUCAUAUAUUUUUCCACAAUUAGUUGAAUUGAUGCUCUAUAAAAAGACUACAACAACAUACAAAUUCAUCAUUAAGAAUGAUUUGACAUAAAGAUCUUUGAAAGGUAUGUUUAGCAAACAAGUUCUCAUCAAAGAAACUCGUUUCCGAUAACUGUUAGUCACCCAAACUGGACUCUUCCAUUUGCAAACUUCAAUAGGGAUAGGUUCACUGCCAAAAUGAUGUUGUAGUCUAAGAUAGAAUGGUCUGUUUAUGUGGAAAUAUCCUUAAUCAAUAAAGAAACAAGGACCUGUACUAGAAAAAAAAUAAAUCCCCGAUUUAGCUGAGGUUUUGUGUAAUCAUAUUUUCCUUCCUUCGCAAACUACCUACAAUAAUAAAAGUGAAUUUUAAGUUUAAGUAAAAGAAAUUAUUAUAUGAGAUUAACUUCAUCAAUUAAAUUGCUCAUCAUGUACAAUUAUAAUUAAUCAUGAAUCUAGAAAAAGUAUUGCUUAAUUAGCUGUGUAAAAUUAUAUUAUAAUAAGAAAAACAUGGAGAUGUAAAGUGGUGAAACCCAAAUCUUUGGUAUUAAAACACUUCGCACAUUUAAUGCACGCCUAUAAAAACAAGAUAAGAAUGGUAAUUUGAAUUUAGCUAGAACCUUUUUGGAAUAAUUUUGGGAAAAUUUGCUGUUGAUCUCAAGUUUUCCAUCAACUGAAACUCUAGGCUUCCAAGUGCGUCUCUGGGAACCGUGUAGCCACAUUCAAUCUUUAUGUAUUAUGUUUUCUUCAACACUCAAAACUAGCCAACUGCUUGUGAAUGAACGUAGUGCAACCUUUUGCUAUCUCCUCAAUUACUUUCCCGUUUUGUAAAAUAGUUUCUUCGUCUUUGUAGAGGAUUUUAGAUUUUUGAAAAGAAAAAUAGUACUAUUCAAUUAGUAACAUUGAAUUCUCAUUAAUUUCAAAAACCUUGCAUAAUAGACUUUUUUUAUUUUUGGAUAGGGUCUUGCAUAAUAGACUUGUAUAGAUGCUAAGUUUUUAAUUGAAUCAAACAUAUAUUGGACAAAUUUUAUGCUUUUACAAUAUAAUUCUUUGUAACGAUUCUACUUUGUAUUUGUCUAAUAAUUUGAUGACAACUGUCAUUCCGACCUUAUCUAGAUACCUACAAUAAUGACUCAUCAACAACACUAUCUCUAACAAUUUGGAUAAUUUUUUUUCUCCUUUUCGACAUUCCAAUGACAUAAAACAAUGAAUGAAAUAAUAUGAUUUAAUGUCAAAUUCGAACAGUGUACAUUAAUACAUUUUUCCUUUUAAUCAUUCCAUUAGCAUAAAAUAUUAAACGACAUAAUAACAUUCAACAUUUAAUCAAACAUUGUAUAUUAAUUUUUUUUCCAUUUCAAAAUUGCAACAACAGAAAAUUAUAAAUGAAUUCUAAAUUAAACAAUGUACAAAAAUUUUUUGCACUUUUUGACAUUCCAACGACAUAAAACUAUAAAUGACAUAAUCUGAACAAUGUAUACAUGGGGGAUAGUAAGUUUCGUGUGGCCAUUGUGCAUUAUGAACUAUAUAUACACAGGGGAUCUUAGUUCUCAAAACGAUAAAGUUAGGUUAUUCAAGUCAAUAAAAGCCCAAACCCUAUGCAGUGUAGAUUGUGAAAUUAUUUGAACUUUUGCAAUUCUUGCAACUUUUAGAACAAUUGAGUUCUAGUUUAUUUGUCUUUAGAUCAAUAUGUGAGUUUUGUGUUCUAUUGCAAUUCUUGAUUUGACUACUUCUUGCAUAAUAGAAUUUUUAGAUACUUCAUGACUCACCGAAAACAUAUAUACUUGGACGAUCUUUAUAACACAAUAGAAAUAAAAGAGACAGAUAGGAGACAUACCUUGAAUUCUUGGCAAAUAACUCUAAUUCUUAUUUGCAAAUAACUGAUGAUAACCUCAUUUUUUGACUUGAUUUAUACAAUAGCUGUAAGUAUUAUGCCCUAGGUCCAAUCAACUUUGGACAUAAAUACUUUUAUAUGUAAUUAAUGCAAUUAAAUGGCAGAUCUAUUAUUUAAUUAAUAGACAAUUAAAUAAAUAAUAGAGUCCGUAGAUUCAAAUAUUUGUAAUUUGUUAAUCACAAUGAGUUGUGAUUGUAAGAUACAAAUUACAUCUGAUUGAAUCUUAAACAUCCGUGGUUGUAAGUAAUAACGAGAUACGGAUAUCGUUAUUACGGAUAGACCAUCACGUGUGGUAUUUCUUACUUAUGAAGUAAGUAGCUGAUCUCACAAGUCAAAGUGUGGUGACACUUAAAUGAACACGUGGAUGUUUUUGUUAUAAAACAAAACAUUGGAGACCCAUCGAGAGAUUCCACAUGGAUAACUAUCUGAGUGUCAGUGGUUAAUCUCUAACGUUCGAUAGUGGAAUUGGUCCUUUGACUUGAGGUCGUCAUAGUACCUUAUAUGAGGACAGUCAUACUUUGGCGAUGUUGGAUGUUACUCUGAAAAGGGCCGUUAAUACGAUAUCGUUCGGGUACGUCAAGAAUCGUAUGAAGGUUGUGAUUGAUCAAUAAAUGAUACGUCACUCUUAGAUAGUAGGAGAUUAUGAUCUGCGUUUCAUUCAAUUAAGUCGAUGAUGAAAUCCUUGGCCACGGUGUACUCAUAAGUCGAAAAGGAGUUUUCGACUUAUAUUGACUUAAUAGUGGAGUGAAAGAUAUGAUCGAUGAUUGAGAUUGACACAAUUCCAUAUCUCGUAAUUGAUCGGAUCAUAUUGACGAAGGGAUUAUAGUUUCACGGUAAACGAACGAAUUUGGUUUUGUCAUACCACGUGACAUUUUCUGUCACAUGUAUUGCCCUGACACAUUGCUAGAUGUCAAUCAGGGACGGUGAAUGUGAAUUGACGAUAAAUUAAAAGGGUGUUUUAAUUUAUCAAUUUUGAUUAGAUCAAAAUAAUAUUUCACGUCGUUAGGCAUUGUGGUCGGGAAUCUAAUGGGUCACAUACAAAAGAGAAUUGGAAGAUUGCAAAUUGUCAAUUGGUUAAUUUAACAAUCGUUGGAUAAAUUAAUUAAUUGGAUUUGUUAUUUAUAUUUUCGAAUUAAUUAAUUGGAUUAAUUAAUUCACGGACCGGAUUUAAUUAAUUGGAUUAAUUAAUUAUUGGACCGGACCGGGCCGAGCCUGUUUGGGUUUAUAUAAAUUCAUAACUAGGGUUUGAGGUCCAUAUGAUUUUCAUUAUUCUUGCUGACACAAGAGAAAAUCCUAGAAGCUGCAAUCUUAUUCUCUGUGUGGAUCACCGUUGGAGGCUAGACAAUUGGACAGCUGUGGUGGCGAAUCAAGGUUGAUGGAAUGAAAAGAAAAGCAAAAAGAUUGCAGAUCUGAAAAGGUACAAUCUUAUCACAAUUUCUAUCUAAACACAAAGGCGAUUCUUGGUGGGAAUCGAAAAUUAUUUUAAAUUCCGCUGUGCAUGUAUAAGUCGAUUCCCAACAUUGGUAUGAGAGCCGGGUUGUGUUUGUUAGAAAUUGAUUUGCAUAUCAUUGAAAUCAAAAGUUCAUUAUUCAUGUUUUAUUGUUUCUAGCAAUUGAAGAUUUAUUUUUGUGUUCAAAAUUGUUUAGAAUAAAUUAAAAAAAAAAACCUGAAAAUUGGCAACUGUUGCCGGCGGGAAGAAGAGCGGCGAUUGUCACCGCUCGUGGAAGAAGCAGCGGCGAUAGUCGUCUCUGUGCGUCGCAGCGACGAUGGUCGCCACUGCUGGGAGCGGCAGCAGGCGCCGCUGCACCAGGCAACAGCCCCUGCUGCCUACACAGCAGCGCGAAAACGCUGUUGUGUGAGCAGCGUUUUCACGCUGCUGUAGCGGCAGGAGCCGCCUGAGCGGGGCAUUAAGUGCCGGCCGGCGCCAACAACAAAUAACUAAAAGAAAAUAAAAAAUAAAAAAUUUUGUUUAGGGUUUUUCAGAAAUCGGGUGGAGGCGGGGGUUCCUCUGCAAUUAAAGUAAUUGUAGGACCCUGUCUGCAAUUAAAGGGUCAAGUUGUAAUUUUAAAAGGAAGGGCAUGUCUGCAAUUUGAGAAAUUGGAGGUCCUUCUCUGCAAUUUAGUAGUAAGGGUCAGUUUUGCAAUUUCUGAACUAGGACCUAUUCUGAAAUUUUCGAAAUAUGAAGGGCCUGCAUGAAAUUUGCGAAAUUGAGAGGUCUUGAGUUUAAUUUGAAAAUGGGCCAAAAUGUAAAUUUCAAAAGGGGAUUUGAAUUUAGAUUUUAAAAUGGUUUUAAAUUUUAUUUUAUAUGGGUUUUGACCUAUUUUCACUAGACUUCUAAUUUUGACCCAAAUUAAAAUCUUAUUUAAAAUUGACGACAUUAUAUUUUCGUAAAAUUGGAUUUUGACUUAAACAUUAAACUUUGAUCCAAUUGAAUUUUUAUUUUAUUUAGGAGUGUUAUCCUAUAUUAAAAUAUUAAUUCAAUUUAAAUUAAAGUUUAACUUUAAUUUAUACUUAAUUAAAAUUUGAUUUUAAUUGGUUAUUCACCCGAAUAUAUUCUUGAAAUUAGAAUUGGAUUCUAAUUUGAUAUUUAAUUAAAAUUUGAUUUUAAUUAAAUUGUUUCGCCCUAAACUUUUCUUUAAAUUAGGGUUAAACUCUAAUUUAAUGUUUAAUUAAAAUUUGAUUUGGAUUAAACAUGUUCGCCCUAAAAUCUUAGAUUUAGAGUUUAGACUCUAGUUUUACCAUUUAAUUGAAAUUUGAUUUUAAUUAAAUUCAUUCGCCCUUAAAUAUUGGAAUUAGAGUUAGACUCUAGUUUUGUCAUUUAAUUAAAAUUUGAUUUUAAUUAAAUUCAACCGCCUUACAUUUUGAAAUUAGAGUUUGACUCUAAUUUGAUAUUUAAUUAAAAUUUGAUUUUAAUUAAAUAAUCCCGCCAUAUAAUUGUUGAAUUAGAGUUGGACUCUAAUUUGUUAUUUAAUUAAAAUUUGAUUUUAAUUAAAUAUUCCCGCUAAUUAAAUAAUCGAUUAAUAUGAUUAAUUAAUUAUUUAAUUAUUCCGAUCCAUUUGUCUAAAAAGAGUUUAGACAACUUAAUUGCCAGAAACUUAAAACUUAUUUGCAUAUAAUAUUAGAUAUUAUGUAGGUAUACAUUUAUGUGAUGAAUGUAUUAUUAGUGGACGAUUAUGGACUCGAUCAUAUGGAUGUGUUGAAUGGUUAAUUUUUAAUUUUGUCAUUUUAUGGGCCUGCGAACUCUUAAUUGUUUUGGGCCUGCGAGCCCGUUAUUAUUGUUAUUAUUUUGGACCUGCAAGUCCAUUAUUAUUAUUGUAACUAUGGGCCUACGAGUCCAAUUUCAUUUAGGCCUGUGUGCCAACUAGUAUAGGAUACAUGUUGGAAUUGGACUAAUUGAAGAGACAAGAAGAGGUGGAGACCAUGGAGAUGGUGCAUUGACACUGUUCAAUGCUAUAUCCCCUACGAAUUGACCAACUAGUCUUCCUUAUGGCUCGGGAAGACUAGAUAAUAAAAGUCCAUUAUCGUCCACACUAUUAUAUUAUGUUAUAUAUAUAUUUAUUUGCAUAAUUGAUGUAUAAUAAUAAUAUAUAUAUAUAUGAUUGUAUUGUUGUUGAUGAGACUCAUGAAUGCAAAAUCCCUCCAUAAAAUAUUAAGUUACAUUUGUAAUCGCCUUCCAUCAUUGUAGUGAAAAAUCGGAGUCCCAAAUCGUCUCAGCUUGUUGAGUACACUUAAGGUUGGUCCAUUAGGGAUAUGCUUGACAUUAUGAAAUAUUUGAUAUUUCUGAAUGAUGGGUUUGACUUAACUAAAAUUUAUCUUUUGUUGAGUACACUCAAGGAGAUAAAUUUUAGAGGCAUGUUAAGCUAACACAUAAGAUGUGUGAAAACAAAGAAUUGUCAGCUUAAUGAUCUGAGAGUUGUAUGGAGAUACAAUUGAUAACAGUAUCUACCCAAAUAUUAUAUUAGGGCUUGUUGAGUACACUCAAGGUCUUAAUAUAAUAGAUGGGAUCCCAACCCACUGGGAGUCAAGCAUGGACACCAUAAAUUUAUGUGAGAGGGUCAUAAAUUUUAUUUAAACAGUGGGAGUAUAAUUAAUUUAAUAAAAGUCCAUGUUAAAUUAAUUAAUGCAUUUUAUAUAUUUUAUUCUUUUCCUUUUCGUCAUUUACAUUUAUAUUGAAUCUGAGUAACCAUAUGUUUUGAAUGGCAUACUAGAUGCCAACAACCAAACUAUAUUUUCUUAAUUGACACUACAAUUUGAAAAUUGUUCUUAUGCAUGAGAAAAUUGGUCACGUCCUUGAGUAGCCAUUUCCAGAGACACCUGCUGAUGACUCGAUUAAAGAAGAGAUGGCUACUAUAGUAAACGCAGUAAUGAUAAUAGUACUGCAACAUAUGUGAUACUUGCAACUAUGUCACUGAGUUACAAAAGCAACUUGAGAGUAUAGAUGUUAACACAUAAUUCUUCAUUACAAAGAGUUGUAUGAUAAUAAUCAUGUGUGGAAGGAUAUGAGACUUCCAAACAACUAUACAGGUGCAAAAUGACAAAGUAAUCUUCAAUCGAUGUUUAGAUACUGAAGAUGAUUGACGUUGAGAAAUGUCUCAACUGUAUUCAAUCAUAAACCAUGAACUAAGUAGUGACUUGGUCCUGUAAUCUCUGUCAGCUAAAGCUAUUCACAACUAAUUAUGAAUUUAACGUGAAUAAGCUCGAAUGCAAAAAUAUUGAGUUGCUUAACAUGCUUAGGACUGUUAACCCCUUUAUCGAAGUUGGUAGUGGGCAAACCAUUGAUUUCUUUAAAGAUAUUAAGAGGAAGUUUAAAGGGGCUUUGUAAAAGCACCCAAUAUGGUUAAGACAGUAUAAGCGAAAGGACAAAUACCAAAUCUAAUGACCCUUGGUCUCAUUAUAGAAUGAAAGGUCAUUGGAAGGAAUAUUGUAUGACUUACGUCUACUUCACGAGUUUCUUAGGUAUAUGAUACCAGGUGUAAAUAUCGUAUUUAUACAAAUAUGGAGAAACUAAAAAAAAGUAGACCACUGCGAAAGGGAGAAGUUGACAUACACGUUGGAGAUGAGCAAAGGUUGCAACAUUACCUGUAUGAAUAUACUUCUUACCAUUGCCUUUUGGUUUAGUAUUGAAAUUAGAUAAAUGUCGUUUUAUGCCAACUAUGGCUGGAACAUUAAAAUGAAUUUCAUGUUCGGGCAUGAACUAUUUUAAUAUUAAGGACAAUUGUUGUUCUUGUUUAUCUAGUUAAAGAUCCUAAUGGUUAUGGUAAAUUAUAAAACGACAUUUAUAUUCUUUAAUAACUAAAGAUUCUAUAAUAAGUAUAGAAAUUAUAAGGCAUAAAUACUAUAAUCUAAUUAUUACCAAAAUCUGGCAUGACAGACUUUGUCAUUUAGAUGAAAUAUAAUUCCAAAGUUACAUAAAGAUGUAUACUUGAGAUUAAUUCAUUUUGACAAGUACAAAUUAUGCAUGUCUGGCACAAUAACCAAAUCUUCUUUUGCUUGAAAAGAAGAAAGGUCAGCAUAAUUACUGGUCUAAUGCAUAGUGAUGCAUAUGGAUUCAUAUCAAUCAAUGUUAGGUAAUGUUUCUCUUAUUUCAUAAAUGAUCAAGUAUACUUGAUGAAAACUCAAACAUGAAACUCUUGAAAAGUUCAAGGGAUUCACACUAGAAUUAGAGAAACAAAGAGGUAAAGAUACCUUCACAUUAAAAUUCGAUCAAGUGAGGGUAUCUUAAAGAUAAAAUUUAGAUUAUCUAAGAGAGAAUGAGAUUCUCGUGCAGUGGACUCCUUCAUAUGCACUACAGUAAGGUGGUGAAUCUAAAAGGAGAAAUCGUUAAUUAUUACAUAUAAUGCGAUUAAUAACAAGCCAUGCAAAUUUGUCAAAAUUGUUUUGAGGUCACGCAUUAAUUGCAGUGUGCAACACACUAAACCAUGUCCUAUCUAAAUUGGUUAACAGAACUCCAUACUAGUUAUGGAAAGACAAUAGUCCCAAUUUAUCUUAUAUGAAAGAUUGGGGCCAUGACGCUUAUUUGAAGCGCCUUAAAUCGGAUAAGUUUGAGACUAAAUUCGAUAAAUACAUAUUUGUGAGAUAUUCAAAGGAGACAAUUGAAUAUAAAUUCUAUUAUCAUGAAGAAAGUCUUCGUCACAUAUCGUCUUCUUAGAGAAAAUGUUUACUCUAGGAGAGGACAGUGGGAGUAAAAUAGAAUUUUGAAAGAGUUCAAAAGUCCACAAAUAUAGUUAACCAAGUAGAUAAAUCUGAGUUUGAUCCCAUAUCUGAUAUGGGACAUACCUUGAAUCAGGAAGUAAAGACUCCUGAGGACAUGACAGCUCUAUGUGAAUCUAGUAGGCUCAUUCGACCUUCAAGAAGGUGCGAAUCCAUGAUCAUUAAUCAGUGAUCCAGGAUAAUGAACCUGCUAGUUGCAACAAAAUAAAGUUAAGUGUUGACUUAAAAGAGACAGUAAGAGGCCAUGAAACUCGAGAUGAAACUCGACGCAAGUGAACAAGGUUUGGACCUUGGUCAAGCCUCCUAAUGGAAUAAAGCCCAUAAGCUUUUGUAAAUAGUUUACAAAAGAAAAGGUCGAUAUGGAUAUGAAUAUCCAUAUAUACAAAGCAAUGCUAGAAGCAAAGGUUAAAUGUUGACCUUGGUGAAAUACUUCUCCUGUAUCCUUGCUUAAGUCCAUUCGGGUUUUGCUUGCAGCAGUUGCAUAUCGUGACUAUAGGUUAAGAGAAGUCUCUUGGAGCUGAAAUCUUAGAUUUGAUGAAAAGUCAAAGUGUUUGAUUUUAUCAAAUUUGAAAACGAAUUGUGUGUUUACAAGAAGAUAGUGGGAGCAUUUUUCGUAUUCCUAAAACGACAUCCCUAUGUUUCAAUCGUUGAAAUAAUGGUUGUUAAAGGAUUUAUUUAUAAACGAUAUGGGAUAAGCAACUUGAUCUAUAGAGGUAGAUCUAGAAGAUUGUUUAAAUCAUCCCAAUUUAUAUAGAUGAAAUCUUGAGAAGAUUUCAUAUGGAGAAACUGGUUUACUCUUAAGUGGUAUGUUGGAAAGGUUCCAAACGUGAAGCAAACGUUGAUUCAAUAGUAGAAACCUAAUACAUGGAUACUUCAGAAGUAGCAAAGAGUUGCAAUAUGGAUCAUGAUGUUCAUAAAUGAACUUGGAGUGGUUGUGAUAACAAUAGAGCCAUUGCGAAAGCAAAGGAACUAAGGUCUCAUCAAUGAUCCAAACAUGUAUUAAGGCGAUAUAAUCUCAUCAAAGAGAUAAUACAUAGAAAUGACGUAAAGAGAAGAGCAAAUUUUCACAUUUAAUAAUAUUGCAAAUCCACUGACAAAGAGUUGUCGUAGUAUAAACAUAAUCAUCAUGUAGACUUAUGAUAUUUGAUACAUAAGUGAUUGGAUAUAGUGCAAGUGGGAGUUUGUAAGUAUUAUGCCCUAGGACCAAUCAACUUUGGACAUAAAUACUUUUAUAUGUAAUUAAUGCAAUUAAAUGACGGAUCUAUUAUUUAAUUAAUAGACAAUUAAAUAAAUAAUAGAGUCCGUAGAUUUGAAUAUUUGUAAUUUGUUAAUCACAAUGAGUUGUGAUUGUAAGAUACAAAUUACAUCUGAUUGAAUCUUAAAUCAUCCGUGGUCGUAAGUAAUAACGAGAUACGGAUAUUGCUAUUACGGAUAGACCAUCACGUGUGGCAUUUCUUACUUAUGAAGUAAGUAGCUGAUCUCACAAGUUAAAGUAUGGUGACAAUUAAAUGAACACGUGGAUGUUUUUGUUAUAGAACAAAACAUUGGAGACCCGUCGAGAGAUUCCACAUGGAUAACUAUCUGGGUGUCAGUGGUUAAUCUCUAACGUUCGAUGGAGGAAUUGGUCCUUUGACUUGAGGUCGUCAUAGUACCUUAUAUGAGGACAGUCAUACUUUGGCGGUGUUGGAUGUUGCUCUGAAAAGGGCCGCUAAUACGAUAUCGUUCGGGUAUGUCAAGAAUCGUAUGAAGGUUGUGAUUGAUCAAUAAAGGAUUCAUCACUCUUAGAUAAUAGGAGAUUAUGAUCUGCGUUUCAUUCAAUUAAGUCGAUGAUGAAAUCCUUGACCAAGGUGUACUCAUAAGUCGAAAAGGAGUUUUCGACUUAUAUUGACUUAAUAGUGGAGUGAAAGAUAUGAUCGAUGAUUGAGAUUGACACAAUUUCAUAUCUUAUAAUUGAUCGGAUCAUAUUGACGAAGGGAUUAUAGUUUCACGAUAAACGAAUGAAUUUGGUUUUGUCAUACCACGUGACAUUUCCCGUCACAUGUAUUGCCCUGACACAUUGCUAGAUGUCAAUCAGGGACAGCGAAUGUGAAUUGACGAUAAAUUAAAAAGGUGUUUUACUUUAUCAAUUUUGAUUAGAUCAAAAUAAUAUUUCACGUCGUUAGGCAUCGUGGUCGAGAACCUAAUGAGUCACAUACAAAAGAGAAUUGGAAGAUUGCAAAUUGUCAAUUGGUUAAUUUAACAAUCGUUGGAUAAAUUAAUUAAUUGGAUUUGUUAUUUAUAUUUUCGAAUUAAUUAAUUGGAUUAAUUAAUUCACGGACCGGGUUUAAUUAAUUGGAUUAAUUAAUUAUUGGACCGAACCGAGCCAAGCCUGUUUGGGUUUAUAUAAAUACAUAACUAGGGUUUGAGGUUCAUAUGGUUUUCAUUAUUCUUGCUGGCACAAGAGAAAACCCUAGAAGCUGCAAUCUUAUUCUCUGUGUGGAUCAUCGUUGGAGGCUGGACAAUUGGACAGCUAUGGUGGCGAAUCAAGGUUGAUGGAAUGAAAAGAAAAGCAAAAAGAUUGCAGAUCUAAAAAGGUACAAUCUUAUCACAAUUUCUAUCUAAACACAAAGGCGAUUCUUGAUAGGAAUCGAAAAUUAUUUUAAAUUCCGCUGUGCAUGUAUAAGUCGAUUCCCAACAAUAGCAAUAUCCACGAUAACGAUAUGUCAAUGAGAAUGAAAUUAAUGAAAUGCUACUCUUCUUUUUUGGUAAGUAUAUUGACCAUCUAUCCAAAAUUCAGUAAUUCAUAGGAACCGCAGUAAUUGAUUUUUUGUUUACAAUGUUGGAUUGGUACAACACUUUAAACUGAAUAAUAAGAUUAAUUAGAUUCUCGUAACAAUAGAAUAUAAUUCUUAUAUAAAGCACGUUGGAGAACUUAUUUUUAUAGUAUGAGCAUCAUGAUAUAUUGUGCAAUCGUGUUUUCUUUGAACUGUGAAUUGAUGCUCAUUGUGACCUAUAGAACAGCACACAUUUGUGAUGGUGAAAUGUUUGAAGUAAAGGUGUUUUGGAUUUCUCUUUAGAUAACAAUUCCUCCACAAAGCAAUACUCGUUUUUUAUCACUCAGUGAUCCAAACUUUACUCCUUUAAUCAUUACGUGCAAUAUUUGAGUGACAAAUAAGAUACAUGUUGAAAGUAUUUGCCUGGUUGAUACUUUUUUGUAUCUCCAUCUUUCAAUUUAUUAUACCAAAAUAAUAGACAAGCAUGGUGUAAUUCUGUGAAACUCCACUUCGAUUGUGGUAAUUUGCAUGUAAAAGUUAAUCUAAACCCCACCUCUAUGUAGAAAAAAUUGUACUUCUGCAAUAAAAUUUGGGUUCAUUGAAUUUUCUAUUUGUCUGUUGCCGCUACUGGAACAAUUCAGUUCUUCUAGUCUUGGACUUCAUAACCCAUAAGAUCAAUGUGAGUAACAUUUGUGCUCGCACGACUACAUGCUGAUUUUAUGUCCUUUAGUUUGACGAAUUCAUUCAUCCACAAUUUCGAAUGAAGCAUAUUAAUUGAGUUUUCAUUUACAAUGUUACAACAGUAUAACACAAGAAAUUAAAUCAGGUAUAUCUUGCAACCUUCUUUCCAACAGAGAAUUGACGCUGUCUAAGAAAUUUAGGACAGCAUACAAAUUCAUCACGAAGAACGAUUUGACAAUAGGUCUAGGUCGAAGAACCUCCAAAUUUUUCUAUGUAGCGACCAAAAUAAAAUUUCGCUUAUUUUAUUUUGGCAAGUUUUGUUAAUUUUGAGAUAUUGAGGGACUAAUUUUAAAAUAAGUUAUUGCUGUCAAUAUUUUUUUGGGUCAGUUAAUCAAGUACUAAUUAAGCGAGAAUUUCCCUAUUAAUAUUUGGCCUCAAAAAAAGAUAUUUCAGAUGAGUUAGGCCCAUGAAGAUAAAUCGCAUAUUUAAUAAAAGCAAACUAAGCAUUUAACAUAUUUUUGGCAGCUAAGUGUGAUAAAUGGAAUUUGAUAUUUUUUCGAUUAGGAUGAAAGCUAUUUGAGAUUUGAUUUAACUGAUUUCCAUUUGAAUUCUUUGUAAUCCUAUUAACCAAUUGAUCAUUUUUGCAGCCAAUUUUCUUGUUAGUUGGAAUGUUUGACUAGGAAAAACCAUCUGUUUAAUAUUAUCAAAUCUCUAUAUGUUACACUGUUCAGGACUCUAAUUACACAUUAAUCCAAAGAGAUACCAGGUUAUAGGUUAUUUUAUACACAUGUAUCACAUGAUACACAUAGAAUACAAAUGCAUGCACACACAGCAGACACACAAGCGCAGAAAGCAUUUUUACGUUUAAAAUUUGUAGAGGAAUCCGGUGCAACGUAAUCACUACCAUAUCAUCACAAACUAAGUUGGGCUCCCUACACUAAGUUGAUCAUUAUAUGAUUUUAAUUUUUAUUUGUUAAUGUUCGUUAAUUCAUUAUGUUGCUCAUGAAGUAUUUGAAGCACCUUUAAUUGUUCUUCUUAAAUGUUAAUGUAACGAAAAUUAUAUGUUUAACUAGUGGUCACAGAAGUUUAUCGGAACUUUAAGUAAAUUGUUGGAUCAUCGAUUUACUUAUUUAUGAAGGCAAUAUGAGAAAAUAUAUGAUUAGAUGCAUGAUUAUUAAGUUUGUAUAGCAUAUGUAGCCUACUGAGUAUUUCUUUGAAAUGCUACUUCCAAUCUAACAUUUUUAGAGUAAUCGGAGAUCAUGAGGUGGCUCAGCAUGGAUGACAUGUUUUAUUUUUGAGGAAUCGAUUCCUUUAUGUCCAGUUUUAAAGUACUGCUUUUUUAGGUCAAGAUCCCUUAGUGUACGUGUUCAAAGAUUUAUACUUCUAAGUUUAUAUUUUAAAAUGGUUAAUUUUAACAUUUAAACAUACAUUUCAUGAUUUUCAGCAUUAUGCCAUUAUUUUUAAAAUUUACUACCGUCAAUAUAUUUAAAAUUUUAACAUGAUUUUAAUAGAAACAACCCUUUAUGAGUUAUCUAUCAUAUAGAACUGAAAACAUGUCAAUAGGAGUCCCGUUGAAUUUUGUCAUAGCAUUUUUAGUAAACUGUGAUGGGUCAGAUUUGGGAAUGCGGUCUAGCCUGUUUGAUUAAACCCAUGGCUUCGUCAUGACGUAUGGUGGAUUUUGGCCAUUUGUCAAACAAUGAGCACUUGCAUAUUUGGAACGUUUGGAUUGUCGGUGUUCGAAGAAUUGAGCAUAACUUUUGCAAACUGUAUCCGUUUUGGGCCCGUAAGUACAUUUCAAAAAUGUAUCGACCAUUCUGGAUUGAUUUGAUGGCUUUGUCAUGACGUAUGAGGGAUUUUGGCCGUUUAUCGAAGAACAAGCACUUGCAUAUUUGGAUUGUUGGCGUUAGAAGAAUUGAGCGUAACUUUUGCACACGGUGUCCGUUUUAGGCCAUAAGUACUUUUUGGAAAUAUAGUGACCGUUAUUGAUUGAACUCAUGGCUUCAUCGUGACGUAUGAGGGAUUUCGCCCAUUUUUGACGAAUGAGCACUUGCAUAUUUAGAUUGUCGGCGUUCGAAGAAUUGAGUGUAACUUUUGUAGACGGUGACCCUUUUUGGCCCAUAAGUACUUUUCGAAAAUGUAGCGACCGUUUUGGAUUAAACUCAUGGUUUCAUCGUGACGUAUGAGGAAUUUUGGCCAUUUUUUUAGGAAUGGGCACAUGCAUGUUUGGAUUGUCUGCGUUCGAAGAAUUGAGCAUAACUUUUGCACAUGGUAUCCGUUUUGGGCCCAUAAGUACUUUUCGGAAAUGUCGCAACCGUUUGGGAUUGAACUCACGACUUCGUUGUGACGUAAUUGGGAUUUUGUCCAUUCUUCGAAGAAUGAGCACUUGCAUAUUUGGAUUGUCGGCGUUCGAAGAAUUGAGCGUAACGUUUGCACAUGGGGUCCGUUUUGGGCCCAUGAGUACUUUUUGAAAAUGUAGCAACCGUUUUGGAUUGUACUCACAGCUUCAUCAUGACGUAUGAGGAAUUUUGGCCUUUUUUCGAGAAACGAGCACUUGCGUAUUUGGAUUGUUAGCGUUCGAAAAAUUGAGCGUAACUUUUGCACACGAUGUCCGUUUUGGGCCAAUAAGUACUUUUUGAAAAUGUAGUGACCGUUUUGGAAUGUACUCACGGCUUCAUCGUGACAUAUGAGGAAUUUUGGCCAAUUUUUGAGGAAUGGGCACUUGCAUAUUUGGAUCGUCGGCGUUCGAAGAAUUGAGCGUAACUUUUGCACACGGUGUCCGUUUUGGGACCAUAAGUACUUUUCGAAAAUGUAUCGACCAUUUUUUAUUAAACCCAUGGCUUUGUCGUCGAGAUCCCAAAUUUUGAUAUGAUGCACUUAUUUGAGUUUUACUCUCUAAUAAAUCUACAUAAAUUUUGGUCGAGAUUUGCUAGGUCAAAUAAUCUUUGUACCUUACUAUGCAAUCGGAGCAAAACUGUUUUACCUUGCUGAAAUUUCCUAAAACUCAUUGCAAAUCAUGUUUUUUUUCUGAGUCCAUAAUAUAAAAAUUGUUAAUAGUCAUAGUAGGUAGAUUUAUUUUGAAGAAGACUAUUUAUUUGACUUUACCCCAUUUUUUCCCAAAAUUUAUUAAUUAAUCCAAACUUAAAACACUUUUCUUAAUAACGCAUUUUUAACAGUUAACAUUAAAGAACUCAUAUUUGGUAACGCAUCGAGUUACAAGAAUUUGGCGGCAUUACAUUCUAGGCCAAGCAUCAUGGUAUAUCAUGCAAUCCUCCUUACUUUGAAGAGUGAACUGAUGCUCUUUAUGACAUCUUGAACAGCGUGCAAAUUCAGGACGAUGAAUUUUUUUGAUGUAAAGGUCUUGGAAAAGUAUCUUUAGCAUCAAUUCCUCAACAUAGCAAUACACUUUUCCCAUCGGAAUUAGUGGCCAAAAUUUUAUACCUGUACUCGUUACUGCGAUAUUUUAGUGAUGGUGGUCUACACUUAAUAUCCCCAUCUUCCCACUGAUUAAACCCUAACUUUAGGCAGGAAAAAUUAAACUUUUGCAAUAAACUUUAAGCUCAGAUUACUAUUGAUCUAUUGCUACUACUAGAACGAUUGAGUUAAUAACCAUUCAUUUUUGGACUCAAUUUAUACCACUGGAAUAUCAAGAACACUGACAUGUGCAUGAGAAAACAGUUACUUUGAAAUGCCACCUCUCCUUUUUGGUAUUUAUAAUCACCAUUCAUCCAAAAUUCACUAAUUCAAAGGAAGCACAUUAAUUGAUUUUUCAUUUAUGAUGUUCCAACAGUAUAGUAAAAUAAAUGAAUUAAGUUAUAUCUUGCUAACUUCCUUACUUCAAAGAGUGAAUUGAUUCUGUAUUACACAUCCGGAACAGCGUACAAUUUUAUCAUGAAGACCGAUUUGACAUAAAGAUUUUGGAAAGAUAUGUUUAGCAAACAAGUAAUCCUCAAAGAAACUCAUUUCUGUAACUAUUAGUGAUCAAAACUUGUUUCUUCCUAUUGUUACGUGUGAUGAUUUUUCAAGAAUCAUUUACAAACUGAACUAGGGACAGGUUCAAGGUCAAAUUGAUGUCGUAGUAAACGAUAGAAUUAUUUGUUCUUAUGUAAAUAUCUCUAAUCAAUAAAGAAUCGAGGACACAUACUAGAAAAACAUAAAUUCUUGAUUUGGGGGUUGUUUUCGGUAAUCAUAACAUUCUUCAUUUGUAAAAUACCUACAACAAUAAAAACAAUUCUAAGUUUAAAUAAAAAUAUUUAUUAUAUGAUAUUAACUUUAUCAAUUAAAUUGUUUAUCUAGAAAGUGUAUAAUUCAUUGUUAUUUGAGAAUCUAGAAAAAAAUAGUCCUUAAUGUGUUCGAAUUAGCAAGGUAGAAAAAACCCAGGAGAUAUAAAACUUUGAAACCCGACUCAAUGGUAUUAUAACAAUUCACCCAUUUAAUGCAGGCCUAUAAAAUUAAAAUAAGCACGUUAAUUUGAAUUUGGAGAGAACCUUUACGGCUGUUUUGGAAGCAUUUGCAUUCAAUCCCAAGUUUUCCAUCAGCUAAAACUCUAGGUUUCCAAGUGCAUCGACGUGGUAACUGUGCAACCAUAUUCUCUUUUGUGAAACAAUAAAUGAAAACUAGCCAACUCCUUAUGAGUGAACCUACCUGAAACCGUUUGCUUUCAACUCCAAUAAUUUUCCUACGUCAUAAAAAUACUUUUAUUUGUCUUUGUCUACGUAGAAGAUUUUAAAAUUUUUAAUAAAAAAAAUAGUUUUCUUCAAAAAGAUAUCAUUGAGUUCCAACUCAUUUUACACAACUCGCAUAUAAUAAUUGUUUAGACACUAGAUUUUAUUGAAACAGAAAUAUAUUUGACUAAACAUAUGCUUUUACAGUGUAAAUAAAAGAGACGCACUUAAAAAAUAUUUUGAAUUCUUUGCAACAAUUCUACUUCAUGUUUGUCUAAUAAUUUGAUGACAACCAUUAUUACUCUGAACCUAUUUAUAUACCUACAAUGCCGAGCAGUUAACUCUCAUGUUUUGGAAUGUACAUCGCCACUCAUUGACAAUAGUAACUCAAACAAUUUGUUUAGAUUUUUCUCAUUUUCGACAUUUCAAUGACAUAAAUCAAUAAAUGUAUAACAAGAUUCAACACAAAUUCAAGCACUGCACAUUUAUUUAUUUUUCCUUUUUUGCAUUCCAAUGGCACAAAAGAAUAAAUGAAAUAAUAUUAUCCAGCACUAAUUCUUAUAUUUCUAUUAAUUUAUAUUUCCAUAUCAAAAUUGCAACAUCAUAAUAUUAUAAAUGAAUAACACGUUCAGCUCUUCAAACAAUGUAUAUUAAUUUUUUUCGUCUUCUACAUUCCAACAGCAUAAAAGUAUAAAUGAACUAAUGACGCCACACUGCAUCCUGAACUAUGUAUGCAUGGGGAUCAUCAUUUUCAUUAUACCGUGGGCAUGUGAAUUCUGCACUAUUGAAACAUGGGGGACCAUAAUUUUCGAAAUGAUAAGUCAAUAUAAACCCCAACUUUAUGUAGAGUAGUUUUAACAAAAGAUUGAUCUUUUAUAAUAAAAUUUGGUUAUGAGUUUUUAUUGAGUUCUUCCUACUGCUAGAAUGAUUAAGUCCUAGUGUAUGGCUUUCUUCUCCCUUUAGAUCAAUGUGUGUGUGAUGAGUGUACACACGAGUAUAUGCACAAUCACGUGUCCUAUGGCCAUUUGAUUUGAUAGCUUCUUGCAUAAUAGAAUUUUAGAUACUUCAUUAUUUACUGAAAAAUAUAUACUUAAGUGAUCUUGGUAUCACAUGAGAAAUAAAAGAGAUAAAUAGGAGGCAGACGUAGAAUUCUUUGUUGCCAAUAUUUAAUGAUAACCUCUCAAUUUUGGACCCUAUUUAUACAACUGCAAUAUCAAUAAUAAUGAGUUGCCUACAAGAACGAUGUUAAUAUGAAAUUCUACCUCUCCUUUUUCAGUAUGUUCAUUCAUCACCAAUCCAAAAUUCACUCAUUCAAAGGAAGCACAAUAAUUGAUUUUUUGUUUAUAAUAUUCGAAUGGUUCAAAAGAAUAGGGUGCAAAUUCAUGACUUGUUUGAUGUAAAGGUCAUGGAAAAGUAUAUUUAACAACAAUUUCUCAACACAACAACACUCUUGUCCCAUCUCAAUUAGUGACCGAAACUUUAUUUCAGUAUUAGUUAGUACGAUAUUUGGGUUGCACAAAAGUGCGUGCAGAAAGUAUUUGGUGCUCUAGCCAUCUGUCUACUUCUUGUUUAGAGUAAUUUACAUGUAAAAAACAAUCUAAACCCCAACUCUAGGUAGGAAACAUUGAACUUUUGCAAUAAAAUUUGUGUUUGUAAUUGUUUUUUCAUUUACAACAUUGCAACGGUAUAAAACAAUAAACCAACCUUCCUUUCUUUGAAGAGUGAAUUGAUGCUCUGUAAGACAAUUAGAACAUCAUUCAAAUUCAUCACAAAGAAAGAUUUGUUGUAAAGGUCUUUAAAAGUUAUGUUUAGAAAACACUCAAAGAAACUCAUUCCAAAUCAAUAUUAGUGACCUAAACUUGAGUUUUCCAAUUGUUACGUGUGACGAUUUUUCUAGCAUAAUCUGCAAACUGAACUAGGGGUUGGUUCACUGCCAAAAUGAUGUCGUAGUCUAAGAUAGAAUUCUUAGUUCGUGUGAAAAUAUCUCUAACAAUAAAGAAACAAGGACAUUUGCUAGAAUAAACAUAAAUCUCGAUUUGGUGGAGGUUUUGGGUAAUCAUAACAUCCUUCAAUCAUAAACUACCUACAAUAAUAAAAACAAUUCUUAUAAGUUAAAGAAAAAGAAAUUACGAUAUGAUAUUAACUCCAUCGAUUAAAUUGUUCAUCUUGUACACUUGUAAUUAAUUGUGAUUUGAGAAUCAAAAUAGUCCUUGGCUGCAAAUUAUCGACAAGAAAGCCUAGGAGAUAUAAACAUAUAAAACCCAACUCGGUGGUGUUAUAACAAUCGCACAUUUAAUGCACGCCUAUAAAAACAAGAUAAGCAUGUUAAUUUGAACUUAGAGAAAACCUUUAGAACUAUUUUCGAAGCAUUUGCAACCAAUUAAAGUUUUCCUUCAACUGAAUCUCUUGGUUUCCAAAUCAUUGCCCUGGUAAUGGUGCAGUCACAUUCUAUCUCUAUGUAUUCAGUGCCCUGGUAACAUUGCAUUGAGACAUGCAUGGAGGUGCUGAUAAUAUAUGUUGUUCAUUGUCCGUGAACAUACCCGCAACCUUUUGCUAUCAACUCUGAUCACUUUCUUAUGUAGUAAAAAUGGAUUUAUUUGAGUUUGUAGAAGAUUUUAAAUGUUUAAAGAAAAUAGAUCUAUUCACAGAGAUUGAAUUUGGCUACACAUUCCUUGGGCGGCGCACUUGGAAAACUUUUAAGCUGAUGGAAAAAUUAUGAUUGACUGCAAAUGCUUCCGAAAUAGUUCCAAAGGUUCUCUAUUUAUUGGACAUUCUGACAUCCGUGCAUUAAAUAUGCGAAAUGAUAUAAUACAACUGAGUUGGGGGUUCCACAGUUUCACAUCUCCAGGUUUUUCCAUCUUUGCUAUUUUGUAUACUGCUAAGGGCUAUGAUUUAUUGACCCACAAAUCACAUUUACGUUUCACAUCUUGUGUGCCUCCCCAAUAUCUCACAUAAUGAUUAGAAGAGUCAAGUUUCGGUCACUAAUAGUGAUGGGGAAAAAUGCAUUAUUUUUCGAGAACUUGUUUGCUAACCAUACCAUGAAGACCUUUACGUCAAAGAACUAAUGAUAAUUAAUUUGCAAGCCAUCCUAGAUGUUGAAAAUUUCAUCAAUUCACUCUACAAAGCAAGGAAGAUUGCGAGAUAUAUCAUGAUGCUUGUCUUGAGAAAAUAGGAAGUUCCCUAACAUACAUAAUAUAAGAAUUAUCUCCUAUUAUUGUUGAAUCAUAUUAUUUUCGUAUGUAGUUUUACUUCGUUGGAACGUUGAGAAUAAGAAAAAUUAAUGUAAAUUGUUCGAGUCAGUGUUGUCGACAGUUGAUAUCCAUUCGAAAUACAAGAGUUGACUCCUUAAUAUUGUAGGUAUAUAAAUAGAAAAGUACAGAGUAGAAUCACUGCAAAGAAUUUUAAGUAAGUUUUAUGUGCAUCUCUUUUAUUUUAUGCUGUAAAAUCAUAUGAUUAGACAAAUAUAUAUAUUUUUUUAAUAAAAACUUGGUAUCUAAAUAAUUCUUUUAUGCAUGGUUUAUAAAAUUAAUUGGAACUUAAUACUUUCUAGUUGAAUAGAACUAUUUUGCUUAUUAAAAAUUUUAAAAAUUAAAUUCUACAUUUGGCAUUGAUGUCAAAAUGUAAUAGUCAACAGUUAUCCCCUUAUCAUACACAACUCUCUUGGAGUUGCCAGGAUUCUCAGUAUGUUCCUUGAGACACCACCUCAAUCACAAAAUCAAGUUUGUACACAAUAAGCACAAAAAUCAAAUUAUGUUUUUAAUUCAUAUAAUUUUUCCUAGUAAGUUGAUUUUGUUUUAGAAUAAUUGAAAAUUGACUAAGAUAUAUUUUGCUGAAAAGUAAUCAUAUAUUGCAUAUUAAAAUUGAGCAGUUGACAACAUUUUAUCAUAUGAUGCACGAUUAUACAUGUAGAUUCAUAAAAUUACAAUAACUGCUAAUUGAUCAUUAUGAUCCAAUAUGCCUGUCUCUAUACGUUUAUUGAUCAAGUUGAAACUCUCUCAAUAAACAAAUCAUAUUUGCAAAUAUCUAAAUAAGCCAAGCAUCAUUUUAUUAGUCUCCAAAACCACAAACAAGAGUCUUUAUAGGAGGUUCGUAGAUGACCUUGAUAUAAGUGCCAAAUCGUUGUCUUGAUCUCUAGGUACUUGAAAAUAAUUCCACCAUUUAUAGGAAAAUUGCCCUUAAAUUGUAGGAUGUAUAGUCCUUUUGUUUGUUUGUUUGUUUCUAUUUUUUUCCACCAUAGAAAAUACUUUUUUCUAUUUUCUCGUAUUUUGAGUCAAUUGCCCUUACAUUGUAGGAUGUACUUGAAAAGUAUAAUGAUACUUAUCUCGUAUAACUGAAAAAAUAUAUUUGUUUAUCUCCUAUAAUUAAACAAAUAUUUUUUUUUCUUUUGUCUCUCUUUUUCAAAAUUUUAAUUUUUUUUUUCCUUGUGUUUUAUUUAGAUUAGUAUUAUUUUUAUAUUAAAAAAAUUUAAUCUGAUUUAUUCUACCUUUCUGUACAAGUUAAUCCAUCUCAAAAUAUUUUGACAAAUAAAAUUUUUUAUUUCGAAAAAUAAGGUUAUGCAAGUCAAUAUAAACCCCAAUUAUAUGUAUAGAGUAGAUUUUUGUAUGAGUUUCUAUUGACUUCAUGCCAAUUUAGUUUUCUGCACGCUUUAGAUCAAUUUGCGCACGAUAGGUGCAUAAUCUUGGAUCAUAUGGCCUUUUGUUUUGAAGACUUCUUGCAUAAUAUAAUUUUUAGAUUCUUCAUCACUUACUGAAAAAAUAUAUACUUAAUAUCAAUUAGAAGUAAAAGAGAAACAUAGGAGAGGUACUGUGAAUUCUUGGCAACAACUCUAAAUUCAUUUUCUAAAUAACUGAUGAUAACCAGCUCUCAUCUUUUGUACCAAUUAAUACAACAGCAAUAUCCAAAAUAAAAAUACGUUUACGAGAAUGAACUUAAUUUGAAAUGCUAUCUCUCCAUUUUUGGGAGGUAUAAUCAUCACCCAUAAAAAAUGCACUCAUUCAUAGGAAUCACAAUAAUUUAUUUUUUGUUUACCAUAUUCCAUGGUACAACAUAGCAAAUGAAAUAAUAAGUUUUAGAUUCUCGUAACAAUAGAAGAUAAUUCUUAUACAAGGCAUGUCACAGAACUUCCUAUUUUUGCUAGUACAAGCAUCACGACAUAUCUUGCAAUCUUGUUUUCUAAGAAGUGGGAGGUGAUGCUCAUUGUGACACCCAGAAACAGCACACAAAUUCAUGAUGGUGAAUUGUAUGAUGAAAAGGUGUUUGAAAUUUCUCUUUAGAAAACAAGUCCUCCCCAAAGCAACACUCGUUUCCCAUCACGUUUCGUUAUCCAAACUCAAUUCUUUUAAUCAUUAUGUGCGAUAUUUGGUGGCAUUCAAUAUAUUUCUGGAAAGUAUUUGGGUGGUCUACACUUCUUAAUAUCACUGGCUUUCUAUUUAUUAUCACAAAAUAAUAAACAAGCAUGGUGUAGUUCCGUGAAACUCCAGUUCAAGUGUGGAGAAAUUUGGAUGUAAAAGCAAAUCUAGACCCCAACUCUAUGUUGAAAACUGUUGCUUCUACUGGAACAAUUGAGUUCUUCGAGUCUUGGGUUUUCAUCAACCACAAGAUCAAUGUGAGCCAAUCUCUACACGCAUGGCUAUAUGCUGAUUCUGUUGUAUGUAUUCCCUCUAGAUUUGACGAAAUCAUGAAUAACUGAAUUUUCAAACGAACUUCAUAUCCAAAAAGCUAUAUACAGAGAUGGAUACAAGAUAAACUAUGAGUUCUGUGCAACAAUUGCAAUUUUUAUUUGCUGAAUAGUUUACAAUCACCAUUCAUUUUUCAACUCAGAUUAUUCAACUGCAAUAUAAACGAUAAUGAUAUGAGUAUUUGAAUAAAGAUACCUUAUUCUUCCACAAUUCACUAAUUCAAAUGAGACAUAUUAAUUCAUUUUUCAUUUACAAUGUUCCAACAGUAAAACACAAUAAAUUAAAUAAGGUAUCUCUUGCUACCUUCCUCAUUUUGAAUAGUUGAAUUGAUGCUCCAUAAAUCUAGAACAGCAUACUAAUUCAUCUCGAAUAAUGAUUUGACGUAAAUGUCUUCGAAAGGUAAGUUUUGGCAAACAAGUCCUAAUUAAAGAAACUCAUUUCCUAUCACUGUUUAUCACCUAAAAUUGACUCUUCCAAUCGUUAUGUCAGAGUUUUUUAAAUUACCAUCAUUUGCAAACUUAACUAUGAAUAGGUUCACCGCAUAAAUGAUGUUGUAGUCUAAUAUAGAAUUGUUUUUGUAAUGCAUUAAUUUAUAAAAAAAAAAAAAAAAAAAAAGGCAAAACAGUGAUGCGGUGAAUUGGAUAUAUCAAUCCAACUCACAUUAAACAAACCCAUUAUAAUAAUAAUAAUAAUAAUAAUAAUAAUAAGGCACACAACACACACCCAACAAGAAACGUACCAGAGAGAGAGAGAGAGAGAGAGAGAGAGAGAGAGAGAGAGAGAAUAAGGAAGAGGAAGAAGAAGAGAAAAAAAAAAUAGGAAAUUUCAACGAGGUGGUCUAAAAAUAAGUGAUCUCUAAUAUUAAACUUGAAUUCCUCAAUUUUAAAAGGUAACUAAAAAGUUACUUAUUGUCAAAUUAUGUUUAAUUUUAUAGUUGUUAGAUUUUUACACUAAAUUCAAUUUUGUUGAAGGGGUUAAGUAUAAUAGACCAUGAAAUUAAGUAAAGUGAAAGAAAAACUAGUUUUAGUGAUUAAAGAGACUAUAGAAAUCGCUUAAACGUGAAAUGAUUAAGUUUGGGUAUCGCCUAUUUAAUUAUUGAAAUUAUUUUAAAUAAUUAAUUGUUUAUUUAAAAAUUAUAUCGUAUUUCAGGCGACAAUACUAACAUUAGAACAGCUUACCAAUCGGAUUGAUUUUGCGAACAUAGUACUGUGAGUGAAAAAAUAUAAAUAUUUUUGAAAUAUUUAUAAAUUAAGUAUAUUGUUAAAGUAUGUGCAAUUAUAUGCAAUUAUGUAUUCGAAUUACAUGGUUAUUAUGGAAACAUCUUUUAUUAUGAUACAUGUGGGAUUUCAAAGAUUGUAUACAUUACAUUGUGAAUCGAAAUAUGAGAUAUAAUUUUGGGAUCGACCAGAAAAGUACCCAUGAUUAUAUAUUUCUUCUAGUUCAAUGAGGGGCCUUGACCGUGUUCUAUACUACACUGAGUGGUCUUGGACUGGGGAUGAAGGGGUUUCGACCAUGUACAUAUGGUUCACUGAGGGGCCUUGACCGUGUUCUAGAAUUGAUCAUGAGAGGUAUUUGAAAUUGACUUUCAUUCACGGAGGGGCCCAAGCCUGUGGCGAAAGUUCUACCCAUGAUUAUAUAUUUCUUCUAGUUCAAUGAGAGGCCUUGACCGUGUUCUAUACUACACUGAGUGGUCUUGGACUGGGGAUGAAGGGGUUUCGACCAUGUACAUAUGGUUCACUGAGGGGCCUUGGCCGUGUUCUAGAAUUGAUCAUGAGAGGUCUUUGAAAUUGACUUUCAUUCACGGAGGGGCCCAAGCUUGUGGCGAAAGUUCUUAGCCCGAGGAGCAGAUUAUAUAUUUCAGUUAAAGGGUACAUUUUUGGUGGAUUUUUCAGCAUGUUUGAUGUGAUGAGAUUAUAGCAUGGUUAUCGGCUGAUGUUUAUAUCAUGAUUUUAAGAUUAUUUUAUGACUUUAUGUGAAUAUUUCACUCUUGGCUAUAAUUACAUGAUGUUAUCUUGUGAAUUAUCAAAUGAUAUGAAUUUGAUUUUCGAUGAAAAUGUAAAAUUGAAAAAGUAUAUUUAUUUUCGAACUUCUCCACUCACUGAGCUAUCAACUCAUAUAUUUUCUCGUAAUUUUCCUACAAGUGGAAAUUGAUUAUUUUUAGCUGGAAGAGCCUAAUGAUUUCCAAAUAAGAGUCACACGACAUGUUCAAUAUUAUAACUCAUAUUGAUGAAUCACGAAGUAAAUAUUUUGGGCCCAUCGCAUUAUGUCUUACAUAAGCAUUUGAUUUUGUUACAUAUCUUGAAAUAACUCAUAGUCAGCCUUGGUGAUAGAUUUGACAUCUAGUCGACAUCUAUCAUCGGUGUACGUCACAUUUCGGGUCCACUAGGGUGAUUCGGGACGGGUCGUGUCAAAGUGGUAUCAGAGCAUGGUUAUAAACCUUUGAAAGUCUUCAUAGUUCAAACAUUGGCAUAUCAUGCAUUAUUCAGUGUGUGAGGUUACAUGUCAUGGUGGCAGAAAUCAUUGGCUCUCUAGCUCGAAUGUAUGAAACCAAAAAUAAUAGAAAAAAAUAUUUUUUAACAGAUUUAGAAACAGUUCGUAUGUAAGUAUGGUAGUUGUAAUGAUAUGAUGGUUGGAAAUGUUAUUAGUUAUUGGGUUGGAACUAUGUGUGUAUGUAACCUAUUAAGAUUUGAACAGAUUGUGAUGAUGUAGCAGGGCAUACGAAGUUGUAGAUGUUACAACCACUUAAUUAUCAAUUUAUAUGUAGAAGAACUACGUGAUUUUUUUAUGAGUACAUAAAAAAAAAUUUAGUUAUAGCUUGCACGAUGAAUACAAGGAAAUGAUAUGAUGUGUGAUUUGUGACAAUCAGUGAGGAAUUUUAGUUGUUCUUGAAGCCAAAUGGUCAUUAGUGUUAUCAAAUUUUGUGGUGAUUUGUGGCCACUUUUAUAGGAUGAUAAUAGAAAUUAUGAUGGUGUAUAUUUAUGUCAUAUGAUAAGAAAUUGUUGAUGACAAAAUGAUGAUUUGUUGAUUGAUAGAUAAUAAUGUUUUAUUGUGUACUUUAGGCAUCGAGGAAAUUAACGGUAAUUCCAAUUAUUUCGAUUAUUUAUGAGUGAUUUGAUUACAAGGAAUGUGAGAAUAAUAGGGAUGAGCUUCAUAAUGAUUACCUAUUAGGGGGUGAUUUGUUGCUUUAAAAAAUAGAAAAAUGAAUAUGUGCAUUUAGGUAUGUUUAUGUGGAAAAAAAAAUUAGAGAACGGUAAAAUCGAAAUUUGUUGAGAUUGGGAAAUUAACAUGCAGUAUAUUGAUGUGCAAAAUGUUCACAUGAUAAAUAUGAAGGUUAUCAUCUUGAGAUAUUAAGGAAAAAUUGAUAUAAUUAAACGUUUUAGGUCAUACAAUAUGACGAUAAAUGCCAAGGUUAUAAGAUCAUAACAUGAUAUGGUGAAUGGCAUGUACGUGAAUAUAAUGGUUGUCCUAUAGUAAAAUAAUGUGAUAAUAGAUUUGGGUUAUUAAGUUAGUUAAUUCUGUUAAGGCCUUUCGUUGGAUUAUUGUGUUAUAUUUCAUACAAUUAGGAAGCGUUGAGUUAAAUUUUAAAGUUAAGAUGAAUUUAUUGAAAUUUUAAUGAUGUAAUUUUUGGGCUAUUUUCAAUUGUAUGGAUCACAAACAAAGUAUUCAAUUUUCAUCAAAAUAUAUUUUUUAAGGAAUAUAAGUAGGACAUGUUAGAUUUGGAUAUUUCUAAAGUUUAAGAUGAUCAUCAAAUAUAGAGUUUACUCAUUGUGAAAUAGUAUAUUUAGGUUACAUUAUCUCAAUUAAAGGUCUUUAUGCGAUAUACAAGAAUGAUUAUGCAUUGAUGAUAGAUCAACGACCCAUUUAUGGAAUAAGAGUAUAGAUUUUCACAGAUUAAAUGUUAUUAUUGUCUCUUCAUAGAAAGAAAGAACAAAAUUUAUAUGGGUAUAGAAAUGUCAAAAGUUUUGCUAUCAGAAAAUUCUGAGGAAAUAUUUGUUUUUAUAUCUAAAGAAGAUAAGUGAUUGAUUCACGAUAAUGAUUUAUGUUAUGGUUUAGAAAAUGUUCUCUAAGUGGAAUGAUAAAAUAUGGAUUAGUUGUGGAUUGUUAAAGAGAUACUAUUAAAACCUGAUAUAUGGUUUGCUAUAUUGAGAUUGACAUUUAGGAAUUUUGGAGUUAUCUCAUGGUGAGAAGAUUAAUACUUACUGAACACAUGAGGUUAAAGUAUAUUUGUAUUCAAAAAAAGAGCUAAACUUGAAGCUGUGGUUAUAUUAUCGUUAGGUGAUAAAAUGAAAAGUUAAGAAUAUGAUAUACUGAUCAUUAGGAAGAUUUUUAAGGUAUCGGUUCAACAUGUAUUCCAUAUGUUCGAGGCUUAGUAAAUAGACAUCAGAUUUAACUUAUGCUAUAAGAUUAUCAACAGAAUGGAAAGGAAAUCUUAUAUAUAAAGAAGAAUCAGUUCAAAUAUUUGACAAAAAGGAACAUGUCUAUCAUCGGUGCAUAUCACAUUUCGGGUCCACUGAAGUGAUUCGGGACGGGUCCUGUCAGUUUUUUUAUGUGGAAAUAUCUUUAAUCAAUAAGGAAACAAGUACACAUACUAGAAAAACAUAAAUCCUUGAUUUAGAUGAGGUUUUGUUUAAUAAUAUUGUCCUUCCACUGCAAACUACCUACAAUAAUAAAAAAGAAAUUAUUUAUGAGAUUAGUUUCAUCAAUUAAAAUGUUCAUCAUGUACAUUUAUAAUUAGUUGUGAAUCUAUGAAAAGGUAGUGCUUAGCUGUGUAAAAUUAUAUAAUAAGAAAAACCACAAGAUGUAAAGCGGUGAAACCCUAAUCUUUGAUAUUAUAACAAUUCACCUAUUUGAUGCACACCAUGGUAAUUUCAAAUUAGUUGGAACCUUUUGGAACAGUUUUGGGAAAAUUUACUGCUGAUCUCAAGUUUUCCAUCAACUGAAACUCUAGGCUUCCAAGUGUGUCUCUCUUGGAGUUGUGUACGCACAUUUAAUCUCCAUGCACUCGGUUUUCUUCAACACUUUUAUUUAUGGUCCCUCUUUAUGAGACUGCAAUGACAUGAAUUUUUACUUUGUCCACCUCAAUCGCAUUAGUUGAAAUACGAUCUCCUAAACGAUGCCCUCUUGUACCAUAAAAUGGUAUUUUUCUAAUUCAAUGCCAAGUUUGUUUCAUUACACCAUUGUAAGACCAAGCUCACAUGCUCCAAACACCCAUCAAAUUAUGAUCCAAACAUCUAGAACUCAUCCAUGAAGACUUUUACGAAUUUCUCUACCAUAUCAAAAAAGAUGGCUAUUACGCAAUGCUAAAAAGUUGCGGGAGCAUUGCAUUAACCAAAUGGCAUUCUACGGUAAGCAAAACUAUCAUAGAGGCAAGUAAAAGUAGUCUUCUUCUAAUCAUUGAGCGCUAAUGGGAUAUGAUCGUAUUCAAAAUAUUCAUCAAUGAAGCAAUAAUGAGAAUGCCAUGCUAAAUCCUUCCAACAUUUGAUCGAUAAAUAGAAGGAAAAAGUGAUCCUUCUGAUUAGCAGUGUUGCAAUAGUCAACGCAAACUCUCCAUUCUGUAACAGUCCUGGUGGAAAUUAGUUUGUUCCUUUCAUUCUGCACCAUAGUAAUACCACCAUUCUUCGGCACAACUUGAACUGGGUUGAUCCAUGUACUAUCUGAUAUCGGGUAGUUAAUACCUACAUCCAAAAGCUUCAAUACCUUGCUCUGACUACCUGAUCAAUAUUUGGAUUUAGCUUCCCCUGACCGUCUAUACUUUGUCAAAAAUUCUCUUCCAUGAGAAACUUAUGAAUGCAAAGUGAAUUCUGAUCCUUUUAAUGUGUGCAAUGGAUCAUCCAAUAGUUAUUUUACUAUCUCCGAGUACUCGAAGUAGUUUCUCCUCCUUCACUUUGCUGACUAAAUUUGAAAUGAUGACUAGUAAUGUAAAGGAAUAUCCCAAAUAAGCAUAGUGGAGAUGAGGUAAUAGUUGCUUGAGCUCCAACUUAGGAUGCUGUCGAAUUGGCUGUAGUGGCUUUGUAGGACCGGUACCCAAAGCAAUACUCAUUUUCCAUCACUUUUAGUGAUCCGAACUUGACUCCUUUAUUGUUAUGUGCAAUAUUUUAGUGGCCAAUGACAUGCGUGUUAAAGUAUUUGGCUGGUUGACACUUCUUAAUAUUUCCAUCUUUCUAUUUGUUAUAACAAAAUAAUAGAAAAGCAUGGCGUAAUUCCACGAAACUCCACUUCGAGUGUAGAGGAAUUUGGGUGUAAAAGUGAAUCUAAACCCCAACUCUAUGUAGAAAAUAUUUGACUUUUGCAAUAAAAUUUGGGUUCAUUGAACUUUCCAUUAGUUUGACGAAAUCAUUCAUCAUCAAUUUCAAAUGAUGCACAUAAAUUGAGUUUUCAUUUACAAUGUUACAACAGUAUAACACAGUAAAUGAAAUAAGGUAUAUCUUGCAACCUUUCUUCGAACAGAGAAUUGAUGCUGCCUAAGAAAUUUAGAACAGCAUACAAAUUCAUCAUGGAGAACGAUUUGACAGUAUGUUAGAGAACUUCCUAAUUUUUCAACGUGUCAACCAAAAAUAAAAUUUCGUUUAUUUCAUUUUAACAUAUUUUGUUAAUUUUGAGAUAUUGAAGGAUUAAUUUAAAAAUAAGUUUUGACGUCAAUAUUUUUUUCAGUCAAUUAAUGAAGUAUUGAUUGAGUGAGAAUUUCCCUAUUAAUAUUUGGGUUCAUUUUGUAACUAGUAUUAAACAACGCAUUUUGGACUAGAGAAAAGUUAUUUUGAAUAAGUUAGGCCCAUGAUACUAAUAAUGCGUAGUUAAUUAAAGUAAAUUAAGCGUUUAACAAUUUUUGGCCUGUGAUAAAUGGAAUUUGAUAUUUUUUGGCUUACGAUGAAAGCUAUACGGGAUUUGUUUUAACUGAUUUCCAUUUGAAUUCCUUAUAAUCCUAUUAAUCAAUUGAUCAUUUUUGCAGCCAAUUCACGUUUUGGUUGCAAUGUUUGACUUGGAAAAAUCAUUUGUUUAAUAUAUAAUCAAAACUUGUUUUAUUUGAAGUCAAUCUAUAUCUAAUCUUUCUAUGUUAACACAACUUAAGACUCUAAUACACAUUAACCCAAACAGAUACUACACGCACACACAGCAGACACAUAAGGACAGAAACCAUUUUACAUUUAAGAUUUGGAAAGGAAUUCGGUGUGACGUGGUCACUACCUUAUCAUUCAUUAACGCAUGUUUAUGGAUUAUACUGCCCAUGAAGUAUGUGAAGUCUUAAAUGUUAAUUUCAAUUUAAUUGAUGGUUGUAUAGGUUCAUUUCCUUCUUUAAAAAAUUUAUGUCGGUCUAUAGAAUUUCAGCAUGAUUUUAAUUGGAAAACGACACUUUAUAAGUUAUGAUUAUCAGAGAGAAUUGAAAACAUGUCGAUUGGAGUCGGUGGAAUUUAUUAUGGCAUUUUUAGUAAACUGUAAUGGGUUAGAUUUGGAAAUACAGUACAACCUGUUUGACAAUUUUUUUCGUGCAUCAAACGUCAUCACCAAUAUCCCAAAUUUUGAUAUGUUGUACUUAUAUGAGUUUUAUGCCGUCUAAUAAAUUUUCAUAAAUUUUGGUCAAGGUUUGUUUGGUCAAAUAAUUUUUUCAACUUACUGUGAAACCUGAGAAAAAAUGUUCCAGCUGGCUGAAUUUUUCUAAAACUCAUUCCAAAUCAUUUUGUUACAUAUUUUUGUAAGUACAUAUUAUAAAAAGUGUUAAUAUUUUCCUAUAUUUAUUAAUUAAUUAAAACUUAAAAACUUUUAAUAAUAACAUAUUUUUGACAGCUAACGUUAAAAAACUUGUGUUUAGUAACGCGUGGUUUAUAAGGAUUUGGAGCAUUACAUUCUAGCUAGGCCAAGCAUGUACUUUUAUCUUCAACGUGCAGUCCGGCAUUCAAUGCGGGUCGAAGCAUCUGGUUGCCCAGUUGGUUAAAUGCUAUUAAUGAUAAUAGUAAAACAUUAUUCUCGACAAAGCUUGAGCCCAAUUCCCGCAGUGAUGAAUAUGAGUGCAAUUGAAAUUCCUGGGAUAAAGGAACCAUGUGUUGAUUGUCCUUUAAAGGAAAGUUUUCUUCUUCCUUAUGUAAAAGGGGAAUAAAUAAAUUAAUCAAAUUCCAGCAAGCUUCAUGAAGUGCUUCUUUUGGAGUUACUUAUACCGAGCAUUCAAUCUCCUAGUCUCUACAGAAAGGAAAACCUCUUGACUUUGAGGAGUGAGUUGAUGCUCUUUAUGACAUCUGGAACAUCGUGCAAAAUCAGGAAGAUGAAUUGUUUGAUGUAAAGGUCUUGGAAAAGUAUCUUUACCAACAAUUCUUCAACAUAACAAUUCAUCAUGUUCAAUUGUUAUGUGCAAUGAUUUUUCUAGGAUCAUUCGAUACCACAGUAUAUGAUAGAAUUGUUAGUUCAAACGAAAAUAUAUCUAAUGAAUAAAAAACAAGGACACAUACAAGAAAAACAUAAAUUCUUGAUUUGGUGGUCGUUUUUGGUAAUCACAAUGGUCUUCAAUUGUAAACUAUGUACAAUAAUUAAAACAAUUGUAAGUUAAAAAUAAAAAAAAUUAAAAAUAAAUUGUAGGAUAUUGAUUAACUUCAUCAGUUAAGUUGUUCAUCUUGUAAGUGUAUAAUUAAUUGUUGUUCGAGAAUCUACAAAAAAUAGUCCUUAACACGUACAAAUUAGCAAGAUAGAAAGAACCCAGAAGAUAUAAACUUUUGAAAACCAACUCAAUGGUAUUAUAACAAUUCCCACAUUUAAUGCACUCCUAUAAAAUCCAGAUAAGCAUGUUAAUUUGAAUUUGGAGUGAACCUUUAGAACUAUUUUGGGAGCAUUUGCAUUCAAUCUCAAGUUUCCCAUAAACUGAAACUCUAGGAUUCCAAGUGCAUCGCCGUGGUAACAGUGCAGCCACUGGCGGAUCCAGCACCUGGCGAGCACCCGCGGCCGCGCGUGCUGGAUCCGCCGGCAGCUCUUUUUUUUUAUGAGAACAUAUACAUUUUUUAUGUUAUAUUACUGAUAUUCACUUUCACUUCAAACUUUGCUUCUAGCCGAUGUGGGUAGGGGCGGCAUUUUCUUAUUGCAAGUCCCGGGUUCGAUUCCUUUUACAGGAAUUUAUUGUAGGAAUUUUUUUGCUUCUACAAUUUUUACCAAAAUUUGAUGGAACAGGGAUGAGGGGAUUCGAACCUAGACAUCUUCUAAAAAUUGUUAGGAGAUUGACCACUAUGGCACUUACUAAUUUGUGACACUAAAUUUAACAAAUUUAUAUAUGUUAGUUAUAGUGGUUUUGUAUUCAAACCCUUACUCUUCCUUUGAAUUAUAUAACAUUUGGCAAUAAUGUCAUUUGGUGAAUAUGGUUUAAUCUUAUAACAAAAUUAUAUAUGUUCAAUUUCAACAAAAUAAUUGUCAUAUUUAAAUUUUAUGACUUAUUUAAUUCCCAUUUAUUUUAAAAUACAUUUUUCUCUCUUAUUUUUAACCAUACAUUCUUUAAUAAAAUAAUAUUACAUGUAAAUUAAUUUUUUUUAAAAUUUUAACCACUUAUUCUUCAUCAAAUCACUAUUCCAAAAUGCAUUUUUUGCAACAAAAAAAAGUACAUCAAACGAGCUCUUAAUAUUUUAUUACAGCCGACAGUCAACGGUCAACCCCCGCCCGUGCUGAUUCUAAAUCCUGGAUUCGCCACUGAGUGCAGCCAUAUUCUCUUUCUCAAACAAUCCACGAAAACUAGCCAACUCCUUGUUAGUGAACAUACCUGCAACCUUUAACUUUCAAAUCCAAUCAUUUUCCUAUGUUGCAAAAAUAGUUCUUUUUUUUUCUUCUGAAGAUUAUAAAUGUUUAAUAAGAAAAAUAGUUCUAUUCAAUAAGAUAUCUUUGAAUUCCGACUCUUUUUACAGACCUGGCCUAAAAUAGUUGUUUAGACACUUAAGAUUUUAUCCUACACACACACACACAAGACAUACAUACAUACAUACAUACAUACAUACAUACAUAUGUUUUAAAUCGUUUUGAAACUUCAAAAUCUUUCAAUUCUGAUUUAAAAUAAGAAGUCAAAUCCAUGAAAUCUCAAAUUUCUAUUCUUGAGCAUCAAAUGAAAGAUAUUAGAAUGGAAGUUUCUCUUUUCAAAACUAAAGAUAAGAAGCUAAAGUCAAAUACUCUCCUUCUUAAUAAUCCUCUUCGAGCUCUUCUAGUGAAGAAUCUAAUCCUCUCAUUCCUUCAAAUAUUCAAUCUAACGAAGAAAUGAUUAAUGUUAUUAAUCGUUUUAACUUCAAAAAUCAUACUGCAAUAUAACUAUUGUAGUCAAUAAAGAAUUCAAAUUUACUUCUAGAGUCCUUAUAGAUUAUGGAGCUGAUCAAAAUUGUAUCCGUGAAGGAUUGAUACCUUCAAAAUAUUUUGAAAAAACUACAGAGCGUCUUUUUAGUGCUAAUGGUAUGAAACUCAAUAUUCAAUAUGAACUUUCAAAAGCUCAUGUUUGUAAUUCAAAUAUUUAUUUCAAAAAUAUUUUUUAUCUUCUAAAAGAUUUGGAUCAAGAAGUAAUUUUUGGUACUCCUUUUAUUGUUCAAAUUUAUCAUUUUCAAGCUACUUCAAAAGAUUUAACUACAAAUAUAUUUGAUCAAGAAAUUUGUCUUAAAUUUACAAAUUCUCCUUAUCAUAAAGAUGUUAAUUCUUUAAAAGAAGCAUCAAUUUCAAAAAUAGCCAAUAAUAUCAAUUUCAAGAAAAAUCAUAUUCGAUUUCUCAAAGAAGAAAUUAAAUUUCAAAGAAUUGAAGAACAAUUGCAAAAUCUUUCAAUUCAAGAAAAAUUUCAAAUCUUCAAAAAAAAAUGAAAAAAGAGAUUUGUGCUACUAUUCCAAAUGCUUUUUGGAAUCGUAAGAAACAUGUGGUAUGUCUUCCAUACAAUUCUGAUUUUUAUGAAUCAAAUAUUACUACAAAAUCUCGUCCUAUUCAAAUUAACAAAGAAUUUCUAAACUCUUGUAUCAAUGAAAUCAAUGAUUUAAUUGACAAAUGUUUAAUUCAUCCUAGCAAAUCUCCUUGGAGUUGCUUAGCAUUCUAUGUCAAUAAUUCAGCUGAAAUUGAACGAGGUGCUCCUUAUCUUGUUAUCAAUUAUAAGCCUCUCAAUUCUACUCUUCAAUGGAUUCGAUAUCCACAUCCUCAAAAGAAAGAUCUUUUGAAUAUGAAGUCAAGUUUAUGGUAGAUUCAAAUUGAAGAAGAUAAGUACAAAACUGCAUUCAAUGUUCCUUUCGAUCAAUAUGAAUUGAAUGUUAUGCCAUUUGGUCUAAAAAAUGGUCCUUUUGAAUUUUAAAAAAUUAUGAAUGAUAUUUUCAAUUAUUUUUCAAAUUUUAUCAUUGUUCACAUUGAUGAUGUUCCCAUAUUUUCUGAAAGAAUAGAACAACAUUUCAAAAACAUCAAUACAUUUAUGCAUGUAAUAAAAAAAAAUGGUUUAGCGGUUUUUGCUAAAAAGAUCGUUUUAUAUCAAACAAAGAUAAGAUUUUUAUGUCAUAACAUUCAAAAUGGUUCAAUUAUUCCAAUUCAGAGAAGUCUAGAUUUUACUGAAAAGUUUCCUAAUGAAAUUUUAGACAAAUCUUCUCUUCAAAGAUUUCUUGGUUGUGUCAAUUAUGUUGGCGAUUUUAUCAAAGAGAUAAGGUUGAUUUGUGCUCCUUUUUUCAAAAGAUUAAAAAAGAACCCGGACCCAUGGAGUCACAAGUGUACAUUAGUUGUCCAAAAAAUCAAAAAAGCUGUUAAAAAUAUUCCAUGCUUAUCAAUACUUGACCCUACUGCUUCAAUUAUUAACAAAACUUUGUCCUCUAAAGAAUCUUUCAAUUUUUCGAAGCUUCACGUAUUUCAAAACAAAAAUUUUCUUUUUGACAAGAUAUUUUAUCUUAUCUUUAUCUCAAAAUACUAUUCAUUCGAAGAAAAUCAAACAAUUUUGUACAACUUAUCUCCUGAAAAGAUGGAAAGAGAGAUAAAUACAAAAAAAAUUAUUCAGAUAUUGUUUCAAGAUCUUCAUCAAAAUCCUUUAAAGAUAAAAUUCUAUCAAGAAACAAACCAUUCUCAAUCAAAGAAUCAAAUUUUUUGAAUAAAGGUAAAUUUUCUCAAUCAAAUUCUUAUUCAGGAACUAAAUCAAAACUUUAUGUGUUUAAAACUCAUACAAGACUUUUCAAAUUUCAAAAAGAUAAUCUUGAUGAUAUUCUUACUACUUGCUACCAAAGAAGUAAUAAGGAUAUCGUAAGAUGUCUCAAAAUUACUACUGAAAUUUUUUAUAGUAGUAACAAAAUAAUAAAAAAAUUUCAGAAAAAUUCUCAAAAAGGUGAAAGACUUAUUCUUCAACAUCUUUCAAAAGAAAUAUUCCAAUUAAAAAGGAAUAAAAAAAAAGUCUUACAACUUCCUGAUGAUAUUCUUCAACAUCUAAAAAUGAUAUUUAUCAAAAUAUUAUCAACAGAGACCUUACUUGUGCUCAAACAUUCAAAAAUAUCAUUUUUAGAAUAUUCGAUAACUUUUAUUUCAACGGUUUUGCAACGUAUGAAAGUUAUCACAAACUUUAUUUUACCCUCAAAGGUAUUUCAAUCAUUAAUGUCAUUAAUGAAGAAAUUCGUCAAAUGAUCAAAUGAUGAUUUAUUUCCUCAAUAUACAUUGAUUCAAAAACAGAUAUUUCACUUUUUAAUAGCUCUCUCAAAGAGUUAUUAAUCAUCUCUUUGAAUUCAAAUUCAAAACUCUCAAAAUUGAAUUCUCAACCAUUCUUCCUGAAUGGAUUGUCGAAGAAGUCAAAUUCAAUGAUACUCUUUUUACUAAAAAGUAUUUUUUAGUCAAACAAAUUGUUACUAUCUAGAAUACUUUUUCAAAUAAUCUUCCAAUGCUAGAUUCAAAUAUCUCUUCAAAAACUUAUGGCCCUAAAGAAAAAGAAAUUAUAUUCAAAACCCAUGUAAGAGAAAUUCUUACAAAAAUUAGAUCAAAAUCUAUUCUUACUGCAAAGAAAAAGCUUGGAACAAAUAUUGACAAUUCAAGAUUGCAAUUAAGGAUUCAUGAUGAAUAUUAUGCCAUUUUUACUAUUGAAGAAAAAUGGACUUAAACUCAAGUUCCUUUGAUUAGAAAAAUAUUUGAUGAUGAAAUAUUAAUGUCUCAAGAUUAUUUUGAUGAUCUUUAUCAAUGAACUAAAGAACCUUUUGAAGGAAUCUCAAUUAUGAUGAUAAAGAAUUAUUCAAUCUCAAUAAUUUGCUUGAGAUUUAGUCUAAGACAAAAUCAAAAGCAAAUGUCAAAAGAUGAUCAAGAAUUUUCAAAAGAUGACAUAAAGUUGAUGCCAACUUUUCAAAAUGGGAGACAAAGAAAAGAUUCUUUGAAGACUUUUCUUAUGGUUGAUUAACUUUUGCAAAUGGUUGAUACAAAAGUUUCAAAAGAUACAAUAAUUCAAAAUUCCUUCUCCAAAUUGAAGAAAUUUUCAAGUCUGAAACUCAAGAAUUCAAGUAUAAAAGUAGAUCAAGUGUUCAAGAUCUCUGCAGAGUUAAUUGAGUGUAGCUAUCAAGAGAGUUGAUUUAGCGGGAGAUAAAUCAUUUUCAAGAUAGUUUGAGAAAUCCUUGUAUUCUUUUACUAUCUUUAUUUUUCAAUUUUUAUCUUUCAAUCAUAUAAUUCAAAGUUCAUUGUCGAGCAGUUAACUCUCGUGUUCUGGAAUGUACAUCAUCACUCAUUGACGACACUAAAUUAAACAAUUUGUAUUAGAUUUUUUUCAUUUCCGACAUUCAAACAGAAUAAAUCAAUAAAUGAAUAACAAGAUUCAACACUAAUUCAAACAGUGCACGUUUAUUUAUUUUUCCUUUUUGGCAUUCCAAUGGCACAGAAGAAUAAACUAAAUAAUAUUAUUUAUCACUAGUUCAUACAUUUCUAUUAGUUUAUAUUUCCAUUUCAAAAUUGCAACACGAUAAAAUUAUACAUGAAUAAUACAAUUCAGCUCUUCUAACGAUGAACAUAAAUAUAUUAUUUUUUAAUUUUUGUUUUCUACAUUCCAACCGCAUAAAAGUAUAAAUGAACUAAUGAGGCCACACUAUAUCCUGAACUAUGUAUGCAUGGGGAUCAUCAUUUUCAUUAUACUGUGUGGAUUGUGAAUUCUGCAAUAUGGAUGUAUGGGGGACCAUAAAUUUUGAAACGAUAUGGUUAUAGAAGUCAAUAUAAGCCCCAACUUUACGUAGAGCAGAUUCCACAAAAGAUUUGAUCUUUUAUAAUAAAAUUUUGGUAUGAGUUUUUAUUUUCUUCUUCCUACUACUAGAAUGAUCGAGUUCUUCUAGUCUUUAGCUUUCUUCACCCUUUAGAUCAAUGUUUGCGCGAUGAGUGCACACACGAGUAUGUGCACUAUCAUGUGUCCUAUGUGUAAGUGUUAUACUCUAAGUCCAAUCAACAUUGGAUAUAAACGCUUUUAAUAUAUAUUUAAUUCAAAUUAUAGUAGAUCUAUUAUUUAAUUAACUAAUAUUAAAUUGAAUUAAAUAAUACAGUCAGUAGAUUCAAAUCUUCGUAAUUUAUUAAUCACAAGGAAUUGUGAUUGUGAGAUACAAAUUAUGUACGAUUGAAUCUUAAAUCAUUCGUGGUCGUAAGUAAUAAUGAGAUACGAAUAUCGUUAUUAGGAUAGAUCAUCACAUGUGUCAUUUCUUACUUGUAAAGUAAGUAGCCGAUCUCACAACUACAGUGUAAUGAAACUUAAAUAAACACGUGAAUGUUUUGUUAUAGAACAAAAGUAUUGGAGAUCUGCCUAGAGAUUCCAUAUGGAUAACUAUCUGAGUGUCAGUGGUUAAUCUCUAACUUUCGGUAGUGAGAUUAGUCCUUUGACUUGAGGUCGUCAUAGUACCUUAUAUAAGGACAGUCAUGUUUUGACAGUGUUGAAUAUUGCUCAGCCAAGGGCCGCUAAUACGGCAUCGUUCGGGUAUGUCAAGAAUCGUAUAAAAGUUAUGAAUGAUGAAUAGAGGAUUCGCCACUCUUAAAUAGUAAAGGAUUAUGAUCUGCAUUUCAUUCAAUCAAGCCGAUAACUAAAUCCUUGGUCAAGGUGUACUCAUAAGUCGAAAAGAAGUUUUUGACUUAUAUUGACUUAAUAGUUGAAUGAAAGAUAUGAUCGAUAAUCGAGAAUGACACAUUUUCAUAUCUCUUAAUUGAUCGGAUCAUAUUGACGAAAGGAUAAUAAUUUCAUGGUAAACGAAUAAGUUCGAUUUUGUCAUACCAUGUAACAUUUUUCAUCACAUGUAUUGCCCUGUUACAUUGCUAGAUGUCAAUCUGGGAUGAAAAGUGUGAAUUGGUGAUAAAUUAAAAGAGCGUUUUAAUUUAUCAAUUUAGAUUAUAUCAAAAUAAUAUUUCACAUCAUUAGGUUUCGUGAAUGGGAACCUGAUGGGUCGCACACAAAAGAGAACUGGAAGAUUGCAAUUUGUCAAUUAAUUAAUUUAACAAUAUUGGAUAAAUUAAUUAAUUGGGUCAUGGGCCCGAAUUAAUUAAUUAGAUUAAUUAAUUCACGAACCGAAUUUAAUUAAAUUGAUUAAUUAAAUAUUGGAGCGGGUCAGGCCAAGCCCAUUUGAGUUUAUAUAAAUACAUGGCUAGGGUUUUUUAAUUCGCAGUGAAUUCAUUAUUUUUGCUAGUACAAAAAGAAAACCCUAAUCCUGCAAUCUUGUUCUCUAUGUGGAUCACCAUUGAAAGUUGGACAGUUGAACACUUGUAGAUGACAGAUCGAAGUUGCUAGAAUGAAAAGAAUGGCAAAAUGUUUGCAAAAUUUUUCAAAGGUACAUCUUUUAUCACAAUUUCUAUCUAAACACAAAAAAGAUCCGUUGUGGGAAUCGAAACUUAUUUUAAUUUUUCACUGCGCAUAUUAAGUAGAUUCUCAACACUAUGGCCAUUUUAUUUGAUAGCUUCUUGCAUAACAGAAUUUUUAGAUACUUCAUCCUGACUAAAAACUACAUACAUGAAUGAUAUUGGUAUCACAUUAGAAACAAAAGAUACAUAUAGAAGGCAUACAUAGAAUUCUUUGUUGCCAAAUAUUUAAUGAUAACCUCUAAUUUUUGGACCCGAUUUAUACAACUGCAGUAUACACAAUAAUGAGUUGCUUACGAGAACGAUGUAAAUAUGAAAUUCCACCUCUCCUUUUUGGUAUGUUUAUUCAUCAACAAUCCAAAAUUCACUCAUUCAAAGGAAGCACAGUAAUUUUUUUUUUAAAUAUACAAAUGGUACAAAAGAAUAAAUGAAACAAUAAAAUUUAGAUUCUUGUAAGAAUGGAAAUAAUUCUUUUGCAAAGUAUAUCGGGAAAGGUCCUAAUUUCUAAUAUGAACAUCAUGAUAUAUCUUGCAAACUUACUUCACAAGGUGAAUUGAUGUUCUUUAUGACAUCUAGAAUAGUGUGCAAAUUCAUGACUUGUUUGAUGUAAAGGUCAUGGAAAAGUAUAUUUAGCAACAAUUCCUCAUAACAACAAUACUCUUGUCCCAUCAUUAUUAGUGACCAAAACUUUAUUUUUGUAUUAGUUAGUACGAUAUUUGGGUUGCACAAAAGAUGUGCGUGGAAAGUAUCUGGGUGCUCUACAAUAAAUAUCUCUAUCUUUCUACCUCUAGUUUAGAGUAACUGCAUGUAAAAAAUAUCUAGUCCCCAACUCCAACAGAAUAAAACAAUAAACGAAAUAAGGUACAUAUUGCAACCUUCCUUUCUUCAAAGAGUGAAUUGCUUCGCAAGACAUCUAGAACAUCUUACAAAUUCAUUACGAAGAAAGAUUUAUUGUAAAGGUAUUUAAAAGGUGUGUCUAGGAAACACUAGUCAAAUAAACUAAUUUCGUUUCACUAUUAGUGACCCAAACUUCAGUUUCAUUUGUUAAGCGUUUAUAAUUUUUCUAGCAUCAUUUGCAAACUAAAAGAAAAUUACUAGUUUGACCCUAAUAUCAGGUGAACAGGUGAAAACAGAGGAAUUAAAAUUAUCAAUUAACAGCAAUAAGUCACUUAUUAAUUAAUCCUCAUGAAUUCACAUGUACACUAUCCUAUUUUUAAUUAUCACAGUUUAAUAAAUUUGUAGAAAAAUAAAUAAUACAGAAGAAUUGUUGAUGAAGAAAACCCCUUGCUAGAUUAAAAACUCCGAGACCAAACUAGUAACAUCCACUAUAGACAAUAAGAAAUUACAGUGUUAUCCAUCCUAGAAAAUCCACUAGACUCGUUGACCUAAUUUCUGCAAUCUCCAAGCCCUGUUAGAACGUGCUUCACUCACACCUGUUCCCAAUCUUUUGGAAUUGUCUAUUUACUAUGGAUCACCAAGAACACUUUGUUCUUGUAUUCAUCCUAUGUUUUUGGACCAACUUGCCUCAAUCAUCAGUAACCUCUGAAAGCGAUUGAGAAUGUACCUUCUUGUAUGUGUAUAUGAAGUGAGUAUUUUUAAUUAUAUGAAUUUGAUAUUUUUUCCAAAGUUGUGGAUGCAUGAACUCAAGAAUCAAAGGAUUAAUCUAAAGUUUGAUAGUAUUCUUGAAUCUUUGGAUGAUUUUAUGAAGAGAAAUAUAAUGAACAAUCAUAUACAAAACGUUUUAGGGCUUGGGUAUAUAUAGUACAAGGCAUUUAGGUAGCAAGAGUAAGAUAAAACUCUUGAAAAAUGCGAAUUAGGGUUUUACACAUAACAAUGUUGCUCGAGUUCGAGGCUGACGAUAGGCAAAUGGCAAAUGGCAACUGAGCAGUGGUCAGUAUUUUCAUCAUAAUUUUUUUCUCUUGAUAUUCGAUUAAGGUGAUUCAAAAUACAUUGUAAAGUUUACUCAAAAAGCUAUAAUUAUUGCUAGAAUUGACUUGUCCAAAUUCCAAUGUUUUUUAUGUUAAAAAUGCAUUGUAAGUUACGACUGAGAAUUCGAAACAUAACUUGUGCAGCUCUUUAACACUCUCUACACUUGUAAUUGCAUUCACUUCAUCAUAUGUGAUCUUCUUGGACAUGUUGGACUCCUUCAAGGACUAUACUACCAAUCUCAACUCUUUUGACUUUAAUUAAGACUCUAUAACUCAUAUUUUGACUUUGAAUACGACUUGAUAAACCCUUAAUAUAAUUUAACUAGGCCAAUACAGUAUAAAUCCUAACACUAAGGUGUUUAACAUAAGGUCUUUUCAAAUUGAAAGGCCAUAGGACACUAGAUGAUGUACCUACUUGUGUGCUCACUCAUCACGCACACAUUGAUUAAAGUGUGAAUAAACAUAAAGACUAGAAAAACUCAGUCGUUCUAGUAGUAUCAAUAUGACCAUGGAAAUUCAUACCCAAAAUUUAUUGCAAUAUUGCAAUCUUUUAUAAAAUAUACUAUGCAUCCAUUUGGGGUUCAUAUCGACUUGCAUAUCCUUAUCAUUCCGAAUACAAUGAUCCCCCAAGUAUUCAUAGUUCAGAUUGUACAAUGGCCACAGUUUAUUAAUAACUAUCAUCCGCCAUGUUUACAUAGUUCAUAAUGAAUGGAAGGCAUAUUAUUUCAUUUAUAGUUUUAUGUCAUUGGAAUGUCAGAAAGGAAAAACAAUUUAUAUCGUUUGAAUUAGAGCUGAAUCGUAUUUUCGUUUACAAUUUAAGGUUGUUAUUUUCAAGUGGAAAAAUAAAAUUAAUAUAUAUUGUUUGAAUUAGUGUUGAAUCAUACUAUUUUGUUUAUUCUCUUAUGCUAUUGAAAUGUAAAAAGGAAUAUAAAUAAUUGUAAGCUAUUUGAAUUAGUGUUGAAACAUAUUAUUUAUAUGCCGUUUCAUGUCAUUGGAAUGUGGAGAAGGAAAAAAUUAAUGUAAAUUGUUUUAGUUAUUGUUGUCAAUGGGUAAUGAUGUAUGUACAAUAGAAUCAAAUUAUUAGACAGAUUAAAGUAGAAUCAUCGCAAAGAAUUCAAAGUAAAUUUUAAGUACAUCUCUUUCAUUUACACUGUAAAAGCGCUUGUUUAGUCAAAUAUAUUUUUGUUUCAACAAAUGCUUGGAAUUUAAAUAAUUCUUUCAUGCAAGGUCUGUAAAAAAUUAGUUAGAAUUUAAUAUUUUCUACGAAGAGAAGGAAAACUAUUUUUUACAUAACAGGGAAGUUAUUGGAGUUGAGAAAAUGUUGCAGGUAUUACAAGAUAAUAACUUCAACAAUUAAAUUUACUGUCCAGUAAAUUUAGAAGAAAUUGUGAUUUGUGAAUUAAUAAAAAAUAGCCACGAGCUGUGUAAAAAUAUCAAGGGAGAAAUAUCAAAAAGAUGUAAAACUAUGAAACCCAACGAGGUAGUAUCAUAACAAUUUGUAAAUAAAUUUUUUAGGAAAGAAAAAUUAACAACUUUUCAAUCAGAGUACGUUGAAUUUAACACAGACCUUGAAAAAAAAAAAAGAAUUGCUUAGAUGAUAAGUUUCUUUAUUGAAACAAAGAUAUGUUUGAAUAAUCAUAUGCUUUUGCCGUAUAUAUAAGAGAUACACAUAAAACUUAGAAUUCUUUGCUAUCAUUCUACUUUGUAUUUGUCACUAGUAUUUUGAUGACAAACAUUAAUAUUAGAACCCCAUCUAUGUACUACAAUGCUGAGCAGUCAACUCUCGUGUUAUAUAAUGUACAUCAUCAUUCAUCGAGGACACUAACUCAUAAAAUUUACAUUAAUAUAUCUCCUUUCUGCAUUCCAGCAACAUAAAAAAGGAUAAAUGAAAUAACAUGAUUCAUCACUAAUUCAAACAAUGCACAUUUAUUUAUUUUCCUUUUGUCAUUCCAAUGGCAUAAUAAUAUAUACGAGCCGUCACUAAUCCAAACAAUAUUUAUUAAUUUAUUUCAAAAUUGCAGCAGCAUAAAAUUAAAAUAAAUAAUACAAUUCUGCUCUAAUUCAAACAAUUUAGAUCAACCUUUUUUCCUUUAAAUAUAAUACUAUAAAUGAAAUAAUUUGGAUACAGAGCAUUCUUUACUGUGUACACAUGGGAGAUCAUUAAAUCAUGGACAUUGUACAUUCAUUACUGUGUAUACAUGGGGACCGUAAUUUUAGAAAUGAUAAGGAUAUACAAGUCAAACUAAACCCCAACUAUACGGAGAAUUGGUCUUGGAAAAGAUUGAACUUUACAAGGAAUUCUAUACUAAUGAAAUCAUUACAUUAUAUUAACUUCAUCAAUUAAAUAGAUACUCUAGUAAGUUUGCAUGUGGAGGAAUGGCACAAUGAUGUCGGGCUGGACCUUUCUUGAAUUGCUGGACUUGUGGGCCGGGUUUUAAAUGACAAAUGGUGCAGAUUUAUUUUGGCAAAAAUGGAUUAUUGAAACACGACUUCUCUAAAUAAGAACAGUUGCACCUGAUCUUGCCAAGUAUCUCUUCGUGCACCGUUGGAUGAACGACCUUCUCGUGCCUUCCAUAUUAACUUGGCACAAGGGUUUGAGAUGCAAGACUUUUCAUUCUCUCAUCUCUUGAACUCUCUCAGUUGGUUCUUCAUCUUUCUCUCUACUGCACUUUGAAAUUGAGCCCCCCCUUUUUUGAUGAGAUAUUAUCUAGCCAUAUGUAUAUAUUUUGAGUGAUUUUGUAUAGGUUGAUAUCUCAAUAUUCUUGAGUGAAUGUUGUAUUGGGCUGUGAUGCCAUAUUUUCUUGGUGGUCCAGCUCAGUUUGGGCUAUGAUGAUAAAUGGUUAAAAAUACAGAUACUACUUGAAGCCCUUGCCCAAUAACGCAUUGUGUUGGACUCCUUAUGACCCAGCCCUAACUUGGUAAUACACGUGUGUUGCUUUAGUCCCUCAGAUCUCCUAAACCUAACUCUACGGUGAUGACAUUCCCUAUAUAUUCUUGGUCUGAGACUUUUGCCCUACUUGGUCUUUCAUUUUCUUGUGUCUCUUAGGGUGUCUCUUUGAGAAGCUUCUGAGUCUCUCUUCUUCUUUGAGAUUGUGUGUCUAUGGCUUUUAUUUUCUUCGUGAAACUUGUUCUUUAGCCAUUAAACUUCUAGUUUUCUGGCAUAUUUGUGAGUGAGGAGUCUUGGUGAUUCUUCAGUUUGAACUAGAAAGGUUUUUUUUUUAAGUUAGGAGAUUUUUGGGACCAUUGUUGUGACUGCCUCUAUAUUUUAUUUAGGGCUGUGGGUUUUUUUUUUGUGAGUUUAUACACUGAGCCCAAUCGAUGAGAACUUGAUGCCUUUAUGUGUAGUCUGUGUUCUGUAAUCUUGGUGUCCAUUUUAGGUCUUUUUGUAACAGUGGUAUCAGAGCCUUAUGAGUCUAGUCGAGUCCCCAUCAACGACGUCUGGUCGUGGAAAAUUAAUUUUCAUGGCCGAAUCUUAAGAGAUCCAACAGUCAACUAAAACCCUAUAUCUGAUUAGCUAUAGAAAUAAUUGGAUUUCAAAGUUUUCUUGGUGAACCGGUUUGGGUAGUUAGGUCUUCUGCGUGAUACUCAAUCUGUCGGUUGAUUUCUUUAACCGUCUUGUGAUCUUUUAAUUGUGAUACAUGCUAUAUUAUUGUGUGUUCUUUAAUUUGGUGAAUAUUGUAUAUAUUUUUUCGUUAUUCUAGUGUACUGCAUGUUUAAUCUUUGUGAUUAAUUCUUGUUUUUCAUUGUGUUCAUCCUAUUGAUUAAUUCUUGAUCCAAUAGUCAGCCUAUUCUUUAAUCUUGUUAUUAAUUUCUGAUCCUAGUUGUCUACCACUGUCUACUGAUUAUUUUGUAUGAAUACUAUACAUUUGCACUGCACUAUAGUGGACUUAGGUUGAACCUUGACUUGAGGUCUUUGAACCUCAUGGAAUCCUGGUGAACUUAAGACAUAUCACUGCAUUCUGAAGUGAUUUGUUAUUUCUCUGAUUGGUUACUAUUUGUUACUGUUCACUUUGUUAUAUCCCCUGAUAUAUUUAUAUUAUGUGUGAUACUUUGUGUUGCCAUAUAUUCUAUGAAAUAUCUUCUUGGUACUUGUGGCUGAGCUUUAACCCUCAUUUUUUUGUGUUGAUUAAAAACAUCAAAUGACAACGACAACAUUUGAACUUGUGUUUUAAUGGAAAUGGGGAUUUUCCAAUUUGGUAGCAAAAAAUGAGGAGGGUUCUUGUUCAACAGAAAAUGUGUAAAGCUAUAACUAGUGAAUAUCUUGCUACUAUGAUUGAUGAACAAAAAACUGAAUCUGAUGAGCUUACCUAUACUUCCAUUAUUCUUCACUUAUCUGAUCAAGUAUUAGGAAAAGUUGGAAAAUUGGAUAAUAAAAAAGCCUUAUGGGAUAAACUUGUAGAACUUUCUUUGGUAAAAUCAUUGCCUAAUAAAAUAUUUCUGUUGAAAAAAAAUUUCAGCUUCAAAAUUGGCUUGUCUCGGGACUUAGUUGACAAUCUUGAUAAUUUUAAUAAAUUGGUUCAAGAUGUAACUAAUGCCGGGGAUAAAGUAUCUGAAGAAUAUAAGGCUGUAAUUUUAUUAAAUUCCAUACUUGAUAUGUAUAAAGAUGUCAAGUCAACUAUUAAGUAUGGCAAAGAGUCUCUAAAACCUAAGAUAGUGAUUAAUGUCUUGAGAAGUCAAGAAUUGGAAGUUAAAUCUGAGAGGCAUGUCAAGGAGAGUGAGAACCUAUUUGUGAGAGGUAGAUCACUAACCAUACAUAGUAAUAAUCAGGGUAACCAAAGUAAUCAGGGAAAUAAUGCCUUUAGGAAGAAGGGAAAGGGUAGACAAAGGUCAAAAUCUACAAAUGGAGCUAGGAAAUAUUAUGGUUGUGUCAAAACAGGGCAUUACAUUAAAUACUACUUUAAAAAGAAAAAUGAACAAAGAGAGGUUAAAAUUGAUGAAGGGAAUAUUGUUGAGCCUUUAGGUGAGGGUACUGUUGAUGUCUAUGUUGUGACUGAGUCCAUAUCUGAUUUAAAUUCUACAAAUUAUGCAGAUAAUUCAAGUCAGAGUGUAGAGUGGAUCUUAAAUUCAGGUUGUACCUUUCAUAUGACCUCUAGAAAGCAUUGAUUGCUCGACUUUAAGGACUUAGAUGGAGGUGAGGUGGUUAUGGGUAACAAUGCAGCCUGUAAAGUGUUGGGGAUAGAUAAUGUAACGUUAAAAUUUGAUAAUGGGUACACCUUUACUUUAGAAAGGGUGAGGUAUGUAUCAGAUUUAAAUAAAAAUCUGAUUUCAAUUGGGAACUUAGAUGAGAUAGGUCUCCAAGGAAAAUUUGGAGAUGGUUUCUUGAAAAUAGUUAGGGAUUCUUAGUUAUUUUCAAGGUAUUAAAAGAAGUGGUAUCUAUGUUACUAAGGCAAAUGUGUUGAGUCACGCUGCAGAAUCCUCUAUGGUUGAAAGUGAUGCUAUAUUGAAAUGGCAUAAUAGCUUAGCCCAUGUGAGUGAGAAAGGUUUAUGCAUCUUAAGUCAGAAGGGUGCCUUUGGUAGUGACGUGAUUUCUAAAAUUCUCAUUUGUAAAUAUUGUUCCUUAGGCAAACAGCAUAGACUUCAGUUUAGUACAAUGAAACAUAGGACUACAUCUAUCCUAGAGUAUAUACAUUUUGAUUUGUGAGGUCCAUUAUCCGCCACCUCUCAAGGUGGGAAUAUGUAUUUUUUAUCCGUAAUUGAUGAUUUUUCAAGAAAAGUAUGGGUAUUUCUUUUAAAACAAAAAUCAUUACUUUUGAAAAAUUUAAGACUUGAAAGACUUUGAUCGAAAAUCAAAUGGAUACAAAGAUUAAAAUUCUAAGGACAAAUAAUGGAUUAGAAUUUUGUAAUGUUAAUUUUGAAAAAUUGUGUAAGGAUGAUGGCAUUUUGAGACAUAAAAUAGUACCAUAUACUUUACAACAAAAUGGUAUAGCUGAGGGGAUGAAUAGGACAAUUCUAGAUAAGGUUAGAUGUACGAUGUUCAAUUCAGGUGUCCCUAGAGUGUUGUGGGAUAGGCUGUUAUGAUAGCGGUUAUAUCAUAGAUAGGACACCAAUUAGUACAUUAGAUGGCAAGACACCUAAAGAAGUGUGGGCAUGUAAAUUGGCUGGCUAUACACACUUAAAAACUUUUGGUUGUGUAGCAUAUUCCCACAAAAGUGUUGGAAAACUUGAGUCUCGAUCCCAUAAAUGUGUUUGCAUGGGAUAUCGUGAAGGAGUGAAGGGGUACUGGCCUUUGGUGAGAGAAAUUGGGGGUUUUAAGAUGAUAACUAGAAGGAAUGUGACCUUCAAUGAAAAUGAGAUGCCUUGCUUAAGUAAAAAGGCCUCUAUUGAGGGUUAGGAAGAGGAAAAUACGAGGCUGCAUGUGGAACUUGAACCUUCACUUGAUCUUGCUGUUGAAAAUGAGAUUGUGGAAGAAUUAGGUGAUGAAACUGUUCAAGAGCCUACUGGUGAGUUAGUGAACCUUUUGAGUGAUGUCAGUUAGCUAGAGAUAAGGUUAGAAGAGAAAUAAGAGAGCCUAUUAGGAUGCAAAACUAUAUGUCACUUGCUGUGUUGUCAUAUAAGGAUUUGACUGUUAAAGAGCCUAAAUCCUAUGAAGAGGCUAUUAGUUGUCGAUUUUCUAAGGAUUGACAGCUUGCUAUGGAGGAAGAAAUGAGGUCCUUAGUAAAAAAUAAGACUUGGAGCUUGGUGCCUAAACUUGAAAAUAAAUCUCUAGUUGACUGUAAGUAGAUUUAUAUUGUUAAAGAAGGCAAUCCCCCUAAUCAACCCCUUAGAUUUAAGGAUAGAUUAAUGGCUAAGGGUAUACCCAAAAACCUGGUAUUGAUUACAGUGAAAUAUUUUCUCCUGUUGUGAAAUAUACUACCAUUAUAGUCAUGCUUGCAUUAGUUUCACAAUAUGAUUUUGAAUUAGAGCCAAUGGAUGUUAAAAUUGCAUUUUUGUAUGGUGACCUUGAUGAAAUCAUAUAUAUGAGAUAGCUAGAAGGGUUCAUUGAUAACAGAAAACCUGAUCAUGUAUGCUUGUUAAAAGAUAACUUUAUGGCCUAAAACAAUCUCCUAGGCAAUGGUAUAAAUGCUUUGAUAACUUUGUAUCUUCAGUUGGCUUUGUAAGAAGUUCUUUUGACCAUUGCUUGUAUUCUAAAAGAAAAGAUAGCAACUGUGUGAGUUUUAUUUGCUGUUAUAUGUGGAUGAUAUGUUAUUGGUUGGCCAAAAAUUGAAUGAUAAGUGAGAUUAAAAGGGUGCUAAGUGCUGAAUUUGAAAUGAAGGACAUAGGGCAUGCUAAAAGGAUUUUAGGGAUGGAUAUUAAGAGGAAUAGGUCACAACAGUUAUUAAUUUUGUCACAAACUGAUUAUAUGAAAACGGUGUUAUCCUAGUUUACUAUGCAUGAUUCUAAAUCUAUGACAUUACCCAUUGCAUGUCAUUUUAAGUUGAGUAAAGAUCAAUACCCACAUAAUGAAUAUGACAUUAAAUAAAUGGAAAAAGUGUCAUAUUCUAAUGUUAUUGGGUCUGUAAUGUACACUAUGGUUUAUACCCGACUCGAUGUUGCACAUGCUCCCUAAAGAUUGGAAUGCAAUGAAAUGAUGAUUAAGGUACCCUAAAGAUUGGAAUGUAAUGAAAUGGUGAUUAAGGUACUUAUAAGGCUCAGCAGACUUAAGCUUAUGCUUUAUAUCUAGUGAAGAGAGAGUUAGUUUAAAAGAAUAUGUAGAUUCCUGUUAUCUCUAUCAUCGGCACAACUACAGCCUAUAUGUUUACUUUGUGUGACACUUGUAUUAAAAAGACCUUAUGGCUAAAAGGUCUCAUAAAUGAGGUAAAUGAAUCUGUUGAUCCUAUUGUUAUAUAAUCUGAUAGUCAAAGUGCUAUACAUUUAUGUAAAAAUUCAGUUUUUCAUGAAAGAACUAAAUACAUAGAUGUAAGAAUGCAUUUUAUAAGAGAUAUUGUGCAAAAAGAAUCUAUCUUGUUGGAGAAAAUCCCUACUCAGUUUAAUCUCACUGAUAUGGAUACUAAGUGCUUCUUUGAAGUAUUAAUACUUGGUAAACUUUGUGUUAGUACAGGUGUAUUUGGCUUGGGGUUGAUGAUCUGGAAGAGUUAUACCAAUUGCUUAAGAAGUCUAUUAUUAUAAUUUCUUUUUCUUUGUGUGUUUUGAUCAUUGGCAUCAAGAGGGAGAUUUAUUGGGCUGUGUGCCAUAUUUUCUUAGUGGUCCAGCUCACUUUGAGCUAUGAUGAUAAAUGGUUAAAAAUACAGAUACUAGUUGAAGCCUUUGUUCAAUAACACAUUGUGUUGGACUCUUUAUGCCCCGGCCCAAACUUGGUAAUACAUGUGUGUUGCUCUGGUCCCUCAGAUCUCCUAAACCUAACAUCUACGAUGAUGACCAUGCCUAUAUAUUCUUGGUCUAAGACUUUUGCCUUACUUGAUCUUUCAUUUUCUCGUGUCUCUUGGGAUGUUUCUUUGAGAAGCUUCUGGAUCUCUCUUCUUUUUCGAGAUUGUGUAUCUCUACCUUUCAUUUUCUUUGUGAAACUUGUUCUUUAGUCAUUAAACUUCUAGUUUUUUGGCUGAUUUGUGAGUGAGGAGUUUUGAUGAUUCUUCGAUUUGAAUUGGAAAGGUUUUUCUGUUAAGUUUGGAGAUUCUUUAGGACCAUUGUAGUGACUGUCUCUGUAUUUUGUUUAAGGCUGUGGUUUUUUUUGUGAGUUUAUACACUUUGUACGUACAGGUACAAGGUUAGUCUGAGCCCAAUCGAUGAGAACUUGAUAUUUUUAUGUGUAGUCUGUGUUCUGCAAUCUUGGUGGCUUAUUUUGGGAGAAAUCUUGUGUGAUUUCGUAUGAAUGCCAUGAAGUUUUGUAUAUUGGACCGUUCUUUGAUUCCAUUGAUAUAGUGAUAUCCUUCUGGUGGCAGAUACUCAAAAGAGAUUAGGAACAUCGGUUAUGAACCUCUUGCCUUAGGGAAAAAAUCAUCGUGUUCCUUUUUUGUUUCUUUCUGUUUUUUGUUGUUAUUUUUAUUUUUGUUGAGUUUUGAAAGUGGCUAAUUGAAUCACUCGUAACAGUGGUAUCAGAAUGGUAAAUGGUGGUUCUUGGCUCUAGUUUGGUAGAUUUGAUAGACUUUGUACUUGUUCGAUAGAUCUUUGUUAUUUUCUUGAAAACCUAAUAAGGGAGUCCGGUGAGUUCGUUCCUAUUUUCGAGUUACAGUUUACAAUAAUUGCUUAUAUUUUUUGAGAACCUUGCAACUAUAGUUAAAUCCCUAAAUCAAAGACUUUCUUGGCAAUUUCUUUGUCCGAAAGCCCUAUGAGUUGUUUGGAAUCUAAGGGUUGUCUUGGAUAUAAGUCAAUGGUUUAGACUUCUUUCAUGUUCUUGCAUGUGUUCUUUACAUUCUGUAUAUAGCAUGCUGUGUUUUUGUAUAUUUGUUACUUGAUGUUUAGUUUUUGAGUAAAUUGCUUGAUUCUUGAUGAAUGAGCUCCUGAGAUCUUUCUGAACAAUUUGUACUAUAAAACUUGUCUGUGCACUUUAAAUUUGUUUACUAUAUAUUAUAUUUGAGCUCUUGCAAGUUGUAUAAACUAUUGACGACUUGUGUGAUAUGCUUAUAGUGUUGUCAUUCAAACCGUGUUUUGACCAUUAUUACUAAAGUUGAACUGAAAAUUUUUUAUGGUAAAGGAGACUUUGUCUUAGGCAUCAAAAAUUAAGAGCCCUUUUAUUUCAACAAAAAUGUGCUAAGGCCAUUGCGGAGUCAUGGCCAAAUGAUUUUGAAGAAACCAAGAAAACUAAACUUGAUGAAAUUGCUUGGAGCUCCAUUUUUUUGCAUUUGUCUGAUAAUGUGUUAAGAGAGAUUGCUGAGACAAAAACUGAUGCUAAACUGUGGAAGAAACUAGAAGAUACUUACUUGAAUAAAUCUAUGCCUAAUAAAGUGUGUCUUCUGAAACAAUUCUUUGGUUUCAAAUUGAACCCAUCUCUUGAUCUUGAGGCAAACAUUGACAGAUUUAAUAGACUAUCCUGUGGCCUGGCUAACUGUGAUGAGAAACUCUCAAAAGAUCAGUUGGAUAUGGUUUUGUAAAUUCAAUCAUCGAUAAAUGUAAAGAUGUUAAGAGUACUAUUGAAUUUGGGUGGGAGACUAACUACAAAUGUGAUAAUAAAUGUUGAUGGCUAAGUCCAAACCAAAUCCAAAUCCAAAUCCAAAAAAUGCCAACUUUAAUAAGAAAACAAGACACAAGAAAAAGAUGAACUAUAAAGAUAAAAUGAAAACCAAGACAAAGGGUAAAAAAAAUGUUUUUAUUGUCUAGGAGAAAGUCAUUUUAUCAAAGAUUGCCAUAAGAGACCUAAUGAUUUGAAGAACUAGUCUAAAAAUGAUAGAGGUGUUGCUUUGGCCUAUAAUAAUGAGUCCAACAUAGAUGAAGUGUAUGUUGUUGUCCAUAGUCCACCUAGUCAAGAGUGGAUCCUUGACUCUGGUUGCACCUUCCACAUGUUUCCUAAAAGAGAAUGGUUUAUUGAGUUUGAAAAUGUAACCGGUGGUAAGGUUUUAAUGCGUAAUUACAUGGCAUGUCAGGUUAAAGGAAUAGGAACAAUCACUUUUAAAGUAAAAAGAAAUAAUAAACUAGUCUUGGAAAAGACUAGAUAUGUUUCUGAUUUACGAAGAAAUCUUAUUUCUUUAGGGAUUUUAGAUGACCUAAACUAUGACAUAUUGAUUAACAAGGGAUACAUUAAAAUCUUAAGGGGUUCACAAGUAAUUGUUGAAGCCCCAAAGAGACAUGGCCUAUACAUUUUACAUACUGAAAAUCUUUUAGAGUCCACAUCAACAGCAAUCUCAGUCCAAAAUGAUAAGUCACAUAUAUGGCAUAAAAGAUUGGGCCAUAUUAGUGACAAAGGGCUACAGAUUUUGAAAAANNNNNNNNNNNNNNNNNNNNNNNNNNNNNNNNNNNNNNNNNNNNNNNNNNNNNNNNNNNNNNNNNNNNNNNNNNNNNNNNNNNNNNNNNNNNNNNNNNNNNNNNNNNNNNNNNNNNNNNNNNNNNNNNNNNNNNNNNNNNNNNNNNNNNNNNNNNNNNNNNNNNNNNNNNNNNNNNNNNNNNNNNNNNNNNNNNNNNNNNNNNNNNNNNNNNNNNNNNNNNNNNNNNNNNNNNNNNNNNNNNNNNNNNNNNNNNNNNNNNNNNNNNNNNNNNNNNNNNNNNNNNNNNNNNNNNNNNNNNNNNNNNNNNNNNNNNNNNNNNNNNNNNNNNNNNNNNNNNNNNNNNNNNNNNNNNNNNNNNNNNNNNNNNNNNNNNNNNNNNNNNNNNNNNNNNNNNNNNNNNNNNNNNNNNNNNNNNNNNNNNNNNNNNNNNNNNNNNNNNNNNNNNNNNNNNNNNNNNNNNNNNNNNNNNNNNNNNNNNNNNNNNNNNNNNNNNNNNNNNNNNNNNNNNNNNNNNNNNNNNNNNNNNNNNNNNNNNNNNNNNNNNNNNNNNNNNNNNNNNNNNNNNNNNNNNNNNNNNNNNNNNNNNNNNNNNNNNNNNNNNNNNNNNNNNNNNNNNNNNNNNNNNNNNNNNNNNNNNNNNNNNNNNNNNNNNNNNNNNNNNNNNNNNNNNNNNNNNNNNNNNNNNNNNNNNNNNNNNNNNNNNNNNNNNNNNNNNNNNNNNNNNNNNNUUUGGGUAUUGAAAUUAAAAGAAAUAGAAGAGAGGGCACACUAAGUCUCAAUCAAAAAACUUAUGUUUUGAAAUUACUUGAAAAUUUUGCUAUGUUUGAUACUAAAAGUGUGAGUUCACCUUUAGCAAAUCACUUUAAAUUGUCAAGUGAUCAAUAUCCCUAAACUAAAGAUGAGUUUAAAAGAAUGGCUAGAGUGCCAUAUUCAAAUGCAGUUGGGUCUGUUAUGUAUCUAAUGAUCUGCACAAGGCCUGAUUUGGCAUUUUCAAUAAGUGCAUUGAGUUGAUACAUGUCUAAUCCUAGUAAAGUUCAUUGGGAAGCCACGAAAUGACUUCUUAGGUACAUUAAAGGAACUUGUAACCUAGGUAUUGAGUAUAGAAAACAAUCUGAGGGUGUUAUCUUGAGGGAUUACACAGAUUCUGACUAUGCAGGUGAUAGGGACAAUAGGAAAUCAGCUUUUUCCUAUAUAUAUAUAUAUAUAUAUAUAUAUAUGAAUUUGGCUUUAUAAAUGAUGCUAUCUUAUACUCUAUUAGCCAAUCCGCCAAUUAUUUAAGCAGAAAUCCUAUUUUACAUAAUAGAUCCAAACAUGUUGAUGUGAAAUUUCAUUUUAUUAUAAAUGUAAUUUCUCAAGAUGUUGUAAAACUGGAAAAGAUAUCUACUCACUUUAAUCCUGCGAAUGUUGGAACUAAGUACUGCCUUUAAACAAGUUUUUGGGUUAUUUAAGUCAGCUGAAUAUUAACUCUUGCUAUAGGAAUAAGAGCAAAUGAUGUAAUGCCUGGAGGAGUCACUAUAAAUGAUGUUGGAAUCAUUGUACCAAGGUGGAGAUUGUAGAGGAAUGGCACAAUGAUGUUGGGUUGGCCCUUUCUUGAAUUGUUGAACUUGUAGGUCGGGUUUUAAUUAACAAAUGGUGCAGAUUUUUUUUGGCAAAAAUGUGUUAUUGAAACAUGACUUCUCUAAAUAAGAAUAGUUGUACCUGAUCUCGUCAAGUGUCUCUUCCUCCAACGUUGGAUGAAUGACCUUCUAGUGCCUUCCAUAUUAACUUGGCACUUGAGAUGCAAGACUUUUCAUUCUCUCGUCUCUUGAACUCUCUCCAUUAGUUCUUUGUCUUUCUCUCUACUACAUUGAAAUUUAGCCCCCCUUUUUGAUGAGAUAUUAUCCAGCCAUUUGUAUAGAUCUUGAGUGAUUUUGUAUAGGUUGAUAUUUCAAUUUUCUUGAGUGAAUGUUGUAUUUUCAGUGAGGCUUAUUUUGGGAGAAAUCUUGUGUGAUUUAAUCUUAGUGCUAUGGAUUUUUUUAUACAGGACCGUUCAUCGAUUCCAUUGAUAUAGUGAUAUCCUUCCGGUGGCGAAAGCUCAAAAGGGGUUAGGAACUCCGAUUCUGAAUCGCUUGCCCUAGGGCUAAAUUCAUUGUGUUCCUUUUUUGUUUCUUUCUAUUUUCUGUUGUUAUUUUCAUUUUUUGUUGAGUUUUGAAAGUGGCUAAUAACUUGAAUCACUCGUAACAUUAUAAGUAAUUGUGUUUCGUAAAUCAAUAUAAAAAUUCAGCUGUGAACCAAAUAUCGUGUUAGAAAAAUUGGUAAAUGUAAAAGUACGAAAUCUGAAGAAUAGGAAUUUGCACUUUAAAUGCAUGCCUAUAAUAAGGAGAUAACCAAGUUAAUUUGACUUUAGAGGUAACCUUUGGAACUAUUUCGGAAGCAAUUGCUGUCAAUCUCAAGUUUUCCAUCAACAUAAACUCUUAAAUUUUCCAACUGUGUUAUCUUGGUAAUAAUGCAACCACAUUAACUCCCUAAAGAUUCUCUUUUUUCAACAAUCCAUGACAACUAGUCGAUGAACAUACAUUCAACUUUUUUAUAACAGUUGGAGUCACUUUCCAUCAAGUGCUGAGCCAAAAAAUGAUGCUAAGAUUGGCUUAAAUUUAAAAAUUUUCAAAUGAAUAAACAUGACAAGAGGCUAAACUCAUAUGACAUUCACGACAAAAAGUGUGCAACACUCCAUGAAAUAGAAGAACUCUAAAUGCUUCAUUUGAAGAUGUUCCGCUAAACUUUUUAUAUUUUCUUACCAAAUAAAAAAUCGAUGCUUACAUUAAAAAAAUAUAAACUAACCGAACCAUGAUCCAAAUAAGCAAAUGAUACAUAUCAACCAAUGAAAAAUAUUAAAUUAUUUAAUGAAUACUAUUCCAAAUAAAUUUGAUAACAAGUAUUUUCAAAAACCUGAAAGCUUUGGUUAUAACACGCAAUCAAUAAUGCAUCACUAUAUGUUAUUGUCUCAAAAUAUUGUUUGGUAUAGACAAUAAUCUUCUAUAUUAUUUCAUUUCAUGGUGAAGAAUCAUAUCUAAAGAGAAAAAUUGCCUAAUAAUUAUGAGGGUUCAAAGAAAUUAGAUUUAAUCAUGUCCAUAUUUUGAUCAAUUUCAAGAAUAUACUUAUAUGUAGAUUAAUUUAUAAAUAAAUAAAUUUUAACAAAUAUUUUUUUAUUGAUGAGAUCAAAUGUAGAGAAGUUAUUUAUUUUGAUUGUAACAUCUAUUUCAUGGUCAAAAUCAAUAAUUUGUUCUUAUAAAUAUGAAUAAGUAAUAUAUGAAAACAUAUGUAAAAAUAAAAAAAUUAAGUUUCUUUUAAGCUUAGCAAAACAUGCAGUGUCUAGUGUUUCUAAUUAUUAAAAUAAAUCAUUUUUGGAUCUGAUUAUUACAAAUUUUCUAUUAUAAAAAUUACAUAAUUACCAUAAGUAAAUUUAGUCAAACAUGCAUUAAAUAAAAUGCUUAAUUUAAAAAUAAGAUAUUCACAUUUCAUAAAUGUCAUGGAAAUAGUAUUUAAUAAUUGUAGCCUCUUCGACAAGAUUUGAUUGAUUAAGCAUUGAGUUUGUGUUAGAAUUCAAACUAAAGUUGGGUUAACACAAAUAGUGCUGAGGGGUUGGGCUGGACUAGACUAAAGCCCAUCCCAGCCCCCCACUACCUCUGCCCGUGCUUCCCAUUAUUUGUAAAUAGUUUUAUCUGUCUUUGUAGUAGAUUUAAAAAUUUUAAUAAGCAACACUGUUCUUUUCAAUCAGAAAACAUUGAAUUCCAUAGAAGCAUGCAAAAAAUAAUUGUUUAGAUGCUAAGUUUGUUUUUAUUAUUAUUUUUAAUUGAAAUAUAAAUAUAUUUGACUACUCAUAUGCUUUUACAUUACAAGUAAAAGAGAUGAACAUAAACCUUACUUUUAAUUCAUUGCAAUGAUUCAACUUUGUAUUUCUCACUAAUAUUUUGAUGACAAUUACCAUUAAUAUACGGACCCCAUUUAUAUUCCUACGAUUUCGAGGAGUCAACUUUUGUGUUUUGGAAUAUCCAUCAUCACUUAUUGACACUAACUCAAAAAUUUUCAUGGAUAUAUUCUCCUUUUCAACAUUCCAAGGACAUAAAAUGAUUAAAGAAAUAAUAUGAUUGAAUACUAAUUCAAAAAAUUUAUAUUUAUUUUCCUUUUCUGCAUUCCAAUUACGUAAAAAGACAAAAGAAAUAAUAUGAUUCAACACUAAUUCAGAAUUUAUAUAAUAACUUAUUUUUCCAUUUAAGAACUACAACAGCAUAAAAUUAUAAUGAAUAAUAAUCUUCAAAAAUAAAUUAUUUUUUAGUAAGUUUAUAACUAAAAGAAAUUAUUACAUGAUAUUGAAUUUAAAAAUUAAAUUUAUCAUCUAGUAAGUUUAUAAGUAAUUUUGAAUUGUGAAUUAAUAAAAAUAGUCAUUGGCUAUGUACAAAAUAUCAACGGUGAAAACCAAAUAGAUGUAAAACAAUGAAAACCAACUAGGUGGUAUUAUAACAAUCCAUUCAUUAAAUGCAUGCCUAUAAGAUCUAAAAAAUUUAUUGAGCAACACAGUUCUUUUCAAUCUGAAAACAUCAAAAAAUAAAAUAAAAAUAAUAAUAAUAAUAAUAAUAAUAAUAAUAAUAAUAAUAAUAAUAAUAAUAAAAAAAAAUUGUCUAGAUGCUAAGUUUUUUAUUGGAACAAAAAUAUAUUGGUCUAAUCAUAUGCUUUUCCAGCAUAAAUAAGAGAGAUGCACAUGAACCUUACUUUAAGUUUGCAACUAUUCUACUUUGUAUAUUUCACUAAUAUUUUGAUGAUAUUUGGACCCCAUUUAUAUACCUACAAUGUUGAGCAGUCAACUCUUCGUGCUAUUGAAUGUACAUGAUCCUUCAUCGACGACUCUAACUAAAAAAAUUAAUAUUAUUUUUUUCUCCUUUUUGGCUUUUCCAACGACAUAAAACAAUUAAUAUAAUAAUUAUAGUCAGGUUAAUAAUGAGACGCGGAUAUUGUUUAAGGCGAAGAAAAUUAUUUUUUACAUAACAGGGAAGUGAUUGGAGUUAGGAAAAUUUGCAGGUAUUACAUGAUAUUAACUUCAACAAUUAAAUUUAGUGCCCACUAAGUUCAUAAGAAAUUGUGAUUUGUGAAUUGAUAAAAAAUAGCCACUAGCUGUUUAAAAAUAUCAAGCGAGAAAUAUCCAAGUGACAUAAAACUAUGAAACCUGACAAGGUGCUAUCAUAACAAUUUGUACAUUAUUAUUAUUAUUUUUUAAUAACAAAAAAGUUCUUUUCAAUCAGAAUAUAUUGAAUUCCACACAGACCUUGUAAAAAAGAAUUGCUUAGGUGCUAGGUUUUUUAUUGAAACAAAUAUAUAUUUGAAUAAUCAUUUUCUUUUCCCAUAUAUAUAAAAGAGAUGCACAUAAAACUUUCUUUGAAUUCUUUGCAGUGAUUCUACUUUGUAUCUGUCACUAGUAUUUUGAUGACAAACAUAAAUAUUAGAACCCCAUCUGUACACCUACAAUGUUGAGCAGUCAACUCCCAUCUUAUGUAAUGUACAUCAUCACUCCUCUAGGACACUAACUCACAAAAUUUACAUUAUUUUUUCUCCUUUUGACAUUCCAAUGACAUAAAAAAGGACAAACAAAAUAAUAUGAUUCAACACUAAUUCAAACAAUGUCAAUUUAUUUAUUUUCCUUUUUUGGCAUUCCAAUGGCAUAAAUAGUGAACAUAACAUUAUGCUUGAACUUUAAUUGAUUUCAUAUUAAGCCAAUCUGGAAUGAGCUUUAAGAGGGGUACUAACUUGCCGCUUCUCUAGGCAUUAUUAUUAGCUUAUUGCAUGAGCUUUACAAACACUAAAAUGUGUCUCAAGAUUGACUUGAUCAGCUAAUGAACCAAUUUUAAAAACCAAUAUCUCAUUGCAAGAAUCAAAAUCAAUAAACUUUCCAAAACAAAAAAAUGAAAUGAGAAAAAAAAUAGCCAUAGGAAUCAAUCAUUAGACUGGAGUCGAAAAGAGAGCAUAAAUGCAACCAUUUUUCCCAGAAAGUAAAAGAAACACCAAAGCAAAAUAAAAAAAAUAAAAAUCAGUUAAAUGGCUGAUUGAAUGGGGAGAAAAAGGACUGAAUGGCUGAUUCAACGGUUGAUGGCUACUUUCUGGAAGAGAAUGGUUUGGUCAAAAUGUGGGAACAAGGAAAACGAAUGAAAAGGAAAAGAAAAAGAUAGAAAAGGGAGAGAUGAACAAUGUUUAUUCUCCAAUCACAUAUGUUGCAUAAUCUUGCAUAAUUUGUCAAUGUGUAUCUUUUUUUUUUUUUUUUUUUUACUCAUUUCUCUCUGCGUUAUUUAUGAGUAUAUUGUCAGUCUUCAUUUGUUAUUCGUUAAAAUAAAUAAAUAAAUAGGAGAGUUAGCAUUUAGUUUACAGAGUUGAAAAGAUUAUGAGUUUAGGGGAGCAAAUUUGGAAACUCGAAUUUGAUAUUUUUCCGUCACUAUUAUUGACAGAGCAGAACUUGUUUCCCAUCACUAUUAUUGAUCGAUAUUUGACUCUUCGUCUUUAUGUACAAUAUUCUGGUGGCACAUAAGAUGAAUGACGUUUAGACAUAUAAAAAUAAAAGAGGAAGUAUUUUAAAUUGACUUCUUUCUCUUGUGCCAAUCUCAAAAACUCUUCCAUCAUCUUUGGUGGAUGCAAUACGAGCAAACAAAUAUUCACCCACGGCAUGACUUCACUUAUUAAAAAAAAAAACAAGAAUUCCCCGUGUAAUCUAUAAACUUUUUGAAACAAUAAUAAUCUUGAGAAAGUUUUGAAAGUCCAGGACUUGGAUCAGCAACUAUUGAUGAAGAGAUAUGAAGAUGCUCUGGCUUCACUUGUGAGAGAACAGGGGGUUAUUAAGGUUGUCUGAUGUUACCCAACUGAGAAUUGUCAUUUUUUGACAUAGCAAACAAUUGAAUUGGAGAAUUAUGUCUGCAGCAAAGUUGUAGCCCUUUGAGUUAGCUUGCAAUGCAUCUUGAAUCGUCUCAAUUGGACAUCAGGAGAGAAAGUUAUGCUAAAAAUAUUGAAAGAGGUGCGUGCUGUGUGUUCGAAAAGUGGCGCCGCGGCGGCGAGAGAUUCAAAGAGGUGGCGCAGUGGCUCUGCAGCCCCACCACCUAUUGUUUUGACGUGGCACUGUGGUGCCACAUUCCAGACAUUGUUGUGCCACCAAUCCGUAACCUAAGCGAAAUUUCAGUCCAUUUUGGAAUCCAAAGGAAAACCCUAUUCUUCAUAUACGGAAGGGGACCUAUAAAUAUGAAAAUUCCACACAUUAGAAGGGGUUCUACACAUUUGAGAGGCAAAAACACAUCUUGGGAGAAAGAGGGAGAAAUUCAAAGGGAGAAAAAAUGACUUUUUCAUCGUGUGAAGCAUCAAUUGGAAGAGGAAGGAAUUCUUGGUGUAAGAUCCACUUUUUCUUCUACAUAUUUAAUUCUCAAUCUAGUGAUAUACUCUAAGACAAGUUGUUGUUGCUCUUCUUUUAUUAUGCGUAGCUAAAUCCAUUGUUAGGGCGAAUAAUGUAACCCAUUUGAGAUCCUUUACAUUUUCUUAUUAAGAUUCUUGUUUUUUAAUUUUUUUCAUUUAUUGAUUUCUGCUAUGAAUUGAUUGCAUUAAAUUAUCUGAUCAAUAAUUUGAUGAAUUUUGUGAAUCAUUUACGAAUAGAGAUACGAGUUUAGGAUUUAGACCAUGUAGUAAAAUUCAACACAUUGGUAUAACGAGUAGAGAUAUCUAUGUCAUUUAUUGCGGUCAUAAUUGAAUUAUUAGGACAAAGAACUUGUUUAGCUAAGGUAAAUUUGCAUAGAGAUAUGAAAUUUAAUUAGUUGAAUAAACUCAAUGAGAACUUGAAAGGGGUAAAUUAAAUACAAUAAGAGAAUUCGAUCGAACACUAUAUUAAAAUUGAGUCUUAAUUUGAGAUGUAAAGGUGAUCAAUAGGUGAAAUUAUUUUGCCCUAACGUUCUCUAAUUAUUUGAUCUUGCAAAUAAUUGUCUGGGCAUUUAUUUAUUGUCUAGAAUUAAGAUUUAAACUUAAAUCACUAUAACUUUUAGUUUGUCUUCAUCAAAUAGUAGUUAAAGGAAAAUUGAAUUAAGUGCUAAAAAAUAGUCCUUGUGGGAUCGACAAUCCAGACUCUUAGGUCCACUAUUACUUGUUACGAUUCGUACUCUUGCGAAAUUAAAAUUAAAAACAAAUUUUUGACGCCGUUGUCAGAGACUAUUACUUUUAGUCUUAAUUUAUUUUUAUUUUUAACUGUUAUUUGAUUUGUUUAUUUCUUUUAUUUACAGAAAAUUGUGUUCAUUGUAUGCUCUGUGCCCAAGGCGACGAUAUUGAACCAUUUGAUUCGGAGAUAGAACGUACCUUCAGACGAAGACACAAAGAACACAAACAAAAAUAGCAACAUCAAAUGGCUGACAAUUAAUAAAUCCCUAUCACUAUUCAGCCGAUUAGACAAAUGGCCGCAAGAGUGGUGGUACCAUCGGAGCAGCAGCAUGAGCGAGGCGAAAUAAAUGAAAAUGAUUUGUUAAUAUCAAUGUUCCGGACUCCUAUAGCAGUAUCCGUGCACUCCAGUAUUGUGUAUCCAGAUUUUGGGUUGAAUAACUUUCAAAUCAGGCUAGAUUGGAUUAAUUUGAUGAGCAAUACUCUCCAAUUCUACGGGUUACCUCAUGAAAUAUCCGAACACUAAUAUCGCCAGAUUUCUCAGAAACUGUCAGAACUUCCAUACUCCGGGAGUCAAUGAAGAUGCUAUUAAACUAUGAUUAUUUCCAUUUACAUUGAGACAUGCUGCAUUGGAGUGGUAAAAUGCGGAGCCUCAUGGGAGCAUUACUACAUGGAAAGAACUGACCAAAAAAUUCUGCAUCAAAUUCUUCCCACCGACCAGAGUAGCUAAAAUCAGAUUGGAAAUUCAAGAAUUUCAACAGAAAGAGGGAGAAAGCUAUCACGAGGUAUGGAAUAGAUUUAAUGAGCUGAUGAGAAAAUGUCCAAACCAUAGAAUCACUCUAGGAAACUAAGUGCAGUACUUCUACACCGGACUUACACCACUGUCAAAAUCUCAAGUUGAUGCCUCCGCUGGUGGAUCAAUCAUAGGAAAAUCAGUGCAACAAACCAUGGACCUAUUUGAGUUAAUUGCCACCACAUUCAAUGUUCUCAUAAAAAAGAGUGGUAUCACCAAAGGCAGCUGGAAUGUUUGAAUUAGACAGUACAACAUCUGUCAAUGCAUAGAUAGCAGCUUUACCAAAAUAUGUAGAGUUACUUGCAAAAUUGCUAACACAUGGAGCAAAUGCAAUGAUAACCAGUUCAACAUGUGAGAAUUGUGGGAGAAAUCACUCUACAUGGAUCUGCAUGAUGCUCACUUCUUCAGAGGAACAAGUAAACUUUAUUCAAAAUAGCUCCCAUAAUUUCAACUCAUAUGGGAACAAUUUCCAGCAAGAAAGAAGACCAAGUUUAGGGGAGAUGUUUCAACAAUAUAUGCAGAAGACGGACAAGAUAUUCCAGCAAAUUGACACGAACUUUCAAAAUGAAUAGGCAUCCAUCAAGAAAUUGGAGACACAAAUUGGUCAUAUAGCACAAAAACUUGCAGAACGUCCAUAAGGGACUUUGUGAGGUAAUACAAUGAUAAAUCCUAAGGAACUGGUGAUAGCAAUCAAAAUAGUAGAGAACGAUCUACCCAGGGCCCCCGUGAAAGUUAAAGCGUAUGUACCUCCACUUCCGUUUUCCCAAAGACUUCGAAAGAAGGCGAUGGAGCAAAAUAUUCAUGUCAUAAUUACAAAGAGCGGGGUACAAUUGCCAGAGAUCACUACAGAGAGACCCAAAAAAAGAUGACCCUGCCAAAACACCAAGUCUAGACAAAGCUUACAUGCCUCCUAUUCCCUUUUCUCAAAAGCUGAAGAAGAUCAAAUAAGACACAAAUUAUGAAAAAUUCCUCAGUGUUCUCAAGAAGCUCCAGAUCAAUGUUCCGUUCAUUGAUGCGAACUACAAAUUUCAAGCUAUACAAAAUUUUUGAAAGAAAUGUUGACAAAGAAAAUAAAGCUUUUGAGUUUGAAACUAUGGCAUUAACUGAGGAAAGUAGUGCAAGAGUCUAGAGCAAAUUGCCUCCUAAAUUGAAGGAUACAGGGAGUUUUAUUUUACCAAUUUCAAUUGAAAAUUCUUGUCCAAUUAAUGCACUGUGUGACACUGGUGCUAAUAUCAAUCUAAUGUCGUAUUCUACUUACAUAAAAUUGGGACUAGGUGAAGUUAACUCAAUAUCAAUAACGUUACAACUAGCUGAUAGAAUAAUCGCAAGGCCACGUGGCAAAGUUGAAGAUGUACUCGUAAAAGUAGGAAAUUUCAUAUUUUCUGUGGAUUUCAUUGUAUUGGACAUACCAGAAGAUUGAGACAUUCCAAUUAUAUUGGGUCGGUCAUUCUUAGCAACGGGACGAACCCUUAUUGACAUGGAGAAGGGAGAACUAAUCUUGAGGGUAGAGGACAAGCAGAGAUAUUCAAUAUUUACACCCAGUAUGAGAAACCUCCCAAUAAAAAUGAUUGUUGUAGAAUUGAUGAAGAAGGGCCACCUAAUCAACGAAGCAGUCAGAACAAAAACCAAAUUUUGGGAAACUUCUUGGUAGAGAUGAGAAUGGACAAAUCAAAAUCUGGAGAGCAAAAAAAGGUUGCAUAAAUAAAAAUUGCACGAAGUGCAAUGAUGGAAUAACUUGAUUUGAGCCACCAUGAUAAAUCAGUGGCACAAGUCAAGCUAAUGACUUAAAAAAAGCAAUUUUUGGGAGGCAACACAAGCUUUUAUUUUAUUUUAUUCAUUUUGUUUUCAAAGUUCUAGGAUAGUUUAAUUUAUAGUUUAUUCAGGAAUCAUCACCCAUACCUCUUUUACCCAUAGGUCUUUGAGUAAUUAAAUUGGUUAUUAGAUGUUUAAGCUAAGUAAUUCUUGUUCCAUGAUUUUAAUUUUUUCAAAUUUAAUUUUUCAGAAACAUGACGUCGCAGAACACUCAAACCAACAUGUACAUGGAGAAAAUGGGACAAAUCUCAAGUUUGCAAGAGGAUGUGGAAGAAGAGUCGAUCAAAUGCAACACCAAGGUACCACAAUAUCAUAGGCAAUACCAACAUUUCAGGAAAGCCUCCUCAUUUUCCUUUAAAUUUCACAUUGAGGACAAUGUUUAGUCUAAGUAUGGGGGAGUGUAUUAUUAUUAAUUUCCCUAUUGCCUACCUAAAAUUUUUGGGUGAGUUGGACAGUUUGACUUACAAUUACGUUUUACUUUGAGAUUUGGUGUUGAUUUAUGAACUGCGGAUAGGAUGCAUGCUAGAUUAAUUGAAACUCAACCUUACAAAACUUGAUAUUAUAUGUGCACUAGAAUUGAGUCUGACUCUAAUGAAAUAAGUUGAUUCAUUUGUUAGAUACGUUGAUUUAAUUGGAUAUAGAUGCUUUACCUAAACCAUAAUAAAUUAUAUAUCCUUAGACCAAAUUUAGCAUAGUUUGGGAGUGAUUUUACAGUUGUAGGAAGAUGCGGAUGUGAAUGUGGAUUCCAUGUGUGAAAUUUAUGUGUGGAUUGUCUUAGACUAACAUGAUAAAACAUGGCGAAAGUCUUAAACUAAAGGUCAGUUUGUUUGAAUAAGUGUAUAAAAUGGGCAUUGCACUAAUCAAUGUAUAUAAAUUUGAAAUCUAAAAAAUUCUCUUUGAAAUCUUCAUGACUUGAGUAAUUAAGUCUGCAAGGGUAUCUUAAAACCUGGUGCCCUAAAGUCUUCUGUCUUGGGAGUCAUCGACCUAAAACUCGCUACGUGGGUCAUUUAGAAGGCAAUAAAAGAUGAAGCUACACUUGAAACAAAAAUUGGUUCUCUUCGAAACCUUUUUGACUCGGGUUAGUAAGCUUGUAAGAGUGUUUAAAACCUGAUGUCCUAAAAUCAUCUGAUUUGGGAGUUAUCGGCCUAAAGUCUGCUACAUGGGUCAUCUAGAAAGCUUAAUGGAGAGAAUGAAAAAAAAAAAAAAAAAAAAAAGAGCAAAAGUACUAAAUAUCUUGAUUAAGCCCUUACACUUAUUUGAGAGAAUUUGACUUUUGAUAAAAGACAAUUAGCUAGUUGAGUCGUGACGGUCGAAGCAAUCAAAUAAUUGAAUAAUUUCUGUUUACUGAAGUGUUGACUUGUAACUCAUAAUGUCCACCUAAACUCGAGAAGGUAAGAAUAGUAAUGAAAUAUUCAACCUUAUAUUACACACUAAGAAUGAGUGAAAAAGAAUAAGUUUGGGGUGUGUGAAUCAUACGAGUGAUGAACGGACAUAUAUGACCAUUAAGGGUCGGGAAUUGAAACAACUUGAGCAGUCAUGGUUGAUUUCUUAAUUCUUCACACACACACAUCGAUUUUGCACUGGAAGAGUAGAUAUCGAUCUAGUAUAGUGACUCUGAAGCAUGUUUGUAGAAUAAAUAUCAAAAUCUUGAAUCCUGAGGUAAAAAGCUUGAUUGUCUAACUAAUUACCCCUGCAUGAUUGUGUGUUGGUAGUUAUUUAGAUGAUGAUUUUGUUUGAGGACAAACAAAUAUUUAAGUUUGGGGGUAUUUGAUAAGUGUAUUUUAUACACUUAUUCAAAGCGUUAAAAUGAUGAUAUUUAGUUGCUUCUCGAAUGAAUUAUGGUUUAAAUUUUUACAUUUUGUGUUGAAUAGGUAAAGUUCAAUGACGGUACAAGGAAUUGAAGAAAGAAGCAAAAGUGGACAAAAUUGGAGAAAACUGCUAAGUUAAAAGAGAUCCAAAGUUCUGGGACUAAAGUGCAAAUACUUCAAAGUUGAGUUGGACCUCAUGAUGAAGAUUUAAGAGCGCUCAGAGUCGAUUGGAUGAAGAAAGAUGUCAAAGGGAUCAAAUUUAGGCAAAAUAUGAUCAUAAAUCAAUUUCCAACCUAAAAGUUAUGCUCUGGAAUUUCAGUAUCACAUUGAGACCCAUUUUUGACAUAGUAAACAAUCGAAUUGGAGUAUGAUGUCUAAAGCAAAGUUAUAGCGGUCAAGGAUAGCAUUGCUAUCGAUGCCUCCACGAGUGCUCAUAAUAUGCAAUGAGGUCUCCUCUGUCGUGUGAGUCUCGACCAAUGUGUAGUUGCCAAAUGCAUAAGGAAAGUGCACGUUUAUGAGACCUUAGUUGGGAUACAUAGGGGAGCGAUUUACUGAACAUAGGUGCUUACUUAUUAUAGAUUAUUUUAGCCUUUUUUGCCCUUUGGGUUAUCUUUUCAAUACAUCUUGAAUCGCCUCAAUUGGACAUCGGGAGAAAAAGUUAUGCUAAAAAUAUUGGAAAAAGGUGCGUGCUAUCUGUUUGAAAAGUGGUGCCGCGGCGCCCGGGAGAUUCAGAGACCAUGGCACUGUAGUACCACCACCUGUUCUUUUGAUGCAGCGGUACGGUGCCACAUUCCAGGCGCCACGAUGCCACCAAUCGGUAACCUAAACAGAAUUUCGGCCCAUUUUGGAGUCCAUAUGAAAACCCUAUUCUUCAUACACGGCAAGAGACCUAUAAAUACGAAAAUUCCACACAUUAGAAGGGGUUCCACACGUUUGAGAGGCAAAAACACAUCUUGGGAAAAAGAGGGAGAGAUUUAAAGGGAGAAAAAAAUGACUUUUCAUCGUGUAAAGCAUCGAUUGGAAGAGGAAGGAAUUCUUGGUGCAAGAUCCACUUUUUCUUCUACAUAUUUAAUUCUAAAUCUGGUGAUGUACUCUAAGACAAUUUGUUGUUGCUCUUCUUUUAUUAUGCGUAGCUAAAUCCAUUGUUUGGGCGAAUAAUGUAACUCAUUUGAGAUCCUUUAUAUUUUCUUAUUAAGAUUCUUGAUUUUUAAUUUUUCCAUGUGUUGAUUUUUGCUAUGAAUUGAUUGCAUUAAAUUAUCUUAUCAAUAAUUUGAUGAAUUUUGUGAAUCAUUUACGAAUAAAGAUAUGAGUUUAGAAUUUAGACCAUGUAGUAAAAUCCAGUACAUUGGUAUAAUGAGUAGAGAUACCUAUGUUAUUUAUUGAGGUCAUAAUUGAAUUCUUAGGACAAAGAACUUAAACCAUUUCUAAUAAUAUCAAGUCUUAUUCCUAUUUUGGCAUUUUUCAUUUCCGGGAUUUUAGCCCCGAUUAGGAAAGAGUCUGGGCCUUGUCUUAAUCCCAAUGUGGCUGAUCAUCCUCUCGGACCAACUACUGAUCAUUGCCUUAGUAAGCUAUUGCCUCACCAACUAGCUAAUCAGACGCAAGCCCCUUCUCGGGCGGAUUCCUAAGUUAAAUUUGCAUAGAGAUAUGAAAUUUAAUUAGUUGAAUAGGCUCAAUGAGAACUCGAGAGGAAUGAAUUGAAUACAAUAGGAGAAUUCGACUGAACACUAUAUUAAAAUUGAGUUUUAAUUUGACAUGUAAAUGUGAUCAAUAGGUGAAAUUAUUCUGCCCUAACGUCUUCUAAUUAUUUGAUCUUGCAAACAAUUGUGUGAGCAUUUAUUUAUUGUCUAGAAUUAAGAUUUAAACUCAAAUCACUAUAACUUUUAAUUUGUCUUCAUCAAAUAAUAGUUAAAGGAAAAUUGAAUUAAGUGCUAAAAAAUAGUUAUUGUGGGAUCGACAAUUCGGACUCUUAGGUCCACUAUUACUCGUUACAGUUUGUACUCUUGCAAAACUAAAAUUAACAACAUAGUUUGAGAUAGUAUGGUCUGUUUAUGUGGAAAUAUCUUUAAUCAAUAAAGAAACAAGGACCUGUACUAGAAAAAAAAUCCCCGAUUUAGCUGAGGUUUUGUGUAAUCAUAUUGUCCUUCCAUUGCAAACUACCUACAAUAAUUUAAAACUAAUAAUAAUAAUAAUAAUAAUAAUAAUAAUAAUAAUAAUAAUAAUAAUAAUAAUAAUAAUAAUAAUAAUAAUAAUAAUAAAUUAUAAGUUUAAGUAAAAGAAGUUAUUAUAUGAGAUUAACUUCAUCAAUUAAAUUGUUCAUCAUGUACGAUUAUAAUUAAUCAUGAAUCCAUAAAAAAAAAAAAAAGUAUUGCUUAAUUAGCUGUGUAAAAUUAUAUUAUAACAAGAAAAACCUGGAGAUGUAAAGCAGUGAAACCCGAAUCUUUGGUAUUAUAACACUUCGCACAUUUAAUGCACGCCUAUAAAAACAAGAUAAGAAUGGUAAUUUGAAUUUAGGUAGAACCUUUUUGGAACAAUUUUGGGAGAAUUUGCCGUUGAUCUCAAGUUUUCCAUCAACUGAAACUCUAGGCUUCCAAGUGCGUCUGUGUAGACACAUUCAAUCUCUAUGUAUUCUUCAACACUCAAAACUAGCCUACUGCUUGUGAAUGAACGUAGUGCAACCUUUUGCUAUCUACUCGAUUACUUUCCCAUGCUAGAAAAUAGUUUCUUCGUCUUUGCAAAGGAUUUUAAAUUUUUUAAAAAGAAAAAUAGCACUAUUCAAUUAGUAACAUUGAAUUCUCAUUAAUUUCAAAAACCUUGCAUAAUAGACUUGUGUAGAUGCUAAGUUUUUAAUUGAAUCAAACAUACAUUGGACAAAUUUUAUGCUUUUACAAUAUAUUUUUUUGUAAUGAUUCUACUUUGUAUUUGUCUAAUAAUUUGAUGACAACUGUCAUUCCGACCUUAUUUACAUACCUACAAUAAUCACUCAUCAACAACACUAUCUCUAACAAUUUGGAUAAUUUUUUUUUUCUCCUUUUCGACAUUCCAAUGACAUAAAACUAUGAAUGAAGUAAUAUGAUUUAACGCCAAUUCGAACAGUUUACAUGAAUAUAUCUUUCCUUUUCAUCAUUCCAUUAGCAUAAAAUAUUAAACGACAUAAUAAGAUUCAACAUUUAAUCAAACAUUGUAUUUUAAUUUAUUUUUCCAUUUCUAAAUUGCAACAACAGAAAAUUAUAAAAGAAUUCUAAAUUAAACAUGUACAGUAAUUUUUUGCACUUUUUGACAUUCCAACGACAUAAAGCUAUAAAUGACAUAAUCUGAACAAUGUAUACAUGGGGGAUAGUAAUAAAAACCCUAACCCUAUGCAGUGUGGAUUGUGAAAUUAUUUGAACUUUUGCAAUUCUUGCAACUUUUAGAACAGUUGAGUUCUAUCUAGUUUAUUUGUCUUUAGAUCAAUAUGUGAGUGCACAAGUAGGUGCUGAAUUUUAUGUUCUAUUGCAAUUCUUGAUUUGACUACUUCUCGCAUAAUAGAAUUUUUAGAUACUUCAUGACUCACCAGAAACAUAUAUACUUGAAGGAUCUUUAUAACGCAAUAGAAAGAAACGAGACAGAUAGGAGACAUACCUUGAAUUCUUGGCAAAUAACUGUAAUUCUUAUUUGCAAAUAACUGAUGAUAACCUCAUUUUUUUACUCGAUUUAUACAAUAGCAAUAUCCACAAUAAUGAUACGUUUAUGAGAAUGAAGUUAAUGAAAUGCUACUCUUCUUUUUUGGUAUUUAUAUUCACCACCCAUCCAAAAUUCAGUAAUUCAUAGGAACCUCAAUAAUUGAUUUAUUGUUUACAAUAUUCGAUUGGUACAACACCUUAAACUGAAUAAUAAGAUUAAUUAGAUUCUUGUAACAAUAGAAUAUAAUUCUUAUACAAGGUAUGUUGGAGAACUUAUUUUUCUAGUAUGAGUGUCAUGAUAUAUCUUGCAAUCGUGUUUUCUUUGAACUGUGAAUUGAUGCUCAUUGUGACCUAUAGAACAGCACACAUUUGUGAUGGUGAAUUGUUUGAAGUACAGGUGUUUGGAAUUUCUCUUUAGAUAACAAGUCCUCCACAAAGCAAUACUCAUUUUUUAUCACUCAAUGAUCCAAACUUGACUCCUUUAAUCAUUAUGUGUGAUAUUUGAUUGACAAAUAAGAUAUGCAUUGAAAGUAUUUGCCUGGUCGACACAUUUUUAUAUCUCCAUCUUUCUAUUUAUUAUACCAAAAUAAUAGAGAACUUAUUUUUCUAGUAUGAGUGUCAUGAUAUAUCUUGCAAUCGUGUUUUCUUUGAACUGUGAAUUGAUGCUCAUUGUGACCUAUAGAACAGCACACAUUUGUGAUGGUGAAUUGUUUGAAGUACAGGUGUUUGGAAUUUCUCUUUAGAUAACAAGUCCUCCACAAAGCAAUACUCAUUUUUUAUCACUCAAUGAUCCAAACUUGACUCCUUUAAUCAUUAUGUGUGAUAUUUGAUUGACAAAUAAGAUAUGCAUUGAAAGUAUUUGCCUGGUCGACACAUUUUUAUAUCUCCAUCUUUCUAUUUAUUAUACCAAAAUAAUAGACAAGCAUGGUGUAAUUCUGUGAAACUCCACUUCGACUGUAUGGCAAUUUGCAUGUAAAAGUUAAUCUAAAUCCCACCUCUAUGUAGAAAAUAUUGUACUUCUGCAAUAAAAUUUGGGUUCAUUGAAUUUCUUUCUGUCUGUUGCCGCCACUGGAAUGAUUCGGUUCUUCUAGUCUUUGACUUCAUAACCCAUAAGAUCAAUGUGAGCAACAUUUGUGCUCGCACGACUAUGUGCUGAUUUUACGUCCUUUAGUUAGACGAAUUCAUUCAUCCCCAAUUUCAAAUGAAGCACAUUAAUUGAGUUUUCAUUUACAAUUCUACAUAACACAAGAAAUUAAAUAACUUGCAACCUUCUUUCCAACAGAGAAUUGAUGCUGUCUAUGAAAUCUAGGACAGCAUACAAAUUCAUCACGAAGAAUGAUUUGACAAUAGGUCUAGGUCGGAGAACUUCCAAAUUUUUCUAUGUAGCGACCAAAAUAAAAUUUCGUUUAUUUUAUUUUCGCAAGUUUUGUUAAUUUUGAGAUAUUGAGGGACUAAUUUUAAAAUAAGUUAUUUCUGUCAAUAUUUUUUUUUGGGUCAAUUAAUAAAUUAUUAAUUGAGCGAGAAUUUCCCUAUUAAUAUUUGGGCUAAUUUUGUAGAUAGUAUUAAAUAAAUCAUUUUGGCCUCAAGAAAAGUUAUUUCGGAUGAGUUAGGCCCAUGAAGAUAAUAUCGCAUAUUUAAUUAAAGCAAAUUAAGCAUUUAACAUAUUUUUGGCAGCUAAGUGUAAUAAAUGGAAUUUGAUAUUUUUUCGAUUAGGAUGAAAGCUAUUUUAGAUUUGAUUUAACUGAUUUCCAUUUGAAUUCGUUGUAAUCCUAUUAACCUAUUGAUCAUUUUUGUAGCCAAUUCACUUUUUAGUUGGAAUGUUUGACUAGGAAAAAUCAUCUGUUUAAUAUUAUCUAAUCUUUAUAUUUUUCACUGCUUAGGACUCUAAUUACACAUUAAUCCAUAGAGAUACAAGGUCAUAGGUUAUUUUAUACACAUGUAUCACAUGAUACACAUAGAAUACAAAUGCAUGCACACACAGCAGACACACAAGGGCAGAAAGCAUUUUUACACUUAAAAUUUGUAAAGGAAUCCGGUGCAACGUAAUCACUACCAUACCAUCACAAGCUAAGUUGCGAUCCCUACACUAAGUUGAUCGUUAUAUGAUUUUAAUUUUCAUUUGUUAAUGUUUGUUUAUUCAUUAUGUUGCUCAUGAAGCAUGUGAAGCGCCUUUAAUUGUUCUUCUUAAAUGUUAAUGUCACGAAAAUUAUAUGUUUAACUGGUGGUUACAGAAGCUUAUCAGAACGUUAAGUAGAUCGUUGGAUCAUCGAUUUACUUAUUAGUGAAGGCAAUACGAGAGAAUAUAUGAUUAGAUACAUGAUUAUUAAGUUCGUAUAGCAUAUGUAGCCUACUGAGUAUUUCUUUGAAAUGCUAAUUCCAAUCUAACAUUUUUAGAGUAUUCGGAGAUCAUGAGGUGGCUCAGCAUGGAUAACAUGUUUUAUUUUAGAGGAAUCAAUUCCUUUAUGUCCAGUUUUAAAGUAUUGCUUUUUUAGGUUUAAGAUCCCUCUGUGUAUGCGUUCAAAGAUUUAUACUUAUAAGUUUAUAUUUUUAAAUGGUUAAUUUUAACAUUUAAAAAUAUAUUUCAUGAAUUUUCAGCAUUAUGCCAUUAUUUUAAAAAUUUACUACCGUCAAUAUAUUUAAAUUUCAACAUAAUUUUAAUAGGAAACAACCCUUUAUGAGUUAUCUAUCAUAUAGAACUGAAAACAUGUCAAUUGGAGUCCCGCAGAAUUUUGUUAUAGCAUUUUUAGUAAACUGUGAUGGGUCAGAUUUGGGAAUGCAGUCUAGCCUGUUUGAAAAGUAUUUUCGUGCCUCAAAUGUCGUCGAAGAGAUCCCAAAUUUCGUGCCUUAAAUUUUCGUCAAGAUUUGCUAGGUCAAAUAAUUUUUGUACCUUACUGUGCAAUCGGAGCUAAACUGUUUUACCUUGCUGAAAUUUCCUAAAACUCAUUCCAAAUGAUGUUGUUACAUAUUUUUCUAAGUUUUUAAUAUAAAAAUUGUUAAUAGUCAUAGUAGGUAGAUUUAUUUUGAAGAAGACUAUUGAUUCGACUUUACCCCUUUUUUCCCAAUAUUUAUUAAUUUAUUCAAACUUAAAUACUUUUCUUAAUAACGUAUUUUUAACAGUUAACAUUAAAGAACUCAUAUUUGGUAACGAGUCGAUUGACAAGAAUUUGGUGGCAUUACAUUCUAGGCCAAGCAUCAUGGUAUAUUAUGCAAUCCUCCUUAUUUUGAAGAGUGAACUGAUGCUUUUUAUGACAUCUUGAACUGCAUGCAAAUUCAGGACGAUGAAUUUUUUUGAUGUAAAGGUCUUGGAAAGGUAUCAUUAGCUACAAUUCCUUAACAUAGCAAUACAUUUUUCCCAUCUGAAUUAGUGGCCAAAAUUUUAUACCUGUACUUGUUAGCGCAAUAUUUUAGUGGCACACAAGAUGUGUGUGGAAAGUAAUGGUGCUCUACACUUAAUAUCCCCAUCUUCCCACUGAUUAAACCCUAACUUUAGGUAGGAAACAUUUAACUUUUGCAAUAAACUUUAAGUUCAGGUAACUAUUGAUCUAUUGCUACUACUAGAACGAUUGAAUUAAUAACCUUUCAUUUUUGGACUCAAUUUAUGCCACUGAAAUAUCAAGAAUACCGACAUGUGCAUGAGAAAACAGUUACUUUGAAAUGCCACCUCUCCAUUUUGGUAUGUAUAAUCACCAUUCAACCAAAAUUCACUAAUUCAAAAGAAGCACAUUAAUUGAUUUUUCAUUUAUGACGUUCCAACAGUAUAGUAAAAUAAAUGAAUUAAUUUAUAUCUUGCCAACUUCCUUACUUCAAAGAUUGAAUUGAUACUGUAUUACACAUCUAGAACAGCGUACAAUUUUAUCAUGAAGAUUUUGGAAAGGUAUAUUUCUCAAACAAGUAAUCCCCAAAGAAACUCAUUUCUGUAACUAUUAGUGAUCAAAACUCGUCUCUUCCUAUUGUUAGUUGUGAUGAUUUUUCAAGAAUCAUUUACGAACUGAACUAGGGACAGGUUCAAGGUCAAAUUGAUGUCGUAGUAAACGACAGAAUUAUUAGUUCGUGCGAAAAUAUCUCUAAUCAAUAAAGAAACGAGGACACAUACUGGAAAAACAUAAAUUUUUGAUUUGGUGGUUAUUUUUAGUAAUCGGUCCAUUAGCUGAUCAAGUCAAUCUUGAGACACAUUUUAGUGUUUGUAAAGCUCACACAAUAAGCUAAUAAUAAUGCCUAGAGAAGCGGGAAGUUAGUACUCCUCUUAAAGCUCAUUCCAGAUUGGCUUAAUAUGAAAUCAAUUAAAGAUCAAGCAUAAUGUUAUUCCUAAUACUAUAUAUCGAUGACAUAUUAUUAAUGGGAAACGACAUCACAAUGCUUCAAUCGGUAAAAUUAUGGUUAUCAAAGAAUUUCUCCAUGAAAGAUAUGGGAGAAGCAGCGUAUAUCCUGGAAAUCAAGAUCUAUAGAGAUAGAUCUAAAAGAUUACUAGGCUUAUCCUAAUUUUUGUACAUAGAUAAAAUCUUGAGAAGAUUUAAUAUGGAAGAGUCUAAGGGAGGUUUGUGUCAUAUGUCACAUGGGAUUUACCUCUCAAAAGAUGUGUCUUAAAACACAUGAUGAAAGGAAUCGCAUGGAUAAGAUUCCUUAUGCUUCGGCGAUAGGAUCUAUCAUGUAUGUGAUGCUAUGUACGAGACCAAAUGUUUCAUAUGCUCUAAGUGUUACGAGCAGGUUUCAAGCAAACCUUGGUGAGAAACACUGGAGAGCAGUUAAGAACAUUCUUAAGUACUUGAGAAGGACUAAAGAUGUUUUCUUGAUCUAUGGAGGAGAUGAACUAAAGAUUCAUGGGUAUAUUGAUGCCAGCUUUCAAUCUGACAAAGACGAUAGAAAGUUUCAGUCGAGAUAUAUGUUUACUCUCAACAAUGGAACGGUUAGUUGAAAAAGUUCCAAACAGGAGACAACCGCUGAUUCAACAAUAGAAGACGAGUACAUUGCUGCUUCUGAAGCAGCCAAGGAAGCUGUCUCGAUCAAGAAGUUCAUUAACGAACUGGGAGUCGUUCCUAGCAUUGUUGAUCUCAUACCUUUGUAUUGUGAUAACAAUGGAGCCAUCGUACAAACGAAAGAACCGAGGUCUCAUCAACGAUCCAAAUAUAUGUUAAGGUGAUAUCAUCUCGUCAGGGAGAUUAUACAAAGAAAUGACGUAAAGAUAGAGCGAGUUCCCACAUAUGACAAUAUUGCAGAUCCAUUGACAAAGUCGUUGUCACAACAGAAACAUGAUCGUCAUGUGGACGCUUAUGGUAUUAGAUACAUGAGUGAUUGGAUCUAGUGCAAGUGGGAGUUUGUAAGUGUUAUGCCCUAGAUCCAAUUGACUUAGAUUUUAAACACUUUUAAUAUGUUUAAUGUAUCUAAUUUUGGCAAGAUCUAUUAUUUAUUUAAAUUAAUUUUCUGAUAAAUAAUAUUAAAUAAUAGAGUUCGAAGAUUCAAGUUUAAGUAAUUUGUUAAUCACAAGGAGUUGUGAUUGUGAGAUACAAAUUACGUAUGAUUGGAUCUUGAAUAAUUCGUGGUCGUAAGUAAUAACGAGAUACGGAUAUUAUUAUUACAGAUAGACCAUCACGUGUGGCAUUUCCUACCUGUGAAGUAAGUGGCUGACUUCACAAGCUAAUGUGUGAUGACACUUAAAUGAACACGUGGAUGUUUUGUUAUAGAACAAAACAUUGGAGACCCGUUAAGAGAUUCCACAUGGAUAACUAUCUGAGUAUCAGUGGUUAAUCUCUAACGUUCGAUAGUGAAAUUGGUCCUUUGACUUGAGGUCAUCAUAGUGCCUUGUAUAAGAACAGUCAUGCUUUGAAGGUGUUGGAUGUAGCUCUACCAAGGGCCACUAAUACAGCAUCAUUCAAGUAUGUCAAGAACCAUAUGAAGAUUGUAAAUUACCAAUAGAGGAUUCGUCACUCUUAGAUAGUAAGAGAUUGUGAUCUGCAUUUCGUUCAAUUAAGUCAAUAACGAAAUCCUUGGCCAAGGUAUACACAUAAGUCAAAAAGGAGUUUUCGACUCAUAUUGACUUAAUAGUAGAAUGAAAGAUAUGAUCAAUAAUCGAGAUUGACACACUUUCAUAUCUCAUAAUUAAUCGGAUUAUAUUGACGAAGGGAUAGAUUCAUGGUAAACAAAAAGGUUUGGUUUUAUCAUACCACGUGACAUUUUCCGUCACAUGCGUUGCCCUGAUACAUUGCUAGAUGUCACUCUGGGAUGGCAAGUGUGAAUUGGUGAUAAAUUGAAAGGGUGUUCUAAUUUAUUAGUUUUUUAUUAGAUCAAAAUAAUAUUUCACGUCGUUAGGCAUUGUGAUCGGGAACCUGAUGGGUUGCACACAAAGAGAAUUGGAAGAUUGUAAUUUGUCAAUUAAUUAAUUUAACAAUCGUUGGAUAAAUUAAUUUAUUGGAUUGGUUAUUUAUAGCCCCGAAUUAAUUAAUUCACGGACUGAAUUUAAUUAAAUGGAUUAAUUAAAUAUUGGACCGGACCAGGCCGAGCUCGUUUGGGCUUAUAUAAAUACAUGGCUAGGGUUUUAGAUCCAUAUAGUUUUCAAAUUCUUGCUAGCACAAGAGGAGAAAUCCUAACAAUUGCAAUCUAUUCUCUGUGUGGAAUUUAUUGGAGGCUGGACAAUUACACAGCUGUGGGAGACGAAUCCAAGUUGCUGGAACAAAGAUAAUGCAAAGGAGUGUGCAAAUUCAAGAAAAUGUAUAACUUUUAUCACAGUUCCUAUCUAUAUAUAAAGAUGAAUUCUGGUGGGAAUUGAAAUUAUUUUUAUUUCCGCUGCGCAUGUUUAAGUAAAUUCCCAACAGUUACUGUUUUUCUGUGUUUAAACGUCACCUAUUUAUAAAUUUUUGUUAAGUUGUGUUUAUGAGUUGCAAUUAGAUUUAAUUUUUGAUAAUAUGUUUCUUGGCAAUAUUUUGAAUGUAUUUUGACAAAAUGAGUGAAAACACAUUUAAGUUUAUUAUUUAUUUUUGUGAUGCGGAUGGAGUUGAUCAUUUUUGGGAUAGCUCAACUAUUGAUCAAAGAAGCAAACUUGUAAAUAUGUAAGAAUUAAUUAUUUUGCAAUAUUUUAAUAAGUUAUUAUGGAAUAGCAGUCUAUAUUUUGGUAUAUCGUAUUGAACCUCACUCAGUACUUCUGUUUAUCGAAACUAUAAGAUACAUGAUUAUUUAUGGGUUGAUUAUAUGUAAUUUAUUCUUUAAUUGUUAUAGGUUUGCUGGUAAUCAAAUAAAUAAAAUUAAUUUGACAUUUACAAUGUGCUUGUGAAAGCCCUAAAAUGUUAAUUAAUGGCGCUUUGACGUAAAAAGAGAAUUAUUUUUUAUGCCGCGAAUGUGGACGCUGUAAUAAAGUUAAUUAAUGGUGCUCUUAAACGUAUGCCAUAAAAAAGAUGUCUUUUCACAGUGUGCAUACAUAUGCUGAAAUAAAGUAAGUUAAUGAAAUAAUGAUUUGAGCCAAAUUGGGUGUACAAAACCCCAACUCACAGACCUCUUACAAAGGUCUCACACAAGGGUGGGAUCGAAAUUUUUUUCUCAUUUUUAUUACAUCGGGUCCCGCAGUGAGGCCAACCCUUUUGUGAGACUUCUAGCAUUAUAAAAGAAUAGUUUAGAUGCUAAAUUUUUAUUGAAACAAUCAUAAGUUUGACUAGACAUAUGCUUUCACGGUAUAAAAACAGAGAUGCACAUAAAACUUAAUUUGAAUUAUUUGCCACGAUUCUACUUUAAUUUGUCCAAUAAUUUGACGACAACCAUUAAUAUCCAAACCCUAUUUAUACACCUAUGGUGUCAAGCAGUCAACUCUUGUAUUUUGGAAUCUACAUCAUCACCAACUGACAACACUAUCUCAAACAAUUUACAGGAAGUUUUCUCCUUCUCGGCAUCAAACGACAUAUGAAAUAAUAUGAUUCAACACUAAUUCAAACAACAUACAUUUAUUUCAUUUCCUUUUCAGCAUUCCAAUGGCAUAAAAGAGUAAUAAUAUGUUUCAACAAUAAUUCAACCAAUUUCUAUUAAUUUAUUUUUGCACUUAAAAUUACAAUAUUAUUAAAUUUAGUCAUAAAUGAAUUAUAUGAUUCAGCUCUAAUUCAAAAAAUGUACAUUGUUUUCCCUUUUAAAUAUUAAAAUUCCGUAAAACUAUGAAUGAAAUAUUACGAACUAUGUAUACGAGGGGGAUUGUAAUUUUCAUUAAACCAUGCUGUUGUGCAUCGUGACUACAUAUACAUGGGAAGGGGGGUUCAUAAUAUUCAAAAUGAUAAGGAUAUGCAUGUCGAUAUGAACCCCAAUUAUAUGCAGAGCAGAUUUUGGAAACGAUUGAAAUAAAUCGAGAUUCAAUCACUAAUAGUGAUGGAAAACGCAUUACCUUUUCUAGGACUAGAUUGCUAACGAUAAUACAAUGACUUCACGUCAAACAGCUGAUGAUAAUUAAUUUGUACGCCAUCCUAGAUGUCGUAAAUUGCAGCAAUCAACUCUACGAAGUUAGGAAGAUUGCAACAUAUAUCAUGAUGCUCGUAGUUGAGAAUAUGGGAAGUUCUCCAACGUACUUUAAUUAUGAAUUAUCUUAUAUUAUUACGCAAUCUAAAUCUUAUUAACUGAUCUAUUGUCCCUAUCGCUGGAAUAUUGUAAUAAAAGAUUAUUUAUUGUGCUUCCUUUUGAAUGAGGGAAUUUCAGAUGAGUGAAGUUUAUACAUAUAAAAAUAAAAGAGGCAGCAUUACAAAUCGAAUUCAGUCUCUUGUGCCAAUCUCAAUACCUCUUAAUGUCUUACGCCAUCUUCAAUGGCUGAAAUACAAGCAAACUAAUUUAGCAUCAUAUUCGACCACAACACGACUUACACGUGUAAUCUAUAAAUAUUUUGAAAGUCUAAUAUUUACAAGUUAAGGACCAGUUCAGCAGGCUGAUAACAUGAAGAUCAUGAAAGGGGACGAAACUGGGCAACCCAACUUGAGAAAGUUUUGAAGGUCAAGGUCUUGGAUCAGCAACUAUUAAUGGAGACAUAGGAAGAAGCUCUGGAUUCACUUGUCACAGAACAGGAGGUUGUGAAGGUUGUAGGAUGUUGCCCAACUGAGAAUUGUCAUUCUCUUUAUUCUUGAGUUUGUAGGAUCACACUCUUCACCUUUAGUAGGACGUAGCCAUCUGCCAUUAAAUACAGAUAGAAAGCACUCUGUGGUUGAGUCUACCACUAUUGAAAUUCUAUCUCUACUGCUUCGGUCUCGCACUACAAGAAAAAUGGCAUUUUACAACAUUUAAAUGGCAACAUUCACCAAUUGUAUGUUGCUAAAAGAGGUUUAUUGCAACAUUCAGCAAAUGCAUGUUGCCAUUGGUUGAGAAAAUUAAGAUUUAGCAACAUUCUUUGAGUGGUUGUUGCUAAUACCCCCAUUCGCAACGUUCAAAAACCGUUGUUUUUUUUUUUUUUUUUACAACGUGCAUUGACCGUUGCUGUAGAUGUUUUAGCAACGUUCUUUUGAACUUUGCCGUUAAUUAGUUUUGGCAACGGGCAAUACACAUUGCCGUUACAUGUUUUAACAACUCUAACACAAACGUUGCUGUUAAUCAGUUUUAGCAACGUUUAGUAAAUGUUGUUGUUAAAAAGUGUUUGCAACGGGCAAUGUACGUUGCUGUAUAUAUAUUAGCAACGUUCAUUGAACGUUGCAGUUGAUUAGUGUUGGCAACGUUUAAUGAACGUUGCCAUUGAUUAGUGUCACUAAACCUUUGGGCUCCAAUCGGCCCAAAUUUUUUUUUUUAAAGCCCGGUUCAAUCUAACCCAGAUGGAAGCCCAAUUGCACAGCCCUUGACCCGUUUGCUGGCCCGGACCCGGAAUUUUGAUCCAAUUAAACCCAAUUUCAUUGAAAUUAAAACCAAACAAUUGCAACGUGUCGCGUCUCUCGACUCUCGCCCUACUUCUCUCGCAGUCGCCGACUUCUAGUUCCAGUCCACCGGCAGCUGACUUCUUCUAGAUUAGGGGCUCUAAUCUCCAACCUAGUAAGUGUAUACCCAAAGUCCAAACCCCAAUCUUCUCUCACCGCAACUUUAACAACGAACCACCAUUUCCUGCCAGCUGCCGCAACGAAAGAAGAAGAACUGAAGAAGCAGAAGAACGAAGAAGGUGAUUUUGAUUUCAAUUUUAGCCUCCAAUUUAAAUUUUUUCAGCGUACUGAUUUUAAUUUUUGUCGAGCUCGUGGUUUUGUCAUGGAUUAGAUUGUAGUGGAAAAGAAGAGUGAAUUGGGCGUGAACUAGAAUACAAGAAAAUUUGUUCAUUCCUCUUUUGGUAAUUAAGGGUUUUUUUCUUCUUCUUCUUUGGAUCGGUGUCAUGAAGAGUUGGCUAAUUGGAUUGUAUUUACUGUUCUUUGUUCAUGUUAAUGAAGUGAUUGGCUCUAUGAGCUGAAUUUGGUUAGUUCCUUUUGUUUAUUUUACUUCGAGUAUCUUCGAUAGUGUCUAGGUGUUUGAAACUUGUUAGACUCGAUGACAAUACUGUAAGUUAUCUAGUUUUUUGUGAGCCAUCUGAUUGACUUGUUCAAGGGACUUGAAGUAAGCAUUUGUUAAAACAUUUGAAAACAACUUUUUUUCCAAACUUUAUCUGGUUGAUCAUAUGUUAAUUAGUAUCUGGUUGAAAACAACUUUUUUCCAAACUCUAUGAUAAAGAUGGUUGCAUCCUAGCUCUUUAACUUCAUCCACUUCACCAAUUCUGUAUAAGCAUAUAGCACACUCUGUUGAUGAAUAGCCACACAUUGCAUUGUUAUUAUUUUCAUAACGCAUUACAGUAAGGUCAUCAACAUAGUCUGGUAAUUCGACUAAUUCAAGAGGCUGAAUGGAGGACUAGAGAAGAAGGUAAUCCCAUGCCCAGUUCAGUUGGCAUGCUAUCAGAACUAUGUAUUUCAAUACAGCUGAAUUUGGCUGCAACCUCAUCUGAAACAUUGUAUAGAGAGAGAGAGAGAGAUUACAAGCUAUAUCUAGAUAUUGGGUCUUGCCUUCAUAUUAUUGGUUAGUAUUAUUAUAAAUGCUCCAGUAAAGCCAUGACUCGUUUGCACUCCUGAAAUUUGAAUGCUCAUUUGAGCUUUAGAUAGAUCAAAUUGCUUGUGUGAGGUAAACGGGCUUUGAUACUAUUGAAUUUUGGGUUCCAUCUUAUAAUGUGAACCUUAUCAAGUGGCAAAGCUUAAAUUAUAAUUUCAAACAAACUUUUUAUUGCAUAUUUUGUGAGAACUGUUGCUUAAAUCUAAAUUUAAGCACUUUAAGUUCUUAAACAUUAGUUAGUAUUUUUUCUAUGUAAUCAAUGUGAGAUUUCACCCUCAAAGCUGGAGCAUUUAUAAAUUUCAAAGUGAUCACGCGAAGAUAGCACUCAUAUUAUCUCAUGCAAUAUCAAAAACUGGUCGGAAAAAGAAGGCAGAGGUCCUUGAAACUAUAUCUAACAAAUGUACUACUUGAACUCAUCAAUGUAUCAGCAUAUGCAUUUGAAUACAACUUCUUGCUUACUACUGAUAAGAUUAAAUAAUUUAUAAUUAAAAAUUAAAGAACAUUACAUCAAUUCUGUCUUUUUAGUACUGCAUUGUUUCAUGCUUGUUUUCAUUUCUUAUCUAUCUUAUAUUCAAGAUGCAUUUAGUACUUUAAGAAUUCCAUUGGUUCCACGUUAAAUUUUAAAUAUACCCAAUGAAACUCUAGCUCUCUAAUAUUUUCGAAAAUCUUGCUUACUAGUUAAAUGUGAUUUGUUAUAUUGGAGACAAAAUUAAAAUAAAUGUAUUUCUUUUCUAACGACUUAAAUUUUCAAUAAAUAAGGUGAUUUUAGUCGUAUCAAAUGAAUUUCUCUUAUUAUAUAUAAAUUUUAGUUGUACAUUAAACUUUUAAAAUUUUUAAUGCACCGUAAUAGUAAUUCUUGGCUCUGUCCCUACUUUUCGCAGACGUGCUUGGCUUCUUGCUUUGUAGAGUAAAAUUACAGCUUGCUUCCAACAAUCUUAUUCAUUAGACUGCAUUCUCGUGGAAGCAGAGUACCAAGUAUGACAUUCAGGAGACUUACUCUAAUCUACUUUCCUUUCAAUAUGAAUAUUAUGCGCUCACACAUUUGCUUGUGUUGCAAAUUACCAAGUUUAGUUCACAAUUUGAAUUGUUGUUGUUCAAUGUUUGAUAGUGUCAUAAUGGACAAAGAAUGGCUGCACUUAUCAAGGUGACUGUCUGAAAUAAAAUCUUAUAAAUCUAGUUUCAAAAUGUAAAUAAUAAUAUAAAAUUCUUAACGGUAAUGUUGUUGUAGAUUUUCAGAACAAUACAGAGAUGGAACACGGAAGUUUGUAGAACUAGCUCGUGAAACUCUAAAGUCAAAAAUGAUAGGAUGCCCUUGUAUCAAGUGUAGGAAUCUAAUGCAUCACAAUUAUGAAAUAGUCUAUGAAUAUUUAAUUAUUAAGGGUAUGGAUCCUACAUACACUGAUUGGGUGUUUCAUGGAGAAAUGCCAAGUAAAUCAAAUUUGGUCGACGUAGAAAUGCCCAAGUCAUGCAGGAUGUUUAGGGACUUUUAUAUGCAACAUGAUGUAGAUUCUGAAAAUCCUCAUGAUGGAAUAGAGGAAGACAUUCAACGUUUAGUUAGCGAUGCGGAAACCCUUUUAUAUCCUAGUUGUAUGGCAUUUACGAAGAUGUCAGCUUCAAUUGCUAUGCUUAAACAUAAAGCUACACAUGGUUUAUCAGAUAGUCGUUUCGAUGAACUCAUAAAUCUUGUGCGGGACAUGCUACCACAGAAUAAUACACUUCCUAACUCAUUUUAUGAGAUGAAAAAACUUGUGAAUACAUUUAGUCUUGGCUAUGAAAAGAUACACGCUUGCUUGAAUGAUUGCUGUCUAUAUAGGACGGAGCUUGAACAUGCUGAAUUAUGUCCAAAAUGUGGUUGCUCAAGAUGGAAAGUUAACCAACAAACUAAAAAAGUUAAAAAAAAAAAAAAAGCAUUCUAGCAAAAGUCUUGCGUUAUUUCCCUAUCAUACCAAGACAUAAGAGGAUGUUUGGAAUAGAAGAGAUGGCAAAACAAAUUAGAUGGCACUCAAAUAAUAAGAGUUAAGAUGUUAAAAUGAGGCAUCCAAUUGAUUCGUUCGGGUGGGAAAUGAUAAACAGAAAGUGGCCACAUUUUGUGUCAGAUCCUCGAAAUAUAGAUUAGGUCUUGCCACCGAUGGAUUCAAUCCUUUCAAAGAUCUUAGUUCUAAAUAUAGUUGUUGGCCAGUUCUUUCAACUAUAUACAACUUGCCUCCCUCAUCAUGUAUGUCGAAGGAAAGUUUGAUGUUGAGUUUAUUAAUCCCGGGACCAAAGCAGCUAGGUAAUGACAUAGAUGUUUAUUUGGCACCACUUAUAGAUGAUUUAAUAUCAUUAUGGAGUGAUGGGGUUGAGUGUAUGAUGCAGUUGUGAAGUCUAUAUUUAACUUAAAAGCUAUUUUGAUGUGGACAAUACAUGACUUCCCUGCAUACGCAAAUGUAUCUGGAUGGCCCGUCAAAGGAAAAAUUGCAUGUCCUAUUUGUCAUGAACAUACAUGUUCAGUAUGGUUAUCACAUUGUAGGAAGUUAGCAUACAUGGGACAUAGAAGAUUUCUUGCAUUGAGUCAUCCAUAUCGCAUGAAAAGGAGCUGGUUUGAUGGACAUAUUGAAAAUGGCAUUAGGCCAAAGAUAAAAACUGGUGAAGAAGAUUCCAGUGAAAUUGAUAAAAUUGUAAAUGAUUGGGGCAAAAGUGGUAAGCGAAAUAGAAAGAUGAAUACAACUCAAUCCAAAGUAACGUGGAAGAAAAAGUCAAUAUUUUUCAAACUACCAUAUUGGAAGGUAACUCUAGUUAUGUCAUUUCCUUUUUUUAAUACAUCUAAUUGCGCGUAGUAUCUCAUAACACAAGUGGUGUUUGAUUUGCAAACUUUGCUUAUACGCCAUAAUUUGGAUGUGAUGCACGUGGAAAAGAAUAUUUGUGAGAGCAUCAUUAAUACAAUUUUGAAAGGAAAAUCAAAAGAUGGGAUUAACUAUCGUAAGGACUUGGAAGCUAUAAAUAUUAGGCAUGAUCUACAUCCUGAGAGUAGAGGAAAUAAAUUUUCCUUACCUGCAGCUCCUCAUACUUUAUCAAAAGCAAAAAAACAAAUGUUUUACAAAACGCUUGCUACCUUGAGAUUACCUAAUGGUUAUGGUUCUAAUAUUGUAAAUUGCAUUUCAGUGGAAGAAUGUAAGAUAGUUGGACUAAAAUCUCAUGAUUGUCACCUUUUAAUGCAACAAUUACUAUCAGUUGCAUUGAGAGGACUUCUUCCUAAAGGACCAAGGCACUCCAUUUUUAAAUUGUGUUCAUUUUUCAAUGAAAUAUGUCAAGGAGUUGUAGAUAGGAAUAAGGUUGAAAUUUUAGAAGUGGAUGUUUCUGAAACUUUGUGCAUGUUGGAAAGGUAUUUUCCUCCUUCCUUUUUCGAUAUAAUGGUUCUAUUAACAAUUCAUAUUGGAAGAGAAGUUCAUCUCUGUGGACCAGUUCAAUAUCGUUGGAUGUACCCAUUUGAAAUGUAGUACUCCUUAUUCGCAAAAAUUAAAUCCACUAUCAAAUUGAUUUCUAUUUUAUUACGUUUUUGGAAAAUGUGUACGUAUAUGAAAGUGUUGAAGGAUAUGUUAUGAAUCGUGCAAGACCUGAAGGGUGCAUAGCUGAACGAUAUAUUGUUGAAGAAAAUGCGAUAUUUUGUAGCAAAUACAUAAAACAAGCAUCAAAAAUCGGCUCUAAGACUGCACGCAAUGGAGAGUAUGAGAGUGACUUCUUAGUUGCAGGGCAUCCAAUUUCUAAAGGGAAGCCACUUGUACUAUCUGAUGAGAUGUUGAACGUUGCCCAUCGCUCUGUAUUGCUAAAUAGUGUAGAAGUGGCUCCGUACGUACAGUAUGUUAGUUAAGUAUAUAUUUUUUGAGAUUUUAAGUUCUUUGGGAUUUCUUGAUAUAUUUUUUUUUUUUUACUUAGGAUGCAUAUGGAUGAACUCAAGAGUUCUGACAAACGACUUGGAAGAAAUGAGAAUUUGUUGCAUAAGAAACAUAUUGACACGUUUGCUACCUGGUUGCACAAUAAGGUCGAAGUACAUAUAUCGACAAGAUUAGUGUUUAAUUUUGUUGUUUAUUCUCUCAUUCCUAACGUGUUUAUAAUAAUAACAGAUUACAGGCCAAUUGUUGCUGGACAAUGUUUCGAAUACUUUAAAGUGGCUUGCACGUGGCCCUAGAUGUCAGUCCAUGUCAUAUUCCAAUUUUGUAAUAAAUGGAUUUCGAUUUCACACUAAAGAUGCCGAAAACUCUCACCAAAACAAUGGCAUCUCAGUUGAAGCAACAACCAUAUGUAGAUCUAGUGCAAAAGAUAAUGCACAUGUUGUUGGAAAGUUCUUUAUUAUAGAGUUUUGCAUGAUAUUAUAGUGCAUGACUACAAUACAUUUCAUAUUCUAAUAUUCUGGUGUGCUUGGACAAAUAUUGUGAAUGGAAUAAAAAAGGAAGAUGGAUUCACCUGGGUUAACCUUCAUUAGGGAUAGGGACAUUUUGAAAAUGAUCAUUUCAUUUUGGCAUCACAGGUGAAACAAGUUUUUUAUUCUAAGGAGAAUGAAACAUCUAAUUGGUAUGUUGUUUUGCAAGCAUCACCAAGAGACUUUCACGCGUUACAUAUGGAAGAAGAUACUUUUUAUGGGUCAACUAUUCCAUUGGAUGUAACAUAACUUGAAGACAAUCAUGGGGAAGAUGAGAAUUUUGCAAGGAUAGAUGUUGAAGGUAUAUUAUGUGAUAUAUAAAUUGAUUUGUUUGGUAAAUGUCUUUAUACAUAUAAUUGUUUAUAUUACAAGUAGUGGAACUUUGAAUCUCAUUCUCUUUCUCUUAUUGUUUGCAGAUUCGUACUCUCUCAAGUAGAUUUUUUUGGAACCAGGUGACAUUAUUAAAUAUACGCAUGAUGGAUAAAGCUAAGGUGAGUGCAUUUCAAUACACUUUUUAAGAUGGUAACUUUCGAAAAUAAUUAAUUUUAUGCCAUGUUUUCAUGAUGUAUUCUUUAAGUCAAAUAAGCAAGUUUUCAAGAGUUCUGAAAGACGAAGCGCUGCCAUUGUUGUUGCAAUUCGGGAGACAAUAAGAAACUACGACCUCCUAGUGAACCUACAUAUACCCUGUCCACUCCAAUCACUAGUGAUCAAAACAUGGCUUUGACAAGUGUAGAUGCUACAAAAAAAAAAAAAAAGAGGUCCAACUCAUUUGAAAAUGGUUGCUAAAAAUAACUAUCAGAAGAUGGAGCUUGAAUUCAGUGAAUUCAGGCAAAUAGUUGGCCGUAACUCUGAUAAAUUUGUCAGCAUAGCUGGAGCCAUAAUACGAGAAUAUGUGCCAGUUGUUAUUAAAAAUUGGCCUUCAAUGGCUGACAAGACAAAAAUUGAACUUUGGAAUUUUAUACAGGUACAUUUAUUUAAUAUGAAAUGUACAUACAUUAUUUGUUAUACAUGUUUUGUUCAAAGCUUCACUGCCAUUUUCGUUCAAAGCUUGACACCAUUUUUUAUAUUUGUGAUAAAUAUAGCAAAGAUUCAAUGUUAGUGACUGCCAUCAAUAAAAGACAUUUCAAUGUAUGGGAACAUAUUGAAGGACAUUCAAAUCGAGAUUGAGAAAAGAAAUCAAACGUCAAGUACCAUCCACCAUGAAUAGAAAACGCGCUAUUGCCCUUCUUAGAGCAAAGAAUAUAAACUCUGAAGAAACAUGGGAAAAGUUUGUAGAAGAUACUCUUUUACUGAUUUUCAAGUAAGUUAUAUUUUCAUAAUGACUUUAAACUUCGUAGUCAAUUAUUGUUGGUUUAUAUUUUUUUCCUUAAUAGGAAAGAAGUACUAAGUUUACCAAAAUGAGAACUAAUCAGAAGCUUCUCCGUACUAUGAGUCAAAAGGGUUAUUCAUGCAUGGCUCACAAUUUGGUACAAUUACUAACUUUUCUUUUAUGAAUCUUUAUUGAUUUUUUAUACGUGUCUAUGAUUGGGAAAAUAUUGUUAUUGUAGAAAAGAAAGAAUCCAAAUAUAAAAGGAUUGAGAACGAAAGUAUGGACUCAUGGACAUCUUCGAAAGGAUGGAAAGCCAAUAAAUGAAGUGGUUGCCGAAACUUUGGUAUGUGUAUUGUAUGUGUGUGUGUGUGUGUGGGGGGGGGGGGUUGUGUGUGUAUCUGCUUCUAGUGUAAUAUGUAAGUUUCAUAAGUGCAAAGGAAGAUAGAAAAUUGUGCCGGGUCAAUUUCUGAUACACCAGCCGAAAAUUCUAUUCGAGAUGAUGUUGUUGCUCGAAUUUUAGGUCCCGAGCGUCAUGGGUGAGUAAGGGGACUUGGACUUGGGGUUACACCAUCAAAAGUAGAUGGAAAUACACAAAGCAGUGAGAAAGUGAGAGAACUUGAGAGCAAAUUACAAACUCAGUCAGUAAGGAUGGAAGCACUCGAAGAAAAGGUUGAAGUACUUUUGAAGUUAUCUCAGGUUAUACUUUUCUAUUACAUAUAAUAUGAUAUCGUGCGUAGCUUAAUAUAUCUUAACAUUUUAAUAAUUUUUAAGUUUUUGUAUUAUUUUAUAGAAUGAAAAUAAGAAUGUGUACUACAUGAGUUCACGUGCUUUUACUCCACAGGUUUUUGUAUCGUAUAUUAUUUAUUAUUUUUUCAAUAUAAAUUCAAAUUAUAUCAUACUAAUUUUAAAAAUAUUUUUAUUUUAUUGCGAAUUUCUAGUCCCAACAAGGAAGUGGUAUGGAAGGAGGUAUUACACCAGUGGAAAAUGCAAAGUGUCAACUAUUGGACAGGUAUAUGUUUGAGGAGGAGGAAAUUGUAGGAGAAGGGAAGAUUGCACCAAUAGACCCAAGUGCAAAGGUGCAUCACAUGCCACUAGGACGAGAUUGUUGGAAAGUUUGGGUUGAGGAGGUAUACAUGAGUCAGUUGCCCUUAUAUAGACCAACAGAUGAAUUUUGAGUUCUUAGUGAAGCCAUGGGAAGUACUAUUGCUUGGCCAAAGAGUUGUGUUAGACUUAUUUGACGAAGUACUUUGUAAAUAUCUACAUUUUUUCAUUCAUACGAAAUUGAUCUUAUUUUUAAAAAUCGAUCAAGUUUUAAUUAUGAGCUUGUAUUCUUGUGUAUGAUUCAAUUUCUGCUUUAAAUAACAUUAAUCUCCUGCUAUAUACGUUGAAUGAGUAUACUUGUGUUUCGAACGGCUUUAAAGGACAUUGUAUUGUUUCUUAAUUGUUUGCCCUUUUUGAUUAAUUUGUUUCUAUAUUCUUUCUUUCUUGCAAUUACAUGGAGCUGAACUGAGUUCUAAAGCAAAGUUCUUUUGUGUGUCUUCUUGGAUCUCGCCUAUGUAAAAGGAAUGGGUUGGGACUCAUUUGAAGCUUUGGUUAUAUUAUUUACACAACAUUUGGACAUUUUCAUAGCUCUUUGGUUAGAUGGUCUGCAUUUUUGAGUUGGAGUAUUUAUUGUGUUUUGAUGAAGUAAUAUUGUACAUGGGAUCACGUUACUUAAAUGAAGUACUUUCAAUUUUUGUUGUCAAGUACUUGUGCGUAUAUAUAUAGUAAAUAGAUUUUGAAUUCAAAGGUUUGCAAUGAAAGAAAAAAUGUGAAAUAAUUGAUAAAAAAAUAAAAAUAAAAAUGGCAUUUGCUGUCAAACCCUCUUUUUGCAACAUUCACUACACCUUGCUGAAACCCUCUUUUUGCAACGUGCAAAGAACGUUGCCAAAAGAGGGCUUUGGCAAUGUUUAUUACACGUUGCAAAAAUAGGGUUUCGACAAUGCGCAAUUAACGUUGCCAAAAUAAGGCUUUGGCAACGUUCAUUGUAUGUUGCAAAAAGAAGGAUUUGGAAACGUUUAUAAAACGUUGCCAAAAGAGGGUUUUGGCAACGUUCAUUACACGUUGCAAAAAAAGGACUUUGGCAAUGUUCAUAGAACGUUGCCAAAAGAGAGCUUUGGCAACGCUCAUUACACAUUGCAAAAAGAGAGCUUUGGCAACGUGCGGUGAACGGUUCAAAAAGAGGCUUCGGCAAUGUUCUUUGGACAUUUCCAAAAUCUCUUUUUGCAACGUGCAAUGAACAUUGCCAAAAACUCUUCACUCUAUAGCAACGUUGAAACCCACAAUAGACGCCCGAACGUUGCGAUAGGUCUACGGCAACGUUUUCUACCCGCUGCAAAAAGUGAUUUUUGGUGUAGUGUCGUAUUGUCCAAUGUGAUUCACAUCAUAAACAUAGUGACACAAAUUUGAAAUGUUAAAAGCAAUUACCUUUUAUAUACAUAUGUUUGUGAUUAUGUUUCUAUAUAUGUAUUGUAUCAAAAGCAAAUUUUUAAAUUUAUAGGACUAUCCAUACAAAAGCUAUAUAAUUGAGUGGCAACAAUAGCAACAUGAUUUUUUGGACUAGGAUAGAAAUGAUUACUUAUACAUUCUCAUCCCUAAAACCAAAAAAAAAAGGGAAGAAAAGAAAAUACACGCAUGCACGCACACGCACAAACAUGCACACAACAAUUAUUUGGUCUUCACAUGAAUUUCAGUCAAACUGACAUUCUGGCUGAAUUUUUAACGUGGGUACAGGAAAUUAAUUAACUAUUUGAAGAUAAAGGCAGCAGAAUGAAGCAACAUUCCAUAAUGAAAAUGUUGUGUGUACAGUGCUGCACAGGUACAUCAUUCUCACAAUCAUAGGACACGUGAUUAUUUUAAUUGCUAGCCCCACCUCUUGUAAGUGAGGGGACUGUUAAUCAUUAUAUUAAAAUUGUUGUACUUGUGUUGAGAAUUAAACCUGUGGCAGUAAAAGAUGUGCUUCCAAAAUUGAAGAAAACGUGUUUUACAAAUAGCAACUCUAUUAGUUGAGGCAAUCAACAAGAUCUUGACAAGUGGCACAAUUAUGGUUGUCCAAUCUUAUGCUAGUGACUUGCAAUAUAUAAAUCUGGAGUGACUCCAUUGACCAGCAGAUUCUGAGAGGAGAAAAAUUCAAAAAUUAUUCUUAUUGUUCAGUCCGACUCACCCCUUUCUCUCUGUACAAGAAUUCCUAAUUUCUUGGGGAUUUAGGGUUCUAAUACUUGAGUAAUUUUAGUGAUUAAAUGCAUAUGUGAUGCUGUGAAUCGAGAGACAAAAUCUAUUAUUGCUGCUGGGAAUGAUUUUCAGAUUUGAGAGACAUUAUUCUUCAUCUUGGAAGCCCGUAUCUGGUCUCUCUUUCUUCCCUACAUGAAAACCAUUAUUCUAGGUGAUAAAUGGGUUUUUAUCUGAAGAAUAUUCUUGGUUUUGGUGAAUGAAUGUUGAGAAAUCUUUUGUAAUGUGAUAGACCCAUAUAGUUGUGGACUGCUCGGUGUUAUCUUUGCAAGAAUCUGUGAGAUUUGCAAGUGAGCAGUGGCGGGUCUUGGAAGAUUUGUGUGAUCUUGGGCUGAUUCCUUAGUGGAUGUUAUUAUGCCUUGUGAUUUCUCUUGAGAUAAGUCUUGGUGACUUUAUAUCUGCUGUACUGCUGAAAUAUUCUUGUAUUUUACUGCCUGAUUUUUGGGGCUUUAUAGUACAAUCGAGCUUUAUCCAUUUUAAUGAAUGCUCAACAGGGGAAUAGGCAUUAGAAGUGGUCGCCGAACCUCUGGGGCUUCGGCCGAAAAAAUUUUGUGUUCAUUUUACAAUUUUUAGCACUUUAUUUUACUGUUUGUUGUCUUUGGUUUAAAUCUUGAUUAAUUCUCGGACGCUUCUCGACUUUCAACUUGUAGCAAGAUUCAUCUAUUAAAGAAAAAGGUCAGGAAAUAAAGAAAUGAAGGUCCCCUUCUAUUUACCUUUAUCUCAACUCCCAAAAAUGAUACAUCUAAAUAAUCAACCAUGUAAGAAAUUUUUAAAUCAAAAGGCCAUAGGAAACUAGAUUAGAUGCCUACUCAUGCACGCAUUGAUCAAAAGUAUGAAUAAACAUAUACACUAAUAAAACCCAAUCGUUCUAGUAAUAAUACAUUUCAGCUCUGAUUCAAUUAAUGUACUUUUUUUUUUUUGUCCCUUCUUGACAUUCCAACGACAUAAACUAUAAAUGAAAUAAAACAGAGACAGUGCAUUCCUAACUAUGUACACAUAGGGGAUCAUAAUUAUCAUUAAAUCGUGGCCAUAUUAAAUUCUGAAAUAUGAAUUCACGAGGAUCAUAAUUUUCUAAACAAUAAGAACUCGUGUUUGGUAACACGUCAAGUUAAAAAAAUUUGGGGAGUUACAUUCUAGGUCAAGCAUCAUGAUAUAUCUAAAACAGCGUACAAAUUCAGGACGAUGAAUUGUUUGAUGUAAAGGUCUUGGAAAAUUAUCUUUAGCAACAAUUCCUAAAGAUAGCAAUACACUUAUCCUAUUAGAAUUAGUGACCAAAAUUUUAUACCUGUAUUCGCUAGUGCAAUAUUUUGAUGGCACACAGGAUGGGUGCAGAAAGUAAUGGGUGAUCUACACUUAAUAUUCCCAUCUUUCUACUGAUUAAACCCUAACUUUAAGUAGGAAACAUUAAACUUUUGCAAUAAAGUUUAGGUUUAGGUUACUAUUGAUCCAUGGUUGCAACUAGAUCGAUUGAGUUAAUAACCAUUCAUUUUUGCGAUAUCAAGGAUAGUAACUCGUGCAUGAGAAAAGAGUUACUUUGAAAUCGCCAUUCAUCCAAAAUUCACUAAUUCAAAAGAAGCACAUUAAUUGAUCCUUCAUUUAUGAUGUUCCAACAAUAUAACAAAAUAAAUAAUCAGGUAUAUCUUGCAAACUUCCUUCAAAGAUUGAAUUGAUGCAGUAUAAGACAUCUAGAACAGUGUACAAUUUCAUCACGAAGACAGAUUUGACAUAAAGGUCUUUGAAAGGUAUGUUUAGCAAACAAGCAAUUCUUAAAGAAACUCAUUUCCUAUAACUAUUAGUGAUCCAAAUUUGACUCUUCCAAUUGUUACGUGUGAUGAUUUUUCAAGAAUCAUUUGCAAACUGAACUACAGAUAGGUUCACUGCCAAAUUGAUGUCAUAGUAUAUGACAUCCUUGUUAGUUCAAGUGAAAAUAUCUCUAAUCAAUAAAGAAACAAGGAAAUAAACUAUAAAAACAUAAAUUCUUGAUUUGGUGGUCGUUUUUGGUAAUCAUAACGUUUUUCAACUGUAAACUUCCUAAAAUAAUAAUAAUAAUUCUAAUUUAAAAUUUUAAAAAAAAUAAUUAUAUGGUACUAACUUCCUCAAUUAAAUUGUUCAUCUUUAAGUGUAUAAUUAAUUGUUCUUUGAGAAUCUACAAAAAAUAGUCCUUCUUGUGUACAAAUUAGCAUGGUAGAAGAAACCCAGGAGAUAUAAAAUUUGAAAUCCGACUAAAUGUUAUCAUAGCAGUUCGCACGUUUAAUGCACACCUAUAAAAUCAAGAUAAGAUUUUAUUUUUUUUAAAGUCCAUCAGGCAUUUAUUCAUACCAACCCUCACUUAAGGCGGAAGAAAACCGUAAUAAAAACCGAUCAGUCAAUAAAAAUAAUGAAUAAUCUCAACUCCUAUCAAUUUAAUCAAACAAUGGAAAAAAGCCUAUCUUUUCUGAUGAAUGUACACUGCACCCAUCUUGUCUAGACGGAUCAAGCCUCGACAAAACCUUGGUAGUUCCAUGCAUGAUAAGAACCAUUCUAUCUUCCCCUUAGCACCUAACUUCGCUAGCUCAUCCGCAACCUGAUUAGCUUCUCUAUACUAAUGCAUCAUGUGAAAAUCAAACUUCUUGAGAAGGACUAUGAGAACUUCCCAAAAAUCCCACAAGUACCAUAACGUACAUUUUCUUGUCAGAAUCCAGGAUACCACUAACAACGAAUCACAUUCAACAUCCACUUGAUAUAAUCCCAAAUCCUGACACAAGGUCAGUCCAUCAGUAAGCACUCCGCCUCAUUGUUAGUGCCAUACUGAAGAAAGAAGAGAAACCUACUAUCAACCUGCCCGUUUCAUCCUUUACAAUCCGACCACCACCAACAAUACCUGGGUUACCUAGACAGUUUCCAUCUACAUUUAGCUUUACUCUGCUCGCCGUCGGUUUAGCCCAUUUAACAAUUCAAAGAGGUCUCUCCUGAUUCACCAUUGGACUGAUAUCAAAGUUUCUAAGAAGUAAUUCUUCUGACCGCGAGAACUCGUUCUUUUUUCAAAUUGGAUGACACAUGUUGCAGCCAGAAUUUUAUCGAACGAAAAAUCUGCUCCACAGUUUCAUGAACACCUUCCAUUCUCGCUUUACAAUGUCUCAUCCAUAGCCUCCACGCUAGUAUAGUUGGAAGUAACCCUUGUAAGUACCCAACUUGUGAUUUUUUACCUGCAAUGGCCCACCAUAAAUUUACUCUAUCAUACCAGUUUUGUUUAGAUCUCCACCGAAUACCCAAAGCCACUGAAACUUUCCUCCAAACUUCAUUUUCCACCUCACCUGUACUAAGAACAUGGUUGGGUGUUUCUUCAUUUCCCGUAAGGCAGCAAUCACAACGAGAAGCUAAGGCUACACCCAUUUGCCGAACUCUACUAUCAACACUUAAAACUUUAGAAAAAGCCUUCCACAUUAUCACUGACAUUCUUUUUGGGAGUGCAGAAUGCCAUACCCAUCUACCCCAAGAGGUUUGGGGCUGUCGAACUCUAAUCAUGUCCCAUGCACUCUUGGAAGAGAAUGUUACUUGACUAUUCAAUUUCCAAAUAAGAACAUCAUCUCCCUCUCUACAUUUACUCACCUUAGCCAUAACACUAGCGGCUUUAUCUUUCCCUACAAGUUGCAGUAAUUGAUUCAUAUUCCAACCACUAUCCAAGCAAAUAUCUUUGAUUCUAAGAGUUGGUUGAUCAAUAUGUGAUGCUUUCCGUGACAAAGGGCCAUCAUCUAACCAAUGAGCAUACCAGAACGAGAUAGAACCCUCCCUAAUCUGCCAUUGACUAUUAUUAAUCACAUCAGGGAUGCAUCCCACAACAGAGCACCAGAAUCGAGAGCAUAUACAACGUAAAUUGGAGACAUCAAUCAAACCAUGCUUCGUAUAUUUUGCUCGAAAAAAAGUUGCCCAUAACCAAUCUGAUGACAGUAAUUUCCAUACAAACUUCAUGUGUAGGGCACGCUGGACAUCUUCAAAUUUCCUAACUCCGAUCCCCCCCAUGACCGGUUUACAAAGUUUAUCCCAAGAACACCAUUUCUUCCUAGUCCUUCCAUUAACCUCACCCCAAAAGAAAGAUGAGAUGAUGGAAUUGAGUCUCUUAAAAAUAGAUUUUGGAACAUUCAACACAGAUAACAAAUGGGUAGCCAUACACGUGAGAACAUGACGAAGUAAGACCAAUCUGUCCCCUAGUGACAGCAAUUGAAGCUUCCAACCUACAAUUUUCUUUCUGAUUUUCUCCACCAAGGGCUCAAGAUGGCAAGUAGUUAAACGACCCUGGACCACUGGAACACCCAAGUAGAUAACUGGAAAUUGACCCUCCUUAAAACUACUCUCCCUUAGUGUUACUCCUUUCCAAGUCACAGAACAAUUUUUUGAGAAAAAAAUAGCACUCUUUUCCUUGUUGAUCUUUUUACCAGACCAGCUCUCAUAUAGACCUAGAACUUCCUGAGCUCUCUGAUAAACCUUUUCCCUCCAUUGGCAAAAAUGAUUAAAUCAUCAGCAUACAACAAAUGAGUUAUCACAGUCAUGCCCCUAGGAUCUGAGAAACACCCAAUCCGUCCUUCCUCAAAACCCCUCUUCAGCAUUCUAGUCAACACCUCUUGCAUGAUAAUAAACAAAUAAGGGGAUAAAUGAUCUCCUUGACGAAGACCACGCGAUGAUUUAAAAAACCUUGCAUGGUUCCAUUCAUCAUCACUGAGAACCAUGGUGUGGAUAUACACCGUUCAAUUAACUUACAAAACCUCGUCGGAAACCCAAAGGAUGAUAAAAUAUGAAGUAACAAAUGCCACUCCACCCUAUCAUAUGCUUUAGCCAUAUCUACUUUAAUCAUCACAUAUCCACCACAAACCUUUUUAUUAAGAGAGUUCACUAAUUCUUAAGUGAGUGUAAUGUUCUCGAAAAUACUUCAACCAGGGAUGAAGGCUCCUUGCUCUUGAGAAAUAAUUCUACAAAGUAUAACACUCAUUCUCUGCACCAAAAUCUUCGAAAAUAUUUUGUACACAACAGAGCAAAGAUUGAUUGGUCGAAACUUAUCAAAACCGCUAGGAUUCUCCACCUUUGGGAUCAACACUAUAUAGGAUGAUGUAUAAAAUCGAGAAAGCACCCCUCUUUCAAAAAACUCCUUUGUUGCCUCCACUAGAUCCCCUUUUAUAAUAUCCCAGCACUUGAUAAAGAAAGCUGAUCCAUAUCCAUCAGGCCCAGGUGUGCUAUCCAUAGGUAUCUAAUGAGUUGUAGUUCGAACCUCCUCUUCAAUCAGCAAAGCACAUAGCAUCUGUCCUUCCUCUUGAGAAACUGCAGACUCAAUGAUAUGAGACAAAUCUGGCACAAUUUCGCUUUCCUUGCUCGCAAGGACAGUCUAAAGAUAUUUCACAGCUUCUGCAUGUAUUUGCUACGGAGUCGACAGAAUAGUGUCGUCUGUAAGCUUUAUCUGAUUUAACUUUGAUUUUCUUCGUUUUUGCAAGACUACAGCAUGAUAAAAUUUAGAAUUGUUAUCACCGUAAGACAACCAUUUCUUUUUUGCCAGUUGGAACAAUCUAAUUUCCUCUCUUCUUUGCCAUUCCUCCAAUUCAAUUUUAGAUAUCAAGUAUUCUUGUUCUACCACAUUAGAAUAUGCAACUUGUAACCUGCUAUCGAGAGCCUCCACAUGUUAUUCUAACUCCAAAAUAACAUUAUCAACUCUCCCAAAAAUCUCUUUAUUCCACACUUUCAAAGCUUUUUUAGUAUCCUUCAGUUUAGCCGCUAAUUUUUCUAAGCCACCCAACAUCAAACCACUAUCUCCCAAUCUCCAUGCUGCCUCCACAAGUGGUAAAAAACCCUCAUGCUCACACCACAUUCGUUGGAACCGAAAUGGAGUCGGGCCAUACAAAGCAUACUUUUUUUGCAAGUUAAUAGUCAUAGGGCGGUGAUCAGCAGAUGUUCCCGACAUGUACUUCAUACUUGCUUCCAGGAAGUCACGUAACACCUCCUCAUUUACCAGUGUUCUGUCCAGCCGCACCCAACUUCUAGUCAAGCCCUCACGUCCAUUGCACCAAGAUAAUUUUCUACCUAGAACUAGCAACUCCAAGAGACCACACUUGUCAAUGCACUCGUUAAAAUCUUCCAUAGCCUAAAGAGGUCUAGGGUGGCCACCCACUCACUCAGAGUCAUUUCUAAUGAUAUUGAAAUCGCCAGAGACCGCCUAAGGAAGGCCACUCACCCUAACAUUCUCCAACUCCUGCCAAAGUAUCCUCCUUUCCAAAGCAUUACAUUUCGCAUAAAUGAACGAUACUAACAUCUUAUAUUCUCCCUUCAUGAAAACUUCAUGUAAAGCUUGAUCCGAGAAAUAAACCUAGUCAACCUUGUAAUCUUCACUCCAAAAAACCCAUAACUUACCUCUUGUUUUCUUAUUUGAUAUAAAGUUUGGCAACUUUAUUUUACAAGCCAAAAGCUUCAUUUUUUCUUCCCCAUGAAAAGGUUCCGCAAUCCCUACACUGCAAGAAAUAUAUAGUUUUCCUACAAAAAUUCCACAGACAAAUUAAAAUUUGUGGGGCGGAGUUCACUUUUCCCUACAAAAGGACAUUUCGUAAGGAUAUGAUUUGAUUCAAAAUUUUUAAUAAUGGAAGGGCUUGUACCCACAAAAAAUUAUAUUUUUUUUAAGACAAUAAAUUUUGAAGGGCAAGAUAUAUCUUUAGCCUACAAAAAAUUUGAUUUAUUUGCAGGCUAAUAAUUAGUGGGAAAUUUUUCCAAUUUAAAACACGCAAAAUUUUUAAAACAUAGAAAACAGCCGCUUUUUCCUCUUUUCCAUCACUGUGCGUGAGAGAACCAUGGAAGAACUGCCGCCUUCUUCCUCAACAAUCGACCACCACCCGCCACCUAGACCACCGGAUCCCACUACCAUUCGAACCCCCUCACCUUCCUCUUCAACCUCUUGUCGUCACCUAACUGUUAUUCCUCUUCCAUUGUUUCUUACUUUCAGAAAUCAAAAGAAUUCUCCAUGGAAGCAAGCCGUUUUAAGCGUUCAUCAUAGCGAGAAGAGGAGGUGGUAAUUUCUCUUGUUUAAAUCUUCUCUUUGUAUGUCAUGAUGUAACUUAUUUGUUGAAUUAUUAUCAUCUUUGCCUUCUACUGCCAAAACCCUCGAGGUUAAAACCGUUCUUCAUUAAUCCUUUUUUUUUUUUCAUUUUUCAAGGGGAAAUUUAAAAAUGACUGUUGAUUCUCGUGAAAUCUUCAAUUUUACAUUUAUGGGAAACUUCAAAGAAAACUUAAUCUAUUUAGAAAUUAGGCGUGGCUGGUUUCAUGAAUCAAGUAGAUGAUGAUUAAAAUUUUACAUUAAUUUAGAAGUUAAAAAAUUAUUGGAAAGAUGUUAGGUCUUCAUUUUACAUUAAAAAAAAAAAAGGAAUCCCAUGUUAUUUUCGUGAAUUAAUAGUGAAUCCAUUUAAAUCUGGACAGAAUGAUGAAUGGAAGAUUACAAAAAUUUCUCCACAUUCUUCUUUGUAUGCUGAUUGUGAUAAGAACAUAAGGAUUUUUGGUUGAUAUUACUUAUGUUCAAAGUGUUGUGGCAAAAGGAGCAGGUAAAACAUUAAGGGUCAACAUUUAGAACAAAAUAUUUUUCUGCUUUGUGCUCGCAGUUUGUUUAGACGGUAGUAGUUUGUUUAGACGGUAGUCCACCAGCAUAUCAUUUUGAUAGGGGAUCUGGUGCAGGAAUUAAUAUAUAUAUAUAUAUAUAUAUAUGGCGGAAGAAUGGAUCAUUGAAAGAUUGUACUUUAGAUCAUCCUAGGAAAUAAGAGUAGUUGCCUGAUUAUUUUUUUUAGGAGAAUAUAAUUCAUACAAUAGGAAAAGAUGUAGUGACUAUGUUUGAAACAUAGUAAAAAUGAUGAUGUUGAGAUCAACAAACAUCACAAUGGAAUUGAUUAAAUUAUAUAGAAUGAAACUUAUCUUCUUCUUGUUGCAUUUUUGGCAAUCAAACAGAGUAUUUCUCUUUUGAUUUUGCCAUCCAGGUACCAGAGAUAUAUUUGGCCAAAUACUUGAAGAAGGAAUGAAGAAUGUUGAAAAUGUAUGAUUUUCUCUCAUGUUUUUUCCUCCAACUUAAAAUGUAAUCUUACUUGCUAUUGUUAACUUGAGUUUUCUUAUGUAGGCCAUUCUGUCUGGAUGUUCAGCCGGUGGAUUGGCAUCGAUUUUGCAUUGUGAUAACUUCAAAGCUCUUGUUCCCAUGGUUGCUAAAGUAAAGUAUUUUGCUGAUGCAUGGUAUUUUAUUAACGCGUAAGAUUUUUUAUGAAGGGCAUGGUACCCAGACAAAAUAAUUUGAUAUGUACAAGAAUCACGUUCUUUUGUUUCAUGUGGAUCCAACAUCUUUCUUUUUAUCCUCUAUAACAGGAAGGAUAUCUCUGGAGCACCACAUAUAGAGGAUUUCUAUUAUGAUGUUGUCAAGACACACAGUGAACCAAUCACAGAGCCAGUGGGUGCAGGCAUUCCUACAAACCCCCCAUUUACGAUAUUAAUGUACCAGACUAGAUCAAAUUGGCAUUUAUAAAGGUACAUGGUUGAUUAUGGUGAAGUUCUGUUCUUGGUAAACUAUUAUUCCAGCAAUAUAUGUCUAUUUUAAGUUGUCGAACUAAAUCUUAUGCUCAACAAAGAAAGGUAAAGAUGGAUUGAAGUAAUUUCAUCUUUGUUUCUUUAGUUCCCAGGAGCAGCCUUUGAAUUGAUAACUAUGACUAUAAUAUCUUAUAACGGCAUGACAUUUUAAUUUUAAAACGUAUUUUUUUGAUCCCUUAACAACUCUAAGAGUGAUUAAAAUAGUGUGAAAAUGCUGAGUCUUCUCUCUUAUUAUCUAUAUUCUGUUAUAGAAUGUUAAGAAGACUUCCUUCUUAUAUAGGUUUAUUGGAAAACUGCAGCAAGACAUUCCUGGUGAACUGGUCAAUAAAUAGUUAGAGGGGCUAUGUGUUAUCUAUUACUUAAUCCACCUUCACAAGCAUCAGGGUGAUUUCAUUGCUACAAGCUGCAUAACUCAAAAGCAGGCUAGCUAAUGAUCAAUUCAGAGUCUUGUAUUCUUUUACUCUAUUUUCUUUGAAUCACUAGUUAAUUCUUUUUUUACUCUUUUAUUAGAUGCCUGUAAAUUGAAAAUUGUCUAAUUUGGAUUUGGAUGAACUAUAAAUUUUGUUAUAUUUUUGUUUUGGUAAAAUAUUUUGGAUUCAAUACUACAUUGAUUGAUACAUGUUUAAUAAUUUAUAGUCUUUGGCCUUUUUAUAUUAUUUUGAAUAAGGUUAAAAAAAUUACUACAAUAUAUUAUUAUUAUUAUUAUUAUUAUUAUUAUUAUUAUUAUUAUUAUUAUUAUUAUUAUUAUUAUUAUUAUGAAAUAAUUUAAUUUCUUCCUACAAAUUCUUUCAAAAUAACAUACAAAUAUAUUUUCCCCACAAAUUUUUUUUGUAAAUAGGGUUUAACCCACAAAAUAAUACGUACCAUGUUGUCAUAAAUAUUUUUUCCCACAAUUUAUUUGUAGAAAAAAACACAAUGUAGGGAAAAGCGUGAUUGUUUUGUGGGUAAAAUUAACUUUAGCAGACGAAUGAUUUUGUUGGGGAAAAACUUACACGACGAAUUGUGUUUGUCUCCAAAGGGUUCGUAGGGAAAAACCUUAGCCCACAAAUUUAAAAAAAUUAUCGUCUUAUACCUUUUCCCUCAAUGUUUGCCCCACAAAUAUGCCUACAAACAUUUUUCGUAUGCAAAAAUUUUUUCCUACAAAUAUGAACCUUUCUCUACAAGUAAAAUUUGUAGGGAAAGCAUCAAUUUCUUGUAGUGCUAGUAUUUCUACAUUGAAUUUCCUCACUAACUUUUCCAUCCUUCCUUUUGAUGUGCCCACCCCUCGUACGUUCCACAUUAAUAGUUGAUCAAUCAUAAGUCAAGUUUAGUAGGGCGUGCUCGCGCCCUCUGUGAUGCUCUAGUAACCUGGGGAAUAGUCUUCUAUACUUCAGUAUAUUGUUUAUGGACGUCUAAAUUAGACCAAUAGUCUGGGUCUUUCUUCCCUUCGCAUCCCCUUAUUUCCUUUUCACAAUUAGACUCAUGAUGGAUAGGACGCUGUUGUUGUUCUUCUCCACCAUCUUGCACAUUCACAUCAUCACCAUCAAUAGGAUACCUCUCAUUCCCUACUGGUAUCUGGUCAUUUACGGCCUCCAAAUCUUCAUCAACCACUUUGAAAAAGUCCUUCACAAUGUCAAUGCUGGACGAAGCUUCCUUCCCUGCACCUAUAUCAACAUGUGUUGAAUCAUCUUUCAUAGUCAAAUCCUCACUUAAUUCAUCCUCCAAUAGUUCAAGCUCCCUCUCUGCAAUUUGAGUUUUCCCUACCCUAGUCGAACCACUAUCUCAUGUAUUCACCAAGGGGUCAACCUCCUUAAACCUCACCAUAGCAUCACACAAACUCUCACUCUCCUUGACAAAUUUACCUACCCCCACCGACGAUUCCCCCUUCUUAAUUCGAGUAAUCUCCAGUUGCCCAACUAUUUCAUCCACCUUAUCUUUAUUUUUCGCCAUAUCCUGCCCUUCUUUCUUGCACCAUUCCUGUCUCUCCAUCACUUUUUGAGGGAGCACACGGCUCUGUCCAACCCGACACAUAGAUUCAGGAUGACCUUGCCGACCACAUUUGAUACAAUAGAAACAUGGCUUCUCAUACUGAACCUCUUGCCAAAAUGUCUUCGAUGAAGUAACAAUAGGAAAACUACUGACUGGUUCUGCAAGGAAAUCCACUUCAAUACACAUUCUAGCCCAUGUGGCCCGAGACCAAUUCAAUGUUGCAUGGUUAGUCCCCAAGUAUCUUCCAAAUCGAGUCGCCAAAAUUCUUAAGCAAUCUAGACUAUACAUAUGCAUCGACAAACCCGGUAAAAAGAUCCACUGUGCAACAAUAGAAGAUUCUCUAUUAAGAUCAAACUCGACCGACCAUUUCAAGAGACGAAAUGUCGCCCCAGCCAACGAUCGAUCCUCUCUUGUCCACACAUGCAAGUAAUCUGCCUCGUUCUUCAAUUGAAUCAGCACAUGUGAGGCAUCCAUGUAGCUAAUUACUGGAAUCACUUGAAGGCCCCAAGUUUUAUUAACUGUCCGUUGAACCACAUCAAUAUUUGGCCUCACCGUAAGGAAUUUCAUCACCAAAGCAAACCGUAAGUCCUCAGAUAGGGUCUUCUCUUCCACAUUUGUAAAAAUAAACCCAAGCUCACUGUUAAUCAAUUUUGGACCUCACAUUGUGAUGGCCAUAUCCAUUUUUAUCACCGUCUGAUUAAUCCCAGUUUUCUCGCGCGGCUUGACAACCUCCGAAUACAAUCUGUUGUGUUGCACUCCAACCGGAAACCCACCUAUUGUGGCUCCACCCUGAUGCUCACCGGAAAGCCCUGCCAGAGCUGGUUGCACUGGCAAGACGGUAGUCAUGGUAAUCCCGUCUGCAGAUGAGAUUCAGCCUCGAGCCCUAAUGGUUUUUUGUGAAAUCACCCAAUUCGCCCAAAUUGCUUUUCUCUCUCCUCUGCGUUUUUAAAAGAGACUUAUUUUUUCCUAAUUCAAUAUAAGAUGUUAGUUUGAAUUUGGAGAGAACCCUUAGAACUAUUUUCAAAUAAUUUGCAUUCAAUCUCAAGUUUUUCAUCAACUGAAACUCUAGGUUUCCAAGUGCACUAACGUGGUAACAGUGCAACCACAUUCUCUUUUCUCAAACAGUCCAUGAAAACUAGCAGAUUCCUUGUCAGUGAACAUACCUGCAACCUUUCUCUUUCAAAUCCAAUCAUUUUCCUACAUUGCAAAAACAGUUUUAUUAGUAUACGUAGAAGAUUUUAAAUGUUUAAAAAGAAAAAUAGUUAUAUUCAAUAAGACAUCAUUGAAUUCCAACUCAUUUUACAAACCUUAAAUAAAAUAAUUGUUUAGAUGCUAAGAUUUUUUUAAAACGCAAAUAUAUUUGACUAAUCAUAUGCUAUUACAGUAUAAAUAAUGAAAUCUUCCUACUUUGUGUUUGUCUAAUAAUUUGAUGACAACCAGUACUAUUCUGAACCUAUUUAUAUACCUACAACGUCGAACAGUUAACUCUCGUAUUUUGGAAUGUAUAUCAUCACUCAUCGACGACAGUAACCCAAAAAAAUUGCAUUAGAUUUUUCUCAUUUUUGACAUUCGUACGACAUAAAUCGAUAAAUAAAUCACAAGAUUCAACGCUAAUUCAAACAGUGCACAUUUAUUUAUUUUUCCUUUUUGGCAUUACAUUGGCACAGAAGAAUAAACGAAAUAAUAUCAUUAAGCACUAAUUCAUGCAUUUCUAUUAAUUUAUAUUUCCAUUUCAACUGACUUAAUUAAGUCAAUUCAAGCAAUAUCACAUAUGGGAAUAACAAACAGAAAUUAUUUGACGCAAGGAAACAUGUCCUUGAUUUCCAUUAACGCUAUUUCACAACUUUUCUCCUAAUAAGUUCCCGUAACCCCCUUAAUUAAUUCACGCAUGCCAAGUUUUAUUUCACAUAAUAGACAACAAAUAUAAUUUGGGUUCCACCAAUACAAUUUAACACAAAACUGAAAUCAUGUUUCAAAAUCCUAUGAAACCUGACGAGGUGGUAACAAUUUGUACAUUAAUUUUUUUAAUUAACACCAUAGUUCUUUUCAAUCAUAAUACAUUGAAUUCCACACAGACCUUGCAAAAAAAAAAAAAAAGAAUUUCUGAGAUUCUAAGUUUUUUAUUGGGACAAAGAUAUUAUUGAAGAAUCAUAUGCUUUCACCAUAUAUAUAAAAGAGAUGCACAUAAAACCUACUAUGAAUUCUUUUCAAUGAUUUUACUUUGUAUUUGUCUCUAGUAUUUUGAUGACAAACAUGGAUAUUAGGCCAUCUCUAGCACUGCACCAAAUUUUGCACCAAAUUUUGUACCAAAUUUUGCACCAAACCAAAAUUCUUCUACAACCAUUAUACCAAAACUUACACCAAAUGAACAGUGCUUUAUUAUUUUAUUUAUUCUUUCGAUUUUUCUCAAUGUAUUUAUUUUAAAAAAUUAUUUAUUUAUUUUAUAACUAUAUAUAAAUUAUUAAAUCAUAACUUCAUUAAAUUGACAAAUAUAUUGAUUACUAAAUUAUUCACAUGUUUUAUAUAUUAUGUUAAAUUGAUAAAAAUAAUUGAUUAUAUUAUUAAUUUAUGAUAAACAAUUACGUUAAAUUUACAAAAAUAAUAAACUUUACGUUAAAUUAACAAUUACGUUAAUUAUCAUUGAUUAUAUUAUUAAAAAUAAUAAACUUUAAUAAUAUAAUUAAUAGUGUAAUUUUUUAUUAUUAUUAUUAUUAUUAUUAUUAUUAUUAUUAUUAUUAUAGAACGAAAAUGACAUAAAUAUCCUUAACCAUUAUCUUUAAAAAAUGAAAAAGGGCAAAAUGGACAUUGCACCAUUUGGUGCAAAAAAAUGGUGUAAUGAAUAGUGCUGCACCAAAUAUGGUCCAGCACUAUUCACUUUGCACCAUUUUGCACCAAAAUGGUGCAAAGUUUGGUAUUGCAUUGGACCAACUUUACACCAAAAAAUGGUGCAACGGUACAACCAUUGGAGAUGUCCUUAGAAUCCCAAUGUUGAGUAGUCAACACUCAUCUUAUGCAAUGUACAUCAUCACUCAUCGAGAACACUAAAUCGUAAAAUUUACAUUAAUUUUUCUCCUUUCGGUAUUCCAAAGACGUAAAAAGGAAUAAACAAAAUAAUAUGAUUCAACGCUAAUUCAAAGUUCAAACAAUGUACAUUUAUUUAUUUUCCUUUUUGGCAUUCCAAUGGCAUGAAAGAAUAAAUGAAAUAAUAUUUAUGAAUCAGCACUAAUUUAAACAAUGUUUAUCAGAUUAUUCCCAUUUUAAAUUGGAACAGCAUAAAAUUAAAAUGAAUCAUCCGAUUCAGCUCUAAUUCGAACAAUUUACAUUAUCCAUUUUUUGUUUGAACAUGUAAGUGAAAUAAUUUGGAACUGAGCAUUCUUAAAGGAUAUGCAAGUCAACCUAAAACCCAACUAUAUAGGGAAUUGGUCUUCAAAAAGAUUGAACUUUUCAAGGAAUUCUAAGUUAAUGAAAUCAUUAAAUAAUAUUAACUUCAUCAAUUAAAUAGAUCCUCUAAUAAGUUUACAAGAAAUUGUAAUUUGUAAAUCAAUUAUAAAAAAUAGUCAGCUGUGAACCAAAUAUCAAGGAAGAAAAAUAAGUAGAUCUAAAACUACGAAAUCCGAUGGAAGGGAAUUAUAGAAAUUUGCACAUUCAAUGCACACUUAUAAUAAGAAAAUAAGCAAGUUAAUUUGAAUUUUAGAGAGAACCUUUGGAGCACAAAUUCGAACAAUGUACAUUUAUUUUCCAUUUCGGCAUUCCAAUUGCAUAAAAAGAUAAAAGAAAUAAUAUGAUUCACUAGUAAUUCAAAAAAAUAUAUAUUAAUUUAUUUUUUCAUUUCAGAAUUGCAACAGCAUAAAAUUAUAAUGAAUAAUAAUCUUCAAAAUAAAUUAUUGUUUAUUAAGUUUAUAACUAAAAGAAAUUAUUACAAAAUAUCGACUUUAAAAAUUAAAAGUAAUUCUGAUUUCUGAAUCAAUAAAAAUAGGCAUUAGCUAAGUACAAAAUAUCAAGGGAGAAAAUCAAAGAGAUGUAAAACAAUGAAAUGUGAUUCCACACUAAUUUUUAAUAUUAGGACCCCAUUUAUGUACAGUCAACUCUUGUGUUAUGGAAUGUACAUAAUCACUCAUCAACAACACUAACUCAAAAAUCUUACAAUUUUUUAUUUAUUUUUUUGGGUCCUUUUCGGCAUUUCCGAAGACAUAAAACAGUUAAUUUUAAUAAUAUGAUUCCACACUAAUUCAAACAGUUCACAUUUACUUGUUUUCCUUUUUGGCAUUUCAAUAGCAUGAGAAGAUAAAAGAAAUAAUAUGAUUCAAAAUAAUAUUAAUUUAAAAAAAUUACAACAGCAUUAAAUUAUAUGUGAAUAGUACAAUUCAGCUCUGAUUCAAUUAAUAUACAUUUUUAAUUUUCCUUCUUUGUAUUCCAACGACAUAAAACUAUAAGGCCCUAUUUGAUUGCCUACCAUUUUCCAUGAAAAUAAUCAAGAUUUUUCAACUUUUGUGGUGUUUGGUAGGGAAAUUUUUCCAUGGAAAAUAUUUUCCACUUUCCUUGGUUACGUAGAUAAUUUCCAACUUUUUUAUGAAUUUGUAUUCUCGCCAAAAUGGUGAGAAUUCAUUUUCGAUCAUACUGUAGCGAUUUUUUUUCCUCUUUUUUUUUUUCUUUUUUUUUUUUUGAAAUGAAAAUAAAUUUUAAGAAUUAUCGUAAAAAAAUAUUUCUCUUUAAUUGACAAUUUCUAUAUAAAAUAAAGUCAAACGAAUACCAAAAGAUAGAUGAUUUUCUUGAUUUUUUUUUUUUGUUGGUAAUGGAAACAAAUUUUAUCCCCAAUACCAGUAAAUUCAAUCCCUUUAAUUAAUAAUUUUCAUGUAAAACAAAAUCAAACGAACACCAAAAAAUACUUUUAUUUCAACAUUUUCCACAUGAAAAAUUAUACCAAUCAAAUACAAUAAAUUGAUAAUUUCCAGGAAAAUAAUUUCUAGACAAUUUAAUUCCCCGAAAUUCGUUUUCUUUCCACCCAAAUUCCACAUUUGAAAUCAAACAUACCCUAAAUGAAAUAAUAUAGACACGUUGCAUUCCUAACUAUGUACACAUUAGGGCCAUAGUAAAUUUUAAAAUAUGUAUUCAUUGGGAUCAUAAUUUUCGAAACAAUAAGGAUAUGCAAGUCAAUAUGAAUCCCAACUCCAUAUAGAAUAGAUUUUUUAGGAAAGAUUGAACUUUUGCAAUAAAUUUUGGUUAAGAGUUUCCACUGACUUAUUGCUGCUACUAGAGUGAUUGGGUUCUUCUGGUGAAUGGGUUUCUUAACCAUAUAAAUCAAUGUGUACCAGAAUAGUGCGCACUAGUAGGUGUAAAUAUUGUGUCGUAUGACCGUUUGAUUUGAUAACUAUUAGCAACAACAAUUGUGAGAAUCAUUGGAGAAAUAAGGAGACACGUGAGAGUCAGUGGAGGAAUAAGGAGACACAUGAUUCUUGGAGAAAAAAGGGUGAAGACUCUCACAAUCUAACCUCAAUUAGUGGAGAGACGUUGAGUGAUCUUGGAGCUCUAACUGUAACUAGUUCAAACCGGGAUGAUGAUCCAAUCGAGCCUGUAUUCUCUGAAAGUUCAAAUUUGCAUGGUAGUUCAACAAACUCCAAAUAUUUAGGGAACCUCUGCUAUCAAACCUCUCCAGUUAUCAAGAUGUCAACGCAACAAGUGGAGAGCAAAUCGGAUUGUUAAACCACAACCCGAUUUUUUGGGAUUUCUAUUUUAUUUGAAUUCUGUAAUCUCUGUAUUUUUUUCAUUUUAAAUACCUCACUUGUAUAGCCAAAGUGUUCACAUUACAAUCUGAGUACCACUUUUCAUUCAAAACAAAUUAUUCCAUCAGCUCAAUUUUUUCAUUAUGGUAUCAGAGCCAUUGUGAACACUAAGCAACCCAUCACAGAUCAAUUACUGUAUUCUCUUUCACCAUGACUACUCUGUCACUCAAUGUUGGCAACUUUAUCACCCUUUGACUCACCCCAAACAAUGAUCCCUUGUGGCGUGAGCAAGAAUUGGCUCUUACUGAGAGUCAAGAGAUGGUCGAGCAUCUAACAAACGAAGAUCUCGCUCCGACCAAAUACACCAUUCCCACAAAUGCUGAAAUUCAACACCACAAUUAACAGACGCUUUCGUAGCAUGGCAAAAUUCAGAUCAUCUUCUUCGAGGGUGGUGUUGGGAAUCUACUUAUACAUGCACAGUGGAAAAUUAAAAUUAUUUCGAUUUCCACCGAGGAUCCCUUUGUAUUUAGAUAAAAAUCGUGAUAAAGAUUGUACCUUUGAAGAAUUUUGCAAACCUUUUACUUUUCUUUUCGUUCCAGUAAUCUUGAUUCGCCAUCCACAGCUGUCCAAUUGUCCAACCUCCAACAGUGAUCCACACAGAGAACAAGAUUGCAGUUACCAGGGUUUUCCUUUUAUGCCAGCAAGAAUAAUAAGAACCAUAUGGACCUCAAACCCUAGCCAUAUAUUUAUAUAAACCCAAACGGGCUUGGCCCAGUUCGGUCCAAUAUUUAAUUAAUCUAUUUAAUUAAAUUCGGUCCGUAAAUUAAUUAAUCAAAUUAAUUAAUUCGGGAAUAUAAAUAACAAAUCCAAUUAAUUAAUUUAUCCAACGAUUGUUCAAUUAACCAAUUGGCAAUUUGCAAUUUUCCAAUUCUCUUUUGUGUCCUACCAAUUAGGUUCCCGACCAUGAUGUCUAAAGACGUGAAAUAUUAUUUUGAUCUAAUCAAAAUUGAUAAAUUAAAACACCCUUUUAAUUUAUCGUCAAUUCACACUCGCCGUCCCUAAUUGACAUUUAGUAAUGUGUCAGGGCAAUACAUGUGACGGGAAAUGUCACGUGGUAUGACAAAACCAAACUCGUUCGUUUACCUUGAAACUAUAAUCCCUUCGUCAAUAUGAUCCGAUCAAUUAAGAGAUAUGGAAUUGUGUCAAUCCAUAAUUUCGAUCAUAUCUUUCACUCCACUAUUAAGUCAAUAUAAGUCGAAAACUCCUUUUCGACUUAUGAGUACAUCUUGGCCAAGUAUUUCGUUAUCGACUUAAUUGAAUGAAAUGCAGAUCAUAAUCUCCUACUAUCUAAGAGUGACGAAUUCUUUAUUGGUCAAUCACAACCUUCAUACGAUUCUUGACGUACCCGAACGAUGUCAUAUUAGCGGCCCUUUGCAGAGCAACAUCCAAUACCGUCAAAGUAUGACUGUCCUCAUAUAAGGUACCAUGACGACCUCAAGUCUAAGGACCAAUUCCACUACCGAACGUUAGAGAUUACCUACUGACACUCAGAUAGUUAUCCAUGUGGAAUCUCUUGGCGGGUCUCCAAUGUUUUGUUCUAUAAUAAAACAUCCACGUGUCAUUUAAGUGUCACCGUACUUUAGCUUGUAAGAUCAGCUACUUACUUUACAAGUAAGAAAUGCCACACGUGAUGGUCUAUCUGUAAUACUGAUAUCCGCAUCUCGUUAUCACUUACAACCACAGACGAUUUAAGAUUCAAUCAGAUGUAAUUUGUAUCUCAGAAUCACAACGCCUUGUGAUUAACAAAUUACGAAGAUUUGAAUCUACGGACUCUAUUAUUCAUUUAAUUAUCUAUUAAUUAAAUAAUAGAUCUGUCAUUUAAUUGCAUUAAUUAUAUAUAAAAAUAUUUAUGUCCAAAGUUGAUUGGACCUAGGGCAUAAUACUUACAGGUGGAUCAUUGGAACACUGUCUGAAGAAACUCUCGGACUCAUCGUUGAUCUCACACAGAUCAUGGAGUAUGGGAGGCCCUCAAGAAUGCAUAUGCACAUGACUCACGAGAAUGUGAGCUUACACUACGACAACAAGUGACCUAUCUUCAAAAGGAAGACAAUACUAUUGACAUGGUUGACUUCGGUCUAUGUUUUAAUUAUAACAAACAAGAUUUAAUUUUGGUUCUAACAAACCUACUUUUGAAUCAUGAUAGUUGAAAUCAAAUUGACCAUCGCAUCAAAAUGAAGAUUCAUGGAUAGGACAAGAUAAAUGCACUCAUGAAGAACGAAACGAAUGCCAAUGUCAAGACGAAUCAAGAUCGAAGUCAUAAACCUUGAUGAUCAAUCAUAUUGAAGAAAAUUAUAUUAGAACUCUUGAAGUUAUAUGUAAAGGUAUAACAUUUUAAUAUUUAGCAAAGAAGUCUCAGGAGCUCAAAAUAAAAUCAUUCAAGGCAAAAUUUAUUUUUGAGAAUUGAGCUAUCGGACGAUCCGAUAAAGGUCUUUGCCCACGGUCAAAAUUUUUAACGUUCUGACACCUAACUCACCAACGGCUAGUAGUCUUAUCCGGUACGUACCGGAUGGUCCGGUACACUUGUCCGGUAGGGCAGACUCUUGACCGUUAGGAAGAUCUUUGAGAGCUAUAAAUAUCACUCUCUUCACUAUAUAUAUAACUGUUUAUGAGCAUUAAGUGAAGUAUUUUAUUGAUUCUCUCAACCUUAUUUUUCACUCUUUUAAAGAUCAAAUCAUUCAUUUAUUGAAAAACUUUUUGAGUGAUCAAAAGUUGAAAAAUCAUUUUAUCUCAACUAAAGUUUUUCAAUCAAAACACUUGAGCUACCUUCUUUGCUAUCAAUUAAAGUGUUUACCUACUUCUCUCUUAUAUUCAAACUAAGUCUAUAUCAUUUAUUAAGAGAGAAGUUUUUCACUUGUAAUUUCAAUUCUCUUAUUUUUGGAUUGUGGGUCGUGUUGAGGUCCAGGAAAUUUCAAUGGUGUAAAAGGAUCGGUGCUCCUUGAUUGUAAGUCACCAGAAGCUUUGUAAAGGUUGGAUUGCAUCAUAAGUCAAUCAAAUAUAGCGGAAAAGGCCUUGCUCGUUACGAAGAGCUUGGUAACAGGGGACGUAGAUCGUUGAUUGGAUCGAACCUCCUUAUUACAUCAUUUGCUCUCUCUCUUCCCUUCCUCUUAUUAUUUUUGUGAUAUCUUGCUUACCUAUUAUUUUAAUUGUUAUUUGCUUAAAUUCGAACUUAUUUUCGAAAAAGUUUCAAAUAACCAAUUCACGCCCCCCUCUUGGUUAGUUGUUCUUGGGCUAUCAAACACAACAAUCACAGAACAUAUUCUCACCUUCAAAGGUCUCUAUGUCAAUUUAUCAGACAUUGGGAAGGCUAUACCAGACCAAGAAAAAGUCUUCUGUCUUCUGACCAGCCUUGCUCCUCAUUAUGAAACAUUUACAACAACCAUGUUGAAGCUUCCAAGCCAUCAUACUCUGAGUUGGUCUCCCAACUCCAAAACUUUGAUCAAAGGCGCAACUGGGUCUCUAACCACACAGAUGUCCCAGCUUAUUCUCUCACUCAUUAGAUGGCCUUUUUUGGACAGCAACAACAACGCUCACAGUUAAAUUCUUUAGGCUAUCAUAGAUCUUCACAAAAGUUCACCUCUAAUGGUUGAGGCUUCCAAGCUCAACAGCAAAGCGACUCUCUUUCAGCAAACUCACAACGUCAUCCUCCACCACCUGGUGAGCAUCGCAUGACACCUGCAGAGAGGGACAAAUAUCAUGAACAACAAUGCCAGUAUUGUGGUAUGAUGGCCACAUUGUUAAGAUAUGUUGGUAGGUGCCAAAGAAACCCAUUCAACAAGAUGAGAUUCCACAAGCACUCUCAGCGCUCACACUGGACACCACCAUUGUUGGCACCGAAUGGACAACAGAUGGAGCUUCCAACCAUAUAACAGGUAAGCUAGGUAUGUUAACUAAUAUUUGUAAAUAAUCUAGUAUUGACUCUGUGCUAAGUGGAAAUGGGUCUUCCAUGCCAAUUCUUGCAAUUGGUGAUUCUUGUAUAAAACAAAAGGCAUCUACCUUGCCCCUCAACAAUGUUCAGUUGGUUUCGAACCUAACAAAAAAUUUACUUUCAGUAAGCCAGUUAACUAAACAAUUUCCUGUUAAUUGUGAAUUUUCUAAUGUUGAUCUUUGUGUUAAGUAACGAGAAAUAGGACAGGCGAUGAUAAAAGGGAAACACAAAGGUGAUCUCUAUGUUCUACCCACUUCUCCAAAAUUGUAUUUCUCCCAUCGGUUCAAAUUAGGCACUGCAAACGUUGGACAUCAACGCCUAGGCCAUCCUCAAUCUUCAACUUUAUAGUUGCUAAAAAAUAAGGGACUUAUUGAAGUCAUAUGGAAAAUAAAAUCUCAACAUCUUUGUGAUAGUUGUCAAGUAGGAAGACUUAGUCAUUUCCCUUUCUCCUGUUCGGAACAUUCAAGUACUAGAGUCUUUGAAAAAAAUUCAUUGUAAUUUGUGGGGACCUACUCCCGUUUUAUCUACUGCAAAAUAUAAAUAUUAUGCUUGUUUGAUUGAUGAUUUUUCUAAGUAUACGUGGAUUAUUCCUUUGCACAACAAAUCUGAUUUAUUUAAUGCUUACUUAGCUUUUGAAAAAUAUGUUGCAAGACAAUUUAACAAGCAAAUUAAAAAAUUUCAUUCAGACAGAGGUGUUGAAUUCAUCAAUUCAAAACUUUUGACCCAUUUUUUGUCUACAGGGAUUGUUCAUCAGGUAUUAUCCCCAUAUACCCCUGAUGAGUGUAAUUCACUCAUUAAACUAACAUCUCUAAAUCACGGGUUUUAGCUUGUUCUUGAGCACUUUUGAACAUUUUGAUAUGUGUGUUCGUGUUGUUUUGUAGCUCAAUCAGCAUUCGAGGAAACGUUGGAGCUUGUGAUGAAUCUAAAAUGGCGAUCAUAAAAUGGGGGCAUGAAUUGGAGAUAAUAAAAAAAGAUUGCAAUGGAAAAGAAGCUUAGGAGAUGAUCGAUUCAAGCGAGGAGCAGUUUGUUAGGCACCAUGGCAUCUAAAUUGGGCGCCACUACACCCAACAAAAAGAGAAUUUCCAGAAGUGAUAUGGGCGCCAUGGUGCGGCGCCAGCACACAUUCGCGGCACCAUGGCACCAGAUAUGGGCGCCACGGCACUGGAUCUCACAACACAGAAGAGUCCAAAUUUUUUGAUAUUUCUCGACCCAAGAUAUUCCUUAACGAUCCAAAACUCAGAGAUAAUAUAAUAUCAAAAUGAAAACCUAAUUGGAGACGAUUUUCUGGGAUUUUCUCUGGGCGAAAAAUGGAUGUGAAGAUCCAUUCAAGAGACAAAGAGGAGAAAUUGAAUUGCAUCAAGAUUGACGGAAGAACAAGCGGCUUAAAUCAAUUUUUCUGAACCCUUAUUUAUUCUUUCCCAUGUUCUUUAUCUUGUAUUUUGGCUUGUCGAUCGAUUCAAGCAUGAACUAAAUUUGUAGAUCUAGGGUUAAUGUAACCUAUUUGAGACAUGAUUUGAUUCUAAUAUAGUUAUUUCUUUUAGUUUUCCAGAAUUUAUUUGUGUUGUUUUAUGCUUAAUGCUUUCAAUUGCCUGACACCAUUUGAAUGAACCGAUGUUUUAAAUUUUGACGCUCGAGAGAGGGAAAUUUAGACAUGAUCUGGAACAACAUAACCUAGAUUUGUAGGUUUCAAGAAAAAGUGUAAAUCUUUGAGUGGUAAAAUAAGAACCAAGAGUUUUAAUAAUCUUUAUAUGUUUAAUUUGGAAUAUAGAUAUUGGUGUUAAAAUAUAAAGAUAGGUUCUUUUGGUGCUCGAGAGAGGAAACAAAAUUAAAUUAGGGUUCUUGCCUAUAAAUUGGGAAAAAUUCGAUGGAAAUGGCUAUAGAAGUUGAGAACAUGUUGAUAAUUUGGUGAAAUCAAUCCUUGGAUAUCCAUAAUUUGAUUUGAUUUUUAGAAAUUGCCUCACUUUAAUUGCAUUCUUUAUUCCAUUUAAACUAGGUUAGCAUAAAAACAUCAUUUAAAAAUUGGGUUUGUCUAAAUAAAGUAAAAAUCGAAACAAUUAUAGUACUCAGUGGAAUUUGAAUAUCAAUUCCUGUGGGUUUGACACUUUUAAAUUCUUUACUAUAUUACAAAACUUGACACCGUACACUUGUGAUUAAAUCAUAUUAUAUAAUCGCGUGGCAAGUUUUUGGCACCAUUGUUGGGGAUUGAUUCAUUCGAAUUCAAUUGAUAUUAUUACUAGUCAGCUUUCAUUUUAAUUUAGAUUUUUAUUUUUAUCGUAAUUUUUAUUUUUUUUCAUUUGGUGUCUAUCUCUAAUAGAUUCCUCGUGUUUAUUUUCAGCUGUUUAUGCGAAGGGCGAGAAACCUGGACCUACUACCUGUUGAUCUUGAAUCAAAACACACAUUUCGCAUUCUAAGAGGUAUACAAAGAAACGAACGAGAAGCAAUGGCAAAACAGGAAGCAAGAGCAACUAAUGAGGAAAACCAACAAAUGGUUAUUCAGGACUAUAUAAGGCUCGUUGUCAACGACAACUAUUCCAGUAUCGUACGCCCAGCAAUUGCUAAAAACAACUUCGAAUUGAAGUCAGGGCUAAUACAUAUGGUGCAGCAGAAUCAGUUUGGAGGUGCUGCAACAGAAGACCUAAAUGCUCAUCUUGGAUCCUUUUUGGAAAUUUGUGACAUGGUGAAGAUGAAUGGGGUCAAUGAAGAUGCAAUUAGACUUCGUCUAUUCUCUUUCUCUUUGAGGGAUAAAGCAAAAGCUUGAUUCCAGUCACUACUGCAUGGCUCAAUUACAACUUGGGAUGAUUUGGCUCAGAAAUUCAUCAUCAAGUACUUUCCACCUUCUAAAUCAGCUCAACUUCACAGCGAGAUUAGCCAAUUCAAACAACUCAACUUCGAGCAUUUUAUGAAGCUUGGGAAAGAUUUAAAGACUUUCUUAGGAAAUGUCCUUAACAUGGUUUCCAAAAAUGGGUUCAGAUUGAGAUAUUCUAUAAUGGGUUAAAUGGGCAGACGAAGACUAUGGUAGAUGCAGCUACGGGAGGCAUUUUAAUGGCUAAAACGGUAGAGGUUGUCUAUGCUUUAUUGGAUAACAUAGCCACCAACAGUUACCAAUGGCCAAGUGAGAGAUCAAACGUAAAGAAAGUAACAGGACUUCAUGAAGUGGAUCCCAUCAUAGCACUAGCAGCUCAGGUUACAUCACUCACAAAUCAAAUAGUCAUGCUUACAACUUAAGAGAAUCAACAGAAGGCAGAUUCAAUCAUAAGUGCUUCUUCAUCACACAAAGAGAUAGAUAUUGCAAACGAGCAGACCCAAUAUGUCAACAGCAGAAACUACAAUCAAAGAGGAAAUUACCAGGCUAAUCACUAUAAUCCAAGGCCGAUGAAUCACCAAAACUUGUCAUAUGGCAACAAUAGAAACACACUUCAACCUCCACCUAGAUUCAACACUUAGAAUUCUGAAGGAAAACCAUUUUUGGAAGACAUCCUUGGGACAUUCAGUUCUGAGACAAGAUCACGCUUCAAAAAAGAUGAAUCAUGGUUGGAUAAUAUUGAAACACAUGUGUCCAACAUGGGAGCCACAAUGAAGAAUCUUGAAGUGCAAAUUGGUCAGUUGGCUACCUCAAUGAAGUCUCAGCAACAAGGAAAAUUUCUAAGUGAUACAGAAGUCAACCCAAAGGAGCACUAUAAGGCCGUCGUAUUAAGGAGUGACAAGCAAGUUGGAGAAAGUGAACCCACCGAAGAGAGCAAUCCCACACCUGACAAAGAGAAAGAACAAGUGGUAGUAGAGUAAGAAAAACAGGCCAAAGGAACAAAUAAGGCUCACAGACCUUAUUCCAUAUCCUUCCCUAACAACCUACCAAUUCUCACACCACCACUUUCAUUUCCACAGUGUUUUCAAAAGAAAAAAUUUGAUGAUCAAUUUGCAAAAUUUUUAGAAAUUUUCAAGAGAACUCACAUUAAUAUUCCUUUUGUAGAUGCUUUGAAACAAAUGUCAAACUACACAAGUUUAUGAAGAAGGUGAUGUCAAAAAAGCGAAAAUUGGAGGAACAUGAAACAGUAAAAUUAACAGAAGAAUGCAACGCUAUCCUUCAAAAGAAACUUCCUCGGAAGAGAAAAGAUCCAGACAGUUUCACUAUUUCAUGCACCAUUGGAAGCUCUUCUUUUGAUAAGGCCCUCUGUGAUCUUAGAGCAAGCAUCAACCUAAUGUCGUUAUCAGUAUUCAAGAAGUUAGGCCUCGAGAAAGUUAAGCCAACAACAGUGACCCUACAACUGGCUGAUAAGUCCCUUACAUACCCACGAGAAAUUAUUGAAGACGUGUUAGUAAAGGUCGAUAAAUUCAUCUUUCCAGUUGAUUUUGUGGUAUCAGAUAUGGAAGAAGAUCAGGAAAUCCCACUGAUUUUAGGCAGGCCAUUUUUAGCAACUGGAAGGGCAUUAAUUGAUGUGCAAGGACAUUUGACAUUGAGAGUGAAUCAAGAAGAGGUGAGGUUCAACAUCUACCAAGCAAUGAAGUACUCGGACAACACUGACACUUGCCAAAGGAUUGACUCCAUUGAUUCUGCUGUAAGAGAUGAGAAAUUAUACAUUGAGGAUCCCCUGGAGCAAUGUAUGAUGUUUAGUGCAACAAAGGAUGACAUCAGCACUUCUGGAGAAUAUUCAGGGAGCAAAGACUUGGUUGAUUGCAUAUUGGCUCUAGAGUCUACACCAGUUGAGGACAACCCGUCACAAUGUGAAGAUAUUCAGUAAUCAGAGGAAUCAGAUGACAAAGAAAAUAAUGAAAACAGUAAGAUUAAACUAAAGCAAUUACCAAAUCACCUCCGCUAUGCAUUUUCUGGGGGACAAUUCUACAUUUCCAGUGAUCAUUUCUUCAUCACUCACCACGGACGAAGAGGAUAGACUAUUGAAAGUGUUAAGGGACCACAAUACUGGUUUAGGAUGGUCGAUAGCUGACAUCAAGGGAAUAAGUCCUACAAUCUGCAUGCAUAAAAUCCUCAUGGAAGAUUCCUACAAACUAUCCAUUGAACAUUAGAAAAGGUUAAACCAGCAAUGAAAGAAGUGGUUCGAGCGGAGAUACUAAAGCUAUUGAAGGCAGGGAUCAUAUUUGCCAUUUCAAACAGUGAAUGGGUCAGCCCAGUGCAAGUGGUACCAAAGAAAGGAGGGAUAAAAGUGGUUAAGAACGACAACAAUGAGCUAAUUCCAACAAGAACAUUAACCAGUUGGAGGGUGUACAUUGAUUAUAGGAAGCUGAACAAGGCAAUUAGAAAGGAUCAUUUCACACUCCCUUUCAUUGAUUAAAUGUUAGACAGAUUAGCGGGCUACUCUAUUGUUUUCUUGACGGGUAUUCGAACUACAUUUAGAUUGCUAUAGCACCACAAGAUCAAGAAAAGACAACACUCACCUGUCGUUAUGGAACUUUUGCCUACAGACGGAUGCCAUUCGGGUUAUACGAUGCACCGACCACCUUUUCAGAGAUGUAUGAUGACGAUCUUUACAAACAUGGUUGAGGACAUUAUGGAGGUAUUUAUGGAUGACUUUUCGAUGUUUGGUACUUCUUAACUGCCGUCACAAUCUCUCCUUGGUGUUACAACGCUGUGAGGAAAAGAACUUGGUUCUUAACUCAGAAAAGUGCCACUUCAUAGUACAAGAAGGAAUUGUGCUAGGGUACCAUGUUUCAGCGAGGGGACUUGAUGUUGACAGAGCAAAAAUUGAUACAAUUGCAAAGCUACCACCACCCACUAAUGUCAAAGGCAUUCGAAGUUUCUUGGGACAUGCUAAAUUCUAUAGUAGGUUCAUCAAAGACUUUUCAAAAGUAGCUAAACACCUAUGCAACCUGUUGGAGAAGGACACAACAUUUGUAUUUAAUGAAGACUACUUAAGGGCAUUUGAAACCAUAAAGGCAAAAUUGGUCACUGCUCCAGUGAUGGUAGUGUCAGAUUGGGAUCAGCCAUUUGAGGUUAUGUGUGAUACUAGUGACUACACAGUAGGGAUGGUUUUGGGACAAAGGCAUGAUUAGAUUUUUCGUUCAAUCCACUAUACCAGUAAAACCCUUAAUGGAGCUCAACUAAAUUACACCACAAUAGAGAAGAAAAUGCUAGCAGUAGUGUUUGCAUGUGACAAAUUCAGAUCCUACCUCAUUGGCACCAACGUGAUCAUUCACACAGACCAUACUGCAAUCCGAUAUCUCUUUGAAAAUAAGGAUGACAAGCCACACCUAAUUCGAUGGAUAUUGCUACUACAGGAAUUUGAUGUAGAGAUUCGGGAUAAGAAAGGCAGUGAGAAUAUCGUUGCAGACCAUCUCUCAUGGUUAGAGAAUGAGAAGAUGGUGGAUGACAGUCAAAUUCGAGAAACUUUCCCUAACGAGAUCUUGCUAGCUGUAUCAACAAGGAUCCCAUGGUAUGCUGAUUUUGUUAAUUAUUUGGUAUCUGGAAGAUUGCCACUUGAUUUAACCUUCCAUCAAAAGAAGAAACUCUUACAAGAUGUCAAGUCAUAUAUGUGGGAUGACUCAAUAUUGUUCAAGAGGUAUGCUAACAGAAUAAUUAGGCGGUGUGUCCCUGUGGAAGAAACACAAUCAAUCAUGCAGCGUUGCCAUUCCUCACCUUAUGGAGGUCAUUUCGGUCCUACUCGCACUGCUGGAAAAGUAUUGCAAUCUAGUUUCUAUUGGCCAAAUCUAUUAAAGGACUGCUAUACUUUUGUGAAGACAUGUGACCGUUGACAGCGUACUGAAAACAUUUCAAGGCAUCAUGAGCUACCAUUAACUAGUAUGCUUAAGGUGGGGUUAUUUGAUGUGUGGGGUAUAGACUUCAUGGGUCCAUUUCCACCUUCUUUUGGUCAGGUAUACAUUCUCCUUACAGUAGACUAUGUAUCUAAAUGGGUUGAAGCCAUUGCCACACCAACAAAUGAUGCAAAGGUGGUUUUGAGAUUUCUACAAAAAAAUAUCUUCACUCGAUUUGGCACGCCUAGGCAAUUGUAAGUGAUGAAUGCACACAUUUCUGUAACAAGCCGUUCAACUCCCUUUUGGCUAAAUAUGAUGUCAAGCACAAAUUAGCACUUAGUUAUCACCCACAAUCAAAUAGGCAAGCAGAGGUGUCUAACAAAGAGAUAAAAUAGAUUUUGGAAAAGACAGUAAAUACUAGCCAAAAUGACUGGUCUCUCAAACUAGAUGAUGCUCUUUGGGCAUAUCGAACCACCUUCAAAAGUCCAAUUGGAAUGUCACCUCACUGUCUGGCAUUUGGGAAAGCUUGUCACCUAUUGGUGGAAUUGGAGCAUAAAGCUUAUUGGGCUAUAAAAAAGUUGAAUUUGGACAUGAAAUUGGCCGGUCCACAAUGCUUGUUGUAGCUUGAUGAAUUAGAGGAAUUUCGGAAUGAUGCAUAUGAAAAUGCGAAAAUAUACAAGGAGUGGAUAAAAAUGUGGUAUGACAAGAAAAUCCUAAGGAGGGAAUUCAAGGCAGGAGAACGAGCUCUUCUAUUCAAUUCUCGAUUGAGACUCUUUUCAGGCAAGCUUAAACCCUGGUGGUCGGGACCAUUUGUAAUUCGUAAUGUGUUCCCUUAUGGUUCAAUAGAGUUAGUGAGCAAGGAUGAGUCUACUUUUCAGGCAAACAGACAAUGCCUCAAGCAUUACUAUGGAGAGAAAGACCGAGAUGUAGAAGAAAUUACCCUCGAAGAACCACAUUAUAAUAAGAACCACAUCACGUCCAACUAAAGACGUAAAAGAAGCGCUUCUUGGGAGGCAACCCAAGUUCUAUCCCUAAAUUUUCUUUCUUUAGUUAGACAUUUCCUUUUCUUCCGUGGUAACUUUAGUAAUUUCGCUUUCUUUUCAUUUUUGUAGAAAUAUAGUCAAAUAUGGUUGCAUCGACACUCCUGUCAACAUGGAGAAGGAAGUACAUUGGAGAAUGGCAUGUAAGUACAAAUGAAUCAUCUACAAUCCACCAUCUAUGAUCUGUUUCAGUAUUAGAAUGCUUGCAUGGCGGUCAUGGCAUCUGCACACCCCGAGCUUACUUUCCCUCCACCGCCACCGUUUCCACCUCAUUUAUACUCUCCCGCUCCACCUGAUGGCAAUGAAGACAGUUAUGUCUUUCCCAAGGUAUUUCUCUUCCCCUUCUUUCAUUUUCACAUUGAGGGUAAUGUGUUGUUUAAGUUUGGGGGGUCUUAUUUUAACUUAUUUAGGUCGAGCAUUUUCUUCACUGCUUUUGUUGUAUUGCAUUCAUGUUCCAAGUAUGCUGUGCGUGUUAAUUUGUUUUGUGUGAAAAAAAUAAUAAUAUAAUAUAAUAAAAUUAAAAUAAAAAUUUGCAUUAUUUUAUUUCGCAUGCUUAUGUGAGUUGGAUAAUAUUAUUAGCAAUGAUGAGUUUAUUUGGAAUGUGGAUCGGUUGUGGAUUAUGAAUGAGUCAGUUGCCUGAAUUAAAGUAUUACUUAUCCCUGCAGAUUAUUGUGACAUUUAUGCACGUGAAUUGAGUAUAGCGGCGAACAAGAGUGAGUUGAUUCAUAUUUAGAUUUAGGCUAGAAGAAUGACCCUAGAAACUGAAUCCAAAUAGCCACUUGUGUAAUAGUAUUCACAUCCCUUAACCUACCUUAAGAUAGUUUGGAUGGGGAAACUAUUGUAGGAAAGCAUGGACGUGGUUAUGGAUUCCGUGUGUGCCAAAUUUUGUGUGGACUGUCUGAGACCAAUGGGAUGGGAAUUGAGUAAACACUUUUAGUUAUGGACCAAUUUUUUAGAAUAGGUGUUUAAUAAGGGGCAUUGCACUAAUCAUAGCCAAAAAAAAGGGCCCGUCAUAAAGCGUCUCUUCGUAGCCCUUAUGACUCGAGUGAUUAAGCCUGUAAGGGUUUAAAACCUGAUGCCCUAAAGUCGUCUGACUUGGGAAUCGUCGGUCGAAAACUCGCUACAGGGGUCAUCUAAAAAGUUUAAGGGAGAGACGAUCGCACAAAGAGUGUCCUAUUUUAGAGGAGUAGGCAUUUGACAAGGGGUUAGUAACUUUGUUUAUUCUUGGAGGUUGAAGCAGUCAAAAAUAAGAGAAUCCACACUUACCGAUAUGUCGAACUGCAAUUAGUAAAUUUUAACCAAACUUUAGAGGUGUAAGAAAUUAGUAUUGAAAAUCAACUUUAGGAUACACUUUGGGAAGAAAAGAGAAAAUAAGUUUGGGGGUAUGUGAAUCCCACGAGCGGAGAAAGGAGAUAAUUGACUUCUAAGUUGUUUGGUGUUAUAUUUGAUUCUUCACACACACACACACAUGAUCUGUAAUGGGUGGGUAAGGAGCUACCUUUUGCAAAAUAGCUUUGAAGUAGCUCAUAAACUCGAUCUUGCGCUUCAACAGCAGUAAAAACAUGUUGUCCAAAUAAAUUAUGCAUUUGAAUUCUUUGGCAACAUUUGUGUUUGUUUUUUGUAGUUAUUGAUUAUUGGUUGAAAUCAAAGAACUAAUUUUGGGGGUGUUUGAUGAGUGUAAUUCACUCAUUAAACUAACGCCUAAACAUCGCGAGUUUUAGCUUGUUCUUAGCACUUUUGAACGUUUUGAUGUGUGCGUUCAUGUGGUUUUGCAGCUCAAUUAACAUUUGAAGAAAUGCCACAAUUGGGAGCUUGUGAUGAAUCUAAAAUGGUGAUCGUAAAAUGGGGGCAUGAAUUGGAAAUAAGAAAAAAGGAUUGCAAUGGAAAAGAAGCUUAGAAGAUAAGCGAUUCAAGCGUGAAGCAAUUUGUUAGGUGCCAUGGCAUCUAAAUUGGGUGCCACGGCGCUCAGCGUAAAGAGAAAGUGGUAGAAUAGCUAGCGCCAUGGCUCCGGAUCUCGCAACACAGAAGAGUCCAAAUUUUUGGAUAUUUUUCGACCCAAGAUGUUCCCUAACCAUCCAAAACUCGGAGAUAAUAUAAAUACCAAGAUGAAACCUAAUUGAGGACUGUUUUCUUUGAUUUUCUCGGAGCGAAAAAGGGGUACAAAAGUGAAGAUCCAUUCAAGAGGGAAAGAGGAGAAAUUGAAUUGCAUGACAACCAGUUGGGGAAGAACAAGCAGCUUAAAUCAGUUUUUCCGAACCCUUAUUUAUUCUUUCCCAUGCUCUUUAUCUUGUAUUUUGGCAUGUCGAUCGAUUCAAGUAUGAACUAAAUUUGUAGAUCUACGGUUGAUGUAACCUAUUUGAGACAUUAUUUGAUUCUAAUGUAGUUAUUUCUUUUAGUUUCCAGAAUUUAUUUGUGUUAUUUUAUGCUUAAUACUUUCAAUUGCCUGAUCACCAAUUGAAUGAACAGAUGCUUUAAAUUUGACGCUCGAGAGAGGGAAAUUUAGACAUGAUCUGGAACAACAUAACCUAGAUUUGUAGGUUUCGAGAGAAAGUGCAAAUCUUUGAGGGGUAAAACAAGAACCAAGAGCUUUAAUAAUAUUUAUAUGUUUAAUUCGGAAUAGAGAUAUUGGGGUUAAAAUAUAAAGAUAUGUUUUAUUGGCGCUCAAGAGAGCGAAUAAAAUUAAAUUAGGUUCUUGCCUAUAAAUUGGGAAAAAUUCAAUGGAAAUGGCUAUAGAGGUUAAGAAGAUGUUGAUAAUAUGGAGAAAUCAAUCCCUAGAUAUCCAUAAUUUGAUUUGAUUUUUAGAAAUUGCCCCACUUUACUUGCAUUCUUUAUUCCAUUUAAAUUAUGUUAGCAUAAAAACAUCAUUUAAAAAUUGGGUUUGUCUAAAUAAAGUGAAAAUCGAAAUAAUUAUAGUACUCAGUGGAAUUUGAAUAUCAAUCCUCAUGGGUUCGACACUUUUAAAUUUUUUACUAUAUUACAAAACUUGACGCUGUGCACUUACGGUUAAAUCACAUUAUAUAAUCGUGUGGCACCUAAACAAACUGGUAUAGUUGAGAGGCAUCAUAGGACUAUAAGCGAUUUGGGAAUGACUGUUAUUUCACUAUGGUGCACCUUUAUUUUUAUGGGUAGAAGCUUUCACUACAGUUGUAUAUCUUAUGAAUCGUCUACCAUCAUCUGUUCUCAACUUUGAAACACCAUACUUCGCACUUCAUGGGAUACAUCCAGAUUAUUCCUCACUCCGAGCCUUUGGAUCAAUGUGUUUUCCCUACACUUGGGAUACGCAAAAACACAAAUUUGAUCCAAAAACACUUCCAUGCAUUUUUGUAGGCGACAGUGAAAAACAAAAAGCUUAUAAGUGCUAUCAUCCAUCAAGUAAAAAAAAUAAAAAUAAAAAUUAUUUCUGGUCAUGUAGUCUUUGAUGAGUUAAUUUUCCCAAAUAAACCUAUUAAUGAACCUUGCAUGACAUCAAAUUAGCCACGAAUAAUUAGUAUAUUCGAUUCUUGGUUACCACACACUAACAUUUCUUUUUCUGCAGGUACAAACUCGGACUCUUCCACACCCCCAUGUCAAUCCUUGCUGCCAAUUGACACUGUACUCCACGAAAUUCAUCCCAAAAUUUCAGUUCUACUGAGUUAUCACGGCAAUCUCCCUCCAUCGAGACACGGACCAGUGAGAAAACUAUUUAAAUGAAUUUCAUGAGUCCGGUCACAACACUGGUUCUCCUAAAACUAUUCCGUCACAAGAGUCUCACGAGUCUACCCAAGAAUUAGGUCCACGGAAUGUAAGUGAAACACCCGAGCUUUCCCAUCAUAGUCCUGAACCUUCACCACCAUUGGGUCACUCCAUGGUCACUUUGUCAAAACUAAGUGUGGUAAAACCAAAUCCUAACUAUGCCUUGACCACCAUCACAUCUGCUAAUAUACCUCGUGAGCCUCACAAUAUUAAAAUUGCAUUGGCACACCCUGGAUAGAAAGCAGCCAUGGACAAGGAGCUGGCUGCACUACAUUGAGACCUCGAAAUUAAUUCCUAGAACACCAAACGUGCGUGUCAUUGGUAUUAGAAAUUAAACUUGAUUCAUGAACAAUGAAAAAUUAAAUUUGAUACAUGAAUUAGUUUAUCUAAUAUUCAUGUAUCCAAAUGGUUAUUUGUAUCCUAUUAUUCAUAGUAUGUAGGAAAAGUCAUUAAUUAGUCUCAACAUAUUUGGGAUCCUUUGUACUUAUAAAAGGCCUUGUGUUUGAGACAUUUUAUAGAGUCAAGCCAUAUAAUACAAAUAUUUUUUGAGAAUUCUCAAAAAAAUUUCUCUAGCCUUUCUUCCCAUAAUUUUUAUUUCCAACAAAGUGGUAUCAGAGUCAUUUCAAAGAUGAAUAAUUCAUUUUCUUUUGUUGUUCCCAAACUAACAAAGGAAAAUUAUGGACAUUGGAGCAUACGCGUGAAGGCGUUGCUCGGCUCACAAGAGGCAUGGGAAGUUGUAAAGAAAGGUUGUGAUGAACCAGAGAAUGAAGUAGCUUUAAGUCAAGCUCAAAGGAAUGCCUUACAAAGAUACCACAAGUUAGAUCAACACACUCUCUCUUUUAUUCACAUGGGCUUAGAUGAAGCCAUGUUUGAGAAAGUUACUUUCUUAACAAAAGCUAAGGAAGCUUGGGAGAUAAUUGAGAACGGUUUCAAGGGAAUUGAAAAACUAAAGAAGGUUUGCCUUCAACUCCUUCUUGGCGAGUUCUAUCUUUGACUAUUUCACUAGGGUGUCCUCCACUGUCAAUCAUAUGAAGCGGUACGAGGAGAAUAUUGAAGAAUGUCAUAUCAUCGAGAAAAUUCUUAGAUCACUUGGCUCAAAACUUGAGUUUGUUAGUAUUGCCAUUAAAGAGUCUAAUAACUUGGAUACCAUGAUCCUUGAUCAACUCAUGGGGUCCUUGCAAGCAUAUAAAGAAAGAUUGAAGAAGAAAGGAGAACUGGUGGCUCAAGUUCUCCAGACGAAUGUCUCCUUGGGAGGUCAAGAGAAAGAGAAAGAGCAAGAACAAUCUCAAGGAAGAAGUCAAAUUCAUGGUCGAGAUCGUGAUCAUGGUCGUGGUCGCGGAGGAGAUUAUGGUCAUGGUAAUGUAAGAAGUGAUGGAAAAUAAAAUCUAAAUAAUGAAGGAUCAAGCAAUCAAUCGAGAGGAUGAGGGCGUUAGAUCUAUGGCUCCAAGAGCGGUGGUGGAAGAAGAUAUGACAAGUCCAAUAUUCAAUGUUACACUUGUCAUAAAUAUGGUCACUAUGUUUCCGAAUGUAGGAGUGACACCACCAAUAAUGAAGAGAGAGUUAAUUAUGUUGAAACAAACGAAAAUGAAAAAUUGUUAUUGUUGUUGACAAUCAAAGAAGAAAAUGAUAAACAAUAGUGGCACCUUAACACCGGUGCCACCAAUUACAUGUGUGGCAACAAAGAGUUAUUCUCAACAAUAAAUGAAUCAGUAAAAGGCAACAUAGUUUUUGGAGAGGAAAUCAAAGUUCCAAUAAAAGGCAAAGGUAAUGUUCUUAUUCGUGCUAAAAAUGGAAGUCAUAUUUUGAUUUCUCUAAUUUGCUAUAUACCUAAUGUGAAGUCUAAUAUUUUGAGUUUUGGAUAAAUGGAUAAGUUGCUUAACAGGGCAGAAAUACAUUUACUUGAUUCUAUUUUAACACAUCCUUAGAAUUCAAAUUGAAAUUUUAUAGUAAUUCUUAUAGUAACUAGAUUUGUUAAGAGUAAACCGGACAGUGCAAGCUUUUUAAAAAACUUGAAACACAGGCAAUCUUCAUUCUUGAUUGAUUUUUCCUUUAUACAUAAUAAAUACAUAACUUAAAAAGUUUGAAUGGUUAAAAUAAUAAAAAUUAUAUUUACUUAUAUUUCAUAGAACCUUUGUUUACUCGAGCACCAUCUUAAAUUACAUAUCAUCUAAAAUCUUACAGUAGUAACGCAACAAAAAUUUAUUUAUUUAUUUAUUUUUAAUUCUUGACAAUAACACUGUUGAGGCCCAAUUCAUUUAGAACAUCUCACAAGCCCCUACUAAUACUAAACAUAAUAGGUAGAUGGUUAAGUAUUGAAAAUCAAACUCUUUUCAAGCCUUAGAAAGUGAGGCUUGAAAGUACUCACUGCAUAUGUCAGCUACUAUUUCGAUUUCAUUAUCUUCCUUUUUCCAAGAGCCCUUCACCACUAGAUGUAGUAUCUCAGCUACUUCAAACAAGGUGUCAUAUUCAAAAAAGAAUUAAGCCCCUGCACAAGCCCCUUUGCACAUGGCUAUACAGGGGCUCUCACAUGGGGAUGAACCCCACAUGUGGAUCCAUGUGUGUGCACCUGUACACACCCUGUGCAAAAAGGUCUGUGCGGGUAGCAUAAUUGUUCGAAAAAUCAAUAAAUAAUAAUUACAGAGGGGGGAAAAAACGUCAUAUAUUUCUAAAUUCUAAAGCAAAUUGAAUCCGUUACAUCCGAAUUGGAAUAAGAUUUCAAACUAAAAUGAAACAAAUUGAAUUGGAUUCUCGAGUGCAAUGUAAGCCAAAUACCCCUCAUGCAUAAUUCUUGAUUUCAGAAUCCCCAUGAACAUACCCCAAAAUACGUAGACGUAUACCAACAAAGCUCUUCAGCUUCCCCUGUUUUAUUGGAUUCAACAAACAACAAAUUCUGGCAUUGUUAAAAAGCGACGUAUCAUCAACAAAUUAAAAAUUAUCAAAUAAAAGAAGGGAAUUGAGAUAAGCUAGUCCUACGACUCCUACUCCUAUAGAACAAAUCAAAUGUAAAUCACCUUCACGCUAAUAUUCUUCGCUAUAUGAUAUGGUUACUUUCUGCAUAGUGUGUACUUCUCCAUUUAAACUUAUCUACAUAAAGAAGAUUUAACUUUAGGAUACGCAAAACUUGAAAAAACCAUGAAGAAAAAGCUGUACAAAACCAUAAAACUCGACCAGCAUGUGGCGAAGUUACAUACAGCACUUUUAUCACCUUCAAUAAAUUUUGGUCCUCCCACGGCCCCUUAUCAGACUUCAAACAACCUCCCUCAUUUGAACAUGUGCAGCUCCCACCUAGAAAACCUGGUAGCUGACUAACAUGACAAUGAUUUUAUUGGACUGUAAAAUCGCUUGAAUUCCAAGCAAGCUAGAAUCAAAAGCCCAGUUACCUUGCAUCAAUGGCUUCCAGUAAUUCGCUUUGAUAAUUACUGCCAAACACCUAGAGAGAGUUUGAAAAUCAUUGGUCUAUUUAGACUAAAAUUGUAAUUUAUGCAGUUUAAUUACUUGAAUGAACUUCAUAUAAUAUACCUGAAUCUUGGAAGUUGUAUCUGGGUCGAGUAAAGGCUUCACUAUAGUCCAGAUCAACUGGAAGGCAGGACCAGCAUUGAUGAUAUACAUUCGGCCAAGUGUCUGUGGAAUUGUCAAAGGGACGAAUUUUAUGGAUAUUUAGGACAUUAUUGAUAUAGAGAUGGGUAAUUGCUAAGACAUACUUCAGGAUAAUUGUCAUUAUCAAUCUUUUGAAGAACCUUAAUGAAUUCUACAACGGGUCCAGUCAAACUCAUUAUACCCUGAAUAUGAACGAUGAAAAAAUGUUAAAUUAAGUAGAAUCUUUGUCUAAGAUGCCGAGUGGUUUAUAGAAGUUAUGAGUAGAAGAAAUUAGUGUACCAAUCCUUGGACAUCUAAGAUUGUCAUGCUUGUAUCUAUAUGCCUGUUUGCAGCAGCGGAACAUAUAGGAAACCUGACAGCAAGAGUCUUUUCGAACUCCUGGACUUGGUAUUUUACAAAUCGGUCGAGAGUAGUCACUUGCAUCAACUUGUCAAUGUCGAUCUUCCCUAAUCUUUCAAUGUAAACUGGUCUUCCAUCCUUAUCAACGCCAUGAUAUCCCUGUGGAUAGUAUUCUUGAACUUCCUUCAAUUCUGUGAAGUCAAAGUCCUGAAUAUAAUACAAGCACAGAAACAAACAAAUAUUGAAUAAAAUAGAAAGAAAACCAAUGAUGCGGCUCACAGUCAAGUUUUUUCAACAUCAAAGAAAAAGAAAACUAAUAGUUUACAAGGCAGAAAGCAUAACUAGUUCGUGUGAUAUUUAAACACUUCAUACACAAGGAAUUUAUUUAUUCCACCACUCUCUCGGUCCAUCAUAAUAUUGAAAGGAUACUUCUAUAGAUGUAAGCUCUUCUAAUGCAUAUGCAUAACAAGUCAAGCCUCAAAACUCAAAAGCUGCCGACUUGUGGACAAUUAGAGAGACUCAAGAGACUCAACGAUGGCGUAUGUGGUCAAGAGAUACACAAAAUUUUUGAUUUUUGAUUUUUUUUUCUUUUUUUUUUUAUUUCAAAAAUUCUGUAGCUGCGGUUUACCCCUAAAUGUGCAAGUUUCUAAAUUAUAGUUUACUCUAUUCUUCAAUAAACCAAAAAACCUUCCUCCAAUCUCCAACUUCAAUCUCUAUUCUUUAAUCGGGUAUAAAAUGUUCGAAAUUAAAGGUUAUAAUAUUUAUGUUUGAUUUUCAAUCCUUUUUCCUUUAAUUUUUUCUCCUUUUUCACCCAAAUUUUUUUCUCAUAAUUGGAAUUUGUGUUGUAAUUGGAUUUGGGGCUUGUGUUGCAUGGCAUUGAGUAAGAGUAUGUGAAGUAUGUAAUCUAUAGUCUGUACUAUUUUAAACCGCCCUUGGGAGCCAGGGAAGGCCAAAAGAAGAUGCUCGAGAGCAAACUACCGAAGCCUCCCACCCUUGGAGUGUCUAAGUUCCACUCGAGUGUCCUUAAGGCACCCGUAGUACAUUUGAUUCUGCUGUAGCGGUAUUAUAGGUGAGAAAAUUCUAAUUUCCAUCCUUUAAAAAAUUUAAUAAAAAAUAAAUAAAUAACCUCUAACUUAUUUUCAUUAAUUUUAUGUUGUUUAAAAAAAGAAAAAUUGCAUUUUAAUUUUUAAUUCCACAAUACAAAAAGUCUGAUUCCACCCAUGUACUCAACAUAAAACCUCGAAAGCACCAAAAAGUGUUCACAAAAUGACAAGUAACAUAUUAGACAAAUACAUCAAACAAAUGAUAGCUAAAGAGUGCAUCAAAGAUUACCUCCAUGAUUGUGUCUGCACCAAAGUCCUUCCUCCACUGAAGCAUGUCUGCCCACAUGCACUUUGCCUUUUCAAUAUUGAACUUCCUUGCUUUUAGAAAUCUACAAAUUUUUUAUUGCUGAAUAAAUUAAAUUUUUUACAAUUUGAGGAUAAAUAACACCAAAUUUGAAUAUAAACAGAAUGUUAAUUAGAAUAAUAUAAAGCUGAAUUGUGAAGGGGAAGGAAAGAAGUAUGAUAAACCUCCCAUACGGUUAACAUACCAGAGGCGUCACAAAAAAAGGAUGUAAGGGGGGUUGGAGGGAAUAUCAGUUGUUAGAUUUGAUGAGCAAAGAAUUGGUUAUGAUGAUGUCAAGGCUGUUAGAGUAGGGGUCAAUAAAUAGUGGAUAGUUGAGUCUAAAAGGCAUUCAGAAAGUAGGAAAAGUCUGAGUCAAUAGGAGAGGGGCAGCUCUCGAAACCUGCCUUGCUUGUAAUUUUCAUUCCGCCAUUGUUACUGCUUCAUUAAUUCAAUAGAAUUUAUCAUUCCUUCCAUUAUUUUGCUGUUUGGGAUCUAACAUUUUUGGUAUCAGAGCCAAAAUCCUGGGAACCGGAUGCCGGUUACACGAAUGGGCAAUAGGAUUGAAGCAUUGGAAAGGACAGUGACGCAGAUUUCUCCUUUGCGAGCGACUGUUGUCAAGCUAAAAGGGGACCUGAAACAUUUGAACGUGAAAUUGGGAAUGGAGCUGGGGAAAAUGAAUGAUAAGUUGGAAACGAGUCUCGCAAUGGGUAGGAAGGAACUAAACGAGGGACUACAGAUCAUAACUAAGAUGAUUAAAGGUCUACCGUUAGAUUCCACGGCUAUGACGGGGGAAGGAAGUGGAGUUAAAUCGACGUCAACCUUUGAGAAAUCGGCUGAAUCGGAGCCUAUAAUUCCAGAAAAGGUAGCUACCCAGUCAGGCGAAGGUAACUAUCGUAAAUUGGAAUUACCACUGUUCACUGGAGUGGAUCCGGACUCCUGGAUAUAUCAGGUUGAAAGGUAUUUUAGCAUGAACAGAUUUUCAGAUGCUGAACGAGUGGUAGCUGCGAGUGUUUGUAUGGAGGGGGGGUGCCUUGUCCUAGUUUCAAUGGGAGGACGGAAGGGGACCCAUACGUAGCUGGUCGGAACUGAAACAACGUUUGCUGGAAAGGUUUCGGGACACCCAAUAUGGCACCCUGCACCAACGAUUCUUGGCAAUCAAGCAAACAGGAAAGGUGGCGGAGUAUAGGGAGAAAUUCGAAAUUAUGUCUGCCCCCUUGAAGAAUGUGAGUGAGGAUACGCUGGAAGGAGUCUUCAUCAAUGGGUUGGAUGAGGAAGUGCAGGCUGAAGUACUAAUGGCAAAUCCGGUAGGAUUAUCUCAAAUCAUGGAUAUGGCACAAAGAGCGGAAGAUAGGAAUAUUCAAAUUAGCAAAAUUAAGGAGAAGGAACGGCCACAGUUGAGAAAUGUAAUUGCUCCUACCGUGUCGCGAUUCGAACAGUGAACCGUCCCUUGGCACACGCUGAGAAGAACUAGACUAUCAGAAAAGGGAGGAACAACUUCGCCGGGUGCCACGCUUGGGUUCAAAAAAUUGACCUAGGCCGAGAUCCAAUCAAAGAAGGAGAAGGGCCUGUGUUUCCGUUGUGAUGAGAAAUAUAGCAUCGGGCAUCGAUGUCGUAAUAAGGAACUACAGGUGCUAUUAGUGGAAGAUGAAUCCGAGAAAGAGAAAGAAGGAAGGGAAUUAAUGGAAGAAACAGCUGAUUGUAACGACUUGGAAGGGGUAGAACUAUCGAUGAAUUCAGUUGUGGGGUUGACUUCCCCUAAGACUAUGAAGGUCAGAGGAACUGUAAAAGGGCAGGAUGUGGUAGUCUUAAUUGAUUCAGGAACCACUCACAAUUUCAUGUCAUGGGAGUUGAUUAAGGAACUUAAGCUACCAGUAACAGAAACAGAUGGAUAUAAGGUCCAGGUGGGCACGGGAAGGGCUGUCAACGGAAUAGGAAAAUGCAGAGGAGUGGUGUUGCAGCUGCAAUCGUUAGUGGUUGUACAGGAUUAUUUACCAAUCGAGAUGGAUAGCUCGGACAUAAUCUUGGGAAUACAGUGGCUUAGUACCUUGAGAACAGUACAAAUUAAUUGGAAAACAUUAGAGAUGAAGAUACAUAUGGGGAACAACACGGUCAUUUUGAAAGGGGAGGAGGAGCUGAGCAAAUCAUUGGUUUCUUUAAAGUCGAUGAUCAAAACCUUGCAGAAAGAAAGAGAAGGAGUGGUUGUGGAGCUGUGUUCAGUGCAAGUAAAGGAACAGCAGGCUGAACCUGACAUUCCUCAGCCGGUACUGGAGAUAAUUAGAGAGUUUAAAGCUGUUUUUGAGGCUCCUGUGGGAUUGCCACCCUUACGGGAUCACGAGCAUGCCAUCACGCUAAAGGCUGGGAGUGAACCUAUUAAUGUAAGACCCUGUAGAUAUCCCCAUGCACAGAAAACCAAAAUUGAGAAGUUGGUGUCGGAGAUGCUGGAGGCAGGUAUCAUACAGACAAGUAUGAGCCCUUUUUCUAGCCCAGUGUUGCUGGUGAAGAAGAAAGAUGGUGGUUGGAGUUUCUACGUGGAUUAUAGAGCAUUAAAUCGAGCCACCAAUCUGGACCGCUUUCCAAUACCAGCUAUUGAUGAGUUGCUAGAUGAGCUUAAUGGAGCCACCAUUUUCUCCAAGUUUGAUCUAAAAUCCAGGUAUCAUCAAAUAAGGCUCAAGGCAAGAGAUGAAUACAAGUCAGCUUUCAGGACACAUGAGGGACACUAUGAGUUCUUAGUAAUGCCGUUUGGGCUUACGAACGCACCUGGAACCUUCCAGUCUUUAAUGAAUAAGGUGUUCAAAGGCUUGCUCCGUAAGGGGGUGUUGGUUUUUUUGAUGACAUCUUGGUUUACAGUCGUACUCUGGAAGAACAUUGUAGACACUUAAGAAGAGUGUUAGAAGUUUUGCAAGAACAGAAGCUAUACGCAAACCGGAAGAAAUGUGAAUUUGCUUGUGCCACGUUGGAAUACUUGGGACAUGUGAUCAGUUCGCAGGGGGUUGCAGGACCCUAAGAAAAUUCAAGUAAUGCAGUCUUGGCCCGUACCUAAGAGCCUUAAAGAAUUAAGAGGGUUCUUUGGAUUAACGGGGUAUUAUCGAAGAUUUGUGGAAGGAUAUGGGAAGUUAGCGGAACCCCUUACAAGGCAACUAAAAAAGGACAGUUUCCACUGGAACUCUGAAGCCGAGAUGGCUUUUCAGUAGUUGAAGGACGCUAUGACAAGGAUACCAGUCCUGGCAUUGCCCAAUUUUUCCCUUCCAUUGGUGGUUAAGACUGAUGCUUCAGGAGUUGGGUUAGGGGCAGUGUUGUCCCAGCAACAAAGACCUAUUGCUUUGUUUAGCCAGGCAUUAUCAGCAAGGGCCGGACUGAAAUCCAUAUAUGAGCGGGAACUCAUGGCUGUGGUGCUAGCAAUCUAGAAAUGGAGGCAUUACCUCUUGGGGCGGCAUUUUAUAGUGAGCACCAAUCAAAAGAGUUUGAAAUAUUUGCUAGAACAGCGGUUGAUAUGCACAGAUCAUCAAAGGUGGAUCACUAAGCUGCUCGGUUACGACUUUGAAAUCCAAUAUCGACCCGGCCUCGAGAACAAGGCAGCGGAUGCACUGUCCAGAUUUCCAAUUGCAGCAGAACUAACAGUUAUGACGGUGUCAACGGUGUCAGAUUUGGGUGAGUUGCAAAAUCAGAUAGGGGCGGAUGAGAAGUUGGCAAGCAUUCGUGAAUCAUUACUUAGGGACCCUUUGGCUGUUGAAGGGUGGUCUGUGACAGAUGGGUGCCUCUUGUACAAACAAAGGCUGGUCUUGCCACGCAACUCAAGCCUAAUUCCAAAGUUUCUUCAGGAAUUUCACUGCAGUAAGGUGGGUGGCCACUCAGGGGUCCUGAAGACAUACAAACGGAUAGCAGGAGAAUUAUUUUGGGCUGGGAUGAAAAAAGACAUUCAGAAGUUUGUAGAAUCUUGCUCCGUCUGCCAGCAAAACAAGUAUUUAGCCCUUUCGCCAGCAGGGCUUUUGCAGCCAUUACCCAUACCAGAAGCUACCUGGGAAGAUGUGGCAAUGGAUUUUAUUGAAGGAUUGCACAAAUCACGAGGGUGGGAUGUGACCUUGGUUGUUGUGGACGGUUGAGUAAAUACGCUCAUUUUAUGACCUUGAAGCACCCAUUUUCUGCUAAAACAGUGGCUGAAGUAUUCAUUCAGGGUGUGGUCAGGCUUCAUGGAUUUCCUCAUUCUAUAGUGUCGGACAGAGAUAAGGUUUUUCUCAGCUCAUUCUGGUCUGAACUCUUCCGUCUACAGGGCACUCAUCUUCGUAGAAGCAUAGCAUAUCAUCCACAAACCAAGGGGCAAACGAAGGUGGUAAAUCGAUGUUUGGAGACAUAUCUACAGUGUUUUGAUAUUGGCCAUCCUCGCUCUUGGUCUGACUGGAUUCCGUGGGCAGAAUUUUGGUUUAACUCCUCUUUUCAUACCUCCACCAAGAGUAUUCCCUUUAAGGUCGUUUAUGGAAGGGAUCCACCUCCUCUCAUCCGUUAUGGGACUCAGCACACUCCUUUUGGCUGACUUGGAUCAACAAUUACAGCAACGAGAUUAGAUGAUUAAUGUGUUGAAACUUCAACUGGAAAAAGCUUAAUCUAGGAUGAAGAAAACAGCAGAUACAGGAAGAAGAGAGGUACAGUUCCAAGUAGGGGAUUUGGUCUAGCUGAAACUUCAACCUUACCGCCAGAGAUCCUUGGCGGAAAAAAUUUCCCCUAGAUUCUUUGGUCCUUACACCGUUUUCCAGAAGAUAGGAGUUGUGGCUUACAAACUCCAGCUUCCAGCCGAGGCAAACAUUCAUCUGGUGUUUCAUGUCUCCCAAUUGCGAAAGGCCGUGGGCUCCACCACCCCUGUCCAACCCCUUCCCACACAUCUCAGUACUGACCUAGAGUGGAAGGUGCAACCAGAGGCAGUAUUGGGAAUCAGACCAGCAAACGACCCAAACUUUACAGAACCAGAAGUAUUAAUUCAGUGGCAAGGUCUUCCAUCCUUUGAGGCUUCGUGGGAACCCUUUGAACUGAUCAGUUCUCAAUUCCCCGAGUUCCACCUUGGGGACAAGGUGCUUUCAUUGGCGGGGGGUAUUGAUAAACCUCCCAUACGGUUAACAUACCAGAGGCGUCACAAAAAAGGGAUGUAAGGGGGGUUGGAGGAAAUAUUAGUCGUUAGAUUUGAUAAGCAAAGAAUUGGUUAUGAUGAUGUCAAGGCUGUUAGAGUAGGGGUCAAUAAAUAGUGGAUAGUUGAGUCUAAAAGGCAUUUAGAAAGUAGGAAAAGUCUGAGUCAGUAGGAGAGGGGAAACUCUCGAAACCUGCCUUGCUCAUAAUUUUCAUCCGCCACUGUUACUGCUUCAUUAAUUCAAUAGAAUUUAUCAUUCCUUUCAUUAUUUUGCUGUUCGGGAUCUAACGAAGUAUCACUAAUCUAAGCAGUGAUCUGUCAUUUCCUGAAAAGAUCUAAUAGUAAUCUACUAUAUUCAUGCAUGGCAAAGCUUAAAUUUUUUUUUAAGCUGAUGAAACAUACUUUUUAUCCAUACAUUUUGUGGGACCCACUACUUUAUAUCAACUUAUGAUCCACACAUUCCAUAAGACCCAUAACUUCGAAGCAUUUCAUCAACGCCAAAGCGAAUAUCAAGAAUGCUGAUGAAUACCUUGAAGAAAUAGAUACUGACGAAGGAAAUUUUACAUUAAUUUUAUCAACAUUGCCACACAUAAACCAUCUUCUACACUGCCAUAGACAGAUCCAUCAAAGUAACAUUCACAGGAAUGGAAAAACACACUUCAUCUAAUCAGAGUUCUAAUCUAAAUAUAAAAGCAUGUGCACAGAGAAAAAUCACCUUAACAUUAUAUGAUGAUCAUCAAAUCUUGCAGGAAGCAAAUUGUCCGAGAUCAAUGCUUGUCGAAAAGCAUCCACAGCCUUCAGCUCCUCUAUUUCAGAAACAUCCUCAAUUUCAGAAACUCCAAAAUCAUUCCUCCUCCUCAGCUUAUUUCUUAUAGAAUUUCUUAGUUUGCUGGAUACAUUUUUAGCCCUUCUGAAAAUACCAAAUCUUGUUCUUCCCUCUGAAAUUUCAGCAUCUGAUUUCUGUUUGUUUCUUUCAUCAGUACCACAACCUGGUGAAAAUAACAUUUUUAUCACUCGAUGAGACUACUAAACAUUAAACCCUUUAAGCAACAUGCCCUUUUAUCAUUUCAUCUACCAAAACCCAUCAAAUGAAAUAAAUUCUGGCAGGACUUCACAUUACACUGCCCAGAGAAUCAGUAUCUAUUUGGCAUGACCAGAAGCGAUUAAAUAAACACACGAUGAGAAGUACCCAUUUUUGAGUUUGGAUGUAUAAUAUUUGUGACAAGUGAAUCACUUUUAUGACUCCAUCAAUAAUACUCCACUUUGAUGAAAAAGUUGCUACUUUUGUGGGAUUUGGAACAUGAUUUUUUUCAUAACCAUUCUUUAGUAUUUAUUUAUUAAUAUAACUAAUCGUAAUAGUGGUGUCAUAGAUAAAGAGUUGAGAGAAGGAAACUGCCUUUCAUGAAGGGGAACUGAGUUAAACAGCUAUCUAUCUCACAUCGAUUGAGAAACGAAAGUAACUUUCUAGUGUUUCUUAUAAAAAGAGGUCUACAUUUGUUGGAAAGAAAAUAGAAAGAAGGGAAAUAGAAAUGGAAUGGGUUUAUUUACACUAAACUGCAAUCAGGUUUGGGCCUGAAGGGGCACCCAUGUUUUGUGUGGGUGGAGGCCCUACACAAUUGAAGGGUUGAACCCAAUUGCCAGUUCGGUGCAAAUAAACCCUCCCAUAAAAUUUUUGGUUCCCGACAAAUGUGGGACACGAUAUUAAUUAAAUUUUCUAUUCUUCCUUUUGUCUUUUUUCCAGCAAACAAAAAGCCACUAGCAAGCUACUUUCUAUUGUCAACUUUUUUUUUUUUUUGGGGUCACGGAAGAGGAAUUAUAAGAAGAAAAAUUACUCUAUUUCUUACUAAAUAGAAAUUACAGAGAAUUAAACUCUUUUUAAAAUAUUUAAAAAAAAAAAAAAAAAGCCUCAUUCUCUCUAAACUCCCUCUUUCUUUUCAUUUUGAGGAUGGUUUACAAUGAUAAGGCUCUAUAGAAAAUAACAAUUUGCCCAUCCUUCAUUAAUUGCAUAAUAUCCAUUAUCAACAAAAAUUGCAAAAGUUGGUUGCUUUUCUCGGUAUGUAAUUUUGUUCAAAUAAGGCCAAAGUCAAAUAAAUUAGCUGCCUUCUUCCGAGCAUAUUGCGGCUGAGAAGGGAAAAAUUUAAUCUUUCAUUUUUCUACCUUUUCUAUUGUCAAGAAAAAGGUCGUUGCUGGCGUUUCCCUUCUCUUUUCAAUUUUUCAACAAAGUCUACUAGCUUCAUUCCAAAAAACUUGUUUCAUUUUUCGUCCUUUGACAAAAAUCAAGAAAUAAGUAAAAAAAUGGAGGCUGGACAUGUCAAUUCUCCCCCUCCAAUCUCAUCUAAAGCAAUUGUUAUUUGAUAACCAUCCAAGCUUCUUAGGUCUCUGUGUAGCUCUAGUUUCUUCCAUAGAACCCAAAAGGAGAUAGAGGAAAUGUCAUUAGUACCUAUUCUUCAACAGUCGGAAGCUUAAUAUAUGCUCUGGCAUGUACCAAGCUAGAUAUAGCUCAUGCAGAGAGCACGGUGAGCCUUUUUCUCCGUAAUCCUAGAAAGGAACAUUGGGAAGCAGUUAAGUAGAUUCUCAUGUAUCUCAAGGGUACAUCGAAGACAUUUUUGUGCUACGGGAGAACCAAUCCAAUCUUGGAGGGAUAUACCGAUUUAGAUAUGGCCGGAGAUCUUAAUGGCAAAAAAUAUACUUCGAAAAAAAGAUGAAAAAUGAAAGAUUGAAGUUUUCCCUUCUUAGACGCAAUAUGUACAAAAGAAUACAGCCAUUUUGUUUGACUUAGGUAUUAAUUCACCAAAAUUAUGUACAGAUAAAGGCACCCAACAUUUGCAAUUUCUGAUGACAAUAGACGUGAUGCAAUUAAUGAGGGUUGGCCAAAUUUUUACUAUAAAUAGAGCCUCAAUUCAUCUAUUGUAAACCAACUCCAACCCCUCCCCCAACCCAAUCCCUUAAUAAAAAUAAAAAUAAAAAUAAUGAGUGAGUUUAGAGGGAACGAUGUCUCCUCAUUCAUGAUCAAAGAAUCAAAGAAUCACAAUACUUUCUUCUCACAAUCAGCGUGGAAUCGAAGUCGUUUUCAUUCCUUUUCACCCACAUUAGGCAAUUUAUUUUGUUCAACUCUUCAUCUCCAUCAAAAUCAAUAUUAUUGAAAAAAAAAAAUAGGCAUUAAUAAAAAAAAGACCAAAAAAAUAGGUAUUAAUAACUAAAAGACCAAACUCAAGUCACGAUUUCCUACAAAUUGAACGAAGUUUGAAACAUACUAAUGAAAUAAAUUCGUAACCAUGAACAUCUUCACAAUUAUAGAAAUUAAUCUUACUUUCAACCCAACAAAGAUAUUUGCAAGAAUCUAUAUAUACUACAUCUCAAAAGAAAUUUACCAAGACAAUAUCCUUUCCAUUCACGAAUUUCCUUAAACAAUAUACAAUUAUGUCAUUUCUCUAAGGGAGUAAUGAAUAGAACAUUAAAGAAGAGAAACAAAAUAAAAAAACCUUGUUCAUUAGGCUGUCUAUUACAAUCUAAUACCACGUAUUAAACAUGCACUUAAUAUACUCUAAAUGAUAACACAAAGCCCAAUUACUCUUCACAUACAAUGUCAUCAAAUCUCAAUUCCCAGUGCAGAAACACAUCCUCUUUUUACAAAAAUAAAAAAUAGAAAAUAGAAAAAAUAAUAAAUACUUUCCCCAAAAAUAUAAGGCAGCCAAUUUCAUUGCACAACAUAGAAUUCAUAAAAAUUGAGUUGAACUCAUCUCAAAAUAUGUAGUAUAAGAAGAUUUACUUAAAAGAAGCAAAAGUGAUUUUUUUUUUUUUUUAAAUAAAUAAUCUUUUAACUGGUGAAAGCAUGAGUACUUGUUUACAUGAAAUCAUGGAUCUAUUUGAAAAAGACUUACUUUCUUUAAUUAAGGGAAAAAAAAAAAAAAAAAAAAGAGUUACUCAAACAUGUUUUAAUUUCCUUCAAAAGUAAAAGAUGCAAAACCCAAAAUAGAAACAAAAAGUAUACAAUUAAUCCACUUCAAAUAAUCACUAAAAAAUAGAACAAUAUACUCACAAGGGCUUGAAAUUCGAUCCAAAGUCUUUGACAUUGCACUGUAGAGGAAACAAAAUCUACUCAAAAACCCUGCACAUAUAUACAAUUAAAAUCAGAGAAAAUAAUUUUCUGAAUGCGGUUCUUAAGUUCUUAUGAAGCUGGUGGCGGGUGGGUCCCAUAUGGAAGAUAGCAACGUGGCAGCAGCGUGUGAUACUUUAGUGUAAAACUGGCGGGAAUAUGCCACCGAAUAUAGGGAAUGCAUAGAUUUUUUCGUUUGUACGAUACUAUACUUUUUCCGCGAAUAACUCAUUCGUUAUAAUCAAGAAUUGGGAUUAUAAGUAACCAAAUAUAGGCACGUUUGAAUUGGAUCAUUAAACUUUUCUUUGUCUCAUUAGGGUCACUGGCUUUCAAUUGAGUUUCAAAUUUCACCACUAUGAAUCAAGAAUUGGGAUUAUAAGUAACCAAAUAUAAAUAAGUUUUAAUUGGAUCGAUAAACUUUUCUUUGCCUCAUUAGGGCCACUAACUCACUGACUUUCAAUUUAGUUACAAAUUUCACUACUAGGAUUAUUUUUCUUGAACAUAAUGGAUACCAUUCACUGACUUUCAAUUUAGUUACAAAUUUCACUUCUAGAAUUAUUCUUCUUGAACAUAAUGGACACCAUAAUGGUGUCCAUAAUGCCCAUGUGGCCAUUAUAGUGUUCAUUAUGUACCUCAAGCAUUAUUCUCACUGCUAUUUUAUUUUUCGACAAUUCAAAUUGAUAUAAGAAUCUAACUUGGCUGACAUAACAUAAUUGAUGUUUCGCAUAAUUGGUACGUGAUACCUAAAUACUAAAAUAGCGUUAUUAAGUUUAUAGCAAUGUCUUUAUACUAAAAAGGUGAAGUGUAUAUUAUUUUACUUUAACACAUGUAUGAUUUGAUUUGGUAAUAAGUUGCCAUGUCACGUGGCGAAUACGUGAAAGAUUCAUUUCCGUAGAUAAUCAAUUAAGUAAUUUUCAUCAAUUCGAAAGACAUUAGUAGACAAAAUGAUUAUAUUCAAAUUUGGAGUUGAAGUUCAAUAUUGACAUAAUUGAAACUAAAUUUAAGUUUAAUGACCUAAUUGAGAAAAAAAUAAAGUUUAGUGACAAUUGAAAUUUUGCUAAAAGUUCGGUGACCGCAAAUGACAUUUAUCCAACCAAUUGUAUUUUUAUAUAAGAUGAAGCAAAGUGGGUUUUGAGAAAAUAAUUGAAAAACGAAUAGAAGGCAUUACUUGUUUGAAGAAGCUACACCUCUUGUAUCAAGAAAAAUAUUUUGAUUAAUUUAAUAUAAUUAUGUAACAAAUGUUAAUUUAUUGAACUUUUAAUAUAAUGUUAAUUUAAUAAAUGUCAUUGUUAACCAUUUUUCAAGUCAUCGAUAGAAAAUUUCAAUGAUUGUAAUUAUUAUAAUAAUUUAAAUCACCAUGAAGUUAGUGUUGCCAUAUAUAUUACAAGGAAUUGAAAACUUAUUUAUAAUUAACUACAAGUAACAUGUGUUUUACAUAAUGUUCUAAUAUAUGAUUUUCAUUUUUGACAAGCGACGUAGUCGACACAUUCAAGAAGUCUUCAGAUCGUGACUUAAGACAUCAAGAACGGCCAAAAGAAGCAAGUUUCUUGCAAGCACAUGAACAAUUAAAAGAAGUCGUGUAUAUUUUCCUGAAGUUUUUAGCAAAAAAAUAAAGUAAUUUUCUAAUAGAAUACAAAUCAAUUAUACAACUCCAUAUUUUAUUACAUUUUCUCAAAUUUUCUAGGGAAAUACAUGGAAAUGACCCAAAUAGAAAGGCCAUUUUUCCAAAAUAGCAUUUGGCUAAUUUUGAUACCCAAAAUACCCCCUUUAUAAUAUUACAUAAUAAGUUAAUGAAAUAUAGAAAUAUUUCAUUUUAGUCGUUAAAAAAUUAAAUAUUGCAUGAGUUUUAAUAGAUUACCAAUUUAUUUGAUUUUUGUUCACUCUAAGUAGCACCCCAUUUAUUGGUAUCAGAGUCAUAGAGAUCAUGAAAAUUAAAAUAAGAAAAAUAGAUAAUUAAUAGUGUUUAAAAGAAGAAAAAGGUAGUUAUAUAAUAUAUAUAUAUAUAUAUAUAUAUGAAGAUAAAUAAAAUAAUUUAUAUUAUAAAGAAAAGUAUGAGUACAAGUAAUAAUACACAUUUAAAAUUAAAUAAACUACAUAUAAAAAUGAAAAAAAUACAAGAGGAAAUACGAAAUAUAAUGUUAAUACCAGAAAGAAUGAGAAUAUCAAAUAAUAAACAAUUAAUAAAAUUAAGAUGUGAAAAAUUAAAACUUGAGAGCAAAUAUUUUAUUAUAGUAAAAGAAGAAUUAAUAGAUCAAAUACAGCUGAGAGAAAAUUUGGAAAAAUAAUAAAUAAAAAAGAAGAUAAAAUAUGCAAAUUAACCUAUGAGUUAGAAAUAAGAAAAAAUUAAGAUGUCAAUAAAUGAAUAUAUGGAAGAAUUAAAGUCAUUAAUAAAAAUAUUAAUAAAUGAUGUACAAUAUUUAAGAAAUAAAAUAAAAGAAACAAGAAGCGAUAUAAAUAUACUAAAAAUUGAAAUUAGAGAAUGAAAAGAAAAUAAUAAAAAUAAAGAUAAAAAAAUAGAUAAAAAAAAACAUAUAGAAAAAAAAAUAUAGUAAUAGAAACAUGAAGUAUGGAUGAUGAAUUUAGAAAGAAUAUAUUACAAAAAAUAUUAGAAGAUGAAGAAGAAUCUAGAGAAAAAUUAUUAGGAAAAUUAAAAGUAGAAGAAAAGGAAGAUGAGUGAAGAAUUAGAUUUGUUAAUAGAAAAUUUUGAUCAAUUAAGUUUAACUAAUAUAAGUGAAUACCAAGUUUUAAUGAAUACUAGAGGAGAACCUAAUCUAGCAAGAACUUCUAGACAGAAAUUAUAUGAUACAGAUGAAAGUUAUGCACCUCUAUAUAAUAACAGUUAUCUCAGACAUACAUGACAUUCUUUCACAAGGGCUUUACAAGGCCCUCACUGUAUGGAGGGGCCCACCUUGUGUCUUCCCUGACAGGGGCCUGUGAACCAAGCCCCUGUAAAUGUAGCAUCACUCAUAUAAUAAAUCAUAUAGACAAUUCUAUGAUAAAGUAAAAGAUAGACAACCACCUAAAGAAAAUAAAUAUAAAGAUAGGUUUGAAUUAAAUGAUAAUUAUGAUAAACCAAUUAAUCAUGGAGGAACAAAACUAGAUUUAGACUAUAAAAUAGAUACUCAAAAAGUCUUACUGAUUUGGGCAAAUUCAAUGAUAUUAUUCUUUUUAUAUAACAAAGAUGACACAUGGAAAAAUAUUGAAAGAAUAAUAGAUUUCUUAAUAGCAUCCUUUGAAGGAGAUGUUAGAAAUUGGUGGGAAGAAAUAAGUAAUGAUACAAAAACAUUAAUAAAAAGAAAUGUACAAACAGAAAUAAUCAAGUCAGAUGGAAAAGGUAUAGAAAAAUUAGUAGAAUAUAUUUCAAAUGAAUUUUUAGGAGAAAAUUGGAUAAGAAAUGCUGAAGAAGAACCAAUAAGAGAAAAAGAUAGUGCUAGAAUAAAAUUAAUAAAUUUAACAAGAUGUGAUAUGUAUAAAAUUAAAGAAUAUACUUUUGAAUUUAAAAAUUACUAUUAUGUUCAAUUUUAUAGUAAUGAAAAUCAAGAAGUUUACCAAGACAUGUACUAUAAUAAGUUACCAGGUUCAUGAUGAAUAUAUUUUAAAGUAGAAUUUGAAAAAUAUGUAGAGAGUUAAUAUUGGAAUACCCAGAACUUUAGGUUCAAGAAUAAAAUUUUUAUUNNNNNNNNNNNNNNNNNNNNNNNNNNNNNNNNNNNNNNNNNNNNNNNNNNNNNNNNNNNNNNNNNNNNNNNNNNNNNNNNNNNNNNNNNNNNNNNNNNNNNNNNNNNNNNNNNNNNNNNNNNNNNNNNNNNNNNNNNNNNNNNNNNNNNNNNNNNNNNNNNNNNNNNNNNNNNNNNNNNNNNNNNNNNNNNNNNNNNNNNNNNNNNNNNNNNNNNNNNNNNNNNNNNNNNNNNNNNNNNNNNNNNNNNNNNNNNNNNNNNNNNNNNNNNNNNNNNNNNNNNNNNNNNNNNNNNNNNNNNNNNNNNNNNNNNNNNNNNNNNNNNNNNNNNNNNNNNNNNNNNNNNNNNNNNNNNNNNNNNNNNNNNNNNNNNNNNNNNNNNNNNNNNNNNNNNNNNNNNNNNNNNNNNNNNNNNNNNNNNNNNNNNNNNNNNNNNNNNNNNNNNNNNNNNNNNNNNNNNNNNNNNNNNNNNNNNNNNNNNNNNNNNNNNNNNNNNNNNNNNNNNNNNNNNNNNNNNNNNNNNNNNNNNNNNNNNNNNNNNNNNNNNNNNNNNNNNNNNNNNNNNNNNNNNNNNNNNNNNNNNNNNNNNNNNNNNNNNNNNNNNNNNNNNNNNNNNNNNNNNNNNNNNNNNNNNNNNNNNNNNNNNNNNNNNNNNNNNNNNNNNNNNNNNNNNNNNNNNNNNNNNNNNNNNNNNNNNNNNNNNNNNNNNNNNNNNNNNNNNNNNNNNNNNNNNNNNNNNNNNNNNNNNNNNNNNNNNNNNNNNNNNNNNNNNNNNNNNNNNNNNNNNNNNNNNNNNNNNNNNNNNNNNNNNNNNNNNNNNNNNNNNNNNNNNNNNNNNNNNNNNNNNNNNNNNNNNNNNNNNNNNNNNNNNNNNNNNNNNNNNNNNNNNNNNNNNNNNNNNNNNNNNNNNNNNNNNNNNNNNNNNNNNNNNNNNNNNNNNNNNNNNNNNNNNNNNNNNNNNNNNNNNNNNNNNNNNNNNNNNNNNNNNNNNNNNNNNNNNNNNNNNNNNNNNNNNNNNNNNNNNNNNNNNNNNNNNNNNNNNNNNNNNNNNNNNNNNNNNNNNNNNNNNNNNNNNNNNNNNNNNNNNNNNNNNNNNNNNNNNNNNNNNNNNNNNNNNNNNNNNNNNNNNNNNNNNNNNNNNNNNNNNNNNNNNNNNNNNNNNNNNNNNNNNNNNNNNNNNNNNNNNNNNNNNNNNNNNNNNNNNNNNNNNNNNNNNNNNNNNNNNNNNNNNNNNNNNNNNNNNNNNNNNNNNNNNNNNNNNNNNNNNNNNNNNNNNNNNNNNNNNNNNNNNNNNNNNNNNNNNNNNNNNNNNNNNNNNNNNNNNNNNNNNNNNNNNNNNNNNNNNNNNNNNNNNNNNNNNNNNNNNNNNNNNNNNNNNNNNNNNNNNNNNNNNNNNNNNNNNNNNNNNNNNNNNNNNNNNNNNNNNNNNNNNNNNNNNNNNNNNNNNNNNNNNNNNNNNNNNNNNNNNNNNNNNNNNNNNNNNNNNNNNNNNNNNNNNNNNNNNNNNNNNNNNNNNNNNNNNNNNNNNNNNNNNNNNNNNNNNNNNNNNNNNNNNNNNNNNNNNNNNNNNNNNNNNNNGCAGUAUAUAUACAAGUUACUAUAGUAGAAACAAAUAUAACAACUUGUGCCUUAAUUGAUACAGGAAGUGAUAUAACCAUUUUUAAAAAUUUCUUAAUAAAAUCAUGGAAUAAAAAUAGUAAAAUAAAAAUAACAGAAGUGACUGGGGAAAGCACUCAAAUAAUUGAUAGUGCUAAAAAUGUUAAUAUAAUACUUGGUAGUAAACAAGUUAUAAUAAAUAAAGUAUAUAAUUAUAAUAAAUUAUAAUGUGAUAUAUUAUUAGGAAAUGAUUUUAUUCAACAAUUUCAAUAUUAUAAACAAAAUAAUUACAUGAUAAUGUUACAAACACUUUGUGCACAUCUAUUAAAAAUACCAAGAGAAUUUAGACCUUACAAAGUUCAGCCAGCCCAGCGUGGUGAUAAAUGGGAAAAAUGACCAAUAGUACAAGAUUAACUAAAAAAUAAAAAACUAUCAUAGAAAAAGAUCCUAAAAACAGAAAUAGAAAUAAGUAUGAAAAAAUCAUAAAACAAUUAGAGAAAAUUUAUGGAGAAAACUCAUUAUUAUUUUGGAAACCAUUUCAUCUUAGAGCUAAAAUAGAAUUAACAGAAAAUGUUAUAAUAAGAGUUAGAUCAAUGAUGUAUACUAUAGAAGAUACAAAAGAGUUCAAAAGCCAGAUAAAAGAAUUAUUAGAAUAAAAACUUAUUAGACCUAAUAAUGGACCUCAUAGUAGUCCAGCCUUUAUAGUUAUGAAACAUUCUUAACAAGUUACAGGAAAAGCUAGGAUGGUCAUAAACUAUAAAGAAUUAAACAAAUAUACUAAAUUUGAUGGUUACUUUCUACCAAAUAAAGAAGUGUUAAUAAAUUUUGCAAGAGGACAACAAUAUUAUUCUAAAUUUGAUUGUAAAUUAGGAUUUUGAUAAAUAAAAAUGGAAGAAGAUAGUAUACAAUAUAUUGCAUUUAGCACACCUCAAGGAAAAUAUGAAUGGUUAGUUAUAUCACUUUGUCUAAAAAUGCACCACAAAUAUAUCAAAGGAAAAUUGAUAAUAUAUUUAAAAAGUUUAAUGAAUUUCUAAAUGUUUAUAUAGAUGAUAUAUUAAUAUGUUCUAAUAGUAAAGAAGAACAUAGAAAUCAUUUAUUCCAAUUUAUUAGAGAAUGUAAAAAAGAAGGAAUUGUAUUAUCUAAAAAUAAAUUUAUAAUAGAAAAAUAAGAAAUAGACUUUCUUAGAUUAUCAAUAAAUAAAAAAGGGAUAAAAUUAUAGACUCAUAUAUCCAAAAAGAUAGAAAGUUUUUCAGAUAAAUUAGAAUUCAAAGAACAAAUACAAAAAUUCUUAAGAUGUUUAAAUUAUGCGGAAGGAUUUAUUGAAAAUCUUUUUUAAAAAAAGAUAUAAAAUCCAAGUUUUACUUAGAAAAACAAAUACUAAGGGAUGGAAUAAAAAACAUACAAAAAUAGUUAAAUCAUUAAAAGAAGAAUGCAAAAAUUUAUCAAAAUUAAGAUUACCAGAUGAAAAAGAUAAUUUGAUUGUUAAUAUUGAUGCCUUAUAUAAAUAUUGGGCAGCAAUAUUAAAAACAAAUCUAAAUGAAAUUUGUAGAUACUCAAGUGGAACCUUUAAUCAAGCAGAAAUAAAUUAUACUACUUAUGAGAAAAAAUUACUAGCAAUUAUUAGAAGAAUAAAGAAGUUCACAUUAUUUUUAUUAUCCAAAGACUGAUAAUUCUCAAGUUGCAGGAUUAGUCAGGAAUAAAUUACCAUUAGAACCCCAAUACAGAAGGCUCCAUAGAUGGCAAGCUUAUUUAGCAUUUUAUAAUUUUGAUAUAGUCUAUAUUAAAGGAGUUAAUAAUUUUCUUGCAAGUUUUCUCAGCAGAAACAUAGAAUUUGCUGAUGGAUAAAGCCAAGGCCAUGGAAUUAUAUCAAUCUAUCCAACAUAUAUAAAAAAGGACAGAUUUUUUUAAAGAAGAAUCUGAAGAUAUAAACUAUGGAGCAACCCAGAUCUCAGAGAUGUUCAACUCAAAUAUAAAAAUACUAUUGAAUAUCACUACUGAGUAUCAUAAAUAUGCCAUAGAACUCAAAAAUCAAGUUGAUGCUAUUGCAACACAACUAAAAGAUAUAAUGUCUGAGACAUAUAUACCAAAGAGCUCAGAAAUGAGUUUUUCAAAUCAAUACCAAACAGGGACAGCUGGAAGCAGCAGUGGACCCAGACGUGACAACAUACCAACUGAUAAUAAAGGAGAUUCCAUUUUUAUAUUAUCAACCAAGAAAGUUAUGAUAAAUGGAGAUAAAUGAGAUACCAAAACAAUCAGUAUCAUAGAUCAAGAAGAUAAAAUCCCUUUAGAUCCAAAAGAAGAAAAAUAUGCUGAAAUAGUCAAAAUUGCUUAUGAAAUAAAAAUGAGUGAUUCAUAUUUCAUUUCUCCGAAAAAUAAUGUUUAUCCCAAAAUAACAGCCAUGGAAGGAGGAAACCCUUCAUUUGUAAAAAUUAUGGCAAACUAUGGAUUCAUGGAUUUGAUUUAUCCAGGAAAAGAUUUUAUUGAAAUUUCAAAGUUUGAUGACAUAUUCAUUAAAUAAGUAUCCAGAUUUGUCAAGAGAAGAAAAAUAUAUCUGAAAUUCUAUUCAAUCAGUCUAGAAUAUGAUGGAGUUGUUUACUAUCCAGUUGAACACAUAAUCUCAAUUAGAUAAGUUGCAACCAAUUCCAAAUUGAUGUUACAGAAAAUAAUAGAAAAGUUCCAACAGUGACAAAAUCAUGGAUCAUACAUAGAAGAGCGCUUGGAACUAAAGCCAUCUACAACAUUGCCAAAAAUUUGUUUGAUAAAAAAUUCUCGUACUUGUGCCAAUAUGAAAAUUGGAUGUUGUAUCCAAUGGAGGAUAUGGAAAAUCAAAAAUCUUAAAAGAUUAUAUUACAAGAUUUGAUAUACAUCAAUUUUCAGGAUAUCCUACUACUAUAAAAGAAGUCUGCCAGCUAAGGGAAUGCCCCAGCUGCAUGUGAAGAAAUAAAGGAAGAGGACAAUAAUAGAGCACCUUUGACAAAGGUGUACAGCUGCAUGUAAAGACAUUGAAGAUAAAGAGUAAUAAUAGAAAAAUAUGCUAUUUGAAUAAAAAGUUGAAGCAACAUGUAGGCCCAAGUAGGAAAAAUAGAGAGGCAAGUGUGCCUUGUUGAUGUACUCAAUGAUGUAAUAGAGUCUCAUAAACUUGUAUAAAUAGGACAUUGCUAUAGAGAAAGAUCAUCUUAUCUCGAAAUCUCGAGUUGUAAGCAAUAGCUACUCAAAAAAUCAUUCUCAGUUAGAAAAUCAAGUUUUUCUGGAUAUCUCUUUGUACCAAAUAGAAGUCUUGUAUAAAUUCUGAUAGAAAUAAAAUUCCAAUAUUUUUUAUAUGAAUAUGAGUUUCUAAAUCUUUAUUCCUAUAGAUUCUUGAAAGAUUUGAUAAAAAAGUUUCCUUAAUAUUUUAGCAAAAAGAAAGUUUUUCUUUAGCAGAAGUCUAGAAUUUUAUUUUUUAAAAGUUGAUACAGUGAGAGCAAGUAGCUGAAAUAGUAACAAUUCCAUAAAGGCAGGAGGUCGUUGAAGGAAACAGUUUACAGAUUCAAAGCUCGAAGGUCACUCGAUUCUAAAAAUAAAAGUCUAGAUCAAAUCUAAGGUAAAACUAUUAAAUUUUUGCUAAAAUUAGAAUGAAUCUUUUUAAGAUCUUAAAGAAUCGCAGGGAUUAAUUGAUGAUUAUAAAUAAAUUCCAGGAUAUACAAUUGAAAGAUUAGAUAAUCUAUUAGAAAAAAUGUUAGAAAAAAUAAAGAAUAUUACAUCUCAAUUAGAAAAUAUAAAUUUACCAUUUGAAGAAUGUAGCAUUUUAAUUAAAAAAUACAAAAUAUAUGUUGCAGAUUAUUCUUAUUUAUUAGAUCAUAGAAUGAAUUUAUAUUAAAAUAUUCAAAGUAGAAAUGUUUAAAAGACUAGGAUAUAUGUUUCAGUAUAGAAAGAACCAUUUCAUUAAGGGUAAUAUAGACCUUUCAACAAAAAAAUAAUGCAGAGAAAAUCGGCUAGGUUGAUUGUUAAUAGUCGGCCUAGCCAAAAGACUUUUUUUGCCUUUAUUAUCUAUUUUUAAAAAAAAUAUUUAUAUAUUUCAUAAUGCAGAUAUAGAUCAACUAUAGUUUCGACUUUGUUACUUUGGUGAAUUUGAAAUGAACGAAAAUGAUCGAUGGACAUAAAAAUGGACUAGUGAAAGACAUAAUGCUAUUGAAAUUGUGAUAACAUCGAGUACAUCAUAUGUGGAAAAUGUACAAUGAUUUAAGGAACAAGCUCAACAUCGAUCACACUCAAUACGAUACGGAAUUGGGAUUUCUAUUCAACAAGCACACAUUCAUUUCAAUUCCAAAUGUAAAUGCUAAUUCUGAAGCUGAAAUAAAAUUUCUAAAUGAAUUGAACCAAAAUUGCCCGACUCCUAUUCAUGUAACUUUAAUGGUGAAGAAUGUUCACGAGAGUGAAUAUGAAGAUUCUGAUUGAAGGGAUAGUAAAUGUGAAUGAUUUUUUUAAAACACAUUGGAAGAUUGUUCUUGAGAAUGAAUACAUAAGAUUCCGAUUGAAGGGAUUGUAAAUGUGAAUGAUUUUUUUAGACACAUAGGAGAUAUCUUGUGAAGAUAAUCUGGUUAUUCUCUAAAUAGUUGUUCUUCACCAUGACCUCACUGUUAUGCACAAAAUUCUUUUGGUAGUUCAAGACAACAAGAAUGAAAAUAAAUUUAUAAAUGAGAAUUUGAUUGUUUUAUCUCGAGUUGGGUAAGAACUCACAGGUUGAAAUGAGUGAACGGCCCUAUAAUUAGUGGAGUGUGAUUUUCGAUAUGAAAAUUUGCAUGUCGAGUAACUGUUUGAAACGAAGAUAGAUUUACAGGAAGUAGUGCACCAAAUUGCAUUGAAACACAACUUUGAGUUUAAAUUGAAGAAAUGAAAUAAGCCGAUGUACACAAUUAUCUGAGUUGACGACAGUUGCCAUUGAUAUUUGCAAGCGAUAAAGAUGGAUACAAUCGAAUUCUUUAUAAAUCGCAAGUAUACACGAGAAUAUAUUUGAAAAGUGUGUAUUUGUCUAAAUGAACACAAACAAGCUUGAACAUAAUUUAUUGGUUGACAAAUAAUAAACAAAUUUCAAUACUCAAGGAUGACCUAUAAACCUUCGAACAUCAUCAACGAUGUCGCCCAAGAAUACAAGAAUGGUCAUGAGUUACCAAAAGAUCUGAAAGAUCAAAGAAUGUGUGUUGGAGAAUUUAAUGGUUUCAGCCAAUGAGAAUUUAUGCUAAAUUGGCCAAGUAUUGCUAUAAUAUUGGGAUAACUAAUCUUGACUCGGCAUUGUUUAUUGAGAUAGAGGGCGACAAUCGCUUCAAAUAUUUUUUCAUGAUUGUUGGACAAUGCAUUCAAAGAUUUCGAAAUGCGAUGCGACCCCUAAUUUUAGUUGACGGUACAACCUUAAAAGUUAGAUACAAAGGUAAGUUGAUUAUUGCUUCAUGUCAAGUUACUAACAUCCUAAUUUACCUUCUUUCGUUCAGGGACGUCGAUAACCUUACCUUUGUAACUAAUUGGGAACAGCCUAAAAUAAAUUAUGUCGCUGAAGUUUUUUUCGAAGCACAUUAUAGGUAUUGCAUAUACCAUACACAAAGCAACCUAAAGAGUAAGUAUUGAGGCAGUGGCAUCGUUGCGUUGUUUAGGAUAACUAUAGAAGUUUACAAUUUUUGAAAAAUGUAACAAGUUUAUGGUUGAAAUAGAAGUAAAUCACGUCUUACAUGGGAGUAUCUGACAAAUAUGGGAAUUGAACUCUUGGCACGAUCACAUUCUCCAGGACGUCGAUACAACAUAAUGACGUCAAACAAUGUAGAGUUGCUCAAUAUAUUAUUAAAAAGGAUCGAUAGUUAUCAAUUCUCACAAUGAUUGAACAUAUUCAUAACAAGCUAUAACAAUGAUUUCAUGAUUGACGUGCAGAAUUACAGAGUUGUACAAGUAUGCUAAUCGCAACUCAGGAAGAUAAACUCCUGAGAUGCGUGAAAAACGUACUUGUAGAAAUUUUUCGUUCAAUUUUUAAACUUGCAAUUACUUCCAAUUGAGCUUAUUUAAUCUUUGAUGACCGUUUUAUGUUUCAAAUCAACUAUUAGAAUGUUGUAAUUAGGUCCUCCAUACUUUGUUUCCCGCUAAUUCAAAUUUGAAUAAUCUUCGGUUUGAUUUUAAAACUUGUAAUUGCUUCCAAUUGAACUUAUUUAAUCUCCGAUCAAUGUUUUAUAUUUAAAAUCAACUGUUAGAAAGUUUCAAAUCAAGUCCCCAUACUUUGUUUCCUACCAUUUCACAUUUGAAAAAAUCUUCUUGUUCGAUUUUUGAACUUGCAAUUGCUUCCAAUUGAGCACAUUUGAUCUUUUAUCACCAUUUUAUGUUAUGAAUCAACUAUUAGAAAGUUGUAAUUAGGUCCCCAUACUUUGUUUCUCACCAUUUCACAUUCAAAUAAUCUUUCGUUCGAUUUUUAAACUUGUAAUUGCUUCUAAUUGAGCCUAUUUGAUCUUCAAUCACCGUUUUACGUUUUGAAUCAACUAUAAAAAGUUGCAAUUAGGUCCCAAUACUUUGUUUCCUACCAUUUCGCUUUCAAAUAAUACCCCAUUCGAUUUUAAAACUUGCAAUUGCUUCCAAUUGAACAUAUUUGAUCUUCGACACCGUUUUAUGUUCUGAAUCAAUUAUAAAAAGAUUGUAAAUAAGUUCCCCUACUUUGUUUCCUAUCAUUUCACAUUUGAAUAACCUUCCAUUUGAUUUUGAAACUUGCAAUUGCUUCCAAUUGAGCUUAUUUGAUCUUCGAUCACCGUUUUAUGUUCCAAAUAAACUAUUAAAAAGUUACAAUUAUGUUCCUAUACUUUGUUUCCCGUCAUUUCACAUUCGAAUAAUCUUUUGUUUGAUUUUCAAACUUGCAAUUGCUUCCAAUUGAACAUAUUUGAUCUUCAAUCGCCAUUUAUGUUUCGAAUCAACUAUUAAAAGUUACAAUUAGACCCCCGUACUUUAUUUCUUGCCAUUUCAUAUUCGAAUAAUUCUCUAUUUGAUUUUUAAACUUGCAAUUGUUUCCAAUCAAGCCUAUUUGAUGUUCAAUCAUCGUUUUUCUAGAAAGCGAUAAUUAGGUUCUCGUACUUUGUUUCCCAUCAUUUCACAGGUAAAUAAUCUUUCGUCGACCACUUUCUCCACCACCCCCUUCGGUACCACAGCCUUCACAUCUUCUACCACCUUUUCUGGUAUCCCCUCUAUCACUUCCUCGGCUAUUCCAACAGUCACCAGCUCCAUUACUCCUUUCGUCCCAGCCACCAUUAUAUCCUCUGUUACACCCUUUUUGUCCUGGGCACUGUAACAUCUUAGGUCGGCCCUAUGAUUACUAGCUCCAUAACUAUCAGGUCUCUCCCUCCAUCCUGAACAUUACCAACCCUUUCCUCCUAGGCACUAUACGAUCCUCCAUCUAGGACAUCAUCGUGGCCAUCCCCUUCCAGAAAUAUAAAAAAAGAUUCGAAUGUAGAGUCCGAUGGCUAUGAUGAAUCAUCAUACCCUAUGUGAUCCUCUCCUUUGGUACCUUCGCUAUUCUCUCAGUCCCCGAGGACCACCAGUCUCUCCAACACUUGCACUGCUUAUCCCUCUAUCACCCCCUCAUAGCGCUGUGGCCUCAUUAUGAAAGUUUCCUAAAUCGGUUAGUAGUCUUCUGUAUCAUGUCAUAACUCUACUAUAUCCCUUAUCUCCCAUUGCAAUGCCCCUAUCUCGUCUCGUAGCGCUCCUACCUCCUCCCUGAUAACUUUAGUUAGACAUUCAAACAAGUUAUCAGUGGAGGUACUAUGAUUAGGUACAUGAGAUCUAUGGGUGAUGUGUUUGGAUGCACAAGAAGGUGAUUUCAUCGGUGGUAAUGAUCUCCCCGACGAAGGCGAUGAUCGAUCAACUGGACAACGUUCCUACACAAAUGAGAAUAUUACAAAUUAAUAACUUAAUUAAAAUAUUACAACACAAAAUGUCCCAUUUCAAUCGAAGACGGACUUAGGCAUCUGGUCGUCUUGAGCAAACAUAAUGGAUAAUUCACUCACACCUCCUCCGUCGACACUGUUAACUCAGUAAGGACUUCAAGCUAACAUAUUGACAUUUCAACAAUUUAGUGAUUAUGUAUUGAGAUUUUGAAAUGACAAAUAAUAUAAAUCGCAAAUGUAUAAUCUCAACUCAAGAUCGUUGAUGAAAACUAAUAAUUGUUUAGCAAGUGGCCUGUCUUGUGCUUGGCAAUGACACAUCCAUAGGCAACAGUUUCCCUUCUCCUCACAUACCAGCCAGCCAAGAUGGGACAGACUCAUAUACCUAUAUCUACAUCACUUAUAAUUAUUAUAUACAAAUUUAAUAAAAAAAAAUUUAACGUACAUUAUGUUAAAUAUUUAACUGCAAUGCCAAGCCAUAUGCAUCAUACUUCUACUCGAGCUUUAUCCUCCUUGGACAUCAAAUGCCCCUCCUAAAGACACGUAAAGUAUCCUCAUAGCAUUUUCGCCCAUGGAUAGUUGUUGAAGGCAUCGAUAACAUUAAAAGCUUCAAAAUGGAAAAGUCAAUCGAUAUCUUUUUUGUAAUGACACCUCAGUACGCUCUCAAGGAUGAGUACUGAGCCCCACUUCAACUUGUCGAGCAUCUGGUCGCAUGCCCUAAAUGCAUCCCCUAACUGUGCCAGUUUACUAUCAUUUGUCAAUGAAAAUAUUUGUACAACAGCUCCAUAUUUUUAGGAAUACGAGCCCUCGUUACUGUUUAACUCAUACAUUUCAGUCCAGUGACAAUGGUAAAAAACAAGGGCCAUAUGCAAGAAUGGCGUAGCCUGUCUGCGUGCUCAUCAUCGAGCAACUCCAAUACCGUCAUAAAAUUGGUAAAGCUACAAUUCGACGUAACUUUGUCGAUAAUCUGUCUCAUUGCAUCCUACAAAAUUUCAAACGUUAGAACCUUGUACAAGAGAGAUAAUAGAAUAAAGUAUAAUAUCAAUAAAUUAAACUAACAAAUUUGUAACUACUAUACGGAAGAAAUUAAUUCAUUUUAUAUGGCAUGCUAAUAAAAAAUAAAUUAUAUAAAAAGAACAAAAAAAAUACAAAAAGAGUUAAAAAAAAGGGGGGGAUUGAAAAGAGAAUAACUAAAAAAGGAUUCAAAUUAUAAAUAAAAACAAAAAUAAGAAUUAAAGAUAAAAAUAUAAAGGGAAAAUAAUUAAAUAGAAAGAAAAAUUAAAUUAAAGGAAAUUAUUAAAAAAAAUUAAAAAUUAAAGAAAGUAUAUUAAAAAGUGUUGAAUAUUGAAAAAAAAAAUAAGAUUUUUUUUUUAAAAAAAUACAUAAAUAAUUAAUUAAAAAACUGGGCCAUCUUAAAAAAGACGACCCAGAUGUCGGCAUUUGUCCAUUUGAAAGGACGCCCGUGGGGCCUUCUUCUCCAACGGAGAUCGCCAUUUUCGACGAUCUCCUCCCCUAAAGACCUCAAUUUGUCAACCAACUUCCCCUACAUCCAUCACUCAACCUAAAUAAGUGUAUAUUAAACUCUAAAACAUGUGAAUCAUCCCGAAUAUAAUUAGGGAUAUCAACGAAAAGAGUUGAGUCGGCUCAUAAGUCGAAAUUCGAGGCUCGAAUAAAAUGAGCGAACUUUUUUUUAGGCCCAAGCUGAGCUUUUUUCUCGGCCAAAAAAAUUAAACUCAUCACAAGAUUUCGGCUCGAGCCUUUUCGAGACUGCCCCUUUUUUAAUGUAGCAGUCUGUUGCCUUUAAAAUAUAUAUAUAUAGGCUUGUGAACUCGAGUCGGUGAACCCAAAAUGGGGCUCGGCCUGAGCCUCGAGCCGAACCGGCUCAGACUUUUUCCAGGCCAAGCCACGAACAAUCCGAGCCAACGAGCCUGAUUGUCAUUCCUAACUAUAAUACAAAAAUUCAAUUCAUUUCCAUUACCAUUACUUAACUGUAAACUAAGGUUUGAUACACAAAGCUAACCUUGUUGAUGAUCUAUCGAUGUGUGUUACCAUCUACUAUAGUUUGGAUUGAUCGAUGUGUGUUUGGUAACGAAUCACCUCAAAGGGUCUCUCUCUCUCUCUAAGGGUGUUCAAGCCCUUUUUCUGUUUAUUUAAAUUCUCAGCUUUUUAUCUUUCAAAUUUUUGCAUUUAUUUUUUAUUUUAUUUAUUUAUUAUUAUUAGUUUUUUUGUCCCUUUAGAAAAAUGAUCAAAGGCACCAUUUCCUCGUUAAAGGUAAGUCUACUACUUUUCUCGAAGGUUCAGGACAAAUAAUAAAACUCAUCCUGUUUGAAAAUCAAAAUUUACUUGAAAGUAAAGUUUUAAGCUCACUCAAAAAUGCUUAAUCAGAAUAUCAAAUCCAAUUGUCCAACUUUAAUACAUUUUCUAGAUUAAAUUUCUCAAUUUUCGUUGUAUUGUGUCUUUAUAAUAAUUUUUUUUUCUCAAAAAACAUAAUUUUAAUUAGAUAAAAGAAAUGUCCACUCUUGAGAUGUCGAGUUGAUUUGAUUAUAUAAUCGCCUAUUAGGAAGAACAUGGACAUCUGGUUCCAAGUAGAAUCUCAAAAGUCAAUUUUAUUCAUAUGAGACUAUCGACCAUCAACAACUAUCGACACAUUUUCUUGGUCGAGGAUGAAAGAUCUCAGCCAUGGCACGGUGAAAACACCUACUUUGAAUUCAUCCCAAGUGUCAAGCGUAACAGACUGAUAAUAUGACUGUUCGAGUUUUCAAAUCGUCCACACUAACAACCCAUCUUAUAGAACAGGCAACACUAACAGGAUCAGAGGAAAAAAAAUAAAAAUAAAAAAAUAAAAACUAUUUAUGGACAGAAACCAGAAAGUUUAAACAAAUCAGCAUUACAUUAUGUUUUAUAUAUACACAUAUCGGCGAGCACUAUACAUACAAAGAAAACAGACACUAUUAACUACUAAAGAAGCCAGAGAAUGAUAUCUAGCCAUAUUCGAUAUGCUAAAAUGCACGCAACAGCCACAAGAUUUUAACAUUUUUCUUCGUUAAUUUUGUACAAUUUUGUUGAGUCACACAUACCAAACAUAUAGUCUAUAUACAAGUUAUCCGCCUGUCGUACCUGAAACCCAAAACAAAAUAUUUCACUAUUCUCAUAGGAUCGAAAAUCAAAGAAAGCCACAAAAUCUAAAAUUCCUCAAUGGCGUGUCUUGUUGGGAGACUAUUUAAGACUGAAUACUACUAAGAAAGAAGGCAAAACUAAAAUCUUAUACAUUAUAUUAUUUUCGAGUCCUAUUAUGUAGUACGUACCAAAGAGAGAGAACAAGACGACCUGCUAUGUCCAGUUCCUUUUUGAGCGAAGCUGAGUGAGCUUGUCCCUCCACAGAGCUGCAGUACAACACCAGAAGGUUACAUUCAAAAUCAUUGAGAAGCUUUUUUACUUCUUGUAAUCUUCAGAAAAUAGUAUUUAGUUUCUGUGUAAAAGGUUCCAAAAAAAAAAAAAAAAGGGGGCUCUGGCAGAAGCUAGAAACUCGGAAUCUUGAAUUCCAAACCCUCGAAUAUGUUCAAAGAUGAUCUUGUUCUGGGACUGAGCUUGGAGUCUUCUUAGGAGUGGAGUUUGGCUUGCCCCUCUCAAUCUUUCCCAUUAUAUGUGCAUGUUUGAAAAGCUUAAAUUAUAAUUUAAGUUGGUCAAACAUACUUUUUAUCUAUACAUUUUGCAUGACCCAAGUUUAUCACUUAAAAAGUACUACCAGAUAUUAACGUGCUUACAUAUGCUUAGCUACUAUGAAAUGGGAUUCGAGCUAUUUAAAUUUUUUAGUGUUACUCGCAACCAUUUAAGUAAUGAACAAACUCAAUGUCAGCUGGCUUUCUAGGCAGAAGUUUAAUAGUGUCUUUAAAAACAAAUAUACUUGAACAACAACAGUUACUGACUUGUAAAAUGAUGUCCUAGACAUAUAGUUAGAUAGAAUACCUGCAUCCUUGUAACGUUCCUCGACUGCAGCUAUUAGCAUGUUGCGCACAAGAUUAAACUCCUUUGUUUCAAUGGACAGCUGGGCACUAGGUCUGUAUCAAUAACAAAGUAGUUAGACUAUACUGAUAUUAUCUAAGGCAUGGGUUAACAAUCAGGUAAAGAUGACAGUUCCAUUAGUUACCACUCGAGAAAUUAAGAAAUAGGUCAUUAAUUCAUAAGAUAAACAAAUUUCUUUAUUAAAGAUUUUCCAUAUCUUUUCCCCUUCAGGUGUUAAUUAGCCAUGGAAAAUACUCCAUAAAUGCACUCUCUCAAAUGACAAUAAGAACAUACGAGUACUAGCAGUUCUUUUGGACUAACCGAAUUUCGUAUCUAAACACUCAAAGAAAAUGCAUCUUUUGCAACAAAAACAUGAAAAAGGUAGCCGAUAAACCACAACAAAAAGAGGUCACUGGGGAUAUCUAAUCUACCUGUCCAACUCAGUAAAUAAUAAGCCAUCUGAUGAGGAGCUAUGUACUGGCACUUUUUCAGGUUCAAUAACCUUCAUACCGUCCAUAUACACCAAGUAUUUGUUCACUUGGAUUGGCACCUAAAAAUUUAAGAAACAGUAUAAAAUAUCAUUGAUUUUAGGAAACCAUACAUUGAAAAAGCAAAAGCAAGAUGCAUUAUUCGAUCCAACUCAUGGUAAUUGGUUCAAUCUAGACAGGGCAUGUACUAUAGCUGCCAAGGCUAAGUCCAGGUGAAAAUGAAAAAAUGCCCAUUACAAACAUAUAAAAUCAUCAUAAAUAAACUGUUCAAGACGAUUGUACAACUAGACAGACAGAGGAAAAAAACACCAUAAAAUUUUAUUUAUUUUCGUAGCAAAUGCACCCUUAUUGGUAUUCAUAUAUAUUUGAAAUGAUAUUAUGAUGAUACUGCAACUGUAAAUGCAGUAUAGUACACUUUUUGGUCAUAAAUCCUCAAUAUAGUGUGCCCCAGUUUGAAAGCAAUGUUUUAAAGGUCCACAAUUUCUAAGUUUUCACAAUUCAGUUUCGAUCUAAUUUUUCACAAUUCAGUUUCGAUCUAAUUUUUCACAAUUCAGUUUCAACAACUGUCUUUCUUCCAAAACACCAUUACUUCGCGUGGUGCAAUGUGACAAUUUAUUAUGUUUUAACAUUUGUAAUGGCAACAAAAACAACAUUUUAAACUCCAAAUGCAUAAAAAAAGAAUGAAAGAAAAAAUUGUUGAAGACAAAAGGUUAAAGUAAAUAAUUCAUCUUCUCUCUGAGUGCUUUUAGACAAAAGGAUUCAAUAUAAGAUCAGAGACAAUAAAGAUCCAGAUUCAAGGCUAGCUGCCAUCCAUUUAUGAAAAUUGAACACUUAUAAGACCUUCAAUAAAAUUUGAAUCUGGUCUAUUUGUAAGGAGCAUGUUGAAGACAAAUUUAGGUACAGAAAUUUGUCUCCGGAAUUACCUUGCAUCUAACCGCAAUGUUAAUGGCAUCUGACGGUCGCAGAUCAAAUCUGAUACACUCUGCUUCAUUAUCCAACUGCAAUCAGGAUGAUUAUCACGUCAGAAAAUAUAAAUAUGUCACAGAAGUCGGAAAUUUCUACAUUUUAUUCAAUCCUGGAAACAAUAACAAUUUACUUUACCUUUGUAAGGUGUAACUCUGCAAAAUAUGCCUCAUGUAUUCUCUUGGUAACUCGUACAAGUUUCACCUAAAAAAAAGAAGAGAACUAAUAAAUGACAGAAAAAGUAGAAAUAAUUCCUAUAGGGUAAGCAAGCAAAGAACAAAAAUUUGACCAUUGAAGAAAUAACUGAAUAAACUCACUGUAUAGCCCAUCUUCUCAAUCAUUUCCUUUGCCACUUGAUACAUGGUAGGCCUAGCCUAAAAGGCAAUCCAGAAAAUUAUCUUUUAAAAUUAAAAUACACAAGUAACUUUAAGCAUGUGUGGCUAAGCUUAAAAAGUUUGAUUCUACUAAGUUUACUUAUUAGAAAACAGGUGAUGUUUCAUAGAACAAAACUAGAAAUUAGUAAAUUACUUAUUUUUACAAUAAGUUUAGAGAGUUAUAUUUUAAAUAAGUUAUGACAAGAAGUAACUUAUUUGAACAUUUUGUAAACAAAAGGAUGAAACAUACAAUUUGGACAUUGCGUACAGCUGCCAUUAGCAGCACACUGGGCAUCUCCACUGUUAAAAAGACAAUUGAAUCAAGAAUGAAGCAAUAUUAACUCACACUCAUUAAGGAAUGUUGCAUAUAGAAAGUAAUGAUAAUAUUAAAGAUGAACAUACAAACAAUUAUGGGGAGAAGAAGCCCGGUCCCGUCUUCCAUCUUCAAUACAAUUGCAGGGUGCGGAGCAUAAUCUGGCCGAUGACUCCCUUGGGGGUUAUUAUGGGCACAUCUCAAAUGCCGGCCAUCUCUCAUCUUGAUCAUGAAACCAUCUGGGCCACUUCUGACCUCAACUAUUCAAAACAAUGGCAUUGAACUAAAUUUUAAUUGGAAUGCUCUCCACAUGCGGUUUUAUGUGUAGAAACACGUGGAUUAUUGUUUAGUACUUAUAUAAAUGAAAUUAGGUAUACAUUAUUCAAUAAGAUCUGAAAGCAUUAUAUAAUAGACUCAAGUGGCAUUAUAUCAACAAGUUAUUGGGUGAAAUUCCACAAUGAUUUGUAACAUGAAUUAUGUAACAGACCGCAACAUGAAUUAUUAUAAUUUCUACUGAUCAACAAACAUUAUAUCAACAAGCAACAUAAAUUAUGUAACAGACGGCAAGGUAUCCACAAUGAUUUGUGGAAACAAAGCAUCUACAUGUAGAAAUUCCAUAUAACUCAACAAAAAUUUAAGAUUCUUUUGAUUAUCACUUACGUUGUAGUAUGCACUCACAUACACUGAAUUAGGAGAAAACAAGUGUUUGAACAAUCCACAUACCAGCUUCAACAACGCUCGAAUUCACAUAAUCAGACUCAUUCUCAUUUGAAUUCCCGGCCAUACUAUCAUUUCCAUUCCACGACGAACUAAAAGUACAUCGUAUAGUCUUGCAUUUCUGCAAAUUUUGUCGAUAAUUUACAUUAGCCCUACCGUUGCCGAUUCCUACAAGCCCCCAAAACCCACUUCUAAUAACUUUGGCUUUCAGUAGAGGUGAACUAAUCGGGACAGAAUACACUCCGGAUUGCUUCGCAUUGAUCAUGGGGCAAACUACGGGCCCUUGAAGAGAAGCCAUCUUCAAUCCUCUAAAUACAUAAAAUUAAAAAAUUACGAUCAAAAGACUAAAAAUUGCUCACAUAAUCUACAACCAAAAAUAAAUAAAUAAAUAAUUAAUUAAUUAAAAAAGAAAAAAGAAAAAAGAAAAUUCAGAAACCAGAAUAAGCAUAUGCAGAAGAAAUAAUCUUGCAAAAAAUCUUCACAACGUCCCAUUUAAAAAACACAACUUCGAAUAUUAAAGUUCUUUUCUCUUCUCUUGCCCCACCUGUACUUUUAAAAUUUUUAAUUUAAACAGUACGUUGUCCAAUACCACUACAUAAAGAAAUCCGUAAUUACUCCUCUUCAAUAUACGGAUUUGCAGACAAAGGUCAAAAUUUUUAACCUUCUUUGUUAAAGAAACAAUAAUCUCAAUAACUUAAUUCCAGAUCAUACUAAAAUAAAACAUACAAUUCAGCUGAGAUAUCAUUCAGUUAGUAAAAAAAAAAAAAAAAAAGCAAUUACUUCCAAUUGAGCUUAUUUAAUCUUUGAUGACCGUUUUAUGUUUCAAAUCAACUAUUAGAAUGUUGUAAUUAGGUCCUCCAUACUUUGUUUCCCGCUAAUUCAAAUUUGAAUAAUCUUCGGUUUGAUUUUAAAACUUGUAAUUGCUUCCAAUUGAACUUAUUUAAUCUCCGAUCAAUGUUUUAUAUUUAAAAUCAACUGUUAGAAAGUUUCAAAUCAAGUCCCCAUACUUUGUUUCCUACCAUUUCACAUUUGAAAAAAUCUUCUUGUUCGAUUUUUGAACUUGCAAUUGCUUCCAAUUGAGCACAUUUGAUCUUUUAUCACCAUUUUAUGUUAUGAAUCAACUAUUAGAAAGUUGUAAUUAGGUCCCCAUACUUUGUUUCUCACCAUUUCACAUUCAAAUAAUCUUUCGUUCGAUUUUUAAACUUGUAAUUGCUUCUAAUUGAGCCUAUUUGAUCUUCAAUCACCGUUUUACGUUUUGAAUCAACUAUAAAAAGUUGCAAUUAGGUCCCAAUACUUUGUUUCCUACCAUUUCGCUUUCAAAUAAUACCCCAUUCGAUUUUAAAACUUGCAAUUGCUUCCAAUUGAACAUAUUUGAUCUUCGACACCGUUUUAUGUUCUGAAUCAAUUAUAAAAAGAUUGUAAAUAAGUUCCCCUACUUUGUUUCCUAUCAUUUCACAUUUGAAUAACCUUCCAUUUGAUUUUGAAACUUGCAAUUGCUUCCAAUUGAGCUUAUUUGAUCUUCGAUCACCAUUUUAUGUUCCAAAUAAACUAUUAAAAAGUUACAAUUAUGUUCCUAUACUUUGUUUCCCGUCAUUUCACAUUCGAAUAAUCUUUUGUUUGAUUUUCAAACUUGCAAUUGCUUCCAAUUGAACAUAUUUGAUCUUCAAUCGCCAUUUAUGUUUCGAAUCAACUAUUAAAAGUUACAAUUAGACCCCCGUACUUUAUUUCUUGCCAUUUCAUAUUCGAAUAAUUCUCUAUUUGAUUUUUAAACUUGCAAUUGUUUCCAAUCAAGCCUAUUUGAUGUUCAAUCAUCGUUUUUCUAGAAAGCGAUAAUUAGGUUCUCGUACUUUGUUUCCCAUCAUUUCACAGGUAAAUAAUCUUUCGUCGACCACUUUCUCCACCACCCCCUUCGGUACCACAGCCUUCACAUCUUCUACCACCUUUUCUGGUAUCCCCUCUAUCACUUCCUCGGCUAUUCCAACAGUCACCAGCUCCAUUACUCCUUUCGUCCCAGCCACCAUUAUAUCCUCUGUUACACCCUUUUUGUCCUGGGCACUGUAACAUCUUAGGUCGGCCCUAUGAUUACUAGCUCCAUAACUAUCAGGUCUCUCCCUCCAUCCUGAACAUUACCAACCCUUUCCUCCUAGGCACUAUACGAUCCUCCAUCUAGGACAUCAUCGUGGCCAUCCCCUUCCAGAAAUAUAAAAAAAGAUUCGAAUGUAGAGUCCGAUGGCUAUGAUGAAUCAUCAUACCCUAUGUGAUCCUCUCCUUUGGUACCUUCGCUAUUCUCUCAGUCCCCGAGGACCACCAGUCUCUCCAACACUUGCACUGCUUAUCCCUCUAUCACCCCCUCAUAGCGCUGUGGCCUCAUUAUGAAAGUUUCCUAAAUCGGUUAGUAGUCUUCUGUAUCAUGUCAUAACUCUACUAUAUCCCUUAUCUCCCAUUGCAAUGCCCCUAUCUCGUCUCGUAGCGCUCCUACCUCCUCCCUGAUAACUUUAGUUAGACAUUCAAACAAGUUAUCAGUGGAGGUACUAUGAUUAGGUACAUGAGAUCUAUGGGUGAUGUGUUUGGAUGCACAAGAAGGUGAUCUCAUCGGUGGUAAUGAUCUCCUCGACGAAGGCGAUGAUCGAUCAACUGGACAACGUUCCUACACAAAUGAGAAUAUUACAAAUUAAUAACUUAAUUAAAAUAUUACAACACAAAAUGUCCCAUUUCAAUCGAAGACGGACUUAGGCAUCUGGUCGUCUUGAGCAAACAUAAUGGAUAAUUCACUCACACCUCCUCCGUCGACACUGUUAACUCAGUAAGGACUUCAAGCUAACAUAUUGACAUUUCAACAAUUUAGUGAUUAUGUAUUGAGAUUUUGAAAUGACAAAUAAUAUAAAUCGCAAAUGUAUAAUCUCAACUCAAGAUCGUUGAUGAAAACUAAUAAUUGUUUAGCAAGUGGCCUGUCUUGUGCUUGGCAAUGACACAUCCAUAGGCAACAGCUUCCCUUCUCCUCACAUACCAGCCAGCCAAGAUGGGACAGACUCAUAUACCUAUAUCUACAUCACUUAUAAUUAUUAUAUACAAAUUUAAUAAAAAAAAAUUUAACGUACAUUAUGUUAAAUAUUUAACUGCAAUGCCAAGCCAUAUGCAUCAUACUUCUACUCGAGCUUUAUCCUCCUUGGACAUCAAAUGCCCCUCCUAAAGACACGUAAAGUAUCCUCAUAGCAUUUUCGCCCAUGGAUAGUUGUUGAAGGCAUCGAUAACAUUAAAAGCUUCAAAAUGGAAAAGUCAAUCGAUAUCUUUUUUGUAAUGACACCUCAGUACGCUCUCAAGGAUGAGUACUGAGCCCCACUUCAACUUGUCGAGCAUCUGGUCGCAUGCCCUAAAUGCAUCCCCUAACUGUGCCAGUUUACUAUCAUUUGUCAAUGAAAAUAUUUGUACAACAGCUCCAUAUUUUUAGGAAUACGAGCCCUCGUUACUGUUUAACUCAUACAUUUCAGUCCAGUGACAAUGGUAAAAAACAAGGGCCAUAUGCAAGAAUGGCGUAGCCUGUCUGCGUGCUCAUCAUCGAGCAACUCCAAUACCGUCAUAAAAUUGGUAAAGCUACAAUUCGACGUAACUUUGUCGAUAAUCUGUCUCAUUGCAUCCUACAAAAUUUCAAACGUUAGAACCUUGUACAAGAGAGAUAAUAGAAUAAAGUAUAAUAUCAAUAAAUUAAACUAACAAAUUUGUAACUACUAUACGGAAGAAAUUAAUUCAUUUUAUAUGGCAUGCUAAUAAAAAAUAAAUUAUAUAAAAAGAACAAAAAAAAUACAAAAAGAGUUAAAAAAAAGGGGGGGAUUGAAAAGAGAAUAACUAAAAAAGGAUUCAAAUUAUAAAUAAAAACAAAAAUAAGAAUUAAAGAUAAAAAUAUAAAGGGAAAAUAAUUAAAUAGAAAGAAAAAUUAAAUUAAAGGAAAUUAUUAAAAAAAAUUAAAAAUUAAAGAAAGUAUAUUAAAAAGUGUUGAAUAUUGAAAAAAAAUAAGAUUUUUUUUUUAAAAAAAUACAUAAAUAAUUAAUUAAAAAACUGGGCCAUCUUAAAAAAGACGACCCAGAUGUCGGCAUUUGUCCAUUUGAAAGGACGCCCGUGGGGCCUUCUUCUCCAACGGAGAUCGCCAUUUUCGACGAUCUCCUCCCCUAAAGACCUCAAUUUGUCAACCAACUUCCCCUACAUCCAUCACUCAACCUAAAUAAGUGUAUAUUAAACUCUAAAACAUGUGAAUCAUCCCGAAUAUAAUUAGGGAUAUCAACGAAAAGAGUUGAGUCGGCUCAUAAGUCGAAAUUCGAGGCUCGAAUAAAAUGAGCGAACUUUUUCUUAGGCCCAAGCUGAGCUUUUUUCUCGGCCAAAAAAAUUAAACUCAACACAAGAUUUCGGCUCGAGCCUUUUCGAGACUGCCCCUUUUUUAAUGUAGCAGUCUGUUGCCUUUAAAAUAUAUAUAUAUAGGCUUGUGAACUCGAGUCGGUGAACCCAAAAUGGGGCUCGGCCUGAGCCUCGAGCCGAACCGGCUCAGACUUUUUCCAGGCCGAGCCACGAACAAUCCGAGCCAACGAGCCCGAUUGUCAUUCCUAACUAUAAUACAAAAAUUCAAUUCAUUUCCAUUACCAUUACUUAACUGUAAACCAAGGUUUGAUACACAAAGCUAACCUUGUUGAUGAUCUAUCGAUGUGUGUUACCAUCUACUAUAGUUUGGAUUGAUCGAUGUGUGUUUGGUAACGAAUCACCUCAAAGGGUCUCUCUCUCUCUCUCUCUAAGGGUGUUCAAGCCCUUUUUCUGUUUAUUUAAAUUCUCAGCUUUUUAUCUUUCAAAUUUUUGCAUUUAUUUUUUAUUUUAUUUAUUUAUUAUUAUUAGUUUUUUUGUCCCUUUAGAAAAAUGAUCAAAGGCACCAUUUCCUCGUUAAAGGUAAGUCUACUACUUUUCUCGAAGGUUCAGGACAAAUAAUAAAACUCAUCCUGUUUGAAAAUCAAAAUUUACUUGAAAGUAAAGUUUUAAGCUCACUCAAAAAUGCUUAAUCAGAAUAUAAAAUCCAAUUGUCCAACUUUAAUACAUUUUCUAGAUUAAAUUUCUCAAUUUUCGUUGUAUUGUGUCUUUAUAAUAAUUUUUUUUUCUCAAAAAACAUAAUUUUAAUUAGAUAAAAGGAAUGUCCAGUCUUGCGAUGUCGAGUGGAUUUGAUUAUAUAAUCGCCCAUUAGGAAAAACAUGGACAUCUGGUUCCAAGUAGAAUCUCAAAAGUCAAUUUUAUUCAUAUGAGACUAUCGACACAUUUUCUUGGUCGAGGAUGAAAGAUCUCAGCCAUGGCACAGUGAAAACACAUACUUUGAAUUCAUCCCGAGUUUCAAGCGUAAUAGACUGAUAAUAUGACUGUUCAAGUUUUCAAAUCGUCCACACUAACAACCCAUCUUAUAGAACAGGGCAACACUAACAGGAUCAGAGGAAAAAAAAUAAAAACUAUUUAUGGACAGAAACCAGAAAGUUUAAACAAAUCAGCAUUACAUUAUGUUUUAUAUAUACACAUAUCGGCGAGCACUAUACAUACAAAGGAAACAGACACUAUUAACUACUAAAGAAGCCAGAGAAUGAUAUCUAGCCAUAUUCGAUAUGCUAAAAUGCACGCGACAGCCACAAGAUUUUAACAUUUUUCUUCGUUAAUUUUGUACAAUUUUGUCGAGUCACACAUACCAAACAUAUAGUCUAUAUACAAGUUAUCCGCUUGUCGUACCUGAAACCCAAAACAAAAUAUUUCACUAUUCUCAUAGGAUCGAAAAUCAAAGAAAGCCACAAAAUCUAAAAUUCCUCAAUGGCGUGUCUUGUUGGGAGACUAUUUAAGACUGAAUACUAUUAAGAAAGAAGGCAAAACUAAAAUCUUAUACAUUAUAUUAUUUUCGAGUCCUAUUAUGUAGUACGUACCAAAGAGAGAGAACAAGACGACCUGCUAUGUCCAGUUCCUUUUUGAGCGAAGCUGAGUGAGCUUGUCCCUCCACAGAGCUGCAGUACAACACCAGAAGGUUACAUUCAAAAUCAUUGAGAAGCCUUUUCACUUCUUGUAAUCUUCAGAAAAUACUAUUUAGUUUCUGUGUAAAAGCUUCCAAAAAAAAAAAAGGGCUCUGGCAGAAGCUAGAAACUCGGAAUCUUGAAUUCCAAACCCUCGAAUAUGUUCAAAGAUGAUCUUGUUCUGGGACUGAGCUUGGAAUCUUCUUAGGAGUGGAGUUUGGCUUGCCCCUCUCAAUCUUUCCCAUUCUAUGUGCAUGUUUGAAAAGCUUAAAUUAUAAUUUAAGUUGGUCAAACAUACUUUUUAUAUAUACAUUUUGCAUGACCCAAGUUUAUCACUUAAAAAGUACUACCAGACAUUAACGUGCUUACAUAUGCUUAGCUACUAUGAAAUGGGAUUCAAGCUAUUUAAAUUUUUUAGUGUUACUCGCAACCAUUUAAGUAGUGAACAAACUCAAUGUCAGCUGGCUUUCUAGGCAGAAGUUUAAUAGUGUCUUUAAAAAUAAAUAUACUUGAACAACAACAGUUACUGACUUGUAAAAUGAUGUCCUAGACAUAUAGUUAGAUAGAAUACCUGCAUCCUUGUAACGUUCCUCGACUGCAGCUAUUAGCAUGUUGCGCACAAGAUUAAACUCCUUUGUUUCAAUGGACAGCUGGGCACUAGGUCUGUAUCAAUAACAAAGUAGUUAGACUUUACUGAUAUUAUCUAAGGCAUGGGUUAACAAUCAGGUAAAGAUGACAGUUCCAUUAGUUACCACUCGCGAAAUUAAGAAAUAGGCCAUUAAUUCAUAAGAUAAACAAAUUUCUUUAUUAAACAUUUUCCAUAUCUUUUCCCCUUCAGGUGUUAAUUAGCCAUGGAAAAUACUCCAUAAAUGCACUCUCUCAAAUGACAAUAAGACCAUACGAGUACUAGCAGUUCUUUUGGACUAACCGAAUUUCUUAUCUAAACACUCAAAGAAAAUGCAUCUUUUGCAACAAAAACAUGAAAAAGGUAGCCGAUAAACCACAACAAAAAGAGGUCACUGGGGAUAUCUAAUCUACCUGUCCAACUCAGUAAAUAAUAAGCCAUCUGAUGAGGAGCUAUGUACUGGCACUUUUUCAGGUUCAAUAACCUUCAUACCGUCCAUAUACACCAAGUAUUUGUUCACUUGGAUUGGCACCUAAAAAUUUAAGAAACAGUAUAAAAUAUCAUUGAUUUUAGGAAACCAUACAUUGAAAAAGCAAAAGCAAGAUGCAUUAUUCGAUCCAACUCAUGGUAAUUGGUUCAAUCUAGACAGGGCAUGUACUAUAGCUGCCAAGGCUAAGUCCUGGUGAAAAUGAAAAAAUGCCCGUUACAAACAUAUAAAAUCAUCAUAAAUAAACUGUUCCAAGAAGAUUGUACAACUAGACAGACAGAGGAAAAAAAACCAUAAAAUUUUAUUUAUUUACGUAGCAAAUGCACCCUUAUUGGUAUUCAUAUUUAUUUGAAAUGAUAUUAUGAUGAUACUGCAACUGUAAAUGUAGUAUAGUACACUUUUUGGUCAUAAAUCCUCAAUAUAGUGUGCCCCAGUUUGAAAGCAAUGUUUUAAAGGUCCACAAUUUCUAAGUUUUGAUCUAAUUUUUCACAAUUCAGUUUCAACAACUGUCUUUCUUCCAAAACACCAUUACUUCGCGUGGUGCAAUGCGACACAAUUUAUUAUGUUUUAACAUUUGUAAUGGCAACAAAAAUAACAUUUUAAACUCCAAAUGCAUAAAAAAAGAAUGAAAGAAAAAAUUGUUGAAGACAAAACGUUAAAGUAAAUAAUUCAUCUUCUCUCUGAGUGCUUUUAGACAAAAGGAUUCAAUAUAAGAUCAGAGACAAUAAAGAUCCAGAUUCAAGGCUAGCUGCCAUCCAUUUAUGAAAAUUGUACACUUGUAAGACCUUCAAUAAAAUUUGAAUCUGGUCUAUUCGUAAGGAGCACGUUGAAGACAAAUUUAGGUAUAGAAAUUUGACUCCGGAAUUACCUUGCAUCUAACUGCAAUGUUAAUGGCAUCUGACGGUCGCAGAUCAAAUCUGAUACACUCUGCUUCAUUAUCCAGCUUCAAUCAGGAUGAAUAUCACGUCAGAAAAUAUAAUAUGUCACAGAAGUCGGAAAUUUCUACAUUUUGUCAAUCCUGGAAACAAUAACAAUUUACUUUACCUUUGUAAGGUGUAAUUCUGCAAAAUAUGCCUCAUGUAUUCUCUUGGUAACUCGUACAAGUUUCACCUAAAAGAAAAAAAAAAGAAGAGAACUAAUAAAUAACAGAAAAGUAGAAAUAAUUCCUAUAGUGUAAGCAAGCAAAGAACAAAAAUUUGACCAUUGAAGAGAUAACGGAAUAAACUCACUGUAUAGCCCAUCUUCUCAAUCAUUUCCUUUGCCACUUGAUACAUGGUAGGCCUAGCCUAAAAGGCAAUCCAGAAAAUUAUCUUUUAAAAAUAAAAUACACAAGUAACUUUAAGCAUGUUUGGCUAAGCUUAAAAGGUUUGAUUGUAAUAAGUUUACUUAUUAGAAAACAGGUAAUGUUUUAUAGAACAAAACUAGCAAUUAGUAAAUUACUUAUUUUUACAAUAAGUUAGAGAGUUACUUUUAUAUAAGUUAUGACAAGAAGUAACUUAUUUGAACAUUUUGUAAACAAAAGGAUGAAACAUACAAUUUGGACAUUGCGUACAGCAGCCAUUAGCAGCACACUGGGCAUCUCCACUGUGAAAAAGACAAUUGAAUCAAGAAUGAACCAAUAAUAAGAGUCAAUAUUAUUUCACACUCAUUAAGGAAUAUUGCAUAUAGAAAGUAAUCAUAAUAUUAAAGAUGAACAUACAAACAAUUAUGGGGAGAAGAAGCCCGGUCCCGUCUUCCAUCUUCAAUACAAUUGCAGGGUGCGGAGCAUAAUCUGACCGAUGACUCCCUUGGGGGUUAUUAUGGGCACAUCUCAAAUGCCGGCCAUCUCUCAUCUUGAUCAUGAAACCAUCUGGGCCACUUCUGACUUCAACUAUUCAAAACAAUGGCAUAGAACUAAAUUUUAAUUGGAAUGCUCUCCACAUGCGGUUUUGUGUGUAGAAACACGUGGAUUAUUGUUUAGUACUUUUACAAAUGCAGUUAGGUAUACAUUAUUCAAUAAGAUUAGCAAGCAUUAUUUAAUAGACUCAAGUGGCAUUAUAUCAACAAGCUAUUGGGUGAAAUUUCACAAUGAUUUGUAACAUGAAUUAUGUAACAGACAGCAACAUGAAUUAUUAUAAGUUCUACUGAUCAACAAACAUUAUAUCAACAAGCAACAUGAAUUAUGUAACAGACGGCAAGGUAUCCACAAUGAUUUGUGGAAGCAAAGCAUCUACAUGUAGAAAUUUUAUAUAACUCAACAAAAAAUUAAGAUUCUUUUGAUUAUCACUUACAUUGUAGUAUGCACUCACAUACACUGAAUUAGGAGUAAACAAGUGUAUGAACAAUCCACAUACCAGCUUCAACAACGCUCGAAUUCACAUAAUCAGAUUCAUUCUCAUUUGAAUUCCCGGCCCUACUAUCAUUUCCAUUCCACGACGAACUAAAAGUACAUCGUAUAGUCUUGCAUUUCUGCAAAUUUUGUCGAUAAUUUACAUUAGUCCUACCGUUGCCGAUUCCUACAAGCCCCCAAAACCCACUUCUAAUAACUUUGGCUUUCAGUAGAGGUGAACUAAUCGGGACAGAAUACACUCCGGAUUGCUUCGCAUUGAUCAUGGGGCAAACUACGGGCCCUUGAAGAGAAGCCAUCUUCAAUCCUCUAAAUACAUAAAAUUAAAAAAUUACGAUCAAAAGACUAAAAAUUGCUCACAUAAUCUACAACCAAAAAUAAAUAAAUAAAUAAUUAAUUAAUUAAAAAAGAAAAAAGAAAAAAGAAAAUUCAGAAACCAGAAUAAGCAUAUGCAGAAGAAAUAAUCUUGCAAAAAAUCUUCACAACGUCCCAUUUAAAAAACACAACUUCGAAUAUUAAAGUUCUUUUCUCUUCUCUUGCCCCACCUGUACUUUUAAAAUUUUUAAUUUAAACAGUACGUUGUCCAAUACCACUACAUAAAGAAAUCCGUAAUUACUCCUCUUCAAUAUACGGAUUUGCAGACAAAGGUCAAAAUUUUUAACCUUCUUCGUUAAAGAAACAAUAAUCUCAAUAACUUAAUUCCAGAUCAUACUAAAAUAAAACAUACAAUUCAGCUGAGAUAUCAUUCAGUUAGUAAAAAAAAAAAAAAAAAAACCCUUUUUUUGGGUCAAGUUGUCCUUUUUAUCUUUAUAAUCCGAAAUUUAAAAAUUAAUAUAGAAGUCAAUUUUAUAUACAUAAUCAAACCUGUAGAAAGCUCUCAAUCUUCUUCAACAAUCAAGAACUUUUAGGCACCACUAGUGGCCUUAAACGCCUAGAGAAAAUCUGGGACUUUUUUUUCUUCUCAGAGGAAUUUAUGGUACUUUUAUGAGAUCAAUUAAUGAAACAAAAACAUAUAUCCAGUUUACUGAAGAAGAUGAAGAGAUGGGGUGGUAGAGUUUUGAAUAGUUAACGACCGACAAGUGGACUGUAGACUGGAUAAAGGGAACGACAAAUGCUGAAGUGGGAAGAAAGAAUAAGAAGAUAAGAGAUUCUUUUGGAGAGAGCAAGGUCAUUGUUUGGCUAAGUUUGAACAAUUUUACUUAUGUAUAAGUUAUUUUACAUAUUUUAAAAUAAAUAUCAUUUGUUCACCAAGUCUAAGUUAAAGAUGAAUUAUGCUACACAAACAUGGAUAGUGAUAGCUUUGAUGACAAGGAUGACACAUAUCGAUCCCUUAUUGGAUAGUUUGAAAAAAAAUUAAACCCCAACAGAUGCUGACACGCAGAUGUCCGUCAUUUCUCUCCUAUCAUCAACCUUGUCCUAGUAUCUUUACUCAACUGAAUUACUUAAAUGAUCACUGAAUUUUGUAAAAAAAUUUCACAGGAUCACUGAACUUUACAAAUCAUCCAAUUCAUAAUUGAACUUUACAAAGGAUUUUCGUGGAAACACUGAACUUUAAAAAUCACAUAAUUCAUCAUUGAAUUUUGCAAAAUUUUUUCCAGAAAUCACUAAAUUUAGAACCUAUGGGACAUUUUUUUGCAAAGUUCAGCGGUCAUUUGGGUAAUUCACUCAUCUUUACUCAAGAUAUUGAGAGUCAGAUUGUUAGAUUUCCAUAUUUUGAAUUAAUAGAUUUUGAAAUAAUAAUUUUUUAAGGAAUGAGAUGUCAAAAUGUCAUAAAAAUUAUUUUAUUUGGAGAAUUUGUUAUUAAAAAUAAUUUUUUGGGGAUAAAAGGGGCUCAAAUGGGGACAUAAUAUUCAUAAACAAGGAGGAUUCCAAUCCUUGGUACAUUUUGGCGGUACUCGAUUAAUUAGUAACCACUAACAACAAGAGUCAAACUUAUAGAUAGCAGGAUAUAGAUUUUAUGUUGAACCGAGGAAUUUAGUGUGGAAAUAGUAUUAAGAGUGCUCACCAUUCAAUUGAAUCCAAAUUCUCCAUUUGGUAAGAAUUAUAUACGAUUUAAUUGAUAAGUAGAUAAAAGUAAGUGAUUCAAAAAUGGAUAAUACAUGUAAUUACAUUGAAGUAUGUAAUUGAAAAUGAAGAACACAUUAUAUAUAAUCAAACAGUGACUAGAUUCAAAACUGGCCCUGGUAUAAUGCUAAAAUAUCAAUUUUGGAACAUACAAUAUAAAUGUAUAGAAUCAAUCAAAAUAUUUAAUGAGUUGUAAUGUACUGAUAAAAUAAUUUUAUUGAAACAUGAUGACUCGAUCUAUUUUUCAAUAAAUUAUAUAAUUAACAAAAUACACGUCUCUCAUAUUUUCCAUGUGGGUAAAGAUGAGCACAAAUUAUUUAUUUGAAAAACAUAUAUAUGAAGAAGAGUUGGUCACUUAUUACUAAGUUUAAUUAUAUAAAAAAAUGGUCCAUUUAACCAUUUAAGCUUUGGGUCAUGCUACAAAGUCAGAAAAAAAAAUGCUAGAAGCCCUUAUCUAUACUCACAGCUCGGUGGGGGCCACUUUUUUUUUAUUUGAAAUUGUUUAUUCACGUCAGGCCCGCACACUGUGAGUGUGGGCAGGGCCGGUCCUGGGCUGAGGCAUUUGAGGCCUCAGCCUCAGGCCCAAAACCCUUAGGGGGCCCAAUUUUGCUUCAAAUUUAUUUAUUUAUUUAUUUAUUUAUUUAUUUUUUUGGGGGAUAGUUUUGGAUUUUGGAUGUUAUUUUAAGUUUGUAUUGUUUUCGUAAACUUGUAAUGCUCAAAUUUUUGCGUACAUAAUUGAAAAUGUUAUUAGAUUUUUACGUAAAUUUUUACGUUGAUUUCGUCCGAGGGCCCAAUUUACGGACCUCGCCUCGGGCCUCCAUUAUCACAGGACCGGCCCUGAGUGUGGGUAAGGGCUUCUGUUAGUUUUCCUCUGGCUGGGAGGCUUAUUCCUUAACCUUUUCUUGUCCAUUAUUACAAUUUUUUCCCUCUUAACAGAAUAUUACUAUUUGAGCAAAACCUUGAUAUGAGAUUUUGACUAGAGGAUUGCCAAUGCAUUUUUAGUUAGUAUUUAGCCCUUAUUUGAUCCCCAAUUUUCCAAAAAUUAAAAUGGGUGGAAUAGUAUUUUUUUGGAGAAUGAGUGGUUGAAAAAAAAAUCAAUUUAUUUGCAAUAUUAUUUUAUAAAAAUUUGUGUGAUUGAAAGUAGAACAGAGAAAAAUGAAAAUAUAAUUUAAUGGAGACCAAACGGGACUUAGCUUGGUGGUGACUUUUUUUUUUUUUUUUUUUCCCCCCUUUUAAUUUUAAGUUAAAGUAAGAAAAUCAAAUCCUAUUAUGAUCCAAGUGCCACCAAUGCAUAUAUUAUCACAUAAGUCAUUAAAAUAACUAAAAAAAUGAGAGAAUUUAUUAGCAAAAUUAUAAGUUUUAUCCCCAAUAAUUUUAAUUCGUGUCUAAACUUUAAAAUAAAUCUUCUAAAAGAAUACUUGAAUAAAUGAAGAAAAUGUUAGGAAAAUACUAAAAGAAAAUUAGAAAUACUCUUGAAAUCAUUUAAAUAAAAUAAUGGAAAGAAAACAUUGUAAUAAAUAUGGAAAAAUGGUUGUUGAUAUAGUAACGGUAUUAAAAGGAAGCGAGGUUUGUUUUGUACAUAAUUUCCUUAAAAUAAUUCGUCCUUCACUGCAGGGGCGGAUGCAGACAUUUUACAUUAAGGGAUCACAAUCAAACAUUUAAAAAAAGUGAUGAAUUAUUACUUUAUGUGGGUUAUAAAUUGUUAUACUACUUUUCAUUUUGAUCAUUUUUACAUCUAAAAAUUUUUUAUAUAUAAAAAAAAUCAAUCAUUUUGAGGAUUUUUUUUUUUAUAUUGUUGUUACUUUUUCCUCUCAAUCAAUUAUUAUUUUUUUAAAUAAUCUAAUAAAUUUCCUAAUAAUAAUUUUGACGUCGUUUAAAAAAAAUUAAUUUAUCGAGAGGAAAAGGUAACAAUAAGAAAAAAAUCCUAAAAAUGAUUGAAUUUUUUUUAUAUAUAAAUUUUUUCAGAUAUAAAAAUAAUCAAGAUGAAAAGGUAGUAUAACAAUUUAUAACUCCUAUAAAGUAAUAAAAAUUUUAUUAAGAAUUUAUAUUGAGAAAUUUUUUGCGCAAAAAUAAUAAACAUAUAAAUGACAAUAUUUAUACUUACAUUUUUUUAUUUGCAUAAAUAUAUCACAACCAUAGCUUUUUCUCUCUAUAACUAAUUUGACCAUUUAUCUUCCCAACAUUCCUUUUAUUUUUCUAGACCAAACAAAAAGUCUUUUUUGUCUGUUCAAAUUCCACUCCAACAAUCACUCGCCAUUAUUUUUUUAAACCCAACAUAAAGUUAAUUCUCUCUUUGAAUUAAACUUUUGAAGAUGCAAUUUAGCAAAUGGGUCUUCAGUUUAAUAAACUGUCAUUGCCUUGUAGGUCCCUUUCUUCUUUAUUUUCAGAUACAUGACAGAAUACAUAGGCUGUUAUCUUUAAUUUCUCUUCUCAUAAUUAUUCUUGUUUUGUAAUCACAAUCAAUAUUAUUCAAUGCUGCUUUAAUUGUAGUCAACAGUGAUUUGAUGCUCGUAAGCAAUCGACAAAAAUGGCAUGAAAAUGAAUGUUGUUCUUAUCGUUUCUUUAAGUGAAAUCUUUCACCAAGUUUUAUUGUUACUCAACUAAUUUAUAGUUUAAUCUUCUAUUGAUCCUUUUUUUUUCCCCCCNNNNNNNNNNNNNNNNNNNNNNNNNNNNNNNNNNNNNNNNNNNNNNNNNNNNNNNNNNNNNNNNNNNNNNNNNNNNNNNNNNNNNNNNNNNNNNNNNNNNNNNNNNNNNNNNNNNNNNNNNNNNNNNNNNNNNNNNGAUCAUGAGCAAGAAAAUUUGGAGGAAAUUGAAAAAUGUGUACCUUUCCAUUUCAACAUUAGUGAUCUGGGAAAUUGAUCAAAGCUUGAUAGACUUCUUAGGGAAAAGAGGUCCCCCUAGGGAGGACGGUUUUACUUUUCCAAAAGAUUCAAAAAAUAGACAUUUCUUGUCCACAUAUUCUAUUUGGCAUUUAGCAAGUGGUGAGAAGAGUGAUAAAAAAAUGGUUGGUCUACUCAAUUUCAAUGGAUAAUUUAUUUUGCUUUUGUUUUAAGUUGUUUAAGCAAGAAGGAAACAGUAUUCUUAGCUAAUGAACGAAUCAAUUACUGGCAAAAUCUUAGAUUUAGGCUUAAAAGUCAUGAAACUAGUAAUGGACACAUGCAUAACAUGAGAAGAUGGAUUGAAUUAGAAAGGAGAUUACAACAGAAUUUAACAAUUGAUAAAGCCGUGCAAGAUCUAAUCAACAAAGAUAGAGAACAUUGGAGAGAAGUUUUUGUGAGGAAAGUUUCUAUUGUUAGCUUUCCAUGUAAGAAUAAUUUGGCAUUUUGGGGGACUAAUGAGAAAAUUUAUGAAAAAGAUAAUGGGAGUUUUUCAUGUCUAAUUGAAAUGAUUGCAGAAUUCGAUCUAUUUUUGAGGAAACACAUCCGUCGUAUUCAAGAAAAAGAAAUUCAUCAUAAUUACCUUAGUGACAAAAUUCAAAAUAUGAAAGUUUUUGUUUGAUUUAAAAAAAUUGCAGAAUACAAAUGAUAGUUGUUUGAAAUGUUGGUGUGAUAAGCUCGAAGAAUUUUUGAAACAUGACAUUGAUUCUGACAUUGAUGGAUCGGAGUUAUUUUCUGAGCUACAAAUUGUGAGAAAUAGUUUGCCAAAAGAGACUAAAAAAGGCGAUUAAAUUGUUGGACUUAGGGAUGGCAAUUGGGCUCAUCGGCUCAGGCUGCUCGUAGCUUAGCUUUGAAAAAGCUCGAGUCCGCUCAGCUUGAGGCUCGUGAGAACCGAGUCGAAGUUCGGACCAAGCCCCAUUUUGGGGUGCCCGGUAAAGCCCGAGUCGGCCCGUGUGGCUCGCUUGCUCGGGCUCACGAGCCUAUAUUUAAAAAAAAUACAAAAAAUAAAAAAAAAUAAAAAAUAAAUUACAAGGCAGCACGCUGCUGCCUUAAUUGUGUUAACCAAAAAAAAAAAAAUCAGUCAAUUAAGGCAGCGAGGCUGCCAAAAAAAAUAAUCCAAAACCAAACAAAACAUGAGCCGAGAGCUCGGAUUGAGCCUAAUUAUUUUUGCCGAGCUUUUGCUUAGCCCCACUCGGGCCCCAAAAAAAAAGCUCGAACAUUUUAUCCGAACCGAGCUUGAGCCUAAAAUUUCGGCUCGUUGACAUCCCUAGUUGGACUACAUGGAAAUGAUGGACUAUUUUCCAAAUGUAUGAAUUGCUUAUAGAAUAUUAUUGAUUAUACCAGUUACGGUUUUAUCUGUCAAGAGAAGCUUCUCAAAGUUGAAAUUGAUAAAAUCCUAUUUUUGAUCACCAAUGUCCCAAGAAAGAUUGAAUGUGGUCAUGGUAUCUAUUGAAAAAGAAAUUCUAAAAUAGAUUGCUUGUAAUAGUCUAAUUGUUGACUCUCUAUCAAAAAAGUCUAGAAGAGUAAAUUUAAUUUAGACAUUCAAAGGUUUUAAAUUACUGUUUUUGUAAUUUCAAGGGGCCCCAUACUUGGAAUUGGUAUAAAACCUCCAAAAUAUCAGGGCCGGCCUGAAAUGAAACUUGAGUCUUUAUGAUUCUUUGUGAGAGUAGUGUUUGGUUUCAGGUUUGAUGCAUUAUGGUCUAUAGAAGUAGUGUUGAUUUAGCCAUUUAGGGUUUGAGUUGAGGUUUCUGUUUUGUAUAGAGGGAUGCAAUGUUCUGAACCCUAGAUCAUUGAUAUUUAAGAUGCCUUUGGUUGUGUCUUAAGUUGUAAUAUUUGAUAUAAACAUUUUGUACGAGUUUAUUCAAUUUUAUUCUAAUAGUUCGAAUAACCAGCAAUAUAACAUUGUGGUUUUGUGCAGAGUGGAGCGUAGUCCUCCUCUAUUGAGGGUGACGUACCUUCCAUUCUCUUUCAAUCCAUAAAAUUUGAAGACUUUCCGACCAACCUUCGUUUUGGUCUUUCUGUACGAGAAUUUCCCAAUCAACCAGCAUGGCAUUGGUUUCGACAAAAUAUUCACAUCCUUAGGUGUAACAUCUAUACAAAAUCGAUUUCAUUCACAAACCUAAUUGUUGCAGAAGCUCUCUUGAAAGAUCUUCAAAUCGGUGAUUUUCGGACUUAGUCCAACGCAUCUUUCUCAAUCAACAACCAAUCCAAUCAACUCCAAACCACAACCAAUUGAUUCAACUUGGUUGCUAUUCAAUCUUACCCAUGUAGGACAAGAAAUGAUGAUGAUUUGUGGCCACAAAGGCUAGAAAAAGACACUACAAAGGUAUACUAUGAAGGAACCACAAAUUGCACACGUUAUACAAGCGUUCUGGACACUUCUAGAGACCUUUUUUAUCACACAAAGGGGGUAGCCUGGAUUCUUUUUUUCUUCUCUCAAAAUCACACAAUACAUCAUAAGAAAGUGGCUAGGGUUAUAGUAAUUUAUAUACACUCUAGGGUUAGGCUUUAAGUUGGACCAUUAAAGGGAUAAACGGGCCAAGAUUCAAGCCAUCCAUAACGGAAUACAAUUGGGCCGGGUGUUGCUCAUGGACCUGGUUGUUGAACUUAUUUCAUUCAUCGGCCUAUGCCUAUGAAAUAAUAUUAACCUACGUUAAUAUCAUAACCCGGGAUUUAUUGGGUAUCAAAAAUCCAACAAAUUUCCAUUGUAAUGCCCAGUAAAUCUGCAAGCAAUUAAAACACAAAGUUAGCACUUGCAUAAUCAAGGUAACCAAUAAAAUUGGAUCACAGACCUUACCUCGUGCUUCCAACUUGAAACACAUACCAUAUCUGCUCCAUGUAUUCACUGGGGCUAAGGUCAAAAGCACCCAAGUAGAAGCAAAUAUUUAACAUUAAACAACCAAGAGCAAAUAGACGUGCGAUGACGAUAUACUAUAGGAUAACACACAUAGAUCUUUUCAUAAAAAUGUUCACAGAGAACCAUAGAUUAACACCAAGUCAAUCAAACGAUGGUCAACCACAUAUGCAACACAUGCAUAAAUGACCCUAAGAAAAGAUCUCACUACACUUAUCCUAUCCCAUUCCAUAUUGCUUACGCCUCGAGAACACAUAUCUCCUCUCAUCGCCCACCAAGCUCACUAGACAGAUCACUCAACUCAUGUUUAACUGGCAAGUUACAAUAGAUCCUAAGUCCAAUCCAUGGGAUAAUUCUCUAUCUCCACAUCACUUCUCCCAACCUACGUUGAUAAUAGGUCUCCAGCUCACAGAAGUGAUAAAAGUGCCUCUCUCACACUUCACCUGAUCAGGGUCUCUUUCCAGAUAAAAGAUUCUAGACAUUUGAUCACAUCUCCACUCGUGAUCCAAAUGUCACACUCCACAUCUCCGGUACAAACCACCAUGUACCCCUAGGCAUCUAUACUCCACCUUACCAAAAGACAUCCAACUCACUGCUAAUGCAUCACAAACUCACUGCGGCAAAACAACACCUUUCGGUGACCACAAAUGUUACUCCAAUCACCAAAGCUCCAAAAAUCCAUAAAGAAAACAGCGAAGGUGGCACUCACAAAGAAAAAUCGAAGAAAGAGUCGGUUACUUCACAACAUUCACAAAGAAGGAUCACAAAGAGGAAGAAUAUAACCCGAACAUGACUGCCUCACAUAAUCUCACAAACCACACAGGCUCGCAAAGAUAAAGGAGAGAAACGACUGCCCAACUUUCUUCUCACUACCACACUCUCACACCACUCACAGAGGAAAUAGAGUACGCCACAAAACAUAACCCACUAUGCAUGUAAACAUAUUACACAAAGUAAUAAGUCACUCUAAUUCAUGCAAUUACACACAUCAAACAUAUUGAAACUGUAACAUCAAUAUUACAACAUAAUUAAGUGACCACAUACAUGCAGAAAGGAUUACACACAAAUACAAUGCAGUAACCAAGUUUAUUCUCUCAAUAAAUAUCACUAGGAUCACUACUCGACCCUAAAGUUACAUUCGUCUCGUCUCUAUUCUUAUCUUUUCUUUUAUUAUCAUUCUAGGACAAUCUUUUUCAACUAUGCCCAAAUUUUACCACAAUUAAAACAUAUUUUAUUUUUCGCACUCGCCUUAGACCUAUACAUGCCAACAAUACCAAAUAAUGACCACAAGCAAAGUAUUGACAUAUAAUUCACGCAAAAUAGUAAGUAAACUUUCCUAAGGUCACAUGCAAUUUUAUCGGUGUAGAAAAAAUUGGUGACAAAUUCACAUAGAAUUUAGAUAGUUAAUUAACAUAUAAUUUCUAGGUCUAGUAACAAACAAUGGUUACUCCUUCACGGUAACCCUAAACCUAACGUCAUCCUACAUGAUGACUUCUAAUGCGAAAAAUAAAUAAUUCCCAUAAUAAUAUUUUAAUUGUAAUAAUAAAAGGCAAAGAAUACGAUACCGAGCGGACCACCUCUGAAGGUCCGUAAAUAUCGAGAGACGCGAAUUCACCACUUCAGGAUUAUGACUAUUCAUCCUAAAGUCUCUGAAAACUGCAGCAACUAAAAAAUCACGAUUGAGUCCUGAAUGCUCGAAGAACAAUGCUGUCUAGAUUCUACUGCGUACCUUGAAACAGAAAACUUUCAAUACAAAAAAUGUUAGAAAUAAUAUGAGGAACAAACUGUCUGAAGGGACCUCCUUGAAAUUCCCGCUCAUGUGUGUCUCUUCCUUUCUGCGCGUGGGCCACACGCGCUGCCACACGCGCAGGAUUUGACCGUCACGCGCCUUCCUGCAGGGUGCGCCUCCUCUUGCACGUCAUGCCAGUGGUCUCCGUUUCCCCAACCUCCUUUUGGAUUGAUCAGAAAAUGCAAAAAACGGAGACUGAUUUUGACAGUUUUUGGACAGCUUCUUCGAUCUGAUUUCUGCUACGAUUUCUGGACGUUUUUGGUAUGUUUCAAGAGCCAAAACCACCACCUUGAAGCUCUGAUACCAAUUUUUGCGGAAGCUCUCUUGAAAAAUCUUCAAAUCGGUGAUUUUCGGGCACAGUUCAACACACCUUUCUCAAACAACAACCAGUCCAAUCGACUCCAAAUCCAACCAAUUGAUUCACCUUAGUUGUUAUUCAAUCUUACCCACGUAGGACAAGAAAAGAUGAUGAUUUGUGGCCACAAAGACUAAGAGAAGACACCACAAAAGUAUACUAUGAAGGAACCACCAAUUGUAGACGUUAUACAAGCGUUCUGGAUACUUCUAGAGACCUUUUUUCUCAUACAAAGGGGGUAGCUGGGAUUCUCUUUUUCUUCUCUCAAAAUCACACAAUACAUCAUAAGAAAGUGGUUAGGGUUAUAGCCAUAUAUAGACUCUAGGGUUAGGCUUUAAGUUGGACCAUUAAUGGGGUAAACGGGCCAAGAUUCAAGUCAUUCAUAAGGGAAUACAAUUGGGCCGAGUGUAGCUCAUAGAUUUGGUUGUUGGACUUAUUUCAUUCAUCGGCCUAUGCCUAUGAAAUAAUAUUAGCCCAUGUUAACAUCAUAACUCAAGAUUUAUUGGGUAUAAAAAAUCCAACACUAAUGAAAUUACUCAAGUCAAAAAUAUGUAAAAUAAUUAACAAACCCAUCUUUUGUGAGAAAAAUCGAUCAAAAGUGUCGACUCAUGAAACAUGCUCUUAAUUCUGAUGUAAUAAAUAAAACAACAUAAAACCUUAGUACUGGUAAUAAGAGAUAUAUUAAAAUAGGUUACACAAAAUAUCAAAUGGAAGCAUGGUACUAGAUUACACAAACCUGAACUAUUAUUGGAUCAAACUUGGUCCAUUCCUAGAUCUUCUUUUCUCCUUUAUUGUAGGAUGACCAAGUUUGCUCCAUCAAUGAACAGUAGGGUUCUCUUUGAUCUUGGAAUUUUGCCACUUUGCCAGAAGUAAUUUAAUAGAUGCAAAGACAUAAUCCGAGGUGGCAGCAGAUAAUUUGAUGAAAAACUGACUGUGUUUAAAACAGUCCAAUGAUGGAAUAUGACGUGGCAUUAUUUCAAUAUUAUAUCAAGGCAUCUGGUAAGCAUGAUUCUUUAUCUUGCCCUAAAUGCAGUCAAAAGUUGUAAAUAUAUGGGGCUGUUAUUCAAACAGUAGCUAGGUGGAUCAGUUGAAGUGAGGCUGUGGCCAAACAGCUCCGCCAACACCGUCAGUUAUAUACGAUAAGGAUGACAAGGGCACCAAACACAGCCCUCGACUUCUAAGAUCUCGCUUUGGUUCUUCGUUCUCGUCAUCAGUGGAAACCUGAUAUAUAUAUUAGGAGAGGGAUAUAUUAAUGACAUAAAAUCAUUUUAAAACAUAAAAAUAGACUAACAUCUUAUCUAAUGUUGUGCAGUAUUGCGGACAUGCCAUGAGUGGACUAUAACUUGGAUUGAAUCACAACGUAAGAUUUGACUUUUAAUGAAGACUUAAUACUAUCAUUAACGAAUUUUAGGAUAAAUCUCACAUGUACAUGCUCCAUUUGCAGUACAUCAAAUUGAAGCAUAUUUCAUAUUGCUAAUUUUUUUGACAUUAUGAAAAAUAUGAGAGUACAAGCAUGUGUGGAGUGUUUAUAAAUGAUUUAAAACAUAUAUAGAGAGAAUUGAGUAGUUGUUAAGUGGAUAAUACUCGUGAAUCUUACAAAAUAUGUGGAUAAAAAGUGAUUUAACCGAUUAUAAAUAAUUUAUAAAAAUUAGCCAAAUAAGGGAUAAUAAUAUGCCACGAGAACAUGUACCUUCGGUUACAUCCCAUAGAAUUGGAAUGAUAUAGAGAAGAUAUGCCAAGAUCAAAUGAUGUACAUUUUUACUAUGUACCAGGUUCAAACAAAGGAUCCCAUAUUCUCAUUAAUUUUAAGGUGAGAAAUAACAAUUUUAUCAAGUUUUUUACUCUCUCUAAUUGCAUGGAUCAAGAAUGUAUAAUAUAUCAUACUCAAUUAAAAAAGUGUUGCUAAAUUUGUACCAUGUGUUUUAUUUUGCAUACAUACAGAGACAAAUAUCUCUGUGUGAUGAUAGGUUGAACUCAAACAAAACGAAGGUCUAUGAAUAAAUUUCAAGAGAUCAACUGCAUUUAAUUCAUAUAUACUGUCGCUGGUUUUUGAGAAAGAUUUGUUCACUUCAUUUCUUACCCCUUUUGUUGCUCUGCUGGUCUUAUUCCUUGAUGACUUCAUGUAUGGGACACUUAGAGUCUGCAUUAAACAAGUCCAAAUAUUAGCAAAGUAAAAAACCAUCCUUUUUAAGGAAAAUAAAAUUACAGAAGACAAUGUAAAUUUACGACAAAAUUUAAGUAAAAUUGCAAAUUGUCAAUUGUGGAAAUAUAGCAAAGCAUUUGUUUUACCAAAAGUUCAGAAUUCAGUUUAUGGAAAUUUGGUCAAGUUUUAUGAUCUUAGGUUGGUACAAUUUUUUCCUUCAAGGCCUAAAUGGUGAAUAAAAAACCUACUAACGUUAAUUCCUAAAAGUUGUUACUUUUUUUGUAAUAUAAAGGUCAAAGCAUGCAAUUAAGCUAAUUUUUUAGAUAAGCCCCACAAAUAAAUCAAUUCUUAAUUAGUUGCAAUCCACUACAAAGUCUACACUAAGUACAAUGCUUAAUGGAAUUGAGUUUUCAACUACUUUAGUAAAAUACACCCUAAAGUGUAAAUAAAGUUUCCGAUUUUUCUUAAGGAAUAUAAAAAUUAAGAAAACUUUUGGCUAGUUUCAAAAUGUUUUGCAGACUUUCGGAAACACUAAUCCUAGAACUUCAGAGGUUUACAUGCGAUCUUAGUCUACCAAAGAUAGUAAAACUUCAUUUAUUUAUAUUUUAUCUUCCAUAAUCAUAACCUAAUCUUCUUUGUUUAUAUCUUUUUCACAUAAGCAACUUAAUUAAGGAGAUUUAUAUCAGUAUAGAUAUAGAUAUAGGUUAUGGACGAAUAAGACAAAAACAUGAGUUUAAUAGAACAAAAUCCAAGAAGAAUGUCUUACCUCGACUUGGUUUUGAAGGAAUUUGAUAUAACCAGUGGCCUCCAUAAGUACGGAUGCUGUGUCUGUCUGUAAUAUUGUCCACCCGCAUGCAACAUUAAUUUAUGCAAUAUAAGUAAUUAAUUAUUUUACCAAAUCUUAACUGUAACAGUAAUGUCCUAAGCAUGUAGAUUAUUCUGCUCAUUUUUCAGUAAAAAUUAACUGUACACCAGACAUUAUGGUUUUCAGAUUCUGUGACUGGGGAACAUGCACACUAGAGUCUCACUAUUCAUAUGCCAUAUGUAGAACAUGUUUGCUUGGUUUAGAAGUUACUUUUUUUGGAAAAUAAGUUAAGUUCGUUUGGCGAAUUUAUAAAUACUUUAUAAAAGAAAUAAUAGUGGAUUCCAUGAAUGUGGAAAUGAUAAUGAGUAAUGAUUAAGAAUUUGUGCUUGAAUUAAUAAAUCAUUCCAAAUUUGUAUCCAAACAUAAGGUUAAGAAUUACUUUCUGAAAAAGCAUAUUUUGUAAACAUAAAAAGUAACUUAGGUAAAAGUUUUGCCUACUUUAAGAACAACAAACAUGCACGCCCAUAGAGCAUAGAUAUGAGUAACUAUUCAAGUGAUUUUAUUAAGUUAAUGUAGAGUUGAAUUACACGUUUCAGAAUUUAAGUUUUUAAAAAGGAGAAUAAUUUAUAAUAUGUACCAAAGGUGGAGAUUGGGUUUAUUUUUCCAUCAUAUGUUUGAUGUUUAAUUAAAGUGAGCUCUUUAUCUUAGAUCACUUCAUUUUCUAUUCGAUUUCUAAUUACAUUUGUUUUAUCCCUUUGAUCCUCCUUUCAUUUUUUUAAAUGAAGAAUUUGUUUAGUAUUAAGAAGCAAUUUGACUUCGUGGGCUAAGGAAAAGGAAAAUUUUCAAUAACAAGGGCUAUAGGAGAGAAAAAACUCGUUUGAUUGCUAAGUUCGUGUAUUAUAAUUAUUAAUAUUAACCUUUUCAUAUUCAACUUAGACAAUAUGGUGAAUCGACAUUUCCAUUUGAAUUCCAUUUGAAAAUAUAAUCGAGGAUGUUUAUAUUUGUCAAGACAUGAACAUAUGACGGCGUAAGCCUACAUAAAAUUUCUUGAAUUGGAAAAUAAAUCUUAGGCUAAAUUGAGGUUAAAAACAAGAUUCAGGUAGGAUUUAUCAAUUAUGAUGUAUAAAAAUAUUCUGAUUUGAAAAAACAAAAUUACCUUGCCAAAAGGUGCUACUAACUGCUGAAGAGCAGCAAUUCUAUCUCCCAAUUUCUCUUUUCUAACCUGAUAAAUUCAGUUCAAGAAAGUCUUAAAAAUGAUAAAACUGAGCUUAAUUAUUAUAGACAGAUAAUUAAUUAUAUUUAAAUGAAUUCUAAUUAAUUUGUUAUUCGUUAGCUGUACCUUAAAGAAUAAUGCUACAUAGAAUCACUGUGCUGCAAUAAACACAGUCUAAUUGCAAAACACCAUUAGUUUAUAAACGAUUAGUUGUACCUUAAGUGGUGGGCAAGAAGUGCGUGGUUCUAUACGUGAUUUUUUUGGUGCCUUUGGCUCCAAUAUACUGUUGCUUCGUUUUGCUUCUGCAACUCCAUUGCUUAAUGGUGAUAUCUUUAAAAUCCAGAGAAAGUAAAAUUUAUCAGAACAAUAAUGGCUAUCUUGUCAAAAUCCUUUUUUUAAAAAUAAAUAAAUAAAUAAAUAAAUAAAAAGACUCAACUUUUCUGAAAAUAAAAUGUGUAUAAUUAUAUAAAGGUGUAUACAAAUGCAUAAAGCUGAAGUAGCCUUUAAAUGGAGAAAAAGGAAGGCUUUCCUUUUGGUAUAACAAUCUAUUUGAAUGGAGAAAAAGAAAAGCAAAGAGGCUUUUUUUUCUUUUCUCAAAUAAAAAUAGGAAAAAAUAUAUAUAUCAGAAGAAAAACACUUUCUGUGGCUGUGCUUUUAUCCCAGGUACUGUUUUAGAUAUUUCUGACGCAGUUUCAUCCCACAUGUAUAAGAUCUUCACCUCACUAGGAAGUAUUUAUAAUUGGGAUAGAAAUCUAUAAGGAAUAAUAAGAUCAAUGGAGAAAAAGGAGGAAAGUGAAAGAAAAUAAAGGAAAAUGCAAACCUUAUUAGGGCAAUUCAUUGACAUUUGGCUUGAUUGCUGCAUAUAAUCAAGGCCAUAACAAAGACCUUCUUUGUAAUGGCCUAAUUCAUUCUGCGAAUUUGGGCUCAUAAAAUUUCCAUGAAAUUUUGAAGCCGUAAGGUGAUCUAGUGCCUGCAAGUUCAUGUCCAUGUUGCCUGAAUUUUCUAAUUGCGCCGACUGCAGAUUGAAAUUGGAAACAUUUAUGCUUGGAAAUAUCUGACUGGAACCCCUUCCACUCUGUGUUGAUCCAUUAAUUCCUGUGCUUAAAGAGUUGGAGUAAAAAUUUUGUGGAGAAAUAUUCUGCCCAUUUCCAAGAUUUCCGGAAGAAAGUGUUCUAAGAAGAAGCUUUGCGCUGAGAUCGUUAAAUGGAAAAUCUCUCAGCUCAUUAUUCUUGCUGUAGCUUGAGGGAUUUACGCGAAAAUCUUCAAUACUUGAUGAUUGCCUGUUUAAGAUCUCUGUGAAUUUAGGGUUAAAAUUAUCUGGAAAUUCUUCCUUAAUUCUUCCAGAUUGUAAAUUUCCUGUAGGAUUAGCCCAAUGAAAUAAUUCCAUUUCUGGAGUCAUGGAAAUAUUCCAGGAAGAGAGUGGAUUCUGGUUUUGCUGCGCUUGCCUCGGAUUUAUAAUGCCUUCAAUAGGAUAUGAAUUGAAGCAAUCUGAGUUUCUGCAAAAAUUAGUUAUGGUAAUCACUUGUAUUUCAAGCCGAAACAAUCCAAUCUAAAACUUUGAAUAUUGCACGUUAGGCGAGUAGAUUAACGUUACUAAGCUAUAGUACAAAACAAAAAUUAGCAUGCAAGUAGAUUAACAAUGCUAAGUAAUAUUACAAAAGAAAAAUUAGUAGAUAUUUUGUUCAUUCUACUAUUGGUGUACUAUUUUAUAUCAUACAUGCACUAAAAUUUCAAACGAACCACCGGAACUCGAAAUUUUCAAACAAUAAGCUGCAAGAAUAUUUUGUGCUUGAUGUGCAAUCAAAUCACACGAGAAUAUAAGCAAAGCAAGGAGAAGAUACAAGUACUAAACAAUAAUAAUACUAAACCACAAUGAUUCUGCAGCAAGUAUUGCUAACCAAGAAUCAUUAUAGAAGAUUUACUUGUUUAUCUAAAAAGCCCAGAUGAGGAUUUUUUUGGUUAAAGUUCCUAGUUUAGAGAGAGAGAGACUUACAAAAUGGUGUUAGGGGUCCAAGAAUGAGUGCUUGCAACUCCAUAGCAAGAAGUAGCUAAAGAAGAAGACCCAACAACUUGAUGAUGAUCUUGAGGAUGAUGUUUUUUUAGUCUAUGAAUAUUUGCAGAAUCCAUUAUAAUGCAAUAAUUUUUUUAACACACUUGAAAAUCCCAAGACUAACAAUUAAAAACCAAACCUAAUCUCUCUCUAUCUUUCCCCUCUCUCUCUCUCUAGGAAAUAGUAUUUCAGGUGACAGCCAUAAAAUACACAAUUCUCCUAUGCUUUUAGCACCUUUUCGUAUGCAGUUUCACCUUUACUCUUUAAAUCUUUUGCCUUAAGCCGCCUUGAAAUGAAGGGAAAGGAAAGGAAAGGAAGAGAGAACAUUUAUCAAUGGCUACACCGCUCUUCAGCUCUCAACAAACAAUUUUUUAUUUUCUUCUUCUGUAAAAACUUUAUAAAUAUAAACUAAAAUACUCUCUCUCCCCGCUUUGCAAUCACAAAAAGAUUAUUAUAGUUCCUCCAUGCCAUGAUUAAUAUCCCUGCCUUCGAUCCCAAGGCUUUCGACAAAAGUCUGUGGAGAGAAAUGAUGCAGCCAUGCCGUCUCUCUCUCUCUCUCUUUUUCUAUAUCUAUAUUUUUUUCUAUCUCUAUCUUAUAUCCACAUGUUGGUGGUCUUUAUAUUUGUAUUCGGGGUAUAUCAGUGGAAUCAGAAGAGAGGUGUCCCUAAGAAUGGAUGAUCUGUUUGGAUAUGUUCUUGUGGUCCAAUAAAUACGAUUAAUUCUUCAAAUGUAAUAUAGAGAGGAAUAAUGCUCAAUCCAAGGAAGGAAAGGGAUGAAAAUAAAGGUAGGGUCCAUAGGAUAAUUUCACCCUUAAUAACUCAAUUGUGACAAGAAAUUAUUUGGUCAUUAAGCCAUUGUAAAUCAUUAUAAUCUUGUCUCUUUGUUGGUUAAUAUGAUUAGCCCAAAAGAAAAAGAAAAAUGAAAAAAAAAUCAUUCUUUACUUUGAUUUUGGAUAGAUCAUUUGUCUUUUUACUAGAAAAAGUCAUUUUCACGAUCAAUGAUGGCAAUUUGGGUAGUUUUACCCGUUGCAAAUUAAUUACCCACAAAGUUUUGAUUCUAUCACUAACUAUCAAUGCCUUGGAUUUCAUGUAAUGGAAAUUUUAUGUUGGUGAUAAAUUAGAGACAGGUUUGUAGUUGAAGGCACCUUUUUUUCAUUUUAAUUGAGUCGAGCUAUGAAAAUUAGUAGAACAAAACUACAACAGAAAGAAGGGAUCGGAGGAGAAAAGAGCAGUGGUUGUGCUGAAGGACAUGGUGGUAGCAAUAGCAAUAGCAAUAGCUCCACGCGGUGGGGAUACUAAAACAACGUUUUCUUUAUUAGUUGAGAGAACAUAAAUACUAUUCUAAAAUUAAUCGCAAUAAUUCAUGUAUAUUGUUGCUUUUUUUUUUUUUUAAGUUUUAAUAUUAACCAAGAAAUAAAAAAAAUUAAAUUGGAACCAGUAUAUAAUUUUACACUAGUUUUUUAUUUGCUUCAUUAAAAUUAAACUUGCAGAGUAAAACAUCUACUAAGUUCGAAUAAUCAUAAAUAUAACUUCUAAUUUUGUAUCAGCUAAAUUGAUUUACACAUAUUUGGAAAGUGUUUAUAAACAGUUGAAUUUAUAAAUAGAUAGAAAUAAAUUUGUAUAAAUGAAUAGUAUUUGUGAUUUCCACAAAAUUUGUGAAUAAAAAGGUUAUUUGACCGUUUAUAAGGAUUAGCCGAACAUAGGCAAAUAUUGAAUUCCUUGUCAAGCUAUGAACAUUUAUUUUGCUAAUUAAUGAAUCAUCACAUUGUCUUCUUAUGUUUCGUAAUUAUAAUGAAAAUUGUCAAUAUAAUUGUUAUCAUUAUUAGCUGCAAGAAUAGAGUGGUUGUAGUACUACAACUAUCAAAUAAAGUCUGAUGCUUUUAUUAUACAACUAGGUAACUUAUAUAUCUUUUACUUUCACCAACUAGAAAUGGCUUUUUAAUUUUAAACUUAUGUUUUUACUUAUAAGUAAAUUAACUUAAAAAAAGAUACUCUAAAUCCCUCAUAUAUUUUAUUUUUUUACUUUUUUUUUGCCUUCCUGUUCUUGUUUUAUAGUCCAAGUGUGCAAAAAAUCUAAAUUCUGAAACAUAAAUGAAAAAUUUAUGAAAACAAUGUAAAAAGCAUAUCAUAGAUGGACAUAAUAAAUACAAGAAGAAUAAACAAAAAUACAUGAAAACAUAAAAGGGGACCAACGAAAUAACCCACAAUAUAUCCAUAUGAUAUAAAGACAACAUAUAUAGAUAGCCCAUUGGAUUACAACAUGAUGUCAAUUUGACAUUUUUAUGACAUCAUCAUUCUCUUAAGGUAAGGGGUGUGCAUGUAUCAAGAUUUUGAAAACUUUCAACAACGAUCAUAUCAUUCAUAUCUAAAGUUUAAUUUAAAAUUUUCAAAAUGGUCGAAAAUAUCUCCAAUGGAUAGGUGCAAAGAAAAUAAAAUAUGUAAUUUUAGGCAUAAAAUGUUUAAAAAAAAAAUGUAAACUUUUUUACAUCGAUAAGAGACAAAAAAAAAAAAAAAAAAAUUUAAAUCCUUCUAUUGAAGCAAAAUUUGAAUUUAAAUUCACCGGGAUAUAAAUGGGGAUGCGAAAGUGAUUUUCGAAAUAUACCCAAUUUUUCACCACCAUUGGAUAUGCUCUUAUACCGUUAAAUAGCAAUGGUUCCCAAACUUUUAAAUAGAAACGUUUAGUAUUGGUAUUUUUGGUAAUGGUUGUUAAAUUUUCAAUCCAGAUUUUUAAGAUCUUACUAUUCUAUGAUCUUAAAAUUAUAAAACAAUUUAUUCUUGUUACUCGAUUCUAAUGAUCUUGUAUAGUAUUUGUCAAUAUGGACUUUUGAGCUUCAUUUUUAGGUGACUUAAAUAGGCUAGAUUGUUUAGCAGUUGAUAGGGUUUUAAUCUACCAUCCAUGUCGGAUCAUCUUAGCCAUGAAGGGAUCUUUCGACCCCCUUUUCCACCCAAGCCUCUUGAUCAGCCUCUUCCACAAUGAUCACAGUGUCAUGGGGGACGAUUGUGCCUGUUGUCGUCCCUAAAAAAAAAAAGGUUGUAAUCUCUAUAUUGAUCAUCAAUCUUGUAAUAGCAACGACUCUAACAUGUGUCCAUUCUUGCUAGGAUAUGUGAUACUAAUGAAGCGAGACAAGCCUUGAGGGUUAAUAGAUAUACGCAGCAAGUUGUAGACAGUUUAGAACUUUGACCCCCUUUAGGUCGAUUUUCUUGGUCACGUUUCAUAAAAUUAUGCAAGUAUACGACUUCAUAAGUAAGCAAUAAAGAGUGAAUAAAAUAUUACUCCCUUCGUCCCAUUUUGUAUAGGCUGAUCUUAUUGUUCAUACGGAUUAAGUAUUAUUAUUUAGUCCCUGUUUGGCCCUCAUUAAUUUUCAUUCCAUUACAUUUUAUUUUUCUCUCUUCUAUUUUCAACCACAAAAUCUUCCAUAAAAUAAUAUUACACGUAAAUCGAAAACUUUUUCUUCUUUUUCAACAACUCAUUUUUAAAAAAAACACUAUUCCGCUCAUUUUCAUUCCCACAAAAUAGGAGCCAAACAUGGGCUUAAUGUUAUUGAUAAAAUAAUUUUUGCCAAAAACUUUACUAGUUUACCCUUAUUUAUAAGGCAUUUCAGGAAUUGGUUUGAUUCUAUCUCUUUUCCUUCCGUUUGAAGGAAGGAAGGAUCCCAAAAAAUCGAUCUUUCUUUUAGUUGUUGAAUCUCUCUUUGAUUGAUCAAUAUGAUUUAUACAAUUUAAAGAUUAAGUGGAGAAAAUUUAUUAUAAUUAUGCAAAUUAAAUAAGAGAAUAUUAGUAAAUAAGCAAUAAAUAGGACUAUAUAAUUGGGACAAGAAAAUAAGAAAAUCUAGCCUAUAUAAAUGUAAAGAAUGGAGUAUUUUAAUAUGAUUGUGUAUUCAAUUAGAUUCCAACUUUAACUAAAAUAACACAAUUUUAUUUAGAUUGAUAAUUUCAAAUUAAAUUAUGAGGGUGUUUGAGAGUCAUUUUUAUGUAAAAAUACAUUUUAGAAUAGUAACUUGAUGAGAAGUAUGUGGUUAAGAAAUAAGAAUUUUUUUUGAUUUAUGUGUAAUAUUAUUUUAAUAAAGAAUGUGUGGUUGAAAAAAAGAGAGAGAAAAAUGCAAUUUGGAAAAAAUGGGUAUCAAACGGGGCCUAUAUAACUAAUUAAAUAUCUAACUUCAAUCCAAACUCUGAAGAAUUUACAAAAACUCAAUUAAUUAAAAUCACUAGUACCCCAAAUCUUCUAUAUUGUUCCACUUAUAUAUCAAUUCAAGAAAUAAAAAUACUUGUUUAGACUUGAAGAUAAUGCUCCUAUUUUGCUUAAUAAUCUCUUUCGAGCAAUAUUAAAAUUACAAUAUUAUAAUGGAAAGCAUAAUGAUAUAUAUAUCUAUCUACUAUUGAACUUUACAAUGAUUGUUACUGCGUGCUAAAAUUUGUUCAUUUAUAUAUAUAUAUAUAUAUAUAUAUAUAUAUAUAUAUAUAUACAUUUGUUUGAAUAAUGAUUUGUUUUUUGACAUUUCGAACAGUUUUAGAUUUUAAUUGUUUGAAGAUUUUCUCUUUGAAUAAUUUUUGCAAUAAUUCUUUUGAAAUUCUCUUUUUGAAAAUGAUUUUUUCUUUCGAAAAUUUUUCUUUUUCAAUUUUGAAGAAGGGGGAAGAAUUUUUUUCAAAACCAUUUUGUUCACAGAAUGAUCCUAAUUCUUUACGAUUUUCAGACCAAUCUGAUUUCAAUUUUGCUUUGAGUUUCAUAUCAUUGCAUAAAUCUAAACCUGUUUUAUUGAUAACAUCGAUAAUUUCACCAUAAGUAAGAUCUUGAAGAUUUCUUUCUUCAUAAAGAAUUGAAUUUCUAACUUUUUCAGCAAAUAGCUUUAGAAGUCCAGAAUUAAAUUUUUCUUUCCAAUAGAAUUAUUGACAGUCUUCUCGUAACAUAAUACAAGAUAAAAACAUGUCUUUAUACCAUCGAAAUCUUAAAGUUUUGGACAUCUUAAAUUCAUUAAGAUCUCAUUUUGAAUUGUAAUAUAUUUGUAGGGGUUUCAAGGAAAUGUUUGAUAAUAGUACAAGCUAAAACAUUGUAACUAUCAUUAAUUUCUUGACCAUUUAUUCUUUGAAAAUGUUUCCAUUAUCAUCUGUUUUGACAGCAUUGAGUAUUGAAUCUCUUUCAUCUUGAGAUAGAUAAUUGAUCAGGUUGUCCAGUAAAACCAAUAAUGAUAUUAUGGACAACAUUAUUUGCACUAAUACUUUUGCCUAUGUAUGUUUUAUAACACAAUCAUGGCUUCAAUAAGAUUGAUUAUUUGAUAUUUGGUUAAACCAUCGAGAUUCCACUCGUCACUGGUAAAACCAUCAUAAAUCUUUUAAGUUUUUGGUUUUUCUUCAAAAAGAAAAUCGGGAUGAGUAGAUUUUAUAUUGAUAUUAUUUUGAACAGAUAACUUUUUUAAUUAAAUAGAAAGUUCUUUGAGAACUUGAGCUUCUGUUUUCAAUUUUGAAGUUUCUGCCUUUUGAAAUUGAGAUACUAAAUUAUUUGGAUGAAAAAUAGUAGCUUUUGAAUUUGAAAUUUUUUUUUAUCAUCACUAUCUUUUAAUUCUUUCUUAGAAUUAUUAGAAGUGACUUCUGAUUCAGAAUUUGUUUCAAUUCUGUUGAGUUUAGAACACAAAGAUUGAAGAGCAAUGUUUGUAUAAUUAUUUUGAGCUUGGAUAUUUUUAAUAUCUUUUGCAACAACCUGAGAUUCAUCAAAUUGUUCUUUAGAUAUUCUUUUGAGAGGGGAAGCAAGAAUUUUAGUAUUACCAUGUAAAACAGUAAUUUCUUGCAAAGAAGGAUGAGAAGAUUGAAUAGUAUCUCCACUUGGAGUUUUCCAAGUCUUUUUUGCAGUAGAUGUUGCAUGAAUUUUUUAUUUAAUUGGGUUUUGACCAAAAACUUUGAAAUAAGCCCCUAUAACAACCAUUAAAAUCAAAUGAGUAUUUAACAUCAAAGUCAUGAAAUUAAUAUAAAACUUCAAAAUAUAUGGUCCAUCUUCAUAUUAGUGUUUAGACAUUUAGUCGCGCAUCAUGAAAUUACACAGAUAUGUUUUGGAAUAAUAAAAAAUAUUACUCGAAUUUCAAUUGUAAAGAUAAAUUGAAAAAUAACUCUUUACUCUGGAAGCUAUUCAACAAUAUUAAGCCCUUGUUUGAGUCACAUUAUUUUAGAAAAAAAAAUGUAUUUUUGAAUAGUGUAUUGAUGGAAAAUGUGUGUUUAAAAAAUAAGGAAAAGUUUUGAAUUUGUGUGUAAUAUUAUUUUACUAAAAAAUGUGUGCUUGAAAUGAUAUCAAAUCUAUGUUUAAGAAUGUAAUUUUUCCUAAUAAAGUGAAUCAAAUGGGGCCUAAAAUAAUCCUCUUGUAUUCUCUAUUAUUUGAUGCCUAGUCUUGUAAGUAAAGAAUAUCUAGCGAUUUUUACAUAUGAGGCGAGUAACUCUAGUACUCAUCCACCAUUCUUUAUUAUUAUCUACUAAGUGGCAUUCAAAAACUACCACAGAAAGAUUGAUUUCUUGCACUUUAUCAGAAUGAUUGUAUUAUUCCGUCAUAUCGGUUUGAGAACUUUCUUCCUAGAAAUUCUUUGGCUUUUGACAAUCCUUAGACCAAUGCGUGCCUUGAAGAUGAUUACGCCCAAAGAAUAACGUGAUAGUUUUAGCACAGCUUGGGGUGUCAAUUUCACAGGGAGAUGGGCGAAUUGUUUAAAGGAUUUAUCGAACUAUAAUUUCGUGAAUUAUGUGAAAAUAAUUUGUCAAUUGGAAUGAAAUUUAAUUAUCAAUAUGCGAGAUUAGUGAAGCGUCUGAAUUCCUUUAAUUGGAUUGGAUCAUCAACAUCAAUAAUUCAUAGCUUUUUGCUCAAUUAGAGGUUUUCAUUCCAACUCUCUAAUCGGAAGGUUUAACAAUGAAGAUCAAUCAAAUUUCAAUUGUAAUCCUAGGAUCUAGACUUUUGUAAACCAUUUACACACAUGUUUAUUGGACUAAAAUUAAGAAUCGACCAUAUACAAAAUGCAUAAGAUAGUAAAUGAUCCACCAAUAUAGUUGGUUGUAAUUGAAAUUCAACAAUUAGUUCAAUUCCAUAAUAGAAAAAAUAUGAUUGAAUCUAUAAAGUUUUUAGUAAAAGUUAAAUCAAUUCCAAAGUAAAUUCAUAAAAGAAAGUUUAGAUCUAGAAGUGUUUGACAAUAAAAAUACCAAUUUACGUGAAUAAUUGAUGUGAAGUCGCCAAAUCCAAUGAGUUCCUUCGCAGCUUCACAUAGGAAUUUAGUUCUCCGCCAAAUUCUUUAAUCCAAUAUGAGAGAAAAUUGUUAUGGAGGUCAAGAAAGUCAUGUUCUAUCCAGUCUAAAGCUUAAAACCAUGUGCCAAGUUGUUUUUAAAAGAGGUUGAGCCAAAUAAGGAAACUAAAUUUUCGACCAAAAUGUUCUGUGCGACUACUUUCAGUAUUAUGGCCAUAACUUUCUCUUGAUGUCCAAUUAAGGCAAUUCAAAGUGCAUUGGAAAAAUAACACAUAGGGAUAUAAUGUUUUUGAAAUAGCUCUUUCAAAUUCAAAUGUUUACUAAGUUAAAAGUUGAUCUCAAUUUCUGGCUUAAAAUUUGGAAAGCCUUUAUGCAGUUUGAAUAUGAUUUGUGAAUAUGUUAUGAUCAUAUUUAACUUCUUUUGACUUCUAAUUAUACCCAGUGGACUCCUGACUUUCUCAAAUCAUCAUUCCAUUGCUUGUCUCAUCUUUAGAUUAUUUGCAACUUGGUCCCUGAACUUUUAGUUUCUUCCAUUUUGGUCCUUUUUGCCCUUUUCUUCUAAAUUUCAUCUUUUCUACCAUUUUGGUCCUUUUAGGUUAUUUGUAACCUGAAUCAAAGUAUAAGUAUAAUGAGUGCAUUUUAGUAUCAAAUAAUCACUCAAAUGCAACAAUCAAGAGGGAAAAAUUAUUAUAUUUUGCACUCUUAUUGCACCCCAACUUACUUAUUGCUAGUCUCUAGCAAUUUAAUGCAAAACAAGCAAAUGAAUGACUGGUUCAUGAUAUAAAUGAAAUUAUUAAGUACCAAUUUAUCCACAUGCUAUGUCCCUUUCAAACUCAAAGCCACAAGAAAUUAACAAUGUUAUGAUCAUCAAGAUAUCGAAAACACAUGCCAAAUGUGUGUGUGUAUGUCAAGCCAUAACCAUCUUACUACCAACCCUAACGCAUGCAACAUCAAGUAUGUCUUAAGCUAAAGGUUCAGUCCUGUAACUCAUAGGUAUCAAAGUGUUUAUUGUAGGGUUUCUCUCUAUGGAACUAAGAAAGAUAUACUAUCAAAAAAUGGAGGCUUAAAUAUUUAUAAAUAAGCAACAAAUAAACAUUGAUCACAUGAUAGACAUACUAUCAACUGAGAAUUCAUCAACUUCUUACCACAACCUUACUUAGGAUCAAAACAGCCAAUGCAAAAGUUUGUAAUGAGAAUCAAGUUGGGCUAUGUGUAUAGAAUGGCAAAAGGAAUUCAAGGACUUCCAAGUACGUAGUUAGGCACUUCAUCAAGUAUUUCAAUAGAUCAAAUCCUUUACAUCAAUGCAUUCCUCAAUGUUUCAAUUUCCAACAUCAAUCUACAUUCUUUUUUCUUCUUCUUUCUUUUUAAGAUUUAUCAUUUCACUUGAGCACUUAUCAACUCUUAUCACUUUUCUUCAUUGUUUUUCUUCUCAAAUGAUAUCCAAUGCCUACUAUACACUUGAAGCAUAAAGGUUUAAAAAAUGAAUGUUUAUAAACUUUAUUCCAAUGUGAAGAGGUAUGGAUAACAUAGGUGCAUGAAGAGAAACGAUUAUAUAUGUGUAUUGGCUCAAAGUGGCUAUUAGGGGAUUAUAAUUAUGAAAAAACUAAUGUGAAGGCUCAAAUUCAAUCCUAAAUUGACUGUUAUCAUUUCCUAAGUAUAAUCCAUCGUCUUAUCACAAACCAUGUAAUGUUAUUCUCAGAAGAAGUUUCCGAUUCACAAAAUCAAUAAAUACUUAUUACCAGUUUUAGUAUAUAUGGCUCUCAAUCCUCACCAAUUCUCUCACAAGAAACUUUAGCAAGAGAUUCCUCUAAGUACAUGUGUUAAACCACUAUCUUAUCACAAGGCUUGCGUGCACAAAAUGAUUUGACAAUUGUCUCAACAUCUAAACUUUCACAAACAACAUUAACUCCCAGUGGCAUGUCUUGUCAUUCAAAAGCAUGAACAUGUAGCAAAUUAUGGACUUAAAAAAAUUUAGACCAAUCAACAAAAUCAAGGCCAAAAUUCCAUGAAAUAAUGCAAUUCACAACAAAAUUCACGUGAAACUCUCCCUCAAGCUAAAUAUUGCAUUGUCCUCAAUGCAAAAACAUUUCUACUAAAUAAAGGUAAGGAAAGAUGUCACUUGAAUACCGAAGUGAAUCAACAUAAGCUGAAGUAAGAGAAGCCUGAAAAUUCUAAAUGGAAAAGGUGAUGUAAAAAAUGAAAAUAAACCUAAAAAAAAAAGAAGCAAAAAUAAGAGAAGAAAGAGAAGCGAACGAACUCCCCUUGGGUUGCCUCCCAAGCAAGGCCUUUGUUUAUUGUCAUUGGCUCGACCCAAUAUUACUUUCUUUAGCCCGCAUCUAGCAAGGGCAUUGUCAAUCUUCCUUGCAUUGCACCAAGCUCAUUGGAGAUAAGCACCGGUGAUGCUCCAUAAUCAUGCAAAUCAUCAAAAGUAGCAUAGAUAUUAGCAUAUUUAUCGUCAUCAUAUCCUAUCAGAAUUUUAGAAUUCGAAAGAAAAGAGUUUAAAGGGUCGGGGUCAAUAAUCGCAGGUGUUUCCUCCUGAACGAGUGCCUCAAACAUGAAUGUUUGAUGACACUCAUCAUUUUCCUCAUGUUACUUCAUGAUGUGAAAUGUUGCCAAAUAAUAGUUUCACUAGACCGUUCUUGCAAUUGAUAAGUGCAUUAGCUAUGGCAAGAAAAGGUCUACCAAGAAUUAUAGGAAUUUUGGAGUUAACAUUCACAUCAACUUUUAGGUUCAAAAUCAAGAAGUCAACAGGGUAGUUAAAUUUGUCAACUUGAACCAACACAUCCUCAACUACUCCCCUAGGCCCAAUAGUGGAUCGAUCAUCCAAUUGUAAACUUACUAAUGUGGGUUUCACUCUCAUAGCCCUAACGACAAGUAAAUAUCAUACGACAUGAUGUUGACACUAGCCCCUAGAUUAAGAGGGGCUUGUGAAAUCACAUGGUUCCCGAUGAUGCAAGAGACAGUAUGACAACUAGGAUCCUUAUACUUUGGUCGGAUCUUUUGCCCAAUCACAGCACUCACAUGUUUAGUCAAGAAAGCAGUUUUUUGACAUGAUUUUUCCUCUUCACAAUGUACAAGUCUUUUAGGACUUUAGCAUAUGUAAGAACCUGGGAGAUCACAUGUAGGAGAGGCAGAUUGAUUUUUGCUUGUUUUAGAUGCUCUAGAAUUUCACUAUGUUGGUUGGUAGAUUUUGAUGCAAACUUGAAAGCUUGAGGAAAAGGCACUAUAGAUGGAUUUUUCACUACCCCCUCACUAGGGGUACUCUCUUCUAAACUGCUAGGGUCAUUUUCAUCUUUUGUAGGUUUGGGGGUUGGUUUAAUAACCUUAUCGGAUCGAGUGGUUAUGGCAUUUACUUUUCAAAGUUUUGGUUAGUCUUACUUUGUGCCUCUACAAAUGCAUGUAAAGUGUCUUCUAAAGAGUUCCUAGAGGACGUGGGUUGAUAUGGAGGUGCAUUAUGAGCUUUAUUUGGCUGGCCUUCAGAUUUUCAGCUGAGAUUUCCGCCACCCCAGAUUGUAUGUCUCAAAGUAAGGGGUGUAGGGCUUUUGAUAUACGUCUAAAGCAUUACAAUAUUCAUCAUAAAGUCUUCUCAUCUCAGCAUAAGUGGCACACUCCUGUGCUAGGUGAUCACUCUCCCCACACACAAAACAAGGCUCUAAAAACUCAACAUGGAAAAUAGGUCGAGUUGUUUUUGAAUCUUUGGCAUGUAGGGCUUCAAGCUCUCUAGUGAAGGCUUCUACAUUUUCUCUAAGGUUAUCUUCCUCCUUAAAAUGAUAAAUACAUGUGCUAUUCGAGUUUCCAGUGGGUCGUGACCUAUUAGUAUUCUUAGUAGCACUAAGCCUAGUCCAGGUAUGGUCUUUCUCAGAUAAGUCAUCUAAGUAGUCAAUAGUUUCAUCCGGAUCUUUUUGCAAAAAUUUACCGUUACACAUCAUUUCAACAAAUUGACAUUCCUUAGAUAAUAGUCCCUCAUAAAAAUAACUCACAAUGCACUAACUUUCAUAACCAUGGUGGGGGCAGAGAGCUUGCAAUUCUUUGUACCUUUUCCACGCUUGAUAUAAAGUUUUACUCUCCUUUUGAAUAAAAGAAGAGAUUUUCUUUUUCAAUGCAGUUGUUUUGUGGUGGGAAAAUUACUUUCCAAAGAAUGCUUGAAUCAUUUCAGCCCAAGUCUCAAUCGAACGUGGUCGCAAUAGCCAGCUCUUUGCUCUUUCUUUAAGAGAAAACGAGAAAAAUAUAAGCAUGACUGCAUCCAUUGUGUCAUGUUGAUUGUUGAAAGUUACAACCACCUCUUCAAAUUCCCUAAUAUACACGCAUGAGUUUUCAUUUUCAAAAUCGUGAAAAGUGGGAAGAAGUUGGAUCAUUCCCGGCUUAAAUUCCAUACGUGGCAUAUUAGGUGGAAAUAUAAUGCAUGAUGGUGUAGAUGUGUGUGUGGGUGAAGAUAAUCAUACAAGGUCCUAGUUGGUGCCUCUUCAUAUUCACCAUUAGUCAUUGUGUUGUGUGAUGUAAUGUGUGUGCCAAUAGAUUUAAUAUCAAAGAGAGGGUUAGGAAGAAAUUCAAACACUGGAUGUGGCCUUGCAAUGAAUUGUCCUUGCUCGUCCCGAUCUCUAUUCAUAAAGCACCAAAAAAUAUGAAAUUUUGUGAGAAAUAACAGAAUAAAAACUAAUAAAAUUAAACUAACUAAAAAAUGUAAAAGAGGAACAAAGUCACACUUUUGCUCAAAAAUCCUUCAAUUAUUUGUACCGUCUCCCCGGUAACGACGCCAAAAAUUUGAUUACGCCCAAAGAAUAACGCGGUAGUUGUAGCAUAGUUUUGGGGUGUUAAUUCCAUAGGAAGAUGGACGAGUUGUUUAAAGGAUUUAUCGAACUAGGAUUUUAUGAAUUGUGUGAAAAUAAUUUGUCAAUUGGAAUGAGAUUUAAUUAUCAAUAUGCGAGAUUACUGAAGCGUUCGAAUUCCUUCAAUUGGAUUGAAUUAUCAACAUCAAUAAUUCAUGUCUUUUUGCUCAAUUAGAAGUUUUCAUCUCAACUCUUUAAUUGGAAGAUUUAACAAAGAAGAUCAAUCAAAUUUCAAUUGUAAUUCUAGGAUCUAGACUUUUGUAAACCAUUCCCACACAUGUUUAUUAGAUUAAGAUUAAGAAUCGACCAUAUACACAACGCAUAGGACAGUAAAUAAUCCACCAAUAAAGUUGAUUUAAAUUGAAAUUCAACAAUUAGUUUAGUUCCACAAUAGAAAAAAUAUGAUUGAAUAUAUGAAAUAUCUAGUAAAAGUUAAAUCAAUUCCAAAGUAAAUUCAUAAAAGAAAGUUUAGAUCUAGAAGUGUUUGACAAUAAAAAUACCAAUUUGCAGGAAUAAAUGAUGCAAAGUCGCCAAAUCCAAUGAGUUCCUUCGUGGCUUUACCUAGGAAUUUAGUUAUCCGUCAAAUUCUUUAACACAAGAUGAGAGAAAAUUGUUAUGGAGGUCAAGAGAGGCGUGUUCUGUCCAAUCAAGGGCUUAAAACCGUGUGCCAAGUUAUUUCCAAAAGAGGUUAAACCAAAUAAGGAAACUAAGGCCGUGGUUGGUUUGCCAUUUUCGACCCAUUUUUCAUUUUCCGUUUUCGAAAACGCAAAAAAUGAGUUUGGUUCGUCGUUUUUGAAAACGCAUUUUCGAAAACGAGUUAAAAUUUAUAACUGAAAACGCAAAACGACUUUUUAUUGUUUUCAGUUAUAAAUGUCGAAAACGCUCAAAACGCGGAAAACAAGCCGUUUUCGGGGAAAACUAAAAAUCUUUUUGAAAAUGAAAACACAAACCAACCACUACCUAAAUUUUCGGCCAGAAUAUUUUGUGCGACUGCUUUUAGUAUUUCGGCCUUAAUUUUUUCUCCCGAUGUCCGAUUAAGACAAUUCAAAGUGAGUUAAAAAUUUAACACAAAGGGAUACAAUUUUCCUAGUAGCUCUUUCCAAAUUCGAGGCUUUACUAGGUCAAAACUUUAUCUCAAUCUCCAGAUGAAAAUUUGGAAAAUCUUUAUGCGGUUGAAAUUUGAUUUGUGAAUAUGUUAUGGUCAUAUUUAACUUCUUUUGACUUCUAAUUAUACCCAAUGGACUCUUAGCUUUCUCGAAUAAUCAUUCCAUUGCCCGUCUCAUCUUUAGAUUAUUUGCAACUUGGUCCCUGAACUUUCAGUUUUUUCCAUUUUGGUCAUUUUUUGCUCUUUUCUUCUAAAUUUCACAUUUUCUACCAAAAUAUAAUCUGAAACAAAGUAUAAGUAUAAUGAGUACGUUUUGGUAUCAAAUAAUCACAAAAUGCAACAAUUAAGAGGGAAAAAUUAUGAUAUUUUGCACUCUUAUUAGAAGCCUCACUUUGACCUUCACAAUUGUGAUUCCUCUUAUUGCUACCCGUGGAACCUCCUUCCACUAUAUUAGCAUUAAAUUCCAUAGACUAAAAUGCUUCACUCUUCCUUCCAAGAUUGGUCUUCUUCUAAUCUCAUCUAGACAAUAACUUCUUCAAGCUUCAUUUCCUUGCAUUUAUAUUUUAAGUAGUUCUUGAAGUACUUCCAAGAUGAUGGCUAUUUUUCAAUGAGCAUAGCAACUUAAAAUGAGUAAUUGAUACCUUCGAUACGAAUAUCACGAAGAAUCACUUGCAGUUAUUGAACAUGGGAUGUAACUCUCUUGAUUUUAACCAUUUUCUAGUCCAAGAAUCGAUCGAUAAUAAAUUUCUUUGUGUAGGCAUCUUCGAUCUUAUGUUUGGAGUCCAAAUAUUAUUUCCAUAGUUUCAUUGUAGAUUUUUUAGAGUACCUGGUAUAUUUUAUUAUCCAAUGCGUUGAGAAUAGAAUUCCAACAUAAGAAUCAACAUGUUUCCAUGCAUCCAAUUUCUCCCUAUUACAAUAAGAACACAAAAGGUAUUCCAAAAAUAAAGAAAUAUCAACUAAUUGAACAUGACAACUAGGAUCAAUUUUAUGGGCUCGGAAUAGCAUUAUACCCUUUUGUACAAUAUGGAAAAUCCCCUAGUCCCAAAAAUGGACAAACAGAGACAGCUACUUCUAUGGACCCAAAUCUACCCAAUAAAUCUGUUAUAUCUUCUCAAACUCAAGACGAAGAAUUAAACAGAACCCACACACAAAAAUCUAACCAAAAAACCAAAAGUUUUAGGGUUAUACAAUGGUUCAUGAAGAAGGUGAAUGAGAACCAACACUAAGUCAAGAGAGAAAACCUAGAAGCUUCUCAAAAACUAGAUGAAAAGUUAAGUAGGGUAACCACUUAGAUCAUAUUUAUAUAAACGAGUCAUCACCAUUGAUUUCUAGUAGGUGAUUAAACGAUCCAAAGCAGCACACAUGUCUUCAUUAUUUGGGACCCGGUGUAGGCCCAUUUCAUAUUGCAUUAUUGGGCAAUGGUAGGUAGUAUUUGUUGGGUUACACGAUUUUAUCAUCGCCCAUACUGGACUUGGCCAAUUUAGUGGCAUCACAGCACAAUAAAUCUCCCCCUUUAUACCAAUGACCAUAAAAAUAGGAAAAAUAUAACAAUAAACUUCUCAAAGCACUUGAUAUAGUUUUCUCCAUGAUCACCAACACCAAGUCAAUAGAACUUGUACCUAGUGGUGUCAACGAUCCGAGCUGAGCCGCGAGUUGAAACUCAAGGCUCAGGCUUAGGCUCAGGCUCAGGCUCAGGCUCAGGCUAGACUCAGCUUGAGUAAAUGAUCCAAGCAUUUUUGCGAGCCCAAGCCGAGCUUUUGCUCGGGCCAGAAAUUUAGGCUCGACCUUAGCUUUUGGCUCGAGCCAUACUGAGCCGAGCCGGGCAGCUCAAUUUUUUCUUUCCUCUUACAGAAGGCAAUUGCUACAUUUUUUAGGCCAUUGCCUCAGUUGUCUAAAAAAGACCGCAGGCUGCCUUUGAUCUAGGUUUUUUUUAGUAGGCCAGAGCUUGAGCCGACGAGCCAGAGGGGUCGACGAGCCAGAUUGUCGGGUCGAGUCAACGAGCCUGAUUGCCAUUCCUACCUAUACCAUCACAAAGAUUGUCUAGUAUUAGUUAUUAACAUUUAUAAGCAUGAUUUAAGCUAAUUUAGAGGAAGUACAUUGGUCUCCACGUCAACUGGAUUAAAUUGAGUUGAGAUUUUCUCAAGUAAUAUAGAUUUUUUUUAGAUUAUGUCCUUAAUAAAGUGUAUCAUAACAUCCAUAUGCUUAGUUCUUAAUGAAGAAUAGGGAUUUUUACAUAAAUAGAUGGCACUUUAAGUGUCAGCAUAAUCUACAACGGGAUUAACCAACGUUUUAAAAAUUGGACCAGACUGGUCGGUUUAAUCGAGAAACCCGUGAACCGGAGUUUAAUCUGGUGCCGUACUCAUACAUUAAUCGUAUAUUAAAAAAUCGGCUAAUAAACCAUCAACCUGGCCGGUUCAAUCAUUAACUGGUUCCGGGUGAUUUAAUUAUUAAUUUAUUUAUUAUUAUUAUUUUUUACAAAAUUUUUUUAACUAUCUUAAUGGGCCACCAAUUGCAACUGAAGGCCCAAAUGACUUUUUUAUACAAGUUAUUCUCCUUUACCUCCUUUUCAAAGGAGAUAAUUCUUUCAAUGUUUUAGUAAUCUUCCAAUGUGGGAUACUAGCUCCUUUUUAAAGGAGACCCUUUUUUCAAUGUUGUGGUUUUCUUCCAAAGUAGGAUAAUAUUUACUUGUUAAUUCUAACUUUUCCAAGUGCUUACUAAUUUACUUCAUUAUUUUCAUUAACAAAUCAUAAGCCCCAACAAGAUUAUAAUUUUUAAUUUGAACAAAGAAAAUUAUUUUUGACUUAUUAAUUGUUAGUUUUUGAGAUUAUAAAAUAAAUUACUAUAAUAAACCUAAUUAACAAACAUUGAUUAUAUUUACUUUGAAUGAGAACACUAAAAUUUAAAAAUUUAUUAUAGUUAUGAUAUUUUAUAGUUUAAUUGUGUAUUUACUUAUUUAAUUUUUCAUCCGUUUCAAUACCGGUUCGACCCUUUAAACCUCUACCCUCUUUUUUUCAGGGUCAAUGCACAGGUCGAUUUUUAAAACAUUGGGAUUAACGAGCUCAUUUACUUCACUUAACAAACCUUUAAGCCAUAAGGCCUCUUUAAUGGCUUUAGUAGCAGCCACAUAUUUAGUUGUAGAAAAGGCUACAAUGGACUGCAAUUGAGGUUUUCAACUUAUACAAGUCUUACACAAAAUAAACAUAUAAGAUGUAGUUGAUUUGCUGUUGUCACUAUCCCUAGCAUAAUCUGAAUCUACUCCACUAAGUUAACUCCCUCUUUAAUAGGUUUAAAACACAAACCUAAAUUAGCUAGUCCUUUCAAAUAUCUUUGUAACCAUUUCAUAGCAGUCCAAUGUUCAAGACUAGGAUUAGCCAUAAAUCUACUCAAAAUAUUGUAGCAUGAGCAAUAUCAGGUCUAGUGCAUACCAUGGUAUACAUAACAAAUCCAACAACGUUAGCUUAUGGGACUUUUUAUGUAUUUGAUGUCAUAUUCAUUAUGAGGGCAUCGAUCUUUACUAAGUUUAAAAUGACAUGCAAGAUGUAAUGUAAUAGACUUAGAAUCAUGCAUAGAAAACUUAGAUAACACUUUUUUCGCAUAGUCAGAUUGUGUUAAAAUAAGUAACUGUUGAGAUCUAUCUCUUUUAAUGUCCAUUCCCAAAAUUCUUCUAGCAUGCCAUAAGUCUUUCAUUUCAAAUUCAACACUUAGUAGCUUUUUAAUGUCAUUUAUAUUACUGAUCUUUUGGCCUAUUAAUAUCAUAUCAUCAACAUACAAAAGCAAAUACAUAAUCACACAAUUAUUAUUACCCUUUUUUUUUAUAAAGGCAAUGAUAAAAAAAGCUUCUCAUGAAACCAACAGAUGAUACAAAGUUAUCAAACCUCUUGUACCAUUGCCUUGAGGAUUGUUUUAGGCCAUAUAAUGAUCUUUUUAAAAGACACAUAAUUAGGUCUUUUGAUAUCAAUAAACCCUUGUGGUUGACUCAUAUAUAUAGUCUCAUUAAGAUCACCAUGCAAAAAAAAAAAAAAAAGCAAUUUAACAUCCAUUUGUUCAAGUUCAAAAUCAUAUUGUGCAACUAAAACAAGCAUAACUCUUAUAGUAGUGUAUUUUACAACCGAAGAAAAAAUCUCAUUGUAAUAUAUGCCAGGUUUUUGGGCAAAUUCUUUAGCCACUAAUCUAGCUUUGAAUCUAAAAGGCUAUUUUGGAGAAUUUUCUUACUAAAGACUUAUUUUUUUCAAGUUUAGGUACAAGGUUCCAAGUAUUAUUUUUUACUAUUGACUUCAUUUCCUCUUCCAUAGCAAGUUGCCACCCUUUAGAGAGUUGGCAAAUGAGAGCCUCCUCAUAAGAUUUUGGCUCUUUAAAUGCCAAAUCUUGAUAUAACAGGAUAGAAAGGGAUAAGUAAUCAUUCAUUCUUACAAGUUCUCUUAUCACUCUCCUAGUCCUAUCCCUGGCUAAUAGAUAAUCAUCUAAAGGGCUCCUCAAUUCACUACUAGAUCCUUGAAUACUGCCUUCAUUAUGUUCAUGAGAACCUAACACAUCAUCACUCUCAGUUUUACCCUAGUCCUUAUUGUAGAGUUUGGGAGAAGACUCUUGCUCUAUAUACAAUUUAAUCCUUUCUUCAUUUUUACUUUCGUAGACUUCACUCGAGAUCCUCUCACUGAGGCAAGGUAUCUCAGUUUCGUUAAAGGUCACAGUUCUACUAAUUAUCAUCUUAAAACCCUUAUUGUCUUUCACCUAAAGCCUAUACCCUUCACUUCUUCUGGUUAUCCCAUGAAAUCACAUUUCUGAGAUCUAGGCUCCAGUUUUCCCACACUUCGGUGGGAAUAGGAAGCAUAGCCAAAUGUUUUUAAGGGGGUAUAAUCUGUCAAUUUACCUGUCCACACCUCAUCAGGUGUUUUUCCAUCUAGAGAACUAGUUAGUGUUCUAUUCAUGAUAUAUGCCGUUGUCAUAACAACCUCACUCCCACAACUUUAGGGACACCUGAGUUAAAUAUCAUGCAUCUAACCUUGUCUAAAAUUGUCAUAUUUAUUCUCUAAGCUACACUAUUUUACUGUGGGGUAUAUGGAAUAGUUUUAUGCUUUAAAAUCCCAUCAUCUUUACACAGUUUGUCAAAAUCAUCAUUAGAAUAUUCUAGACCAUUGUCUAUUUCUAGAAUUUUAAUCUUUUUACCCAUUUGAUUUUCAAUUAAAGUUUUCCAAGUUCUAAACUCUACAAAAAUUUCUAAUUUUUUGUUUCAAAAGAAAUACCCAUACUUUUCUUGAUCAAUUAAGGAUAAAAAAAUAUUUAUUUCCACCAUGGGAGGUGGUGGAUGGUGGGCCCCAUAAAUCAGAAUAUAUGUACUCAAGGAUAGAUGUAGUAUUGUGCUUUCUAGUGUUAAAAUUAAGCCUAUACUAUUCUCCUAAAGUGUAAUACUCAUAAAGGGGAACUUUAGAAAUAGUAUCUCUGCCAAAAGCUCCAUUUUUACUUAAAAUAUGCAGGCCUUUUUCAAUAACAUAGGCCAGUUUAUUAUGCCAUCUCAAGGUUACAUCACUCCCAGUCAUAGAGGAUUCUGCAGUGUGACUUAAAAUACUGGCUCUAGUGACAUAGAUACCAUUCCUUUUAGUACCCUUGAAAAUAACUAAGGAACUCUUAAUUAUUUUCGAGUGGCCAUCUCCAAAUCUGCCUUACAUGCCUAUGUCAUCUAAAUUGCCCACUGAUAUUAAACUUCUAUUCAAAUCAAGAACAUACCUCACCCAUUCCAAGGUAAAGGUGUACCCAAUUUCAAAUUUUAAAGUCACACUUCCUAUGCCCUUAACUUUGCAGGUAGGAUUAUUGCCCGUAACUACCUCACCUCCAUUAAUAUCCUUAAAAUCUACGGACCAAGGUCUUCUAGAGGUCAUAUGAAAAGUGCAACCAGAAUCUAAAAUCCAUUCAACAUUUUGAUCACUGUUAUUUGCAAUGUUUGCAGUAUUCAGAUCAGAGGUUGGUUCUAUCACAACAUGGACAUCUACUAUGGCUUAACAACAUUUUCGUCAUCCAUUUUAAUCUCUCUCUGUUCACUAUUUUCCUUAAAACGGUCCUUAAUAUAGUAUCCUACCCUACCACACCCAUAACAUUUCCUAUUUCCAUUUCUUGACUUUGACCUAUGUCUCCAUUUCCCUUUCUUCUUAAAGGAAUUAAUCCCCUAAUUGCUUUGAUUACUCUAAUUAUUAUCCUGCCUAGUAAGUGAUUUACCUCUCACAAAUAAAUUUUCAAAUUCCUCCCCAUAGCUCUCAACUUUAAUCUCUAAUUCCUUACUUCUUAAAGAAUUUAUAAUCACAUCUGGUGUCAAGGUAUCUCUACUAUACUUGAUGGCAAUUUUAACAUCUUUAUAUACCUCAAGUAUUGCAUUAAGAAGGAAUACGGCCCUGUAUUCUUCAGAUACCUUGUCACCAGCAUUAGUAAUAUCUUGUACUAAUUUAUUGAAUGCAUCAAGAUUAUCAUUUAAGUCUUUAGGCAAAUCAAUCUUAAAAUUGAAGAACCUCUUUAAAGGAAACAACUUAUUAGUAAGUGACUUAACUGGAUAUAGUUCUUCUAACUUUUCUUACUAAGCCUAGCAUUAUCAAGUUUCCCUACUUUCCUUCAAACUUGAUUAGACAAAUGAAGGAUAAUGGAGGAUUAGGCAAGUUAUUAGAUUCAGUUUUUAUUCAGUAGUCAUAGUUUUAGGAAACUAACCAGUUAUUAACUUUGAUACUUUUUGUUGAAUAAGAAAUCCUCUCAUUUUUUUAUUGCCAAAUGGGGAAAUCUCUUUUUCCAUUAAAAACUCCAAAUUCAAAUGUUGUAGUUGUCAUUUGAAGACUUUUAAUCAACAUAAAAAAUUCGUUUAAGAGUUAGUGUCCAACAGAAGAUUUAGAUACUCACAAUAUAGUGUUUGACAACUCACACAGGGUCAUACAAUAUGGAAUAUCAACAACAUCAAGAACAUAAAAAAAACACAAUAAAUAACACCAAAUUACUUGUGUUUGAAUUCACCAAGAUUCCUUUAAGGUCAAAACCCCAAGUCAAGGCUCAAUUCGAAACACAAUGUGUAGGGAAUAUGGGGAAAGCACAAAGGAAAGUACAAUUGAGCAAAGGACAAUUACAAUAUACAAUUCAAAAAUUCUUAGAUCGAUAAGACUUCACACACUUAUACACAGAGACAAUUAAACGAAAAAAUUAGAGGUUAGGGUUUAAAAAAAAGAGAAUAUACUAAACCCUAGAGUUGAUUGGAAAAAAAAAACCUCAUUCACCAGUCUCAAAUAGCCCCUACAAAAUACCCAAGAGGUUAUAGUAUAGUUAAUAGAAAAUCCAAAUUUGACAAGUAACAACACGAUUCAAGCAAUAAUUGUAAGAGAACAAAUAUUUUCUAAAGAAUCGACACCGAAAACCUAAAAAUAGCACCAAUAGAUCUAGGGUGUCACAACUUGUCAGAUCUUGAAUGAUCUAGUUGUGAAAAUCGAUUUUCCACAAACAGAAACAAAUGAAAACUCAAACAGCCAAGAAAGGCUCUGAUGCCACUAUUACAACAAGAACUCAAAAGAUAUUCCAAAAAUAACAAAAUAUCAAUUGAUCGAACAUGACACUCACGAUCAAUUUUAUAGGCUCAAAAUAGCAUUGUACCAGUCUGUACAAUAUGAAAGAUCCACAAACCCUAAGCUAAAAAAUGGACAAAUAGAGACAGCUGUUCCUAUGGACCUAGAUCUAUCCAAUAAAUUUGUUACACAUUCUCAAACUCAAGACGAAGAAUCACACAGACUCUACAUGCACAAAUCUAACCAAAAAACCAAAAGUUUUAGGGUUACAACAAAGGCUCAUGAAGAAGGUAAAAGAGAACUAACACUAAGUCGAGAGAGAAAAUCCAGAAGCUUCUGAAAAACUAGAUGAAAAGUUAAGUAGGUUAACCACUCAUAUCAUAGUUAUAUAAAUGAGUCAUCACCGUUGAUUUUGAGUGAGUGAUCAAACGGUCCAGAGCAGCACACGUGUCUUCCUUAUUUGGGGUCGGGUUUAGGCCUAUUUUACAUUGUGUUAUUGGGCAAUGGCAGAUAGUAUAUGUUGGGUCAAUAGUUUCAUCAUCGCCCAUAUUGAACUGGGCCAAUUUAAUGGCAUAACAGCCCAAUACUCCCUAGCACUAUCAUUGUCAUCAUAUGAAGGAGCAUUCUCUUUGAGAAAUUUCAUCCAAAUUUAAUGUAAUUAGACAAAAAGGUUUUUCUAUGUGAACAAUUAAAAUCUGACCUAUUAAAUUAUACUGGCUUUCCUGUAUUCGGAUUUGGGAGUGGAUUACUCGAUGUUUCUAUUUUUGAUAGAAAAUUAGAAGAUAACGAAUAUGAUAAAGGGUAGAUUUUUAAAGGAGAAAGAAUACAGUUCACCAAAAAAAAUGCAUCUUGAGAUUAUUGUCAAACUUACUGUUAUCUUCUUUUAGGAAUUCGAACUUUUACUUGAAGAACUAAGAAUAGGAAAGAGCCAGAGGUAGGAUGAAGAAAUGGAAACAUAAAUGAUGAUUCGAGCAUACCAACUUCACCAUUUGUCCUCAAGAAAAAUUUGCUCCUUUCUACAGUUGUUUAAAGGAAACUAGCAUAGCAAUCGAUAAAAGUUCCAUUGAACUCAACUUGUGCUUUGUACUCGAAUAACGAAGCAUAUUUUAUAUAGAUAUAAGAAAUUUAAAGCAGAAGAUUCAUUGCAUUGAAUGGUGUACUUUCUUGUUGUACGAAAGUAGUUAACUUUAAGAGUGGAUGUGGUUUGAUUCAAUCGGUUCUGAAGGGAACCGAACCAAAUUGAAUAUCAAUGAAAACCAUUGGUUUCAUAUCCAACCAUAGAAUUUGGUUCUACUUCGGCCCGGUUCUUUGUAUUGAAAAAUUAUAAAAAUAAAGUAUGAAAUUACUGGUCAAUUGAAAAAAGACAAAGAUAAAGUAUGAAACCACUUGUUAUUCUUUUAAUCGAACAACAUAAAAAAAAUCAAUUGAACUAGGCAAUGAACAAAAAUUCUAUCCAAAACUCAAGAUCAACUCAUAAAGGUGAAAAAAUUAUUAAACCAACAAAAGUUCGAGAGAGUCGAAUUCACUACUGGUUCUUAAGGUAGUACUGAGAAUCGGACCAGAAUCGAUUGAUUGUCAAUACAUUGUCCAAAAAUCGACCAUAUAGUAGAGCAAUUGAAACCAAACCAAUCGAUUCGAUUUGGUUCGGUCCAAUUCCCAGAAAAAAUGCCCACCCAUAGUUAACUGAUAGAUUUGUUCAUAGACGUUCUAACUAUCUAAAUGCCUUUUCAAUGAACAGAGGUGAUUUUUCAAACAGAAAUAAAUGUAUAUCCAACCUUGAAAAACUUGCAGAAAAACCAACUUGAAUUUUUAAACAAUUAAAAAUUAUUUCAUCUAUUAUUGAAGAAUUUGUGUCAUUAUAAUUUAGCCCAAAAGAAUUAGAUUAAUUACAAUUUGAACCAAAAAAUUAAAUGAUUUUCCUCCAAAAUGAUAUAUACAAGACCUCAAGCCAGCCCACCAGAAGAGUGACGCGUGUGCUUGUGGUUCAAACCACAUGCAUGUAGGUCUUUAUCCAUUCUACAAAAUUGAGAGCCAGUUAGUAUUAUGGGAAAGAAUAUGAGAUCUGCCAAUUGUAAGAUUGUAUGCAUGUCUUUUUUUUUUUUUGUUGAUUGUAAUUAAUUAGUUUCCUAAAAUAGGCUAGCUAAUGUACUAUAUAGAUAUGUGCUUUCUCCUUUGUAAUACAUAAUUCUUCAAUAUACAAAUUGUUUUCUAAAUUACUCAAUAUUCUUUCAUGGUAUUAGAGCACCGAACCUAGUAACUCUGAAAUCUUGUAGACGCUUUCGCAACUUGAUUCCUUGUCACAACCGCCAUGGGAGACAAAGACAACAGCGGGACAGGAUCGACAUCGACUAGGGUGAUCAUAGAAGGCACAGAUCCUUAUCCUCUACACCAUUCGGACCAUCCAGGCAUGUUACUUGUGUCCAAGGUACUUGAAGAAGACAACUACGUCAUGUAGAGUUGGGCUAAGAGAAUUAGUUAAAGUGCCAAAAACUAGAUUUGAUUCAUCAUAGUUCAAUCAAGCCACCUUCUCCUACAAAUGACAAUUUUCCUUUCUGGUAGUAAUGCAAUGCCAUGGUAAUCUCAUUGCUAUUCAAUUCCAUUCAUCCGAACAUAGCGAUCAAUGUGAUUUAUGCCAAAAUUGCUGUGAAAAUCUGGUCGGACCUACAAGAGUGUUUCUCCCAAGGAAACAAUUCGAGAAUUUUUCAACAAAAUCACUCCCUAACAAAUGUUAUAUGUGGGAAAAAAAACUUAGUUUCAAGUUUGAUCCAAGUUGUGACCUGGAGACUACAAAUUAAUAAACUGUCUCAAGAUCUCACCAAUAGUGGUGAGACACUAUCUGAUGACCAAAAUCAAUAGCAUUAGUGUCAGCCUUACCUGAAAAAUAUAAAGAAUUAAAGAAUUCCCUUGAAUAUGGUAGAACUUCUGUCACUGUUGACAUUAUUAUCUUAUCUUUGAGAAAUAAAGAACUUGAAUUUAUGAGUGAUCUAAAACCCUCCAAUACUGGAGUUGGCUACAAAAUCAAAGGAAGCCAUUCUUUCAAGAAAACUGAUAAUAACUUUCAAAAUAAAAACUAUGGAAAAUCAAAAGAAUUCUCUAGAAAUCCAUAUAAGGGAAAACUUAAAUUCAACAAGAAUAAAAAUGAGGCCAAAUGAAAGAAAUGCUAUUUUUGUGGAAAGAUGGGUCAUUUUAUAAAAGAUUGUGUCAAGAGAAUCGAGGAACUGAAAAAUAUAAAUAAAAUUGAAGGUAGAGCUCCUAUAGCUUAUAAAGAAGCAGUAGCCUCAAAUGGACAGUCUAUGUGACCUGUCACUCUUCAACUAAAGAUGAAUGGAUCCUAGACUCAGGAUGCACUUUUCACAUGACACCCUGUAAAGAGUACUUUGCUGAAUUCUUGGAAAUUAAUGAAGGUCAAGUCAUUUUGGGUAAUGACUUUUCUUGUAAAAUUAAAGGAAUUGGCAAGAUUGUUUUGAAACUAAAUAAUGGAAAUGUACUAACCUCAAAUACAAUUAGGUACAUUGCAAAUUUAAAGAGAAACCUAAUCUCUUUAGGUAUACUCGAUGAUGAAGGUUUCAACACAACCUUAAAAAAAGGCAUUCCCAUCCUCUAAAAGAAUGCAACAAAAGUUAUGCAAGUAGAAAAAUCUAAUGGGAUCUAUGUCUUCAAGGCUUCACCCUUGAUUAACAAAUACCUUGCAACAGCAGUUACUAAGUAUGAUAAAUUUGAAAUAUAGAAUAAAAGACUCGGGCAUAUUAGUGAUAAGAAUUUACACAUCCUUAAUAAACAAGGUCUGUUGGGAAGUGAAAAAAUUGAGAAAAUAUCCUUCUGUGAACACUGCUCUUAUGGGAAGCAAAAGAAACUGUCUUUUGCUACAGGGGUUCACAAAUCAAAGUCCAUUCUUGACUAACUACCUGCAUGCUGAUAUGUGGGGACCAUCUGCAGUUAAUACUUGUUCUGGUCUUUAAUAUUACCUCCUCAUUAUUGAUGAUUUCUCAAGGAAAAGUUGGGUUAUUCUUUUGAAAACAAAUCAGAUACCUUUCAAAACUUUUCAAAAUGGAAAACUCUCAUUGAAGAUCAAGUAGAUAAAAAUGUUAAAAAUCUCAGGACUGAUAAUGGCCUUGAAUUUUGCAAUGAAAAGUUUGAUAAUUUCUACAAAAAUUAUGGGACUUUUAGAUAUCGGACUAUCACCUACACACCAAAACAGAAUGGGUUGGUUGAGAGGAUUGUUAGAAAAGGUGAGAUGUAUGUUGAUAGGCUCAAGCCUCCCAAAAUUAUUUUGGGGAGAAGCUAUCAAGACUACCUCAUAUCUAAUAAAUAAGUGCCCCACAAAAUCCCUGAAUUAUAACACACCUGAUCAUGUUUGGAGUGGUCAUCCGGUUGACUAUUUAAGAUUGAAGGUUUUUGGUUGUGCAACAUAUGCACACCAAAAUGAAGGCAAGUUAAAACCUAGGCCUAUCAAAGGCAUUUUCUUGGGAUAUGGGGAGGGAGAUAAAGGUUACAGAAUCUGGCUGAAAAAUCUAGGAGGGUAUAGAGUCAUAAUAAGUAGGAAUGUUAUCUUUAAUGAAGUUGACAUGCCUUGUCUAAAAGAUAAAGAAACAGUCUCACCAGAAAAUUAUUUAAAUAGACUGUUUAUACAAACUCAAUCCCUACAAUCAGAUGAAAAUUUAGAAAAUAAUGACCAAAUUGAGGUGAAGCCCACACAACCACAAGAAACUGUGUUGGAACACGAAAUAGAACCUGACAAUGAACUUGAAACUGAUUAAUAACAAAUCCUUUGGAUGACUUCAUCUUGCUAGAGAUAGAGAGAAGAGAAAUACAACCACCAUCAAGCUAUAAUGAACAGACUUCAUUACUGCACUUACUGUUCAGACUCAUUUUGAGAAUGAGCCUAACUCAUAUGAAGAAGCUAUUAAUGGAAAGAAUGCUAUGUUCUAGUUGGCAGCUAUGAAAGAUGACAUGCUUUCAUUAGACAAAAAUAAGACUUGGGUUUUAGUUAAUAAACCAAAAGGAGAAUGGAUCAUUGAUUGCUAAUGGAUAUAUAAAAUAACAGAAGAUGAUUCUAAAGAUGAAAAGGUUAGUUUCAAGGCUAGGUUAGUUGUACGGGCUUUAACCAAAGAGAAGGGAUGAUUAUAAUGAGAUUUUUUCACCUGUGGUCAAAUACACAUCUAUAGGAAUUUUAUUCUCUCUUGUUUCUCAAUUUGAUUUUGAAUUAGAACGGCUAGAUGUGAAAACUGUCUCUUUUCCAUGAUUUGGAUGAAAAAAUCUAUAUGACUCCACCAAAAGGAUUUGAAUAAAAAGGUAAGGAAAACUAUGUGUGCCUUUUACAAAAAUCACUCUAUGGCCUGAAACAAGACCCUAGACAAUGGUACAUUAGGUUUGAUACUUUUAUAAAGGGUCUAAACUUUAAUAGAAUUAAAUAUAAUCCAUAUUUUUAUUAUAAAGGUAAUGGAGGUCCUAAUUCAUACUAUCUCUUGCUCUACUAUGUUGAUGAUAUGCUAUUAGCUAAAUGUAAUAUUACUGAAAUAAAUCACAUUAAGCAAAUGUUAAAACAAGAAUUUGAUAUGAAAGACUUAGGGUUAGCUAAAAGAGAUAGAGCUAAAAGUAGUCUACUUCUCCCGCAACAAUCAUAUAUCUUAAAAAUACUAGACAGGUUUGCCAUGGACAAAGCAAAAGAAAUCACUUUACCACUUGGUAGUCAUUUUAAGUUUUCUAUAGACCAAUCCCGUAGAUCUGAAAUAGAAAAAAGAAAGAAUGGAUAAACUCCCUUAUGCUAAUGCAGUUGGGUCAGUUAUGUAUGUAAUAGUUUGUACCAGACCUGAUAUUGCCUUUGCUGUGAGUAUCCUAAGUAGAUAUAUGAGCAAUCCAGGUGAGUACUAGUGGGAAGCUAUGAAAUGGCUAUUGAUAUACUUAAAAGGAACUUAUAGUCUGGGGUUAAUAUUUCAAAAGGGCAAAAUUAGAAUUAAACUAAAAGAACAUGUAGAUUCAGACUUUGUUGGAAAUUGUGACAACAGAAAAUCUACAUUUGCAUACUUUUUACUUUAAAUGAUACUUGCAUAAGCUGGAAAUCACAGCUACAAAAAAAUUGUGGCAUUGUUAUCAACAGAAGCUGAAUAUACUAUAGCUACAGACGCUAAAAAGGAAGGUAUUUGGGUGAAAAUUUUGUUAGAUGAACUUGGUUUCACUAGUAAUGAUGCUGUUAUUACUCAUACAAUCAAUCUGUCCUUUACAUACAUUUAUGGAUUGUUUAAAUAUUCUAAAUGUCUUUGCUAACUAAAUGUGUUUUGCAGGUACAUUGAGCAAUUGAAAUCAAAGGAAGAGUUAUACCCCAAUCCACAAAUGAAACCUAAGAUAUCAAGUAAGGUGGAGAUUGUUAAGUUGGUUCUUAACAUCUUGGCCCAAUGAUGCAGCCUAGCUAAGCCCAUUUGUUGAGAAUGUGACCCGAUUGUUUUUAAAUUAGACAAAGUCGUGUUUUUUGUUGAACGCAUUUUAAACUAGAUGGCUUGGAUAAUGCCAUGUGGUGUCCCUAUGACCGUUGGAUGCAUUAUGAUUAUAUAUAUGCUGGGACCCUUCAUUUUUUGAUAUGCGCGAGAGUUCUAGGGGUUUCUCAUCUUCUUCAUUUUUGGUUUUAUCUCAAAAGGAAAACCUCUUGUUUUUCUGUAAUAGUUGUUGUCUAGAUAUUCUUGGUGAAAUCUAGUGUAGGCUAUGUUGAUGAGAGUUUAUUUCUGUUCUUGUUGAGCAGUUAUUCUUAGUUACUUGGUGUAAUCAACUAAGAUCUGAUUUUCGAGAGAAAAAUCAAUCUGAGGGCAAGAUCUGUGUGAUUCUUGGUACUGUAAUCCUUAUAUUGAUAUUUGCUGGUUUCUUCUAGUGGAUUGGAGCGAUAACCACUUCGAUGGAUGCUCAACGUGUUGAUUAGCCCAUUCUUGGGUGAACAUUCUUGCCUACAGGUGAAAAAUCCCUUGUCUUCUUUAAUUUCUGUUCUCGUUUGGUUAUUUGGGACAAAAAUACCUACACUUUCAUCUAAAAAUAUUACAGAUACCUCACAAUCAAAUCUGUGUUGGAUCAUUGAUAGCGAGGCUACGGACCAUGUAAGCUCUUUUGCUGAGUUACUAAACUCGAAAGUUUUGCCAAUAACAACCACCAUUAGGCUUCCAAAUGGUGGGUAGACACGUAUCGAGUCAAUUGCCUCAUUGCAAACUACGCCCCAUAUUAAACUUGAUAAAGUUCUUAAAUUUCCACAAUUUCAAGUUAAUUUACUAUCAGUUAGUAAAAUGAUAUGACGAUUAAACUGUAUAGUGACAUUCUUUUUCGAUUUUUGUUGUGCAAAACUCUGCUACAAUGAAGAUGAUUGGUAUGGGGAAGCAACAUAAUAGUCUCUGCUACUUAACACAAGCCCAAAAUCUAGCAUUUGCCUACGCGAUCCGCAAGCAUUCAAAUAUUGGCAUAAAUGCUUUUGUCAUCCAUUGUCAUGUCCCCUUCAAGUUCUCAACAAAAAUAAUCCUACAAUUUAUUUUCAUUCAAAUCGUGUUUGUGAAGUUUGUCCUUUAGCUAAACAAAUUUGUCCUUUAGCUAAUCAAUAAUGUGAUACAUGGCCUUGUAAAUAUUCUUAUGCUCUUCUGAUCCUAGAAUAAAAUAUUUAAUAGGAAAAUGCUUAAUUUCAUUUGAGUUAUUUUUGUACCAUAUCCAAGCAAAUGAAUUAAUCAUGAAGCUUAUAAGCAGGAUGAGUAGCUAAUACUAAUAGUUUGUCAAUCAUAUCUCUGGUAGUGGCAAGCAAGAAAAGCCUAACCAUAGAUCCUGCAGCCAUUGACAAAUAAAUAUAUUGUGACAUACACCUGUGUUUAUGUACCUUUCUCUUCUUUUCAUUAUUUUUCAAAUGAUCUCAACCCGUCAUCUAGUUCGGUCUAUUUUUUAUUGUAAUUUAAUAAUGAAGUAUAAUAAAUUAUAUGGUAGAGUUUCUAUGAAGAACUUUUAAAAAGAAUACAAGUAAAAUAAAAUAAAAACACAAGAACGAGAGCUUUCUCUGCUCAUUUUGUUUGUUUGUGGUCAUGUAUAAUUAUUUAUACAAGAGAGAUAUGGAUCAGAAAAAGGAAUUAACUUUCCAAUUAAAUAAGUAAGAAUAAGCUGUAAUUAAUUAUUCCAUCAAAGCAAAAUUCAAUAAUUAUUUGAUUAGACCCACAAAGGAAAAGGUAAUGGGGCAAUGUGAAAUCAGAGUAUGGGCAAGCUUUCCUUUGCUUUUAGCCCUUUUCCCUUUUAGCCUUGCUGCAUGCUUACACAUUCUUCACCUUGCAUUUAUUAUUUUAUACUACGCUAAACACAAAAAUUCACAUAUAAUUAAAUUAUCUUUUUUGUUCAGAUUAUUAUUUUUAUACGUGAUUUUAGGUAUCGUGGUUCAACGUACUUGAUUUUAGAACAUAUAAAAGUCUAUAAUUCAACUCUCGUCAUCAACUCUUUAAACAAAUUUACACGUAUCAAAUCUCCCAUACACGUAAAAAGGUCCAUUGAAGUAAAUUUAAUCAACAAAUUUAUUAUAUUUUCAGGAGUUUAACUUAUAAAUGAACUCGUUCAACACCAACGUUCACAUAUAAAUUAUUUUUCUUGUUCAAAAGUUUUUAUUAGUAUUAGAUGCUCGAACCGAAUUGAAUAGUGAAAAAUAAUCGAUAGUUUAACUUAUUUAUAGGGAUCUCUUUCAUCAUUCUCUUUGAUUUCACUUUCCCAUGCUUAAUAUUCUCACACUAUCUUCCAAGGUUGAUUUCACAAAAGGCUGUUUUUCUGCAUCAUUGUUUGUUACAGUAUACCAUAUGUGCUGUUUGCACUUUCAAGAAUAAAAAAUGAUUCGUUCAAAAAAGAUUAAAGAUAAGUUUGAAAUAUUAAAAUUGUUCAAUUAUAUAUACCUAUGAUUAUUAGCAAUGAUGAUUAUUUGUGGUGAAAUCAUUUACAUAAUCAACCAAAACUUUAUUAUAGAAUGAUUAGUAGAAAUAUGUUUAAAGGUCGUUAGCAGUGUUCUUUUUCUCCUCUUUAUGUUUAUAUAUGUUUGAGGUCUAGCUUAAUUUACGUAUAUUUCAUAUCUAAAAUUAUUUAUGCUAUCAAGUUCAUUUUCGGUAAACUGGUAGGGCCUACUAGUAAGACCCUUUGGAAAAAAUAAAAAUAAUAAUAAUAAUAUUAAUAAAAAUUUGAUCAAAGAGUGGGGCGAUUGGAAAAGUAGUCUUUUUCUCUAGUAGUGCCUUAUAUUCUUGUAUGUGACGUACUCUGAUCUCCAUUUAAUGUGAAAAAAUUUAAAAUAUCCAUUUUUUAUUAUUUAUUUAUUUAUUAUUAUUAUUAUUUUUUAAGAGACUUUCAACUCCAACGAAAUUAGCCCUACUUAAUCAUAGAGGAAUUAUAAUAAUUGAACAUGCAUGAUAUUUGAUAGUCAAUAUUAAAAGUGUGUACAACUUUAACCUAAAAUAUAAUAAUAAAAAAGAGACAAGUUGAUAUGGUAUUACAUAUGCAAAUACAUAUUUAUUCAAGAAACGAUUAUAAAAAGAGCAUAUUCUUUAAAAAUGUGGGAAGCGGGCAAAUUGUUAACAUGUUUAACCUUCUUUAAUGGCCAGUCUUAAUCAGUCAAUUUCAAAGUCAAACCCCCCACGGCAUUAGGUAGAUUAAUUUUAUUAAUCCAAAACCACUUUUGAAAUAAAGUUAGCUCUUUCAAAUUUAAGUACCUUUCAUAAUUUAAUUUUUUGAAUUGAAGCUCAUGUGUUUUAUCACGUUGUAGAUUGAUUUGAGUUUGGAUGAAUGGAAUAGUUCAAGACACAAACUAAUGUAUUAACUAUAAGUGAAAACUUAUUUGCUAUCUAUAAAAAUAUUUAUCAAAUUAAUCUUACAUUUCAUUUAAAAUAUUAAGAAGUCAGAUAAUUAUAUUUUCGCCAUGCUCUCACAAAUUGAGAUUCCUACUUGUGACCAACUGUAUUUUUGAAAAUUCUGGCUUAUAUAGUGGUCGUUCAAAGACGUUUUAAAUUAGGCAUAAGUGCUUAAAGCAACAUAACGUCUAUUAUGGGACGAGUUGAAAGAGGAAUUCCUAAUUCUUACACGGAUAUUUAAAUUUAAAAAAGAAAAGGCAUAAAAAGUGAAGAAGAUAUAAAUUACGUGUUAACUUGGUAACAAGAAAAUCUUUUCAUUUUCAUUAACUUUCAAAGCAACUUCUUUUAGGUGAAAAAGACUUUCUUGACUUGCUUUUGCUUACCUCAUUUUAGGGACAUCCCACUAAGAGCAAACAAUAUUUUCAUUAUUUUUGGCCUACCAUACACACACAUACACGUGUGGGUUUUUGUGUGAGUUAAUUUAUAUAUUUUUACACACACUUGGCAAAACCCUUAAAAGCAGGUCUAAAGUUUGAAGGCUUAAAGGUAUUUAAGAAGAAGACAAGACAUUGGAGUUGGAGAAUCCACUUUCUCUAGCUAAGGGCAUUAAUUUAACUAGGGCCAUCCCCGGGUGUCCAUUCAUUCAUUCAUAUAAUAACUAGAAAAUUUGCACUCAUUUUGAUAUAUUCUUUCUAGAAAUAAAUUUUAUUUUCAAAGAGUUUAGAGUCAGCUAUAUAAAUCUCUUAAAUUUUGUUAUUUGGUAGCAUAUAUAUUUAUGUUUACUCUAAAAUAUAGAGGAAAUAAAUAUUGAUGAGUCGAGAAUAAAAAUUUGCCACCUGAGGAUACAAAACUUUAGUAUAAAAUGUGUCAUUAAUUCUUUCAAGAAUUUAUAUUUCGUGAAUAUGAUUGUGCAACUAAAUGCAUAUCAUGCUUUUAAAUACUCGGAUUUUUUAUACUUAUUUAAUACCAUUUUUUAAUUUUUUGAGUAUUUGUAUCAUCGCAAAGAUUUAUCCAACCACUUAACUAUUAAGCUUCUUUUUUAUCGCUAUUAUUUGGAAAAAAAAAACUUAUUUUGAAUAGUAAUUUUUAGGAGAAUAUGUGGUUAAAAACUAUAGAAAAAUUUUGGAUUUAUUUACAGAAUAUUUUAUUAUGUAAAUAUAUAGUUAAAAGUGAACAUGUAGAAAAAAAUUCAAAUGAGCUAUGCUACACUUAUAAAAGUGGGUUACAAAGUUGGUUGACAAAAUAACAUUCACACCAAUUAUUUUAAAAAUAGAUUUUUAAAUCAUUUCAAAUCAAUGGCUUAGAUUUUACGAACACAAUCUAUAAUCCAACUUUUGUAACUAACUUUGUACAAAUAACUUUAUUGAAUUCAAAUAAUGAUCGUCAAACCAGGACUAAGUUUCCUAGAUAAGGCAAUAACUUUAGGUUUUCCACGUCAAUGAUAUGUUUGAUUGCAUCCUUACAAGUUACAAGACCAGGCUUACUUGACCAAAUGUCAUGUCCGUGCUCCUCAGUGACAGUAUAUUAGAGUAGUAAAAAUGAAAAUAAUGCGAACAUAAAUGCUUUUAAUCAGCAUUGAACUUUAACUGCUUUCAAAAGCUUAUAGACCAAUAGUGCAUUUGAUUAUCAGUGUUUUUUAAUUUCAAAUUUCUACUUUUGUGUUGUUUGACUGACAUUUUUUCCAUGAAAAAUAUUUUUUUACUUUUAGUCACGUGAAAAUAUUUUCCUAAAUAUCAAAGAAAAUAUUUUCUUUAGAGGAGUGAGAUUUUAUUUUCUAGGAAGUUCACUCUCUCAUUUUCUCUCUCAUUUACCCAUCAAUAAAAACUGAACAAGUAUAAUAUUUUAUAGGCUGAAAAUUAAUCAAUUAAACACAUUUAAUUGACAAUUUUCAUGCAAAUAAAUUCUAAAAAAUUGAAUUAUCUAGAAUUUAUUUUCUUUCCAUAUUUGCAAUCAAACACACUACAAGUGAAAAACAAACUAGCAUGAUAAUCUUCUUAAACCCCAUUUCCUAAAACUUUGUACUAAAAAAGCAGUCACUCAAAAGUGAAAUAACUUAGUGGAAGCUAUUAGUUUUUGUCAAGUAAUUCGUUCAGUAAGCGUAAAAAUGAAAAUCUGAUAAGAGUUCACAAUUUUGUCGCAAGCAAACGAGGUUUCGUACACAUAUUGUUCACUCUGGUGUGUUUGGCAACGAUUUUUUUCAUUUAUAAGUUAAUUAAAGAUCUUGUUCAUCUAUACAUUCCAUAAGAUUUACUACUUUUAUCUACUCAUUUUUUUACGACCCACAACUAAUAAUCUUCAAAAAGAUUUACCAAGCAUACACUAACUUCCAUAGAUAAGGUGACUACUCAGAGUUCCAUACAUGCAAAGUCAUGUUCUAUAUCUAGUUGAUUAAACAUCAUGUCCAUGCUCCACAAUGCCCCAUAAGAGUAGGACAAAUGAAAAAGGGAACCAUAUAUAUUUGCAUUUUUUCAAAUUUAGAGGAACAUCGAUUCAAUUGAGGUCGAAGUAAUUUACUUUUAGUUUAUAGACCUUACUUGACUUGCUCCCAAAAGCUUAUAGAAUAAAGUUUAUGUGAUCACUUUUAACUGAAAUCUUGAAUUAUCAACGACGAUGAGUUGACUGGAAAUCAAAGUGAUUAACUUUUAAAUUGAGAGAUUUAACUUUAAUCACUUUCAGAAACCUACACAUGGCUAUGACAUCAGGGAGAAUCAAUGUCUUUUACCUAUAUGAAAUACAAUAAUACAGUGCCUUUUCUAGGAGUCUCCAAAACAAUCAUUGUUCAUCCAUGGAAAGAAAAGAAAAGAAAAGCAAAUUAAAGGGAAAGAUAAAAUUUCUGAUUGUGAGAAAGUGAUUUUUGUAUAAAGGAAAGAUAAGAUAUAUAUGUUUUCCUAUAAAAAUUGGACAUCAAUACCCAUUAGAUACCCUUAAAAUGUUGAAAACUUCCGGAAUUUUUGGGCUAUGUCUUGUUCUUGUAUUGCAAGUUCGACAAGAUUCUUGAAUUUGUAUUAUAUUUUUGCACUUACACACAUGGAUAAUGGCACACUCUAGUUGUGCUUAGAAGCGAAGUUUACUUUAAAAUUACUUAUUUUAUCUAACACAAUUAGUUCUCGUUUGGAAAAAAAUAAAAAAAAGGGGAUUAUAAUGAAGAGUAGGAAUAAGUUUUAUAUGAAUAGUGAAAUAAGUGGAUAAUACAAUAAAUAUGUAGUUAAAAUUAAUUUUGGCUUUAAAUUAUAAAAAGAUUAUAAUGAAACCAAACAAGUGAUUAACUUACCUUUUCUACUAACGGAAAAUAGUUUUCUAAAUAAUUAAAUUUAGACUAGAUUUUAGAAAAUUAAACUGCUAAUUUAAAAUCAAUUCUCGUAUUAUAUUCAAAGUAAGUAACUAUUUAUUUUUAACUUUGAAAUGAAAAAAAUAUUUUUCUUUAAACAUUACUCGAAUAAAAGUAAACUUUUUAAGCUUGAAAUUUUCCCGAGGCUAGUCAAACAUUCUCUAACAGUGAUUUUGAAACUGAAUUUAGCACCUUCCUUUUUUUCAAAACCAUUAAAAGAAGCGUACUUAUUGAUAAUAAAAGAUAAGUAAAAGUUAAAAGGAUAUAGAACCUGAAUUUUGAUCAAUUAAAACAUAGAGAACGAGACAAAUUAAACUAGUUUAAGCUUUGAAAAGCACAAGCCAAACUGAGAACAUACUUCGAAAUUGAGAAAAUCAAGUUUCGUCCUCAACAUAUUUAAAUUUAUAAAUUCCGGCCACGAGUAUGAAACCACCGAUGUAGAUGUUAAACUUGCGCUCAAAUAUUACAUGACUUACAAUUUGAGGGCUAAGCUCUCAAAUGACUUAACAUUUAUCUUUACUUCAGUUGAAAGUUGCGUGCGAUUUUAACAUCUACAGUAACGAUUUCAGUCAUGCAAAAUUUCAUGUUAAUCAUAUUUAGAUAGAUUAAAGACACACACGAAGGAAAAAAAAAAAACACAAAAAAACAAAACUCACUUUUGAAAGUAAGGGAAUCAUAUUCAUAUUAGUAAAAGGUUUAAGAAGCCAACCUUAAUUUUUCUUAUAAAUAUUAUAUCCAACUAAAGUUGAAAUUAAGAAAGAAAAUUAUUAUCAAAGCCUACAGCAACUUAAGGCUUUGUUUCAGCUCCUUUUUUUUUUAUUCUAUAUCUAGUUGAUUAAACAUCAUGUCCAUGCUCCACAAUGCCCCAUAAGAGUAGGACAAAUGAAAAAGGGAAGCAUAUAUAUUUGCAUUUUUUCAAAUUUAGAGGAACAUCGAUUCAAUUGAGGUCGAAGUAAUUUACUUUUAGUUUAUAGACCUUACUUGACUUGCUCCCAAAAGCUUAUAGAAUAAAGUUUAUGUGAUCACUUUUAACUGAAAUCUUGAAUUAUCAACGACGAUGAGUUGACUGGAAAUCAAAGUGAUUAACUUUUAAAUUGAGAGAUUUAACUUUAAUCACUUUCAGAAACCUACACAUGGCUAUGACAUCAGGGAGAAUCAAUGUCUUUUACCUAUAUGAAAUACAAUAAUACAGUGCCUUUUCUAGGAGUCUCCAAAACAAUCAUUGUUCAUCCAUGGAAAGAAAAGAAAAGAAAAGCAAAUUAAAGGGAAAGAUAAAAUUUCUGAUUGUGAGAAAGUGAUUUUUGUAUAAAGGAAAGAUAAGAUAUAUAUGUUUUCCUAUAAAAAUUGGACAUCAAUACCCAUUAGAUACCCUUAAAAUGUUGAAAACUUCCGGAAUUUUUGGGCUAUGUCUUGUUCUUGUAUUGCAAGUUCGACAAGAUUCUUGAAUUUGUAUUAUAUUUUUGCACUUACACACAUGGAUAAUGGCACACUCUAGUUGUGCUUAGAAGCGAAGUUUACUUUAAAAUUACUUAUUUUAUCUAACACAAUUAGUUCUCGUUUGGAAAAAAAUAAAAAAAAGGGGAUUAUAAUGAAGAGUAGGAAUAAGUUUUAUAUGAAUAGUGAAAUAAGUGGAUAAUACAAUAAAUAUGUAGUUAAAAUUAAUUUUGGCUUUAAAUUAUAAAAAGAUUAUAAUGAAACCAAACAAGUGAUUAACUUACCUUUUCUACUAACGGAAAAUAGUUUUCUAAAUAAUUAAAUUUAGACUAGAUUUUAGAAAAUUAAACUGCUAAUUUAAAAUCAAUUCUCGUAUUAUAUUCAAAGUAAGUAACUAUUUAUUUUUAACUUUGAAAUGAAAAAAAUAUUUUUCUUUAAACAUUACUCGAAUAAAAGUAAACUUUUUAAGCUUGAAAUUUUCCCGAGGCUAGUCAAACAUUCUCUAACAGUGAUUUUGAAACUGAAUUUAGCACCUUCCUUUUUUUCAAAACCAUUAAAAGAAGCGUACUUAUUGAUAAUAAAAGAUAAGUAAAAGUUAAAAGGAUAUAGAACCUGAAUUUUGAUCAAUUAAAACAUAGAGAACGAGACAAAUUAAACUAGUUUAAGCUUUGAAAAGCACAAGCCAAACUGAGAACAUACUUCGAAAUUGAGAAAAUCAAGUUUCGUCCUCAACAUAUUUAAAUUUAUAAAUUCCGGCCACGAGUAUGAAACCACCGAUGUAGAUGUUAAACUUGCGCUCAAAUAUUACAUGACUUACAAUUUGAGGGCUAAGCUCUCAAAUGACUUAACAUUUAUCUUUACUUCAGUUGAAAGUUGCGUGCGAUUUUAACAUCUACAGUAACGAUUUCAGUCAUGCAAAAUUUCAUGUUAAUCAUAUUUAGAUAGAUUAAAGACACACACGAAGGAAAAAAAAAAAACAAAAACAAAACAAAACUCACUUUUGAAAGUAAGGGAAUCAUAUUCAUAUUAGUAAAAGGUUUAAGAAGCCAACCUUAAUUUUUCUUAUAAAUAUUAUAUCCAACUAAAGUUGAAAUUAAGAAAGAAAAUUAUUAUCAAAGCCUACAGCAACUUAAGGCUUUGUUUCAGCUCCUUUUUUUUUUGGUUGUUAAAAAUGAGUUUUGUAAUAGUGAAUUCUUGAAUAAUGUGUGGUAAAAAGGUCAAAGAUUUACGUAUAAAAUUAUUUUAUUGAGAAAAUAUGUGAUUAAAAAUGAAUUUGAGGAAAAAAAAAAAAAAGAGUUUUCGAUGAAUAUGAUUCAAUCAAGAGCCAAGUUUAGUGGGAUAGGAUCGAAAGAGUCGAAACAUGCUUCUUGUAAAAAUCCCAAAUCUAGGAUGUUUUUGGUCCUAUUGGUCGAUGGGGUUUUAAUGCUAAAGGUAGCGUUUUUAAAUGGGAGUCCAAGGAGAAAGAAGUUUUAGCCCUCAUUUGGUUUGUCAAAAAUUAGAUUUCUAAAAGAUUUUGAUAAAAACUGAUGAGAUUCGUGAUUGGAAAGUUGAUAAAAAUUAACAGUUGACUUGAAAUUAGAUUUUUACCAAUUUUUUUUAGUUAAAUAAAAUAAGGAUUUAACCGAAAUAUUGGGCUACGAUAUUGUCACUAUUUGGUCCGCUGGGCCCAUUGCCUUGUGAGCAGCUUGUACUUGGCCCAAUAUCUAUGUCUCCAAAAGAAUAGACUAUAUUAUUAGCAGGCUACUUAAUGAGUCCAUUUUUAUUGUUGGGCCUCCAAUUGAGAGAUAAAGUUGUGAUUACUCAACCUUACUUUGAAGCAGCCCGAACUCAUAAUUAGCAACUAUGCUAAUCAGAGACGACUCAAUUCUCCAUUUUUCUUAUAAAAUAAUAAUAAUAAUAAAUUAUUCUCUGAAAAAAAAGAGAGUUUUCGAUGAAUAUGAUUCAAUCAAGAGCUAAGUUUAGUGGGAUAGGAUCGAAAGAGUCGAAACAUGCUUCUUGUAAAAAUCCCAAAUCUAGGAUGUUUUUGGUCCUAUUGGUCGAUGGGGUUUUAAUGCUAAAGGUAGCGUUUUUAAAUGGGAGUCCAAGGAGAAAGAAGUUUUAGCCCUCAUUUGGUUUGUCAAAAAUUAGAUUUCUAAAAGAUUUUGAUAAAAACUGAUGAGAUUCGUGAUUGGAAAGUUGAUAAAAAUUAACAGUUGACUUGAAAUUAGAUUUUUACCAAUUUUUUUUAGUUAAAUAAAAUAAGGAUUUAACCGAAAUAUUGGGCUACGAUAUUGUCACUAUUUGGUCCGCUGGGCCCAUUGCCUUGUAAGCAGCUUGUACUUGGCCCAAUAUCUAUGUCUCCAAAAGAAUAGACUAUAUUAUUAGCAGGCUACUUAAUGAGUCCAUUUUUAUUGUUGGGCCUCCAAUUGAGAGAUAAAGUUGUGAUUACUCAACCUUACUUUGAAGCAGCCCGAACUCAUAAUUAGCAACUAUGCUAAUCAGAGACGACUCAAUUCUCCAUUUUUCUUAUAAAAUAAUAAUAAUAAUAAAUUAUUCUCUUAAUAAAAUUAUUUUGUUCAUAAAUCUAAAGUUUUUUUCUCUAUUUUUUAAUCACUCAUUCUGAAAAAAUAUCAUGUACAAAACUCAUUUUUAUCACAAAAAAUGGGACUCAAAUAGAGCCUGAAUCUCGGGCAGAAAAUUUUAUGGUUCACUUUAAAAAGUUUAACUAGUGCUAACAUUUAAUGUCAUUUUGCAAAACGUUCUCACAUUUCAUUUUUUGGCAUUUUCACCUUCAUUUUUACCUUUCAUUGAGGAAAAUGUCAUUUCAUCCAAUUUUUCAAUUAAAAAAAAUGUAAAAUGACAAAUAUUUCCUUCUACUUAAAUAAAACAAAAAUAAAAUAAUUGCAACUAUAUUCCAAACUUUUUAAAAAACUACAAAUGAUUCCAAAAAUAUUAUUAAAAGGGUAAUUAGCACAAAACGUUGCUACCUUUUGAUAUUAUUGUGCAAAACGUUCGUAUCUUUCAUUUUUUGACAUUUUCGCCCUUGUUUUUCAUUUCAUUGCGAAAAUCAUCAUUUUCAUCCAUUUUUUUUAAAAUUAAAAGCCUCCUAAUUAAAUAAAACAAAAAAGAAAGAAAAGAAAAGAAAAAAUUGCAACUAUACUCUCAAAUAAUUUUAAUUAUUCAUUUGAAAUUUAUUUGAACUUUUUUCAAAAAUUUGAGAGUACAGUUGUAAUUUGUUCUUUAUUUUUCUUUUCAUUAUUUUUGUUUUAUUUAAAUAAAGGAUAUAUUCGUCAUUUUAUAGCUUUUUAUUGAGAAAAAUAGAUGAAAAUGAAGAUUUCGUAAUGUAACGUGAAAAUUAGUGAAAAUGCCAAAAAAAAAAAAUGAAAGUUAUGAACAUUUUGCUCAAUAAUAUUGAAAGGUGGCAACAUUUUGUACUAAUUACCCUUUUAUUAAUUUAUUUGAACUCAUUUGUAGCUUUUUAAAAAAGCUUGGGAGUAUAAUUACAAUUUAUUAUUUAUCUUUUCUUUUCAUUUUUGUUUUACUUUAAUAGGAGGGUAUAUUUGUUAUUUUACAUUUUUAUUGAGAAAUUGGAUGAAAAUAACUUUUUUUCGCUAUCAAAAGUGAAAAUGUCAGAAAAUAAAAUACAAGGAUGUUUUGUACAAUAACAUUGAAAAGUAAGUCCGUUUUGUGCUAAUUAUCCUUUUUAAUAUAAUAAAAUAAUCAUGGAUAAAAUUUUCUUCGAGGAUCGCCAAAAGUAUUAUUGUGAUUGAUAUGAUGAUUUGUCUACAAUUUCUACCAAAAUCAUUGAUAUCAAUAUUAUUGAUUAUCUUUUUUGCUAGGCUUUAGGAAAAAAUCGACCAAACCAAUCAAAUUGAACGACUCGGGUUGGUUGGACACAAAUAAUUGGUUUUGUAAAUCAUAGUUGGUUUGUUCAAUCAUGGUUUGAAGCUUCAAACUGCUAAUUAAUCGAACCAACCCCAACCCACUUACAUGUUUACUUUUUUAAAAAUAAAAAGAGAAGCCCUAAUCUCAUAAUUAUAUCUCGAUUUCCUCCAACCUAUGAUAUUGCAAGUAAGUAAUAGCACUGUCUUUCACAAGCUAGUGAACCAAAGAUGUAUUAUGAUGAAAAUAAAUUAUAGAAAGGGAAAACUAAUGUGGAGCAUGGUAAACCACAUAAUGAGGUAUAGGCUGGUGAAUGUAGGUUAUAACAUUGUGUACUAGAGAAAAUAAGGAUUUAACCGAAAUAUUGGGCUAGGAUAUUGUCACUAUUUGGUCCGCUGGGCCCAUUGCCUUGUAAGCAGCUUGUACUUGGCCCAAUAUCUAUGUCUCCAAAAGAAUAGACUAUAUUAUUAGCAGGCUACUUAAUGAGUCCAUUUUUAUUGUUGGGCCUCCAAUUGAGAGAUAAAGUUGUGAUUACUCAACCUUACUUUGAAGCAGCCCGAACUCAUAAUUAGCAACUAUGCUAAUCAGAGACGACUCAAUUCUCCAUUUUUCUUAUAAAAUAAUAAUAAUAAUAAAUUAUUCUCUUAAUAAAAUUAUUUUGUUCAUAAAUCUAAAGUUUUUUCCCUAUUUUUUAAUCACUCAUUCUAAAAAAAAUAUCAUGUACAAAACUCAUUUUUAUCACAAAAAAUGGGGCUCAAAUAGAGCCUGAAUCUCGGGCAGAAAAUUUUAUGGUUCACUUUAAAAAGUUUAACUAGUGCUAACAUUUAAUGUCAUUUUGCAAAACGUUCUCACGUUUCAUUUUUUGGCAUUUUCACCUUCAUUGUUGCCUUUCAUUGAGGAAAAUGUCAUUUCAUCCAAUUUUUCAAUAAAAAAAAAAUGUAAAAUGACAAAUAUUUCCUUCUACUUAAAUAAAACAAAAAUAAAAUAAUUGCAACUAUAUUCCCAAACUUUUUAAAAAACUACAAAUGAUUCCAAAAAAAUUAUUAAAAGGGUAAUUAGGACAAAACGUUGCUACCUUUUAAUAUUAUUGUGCAAAACGUUCAUAUCUUUCAUUUUUUGAUAUUUUCGCCCUUGUUUUACAUUUCAUUGCGAAAAUCAUCAUUUUCAUCCAUUUUUUUAAAUUAAAAGCCUCCUAAUUAAAUAAAACAAAAAAGAAGGAAAAGAAAAGAAAAAAUUGCAACUAUACUCUCAAAUAAUUUUAAUUAUUCAUUUGAAAUUUAUUUGAACUUUUUUCAAAAAUUUGAGAGUAUAGUUGUAAUUUGUUCUUUAUUUUUCUUUUCAUUAUUUUUUUUAUUUAAAUAGGAGAAUAUAUUCAUCAUUUUAUAACUAUUUAUUGAGAAAAAUAGAUGACAUUUUUAUUGAGAAAUUGGAUGAAAAUAACUUUUUUUCGCUAUCAAAGGUGAAAAUGUCAGAAAAUAAAAUACAAGGAUGUUUUGUACAAUAACAUUGAAAAAUAAGUCCGUUUUGUGCUAAUUAUCCUUUUUAAUAUAAUAAAAUAAUCAUGGAUAAAAUUUUCUUCGAGGAUCGCCAAAAGUAUUAUUGUGAUUGAUAUGAUGAUUUGUCUACAAUUUCUACCAAAAUCAUUGAUAUCAAUAUUACUGAUUAUCUUUUUUGCUAGGCUUUAGGAAAAAAUCGACCAAACCAAUCAAAUUGAACGACUCGGGUUGGUUGGACACAAAUAAUUGGUUUUGUAAAUCAUAGUUGGUUUGUUCAAUCAUGAUUUGAAGUUUCAAACUGCUAAUUAAUCGAACCAGCCCCAACCCACUUAUAUGUUUACUUUUUUAAAAAUAAAAAGAGAAGCCCUAAUCUCAUAAUUAUAUCUCGAUUUCCUCCAACCUAUGAUAUUGCAAGUAAGUAAUAGCACUGUCUUUCACAAGCUAGUGAACCAAAGAUGUAUUAUGAUGAAAAUAAAUUACAAAAAGGGAAAACUAAUGUGGAGCAUGGUAAACCACAUAAUGAGGUAUAGGCUGGUGAAUGUAGGUUAUAACAUUGUGUACUAGAGGUGCAUGAUGGUGAAUCUAAUGUACAACAUGAUGUACUGAAGGUGUAGGUUGGUAGAUCUAGGCUGCAAUAGGGUGAACCAAAGGUGCAUGACAAUGAAUGUGAGGUGCAACCAUGUGAAUCAGAACAAAGCUGUGAAGAUAUGUUCACUGUAAAUAUAGAUGCUACUAAAACUAUGCAAGUAGAAUCCGUAGAUCCUGAGCAAUAUGAUGAAUAUGAAAAUGUUAUUUUGGAAGAAUUCAAUGACUCAAAGUAUGAGCAAAAAGAAAAUAUUACCAUGGAUGAUAAUUAUGAUAAUACAGAUUUCAGGUUGUGUGAAAGUUUUGAUAUUGGUACUAAUAGUGUAAAGGGUGAGUAGGAAGGUAAGAGGUUCCUCAAGAAAAAAUGUAAUAAAGUAUGAAGACUCAGAUGAACUUAGAAGCUUACCCAGUGACAAUGAGGCUGAGAGAUCAUCUACCAGAAGGAUGAAUGAGUGCUAGUUUAACCCUACAACUGAUAUGGGUGAUCCAAAGUUCAAAAUAGGCAAUGCUUCUAUAAUACAUAUAUUGUUUUAUUGUUUGAAAAUAUAUAUGACAACAUGCUAUGUUCAUUACUCAAUUAAAAGUUCUAGGCAACUCAAAUAUGCAAAAAAUAUGAGGACACAGUUGAGAGCUAGAUGUCAAGAUAACUAUUAUGAGGUUUUAUAUGCAUACUAACAACCAGCCAAGAGUCUUGGAAUCAAUACAUUCAGAGAUGAGCAUACAUGUACUAUGGUGUGGCAAAAUAAAAGCGUUAAUGCAGGUUAUCUUGCAAAAAAUACAAAAGUUUAGGUCUAGUCCCAAAAUGCAAAUGAAUAGUUUUGUGAAAACUAUGAAAGAAGACUGUAUGUAUGAGAUUUUAAAGCAUCAGUUCUAAAUGGCAAGAUCUAAAUGUACGCAAGUAGUACAUGUGAUUGUUGUUGAGCAGUACACAAUUUUAUAAGAUUUUGGUGAAGAAUUAAAGAGAAAAAAAUCUUGGUAAUAUAGUGCAUAUUAAAGGUUCAGGUCACACUAUUAAGAGAUUGUCCGAAGGGUUUAAGGCUAGUUGCAAUACAAUUGUUGAGUUGGAUGGUUGCUUCAUAAAGUCUACAUAAGGUGGACAGUUAUUGGUAGCUAUUGGCAUUGAUGAUGAAAACUUUAUUUUCCCCAUAACAUGGGAAGUUAUAGAUGUUGAAAACAAAACAAAUUGAGAAUGGUUUAUAGAGUUGUUUGUUGAUGACAUAGGGAUUUAUGACUCUAGAGCUUAGACAUUCAUUUCUGAUAAAUAAAAGGAUUUGGUGUAUUCUAUUAGUAAAUUCUGUGAAGAGGCUAAGUACAGGUGUUGUGCUAGCCAUCUAUAUAGCAACUUUACCUUAGCACACAACGCUUGACCAUUAGGAACUUCUUUUUUUUCAAAUGCAGCAAGGGCAACAAUAGUGUCGGAGUGGAUGAGUGCAAUGAAUAAGUUGAAAGAUGUUAAUGAACAAGUUUACAAGUGGUUCAAUCAAAAACCACCUUCCUAGAGAAGCAUAUCACACUUUGAAGAGCAUUCCAAGUAUGAUAUUCUCUUGAAUAACUUAUGUGAAGCUUUCAAUUCUUCCAUUGUUAUUGUCAAAGAGAAUCCAUUAUCUCAAUGCUAGAGAAAAUCAAACAUCAACAAAUUAUCAGAAUGAAUGUUAAAAGAAAAGUAACAGAUAGAUAGGGUCUUGCAUUUAGGCUAAGAGUUGUGAAAAUUGUUGAGAAGGCUAAGUAUGUGGCAAGGCACUUGAUGGUAGACUACACAAGUAAUCAAAAGUUUGAGAUAAGCAGCGGAGAUGGAUUGAGGUAGAGUGUUGAUUUGACAAAACAUAAAUGUGCAUGCAAAAAAUGGUAGCUCGCUGGAAUACCCUGUUCCCAUACAAUAUCAAGCAUGCUUUCAAGGGAUAUUAGCAUAUAUGAGUACAUUGAUCCAUAUUAUAGCAAUGAAAUAUAGCUUAGGUGUUACUCCAAGUGAUCCAACUAAUGUCGAGACCUGAUCUAUGGCCAGAACUUGUCAAGUACACUCUAAAUCAGCCACAAAAGAGAAAAUAGACUAAGCCACCUGCAAGAACUAAGAUGGGAAGGACCAACAUGAAGAUGACAUGUAAAUAAUGUGGGGUUUUGAUAUAACAAAAGAAGUUGUAAGGGACCACUGUUUGGUGAAGUUAGUUCACAACGGGAAUUACAACCAACUACUUAACCCGAGUCUUAAGAAAAUACAUAGUUAGGAUAAGCAAAGGGGAAGAGAAAUGCACAAAGGGUGAACCAAAGGUGCAUGACAAUGAAUGUGAGGUGCAACCAUGUGAAUCAGAACAAAGCCGUGAAGAUACGUUCACUGUAAAUAUAGAUGCUACUAAAACUAUGCAAGUAGAAUCCGUAGAUCCUGAGCAAUAUGAUGAAUAUGAAAAAGUUAUUUUGGAAGAAUUCAAUGACUCAAAGUAUGAGCAGAGAGGAAAUAUUACCAUGGAUGAUAAUUAUGAUAACACAGAUUUCAGGUUGUGUGAAAGUUUUGAUAUUGGUAUUAAUAGUGUAAGGGGUGAGCAGGAAGGUAAGAGGUUCCUCAAGAAAAAAUGUAAUAAAUUAUGAAGACUCAGAUGAACUUAGAAGCUUACCCAGUGACAAUGAGGCUGAGAGAUCAUCCACCAGAAGGAUGAAUGAGUGCUAGUUUAACCCUACAACUGAUAUGGGUGAUCCAAAGUUCAAAAUAGGCAAUGCUUCUAGAAUUCAUAUAUUGGUUUAUUGUUUGAAAAUAUAUAUGACAACGUGCUAUGUUCAUUACUCAAUUAAAAAUUCUAGGCAACUCAAAUAUGCAAAAAAUAUGAGGACACAGUUGAGGGCUAGAUGUCAAGAUAACUAUUCUGAGGUUUUAUAUGCAUACUAACAACCAGGCAAGAGUCUUGGAAUCACUACAUUCAGAGAUGAGCAUACAUUUGCUAUGGUGUGGCAAAAUAAAAGGGUUAAUGCAGGUUAUCUGGCAAAAAAUACAUAAGUUUAGGUCUACUCCCAAAAUGCAAAUGAAUAGUUUUGUGAAAACUAUUAAAGAAGACUGCAUGUAUGAGAUUUUAAAGCAUCAGUUCUAAAUGACAAGAUCUAAAUGUACGCAAGUAGUACAUGUGAUUGUUGUUGAGCAGUACACAAUUUUAUAAGAUUUUGGUAAAGAAUUAAAGAGAAAAAAAUCCUGGUAAUAUAGUGCAUAUUAAAGGUUCAGGUCACACUAUUAAGAGAUUGUCCGAAGGGUUUAAGGCUAGUUGCAAUACAAUUGUUGAGUUGGAUGGUUGCUUCAUAAAGUCUACAUAAGGUGGACAGUUAUUUGUAGCUAUUGGCAUUGAUGAUGAGAACUUUAUUUUCCCCAUAACAUGGGAAGUUAUAGAUGUUGAAAACAAAACAAAUUGAGAAUGGUUUAUAGAGUUGUUUGUUGAUGACAUAGGGAUUUAUGACUCUAGAGCUUAGACAUUCAUUUCUGAUAAAUAAAAGGAUUUGGUGGAUUCUAUUAGUAAAUUCUGUGAAGAGGCUAGGUACAGGUGUUGUGCUAGCCAUCUAUAUAGCAACUUUACCUUAGCACACAAGGCUUGACCAUUAGGAACAACUUUUUUUUCAAAUGCAGCAAGGGCAACAAUAGUGUCAGAGUGGACGAGUGCAAUGAAUAAGUUGAAAGAUGUUAAUGAACAAGUUUACAAGUGGUUCAAUGAAAAACCACCUUCCUAGAGAAGCAUAUCACACUUUGAAGAGCAUUCCAAGUAUGACAUUCUCUUGAAUAACUUAUGUGAAGCUUUCAAUUCUUCCAUUGUUAUUGUCAAAGAGAAGCCCAUUAUCUCAAUGCUAGAGAAAAUCAAACAUCAACAAAUUAUCAGAAUGAAUGUUAAAAGAAAAGUAACAGAUAGAUAGGGUCUUGCAUUUAGGCUAAGAGUUGUGAAAAUUGUUGAGAAGGCUAAGUAUGUGGCAAGGCACUUGAUGGUAGACUACACAAGUAAUCAAAAGUUUGAGAUAAGCAGCGGAGAUGGAUUGAGGUAGAGUGAUUAUUUGACAAAACAUAAAUGUGCAUGCAAAAAAUGGUAGCUCGCUAGAAUACCCUGUUCCCAUACAAUAUCAAGCAUGCUUUCAAGGGAUAUUAGCAUAUAUGAGUACAUUGAUCCAUAUUAUAGCAAUGAAAUAUAGCUUAGGUGUUACUCCAAGUGAUCCAACUAAUGUCGAGACCUGAUCUAUGGCCAGAACUUGUCAAGUACACUCUAAAUCAGCCACAAAAGAGAAAAUAGACUAAGCCACCUGCAAGAACUAAGAUGGGAAGGACCAACAUGAAGAUGACAUGUAAAUAAUGUGGGGUUUUGAUAUAACAAAAGAAGUUGUAAGGGACCACUGUUUGGUGAAGUUAGUUCACAACGGGAAUUACAACAACGGGAAUUACAACCAACUACUUAACCCGAGUCUUAAGAAAAUACAUAGUUAGGAUAAGCAAAAGGGAAGAGAAAUGCACAUUUAAUAGUAACUUCCUAGUUACAGAUGAAAAAGUCCAAGAAUAAAGGAUCCAAGCCUUGAACAUGAUGUGACUUCUUAUUUAUAGUUUUGUUAGAAAGUGAACCUUUUUUUUAUGAAUGCUGUGAUUUUAUAGGGUGACCUAGAAUUUUUUUACAAAUGUUGUGUUUGUUUGUAACGUGAACUGAAAAUAUGUGCAACAAAUGCUGUGAUUUUGUAAAAUGAACUGGAAUUUCUAAUGGAAUUGUCACAUAUGUUGUGCAAGAAUGUUUAGAUAGAAUUCUUGGAUUAUAUUGAGGUGUAGACUAUUAGGAACUACGAACAAAUAUUUGGUACUUCUUUUGCAUAUCCUACAAAAGGUUUGGUACUGCUAGUGAAAAUAUUACAAAAGGUUUGGUAUCUCACUAAAACUAUUACUAAAGGUUAGGUACUUAUUAUUUGAUUCAUUAAAAGGUUUGGUAUCCAUGCUGCACCAUUUACAAAACAUUUGGGGUGUAAUCUGAUCUUUAAUUUCAAAUUAAACAAUGGGCAAAAAGAGAACAUUGAAAGUCAGUACCAGUGCUGAUACAAAAUGGGCCUUUUCAUUUUAAGUAAAAGGUACAAAACAAGUGUCACGCUUUUUUUAUAACUUGAUUUAUAUCGCAAGUAUGGGGUGUCAAGUUUUCUAAUAUAUGAAUGGAGUUAGGAUAUCGAACCCACAGGGUUUAUAAUUUAACUUUUACUAAGUACUAUAAUUGUGUAGCUUCUAUUUUAUCUAGACAAAUAAAAUUUGUGAUCAAUAGUGUCAUCUAAUCUAAGAGUAAUCGUUGUGACUAAUUCAAGUAAUGCAAUUUAUAUGAAUAAAUCAAUAUAAGACAGGCCUAUGGAAUAAUUUCACCUAACUAUCAAUUAUGCUUCAAUUAUGUUUAAUUAUUCUAGUCAAUUUUUUCAUGUUUAAAAGCAAGAAUUCUAAUGCAUUUCUCUCCCCUCUGUCGAGUGCCGGUUAAAAAUUAAUCUUAAAUUUCAAUCUCAAUAUCCCUAUUUCGAAUUAAAAUCAAGGAUUUAUAAAGUUUAUGAUUUUCUUAUGGAGUAAGCUUCAUAGAUCCUAUACAUUCUCUCGAAAUCCAUAAAAUCUACAUUGUGCCAAUUCUACGAUCGUGCCUCUCGAGUGCCAGAAUUGACUAGCAUCUAUUCAUUCAAUUAGUGGCCAAUUACUUGAAAGCAUUAAUUUCAUGACACAAUUAAACAUAUGUAGAAAAUCAAAUAGAAAUAACUAUAACAGAAUCAAACCAUAAUCCCCAGCGGAGAUGGAUUGAGGUAGAGUGUUGAUUUGACAAAACAUAAAUGUGCAUGCAAAAAAUGGUAGCUCGCUGGAAUACCCUGUUCCCAUACAAUAUCAAGCAUGCUUUCAAGGGAUAUUAGCAUAUAUGAGUACAUUGAUCCAUAUUAUAGCAAUGAAAUAUAGCUUAGGUGUUACUCCAAGUGAUCCAUCUAAUGUCGGGACAUGAUCUAUGGCCAAAACUUGUCAAGUACACUCUAAAUCAGCCACAAAAGAGAAAAUAGACUGAGCCAUCUGCAAGAACUAAGAUGGGAAGGACCAACAUGAAGAUGACAUGUAAAUAAUGUGGGGUUUGGAUAUAACAAAAGAAGCUGUAAGGGACCACUGUUUGGUGAAGUUAGUUCACAACGGGAAUUACAACCAACUACUUAACCCGAGUCUUAAGAAAAUACAUAGUUAGGAUAAGCAAAGGGGAAGAGAAAUGCACAUUUAAUAGUAACUUCCUAGAUACAGAUGAAAAAGUCCAAAAAUAAAGGAUCCAAGCCUUGAACAUGAUGUGACUUCUUAUUUAUAGUUUUGUUAGAAAGUGAACUUUUUUUUUAUGAAUGCUUUGAUUUUAUAGAGUGACCUAGAAUUUUUUUACAAAUGUUGUAUUUGUUUGUAACGUGAACUGAAAAUAUGUGCAACAAAUGUUGUGAUUUUGUAAAAUGAACUGGAAUUUCUAAUGGAAUUGUCACAUAUGUUGUGCAAGAAUGUUUAGAUAGACACAUAUGUUGUGCAAGAAUGUUUAGAUAGAAUUAUUGGAUUAUAUUGAGGUGUAGACUAUUAGGGACUACGAACAAAUAUUUGGUACUUCUUCUGCAUAUCUUACAAAAGGUUUGGUACUACUAGUGAAAAUAUUACAAAAGGUUUGGUAUCUCACUAAAACUAUUACUAAAGGUUAGGUACUUAUUCUGUGAUUCAUUAAAAGGUUUGGUAUCCAUGCUGCACCAUUUACAAAGCAUUUGGGGUGUAAUCUGAUCUUUAAUUUCAAAUUAAACAAUGGGAAAAAAGAGAACUUUGAAAGUCAGUACCAAUGCUGAUACAAAAUGGGGCUUUUCAUUUUAAGUAAAAGGUACAAAAUAAGUGUCACGCUUUUUUUAUAACUUGAUUUAUAUCGCAAGUAUGGGGUGUCAAGUUUUCUAAUAUAUAAAUGGAGUUAGGAUAUCGAACCCACAGGGUUUAUAAUUUAACUUUUACUAAGUACUAUAAUUGUGUAGCUUCUAUUUUAUCUAGACAAAUAAAAUUUUUGAUCAAUAGUGUCAUCUAAUUUAAGAGUAAUCGUUGUGACUAAUUCAAGUAAUGCAAUUUAUAUGAAUAAAUCAAUAUAAGACAGGCCUAGGGAAUAAUUUCACCUAACUAUCAAUUAUGCUUCAAUUAUGUUUAAUUAUUCUAGUCAAUUUUUUCAUGUUUAAAAGCAAGAAUCCUAAUACAUUUCUCUCCUCUGUCUAGUGCCGGCUAGAAAUUAAUCUUAGAUUUCAAUCUCAAUAUCUCUAUUUUGAAUUAAAAUCAAGGAUUUAUUAAGUUUAUGAUUUUCUUAUGGAGUAAGUUUCAUAGAUCCUAUACUUUCUCUCGAAAUACAUAAAAUCUACGUUGUGUCAAUUCUACGAUCGUGCCUAAAUUCUCCUCUCUCGAGUGCCGGAAUUGACUAGCAUCUAUUCAUUCAGUUAGUGGCCAAUUAAUUGAAAGCAUUAAUUUCAUGACACAAUUAAACAUAUGUAGAAAAUCAAAUAGAAAUAACUAUAACAGAAUCAAACCAUAAUCCCAAGUUUUGGCUACAAUCACACACUAGAAUAUGAAUUUAGUUCAUAAUAUAAUCCAAGAAAAUACUAAAAUUCAUAUAAGAAAACAUAGGGAAGAGAAUAGAAAAACUCAGUUGUAGAUCUUCAAUUUCUUCUCUUGUUUUUCUCUGCCUUGUUCUUGAAUCUCUUGAUGUUUUGCCCCUUUGAAUUGUUAAAUCUUGCUCCCUUGAAUUAUAUUUUUGGUUGGUUUAAUUCUUUGAGAAAAUAGGUUUUUGAUCUUAUAUUUAUAGUAUUUUUGGAGUCUUGGACGAAUUAGGGUUGAGUUGAGCUAAGAAAAGAAUAAAAAAAAAAAAUAAAUAAAUAAAUAAACUUUUCCCACACAGGUAGUACCUCGACGCCCAAGAUGGCACACUGCUGAUUUUCAGCAUCGUGGGCAUUGCAGCUCCAAUCUGCGCCUACUUCGGGUAGAAAAGAUAGUUUACAUCUCCGUUAGUAUUUUUAUCACCCGAUAUCUGAUUGAAACAAUUCAAGAUGCGAUGGAAAGUUAACUGAAAGAGCUACAACUUUGCUUUAGUUAUCGUUCACCAAAUUGAACGUUUGCUAUGUCAUAAAUGGGUCUCAAUGUAAGACUAAAAAUUCAGAACAUAACUUUUUGGGUUGGAAAUCGACGUACGAUCAUACUUUGGUUAUAUUUGAUCCAUUUGACAUUUUUCUUCUUCCAGUUGACCCGUAACACUCUCGAAUCUUCAUUGUUAGGUUCGACACAAUUUUUAAGUAUAUACACUUUAGUCCCCGAAAUUUAGAUCUCUUACAAUUUCUCCAAUUUUCUCCAAAUUUAUCAACUUUUGCUUAUUUCUUUUAAUUUCGUCAACCGAUAUCAUAUUAUCAAAACACAUAAUAAAACGUUUUAAGACUUGUAGGAAUAAGCUACUAUCAAGCUCAAUUGAUGUCUAAAGUAUGAGUGAAAUAUACUCAUCAACAAACACAUUUUACAUCUACAUUUCACAACAUCGAACACAAGUCCCCACAUCAAAACCCUAAACCCAAAUUUAUGAAGUUAACUAUCUCCAUCCCACAAAUCCAUCCGACAUACCUAGGUACAAACCCAUUUUAUAAACACCCCACACGCAAAUCCGAAGAGCUAGGUCUUCCACACAUUUGGUCUUGUUGCUUGGAAGGUGUUGGUUUCAGCUUCCAUUUUCCUCCUAACCUCGUAAUAGAUUAGGAAUCAGCUCCAUCAAUCUCUCACACAUUUCAAGGUUACACCACACAAAGAAGGUAUAUCUACACAUAUCUUGGCUUUGAGGACAAGUGAGAAAUCUUCUUCUUGGGUUCAGGUUCGUCCAUGAGGUCUUUAUUUGCACUGGGGAGCCAUAUCAACAUACAUUCAUCUCCAUGUACAUGCUAAUUUUUUUCAACUGGUUGUGGGGAAGAAAAGGAUAUUAAUGUGGUAAAAAUGGAGGAAAACGAACAGCAAAAUGCAAUAAUAGAAGGGAAAAUGUGAAAUGCCCAAAUUGCCCUUCACUUAUUUGGGGAAAAUUAUUAAAAAAUUUCAUUUCUAGGAUCAACUAAUGGUCUUGAUGAUCAAACACGCGAAAAUCGUUAUUUUAGACUGGAUUUGAGAUUUUUCUAAAGGUUUGGUACUUCAUGUGGUACAAAUGAAAUGUUUAAAUCAAAACUGCUAAUAAAUGAAAGAUUUGAUACCUUGACUGCAAUUUUCCUCAUUUUUAAUGGAUGAAGACUUUAAAUGAUCAAAGCUUAGCUUCAGAACUUACAUGGCAAGCAAAGGGGAAUAACUAAACAAAAUUUAUUAAAAAUGCUUGAUUAGUCAACAUUUCCGAGUCUUCAUUACAUCCUAGUAUAUAUUUUUAAACUUGGGAUCUAAAAGAACAAUCCAAUUGUUUUUAUAGUUUAUUACUUAAUAAUAAAUUUAAAAGACACUCUUAAUUUAAUGCAUGAAAUGUCUUGUUAGUAACAUACGAAUGAGAUUAUUGUUCGAAUGAACGUGAGAAAUACUAGAAUUCACUAGAGAACCGAAAUUGACAUAUUAUUUUCCAAAACGAGUGCAGGAUUUUCAAACCCUUGAUGCAUAUUUAAAGCAUCAAACAAAACUCUAAUUAAUAGACAAAUUCGAAUACAACUAAGAAACUGCAAAAACGAAAAAAAUACUCUUAAAUUAAUUUUAAAAAAAAAAAAGCUAAAAUGGUCCUUGAAAGGAUGAAAUUUGACCCUGAGAUUUCGACGAUGGAAAAAUUGUAGAAAACAGAAAAAUGCUCCCGAAUUGCAUUGCUUCCGUAAAUUUUACAUCGAGUUGAAAGUCACGCACAUUUUUAUAGGUCCUUAUUUAUUAUCUUUUUCAAAUGGUUUAUGAUUUUCUCUUCUAAUUGUUUUGCAUCAUAGUCAAUUUUUGAGUUUUCAAGUUUAGUCUAAAACCUAGUUCAAACUUUCCCAUGAUUUCACUAAUUUUGUGUAUUGUUUAACUGCAAAAAUUUAAUGAGGUUUGCAACGUUGAUACCAGUUCAAAAAAUUACCCAUUACUUCUACAUUUGUUCUGCUCUAUGAUAUCUUUUAACAUUUUGUUCUUAUUCAUACAAUAGUUACUUUUUGUAGCAGUGGUUCGAGUCAUCUAUGUGCUACGAUGUGAAAUAAGUGUCAGCCACGUAAAAGGCUAUAAAUAAAAUAGAUAUUGAUAUAAGCUAGCCUAAAGAACCACCCCCAACGACAAAUGAGACGGGUCACUACACGCUGAUGCAAGGCCAUCGACCCCCGGGAGUUACCUAUGUUGCCACCCCAACACUUAGUCAAAAAAUCUCAGGUAAACUGACAAAGCUCCAUGGCAGUUAUUAUGGGCACAACCUCCAGGCAGGAAGUUAGAGACCCCCCACCCAGAACGUGGGAAAGUCAACGUAGGACACGUGGCACCAUGAUCGCCCGACACUCACCCGACUUCCAGCACCUACAAAUACCCUCGAAGGCAACACAGGUAUGAGAAUUGACAUUUUUUAGCCAUCUAAAUUCCAUCUAAAUUUUUCCUAACGCAAAAACUAAUUCUCACGCUGAAGGUAAAACGGGGGACAAAGCCCUGCCCUUCAUUUUUUAGGUCAUACACGCCCGUCAAAACAGUAAGGACGGCAAAGGUUAGCAAGUGGACAAGGAGAUAUCUUUUUUUCACCAUUUCAUUGGAGCCGUCUGUGGGAAUUUUCUUCCAUUGAAAACCAAUGCCAUGUCAAGAAGACGACCAAAAAGUGAUACGCGCUUAAGAACAGUAACGACGGAGACCAAAUCAGAAUCAGUCGCCAGGGGCCUCGACUCGUCACCGCCAUCGCAGUAUGUGACACAAAGCCAGUUUAGCAACCUGGGGACCCAGCUAGCGGCUAAGAUGACCUUCUUGUAGAACCAAACGUAGAGAGUUUCCCUUUUCCCACAUUCGGUAGAAGUCGCGCCGCCACCCCGGGAGGCGCACAUAGAGUGUGGCGAUACACAUAGAGACACCGCCUGUCAUCCAACCGGUAACAGCAGCUCUAGGGGUUACGGUCUUGUAGCCCAUCCCACCUAUGGCGGAUCUGGAGUGAAGGAUGGAUGAGAUAAUGACACAGAAAAUAGAUGAUGUAAUAUCAAAGAGAAAGGAUAAGCGUAGGCAGAUGGUCUUAGAAGAUGACCCAUUCGCUCCAGAAAUCAUGGCGGUCCCCUUGCUUAAGGGCUUCAAGCAACCUAUGAUAGAAGCUUACGAUGGGGUCACAGAUCCACUUGACCAUCUCCAGACCUUUGUUGAUUUAAUGAGACUCUAUGAAGCACCUAAUGCAGUGAUGUGUCGAUCUUUCUCCCCGACCCUCAGGAGAGAAGCCAAAGACUGGGUGGCGACACUUGCCCCUCGAUCUAAAACAUUUGAUGAACUUUCCAGAAGUUUUGUGGCAUACUUCCUCAGUAGCAAAAGAAAGAGGAAGACGGCCAUCGAGCUAAUGUAGGUGGUCCACGAAAAGGAUGAGUCUCUGCAAGAGUAUUUAGCCAAAUUCAGCUGAGCGACCCUUGCAAUAGAGGAUCUUCAAAUGUCAACAGUGGUGACUAGGUUGAUGAACGAAACUUGAAAUUGGGCCUUCAAGAUGUCACUUCCAAGAACCCUUCAGAGUCAAUGCACGACCUGUUGAAAAAGAGAGACAAGUACGUUGAUGCCGAGGAAGCGGAGAAGGUCACAAAACACCUCAAAGAGGGAUGGGAAAUGGAGAGUUACAAGCGAAAGGUAGGGGAUGAGUUAAGAUCUGGCAAGAAAAAUAAGCCAAGAAGUGAGCAGACGGGUAGAGAAACCACCCAAGACCGACAAAUCAGGCAAAAACGAUAGGAGCCCAUGACGUUCACCCCUUUAAAUACCCCGUGCGCGAAGCUAUUGAUGGAGAUAUGAGAUAUGAAGGAGCUUGAAUGGCCGAUGCCCAUGGCAACGCCACCCGACAAGAAAAACCAGGGCCAAUAUUAUCAUUUCCACAAGGAUCACGGGCACGAUACUGAAGAGUACCUGCAGCUAAAGGAGGAGAUCGAGCGCUUCCUAAAGCAAGGGCUCUUGGGCAAAUAUGUGAAGGACAAUCGGGGUAAACAAAAAGUGAAGGAUUGUCCCCCGCCUAGGGCGGGAGUGAUAAACAUGAUUGCAGGGAAAAUAGCAGUAGGCAGAGAUUCAACUUCGACGAGGAAAAGCUAUGCGCGUUCUCUUGGGAACUGUUUCAUCGAAAGGAAAGUGAGGUUUAGUCAAAACAUCACUUUUGGGGAGGAGGAUUUGGCAGGCGUAGCACACCCCCAUGAUGAUGCUUUGGUGAUAGUAGGCGACAUAGCUGAUUUCGACGUGAAGAUGGUGCUGGUUGAUGGAGGAAGUCCUACAAAUGUACUUAUAUGGGAUGCUUUUUUAGGCUUGAUGAUCUUUUCUAACAGGUUGAAAAUAGUAACCACCCCCUUACAGGGCUUUAGAGGGGCCACAGUAAUUUCGGAGAGGACCGUAGAACUCCCUGUCACGCUCAGCACAUAUCCAAUUGCUGUGAUAAUUGUGGCAAGCUUCUUAGUUAUCAAAAUUUCCAUGGCCUAUAAUGAGAUCUACAAUCGACCAUUGCUGAACGUAGCUAGAGCCAUCCCCUCAACCUAUCAUCGAGUCAUGAAAUUUUCGACCACCAGAGGGGUCGGGUGUGUGCGGGGGACCAACAAGCAUCCAAAAAAUGUUAUGUCGACAGUAUAUCAGUCAAGGGAACACCAUCGAUCAUGAUGUUGGAGGCAGAACCUUCAUAGGGGCGGAUUGAACCACUUGACAUGAUUAAAAGGAUCUCCGCAUCAGAUAGAUGGGAGUUUAGCUUUGGGGCCAAUUUGGAAUCUGACGAAAAAGGAAAUUGGUAAGGUGCCUGACACACAACCUAGAUGUUUUCGCAUGGAGCCCGAAUGAUAUUAUUGGGAUCAAUCCAGCCAUUGCUCAACAUCGCUUUGGCGUCCUCCUCAGAGCCAAACCAGUGAAGUAGAAGAAAAUGAACCUCACCCCCAAAAGGCAGGAAGUAGCAAAAGCAGAUGUGGAAAAGCUACUACAAGCUGGUUUCAUUCGGGAAGUGCGGUAUCUUGAGUGGCUAGCCAACAUCGUGCUGGUAAAGAAGUCAAACGGGAAAUGGUGCAUGUGUGUAGAUUACACCCGGCUAAAUAAAGCAUGCCCAAAAAACUCAUACCCAUUCCCCCGGAUAGAUCACCUAGUCGACGCCACAUCGGGUCACGAAUGGCUCAGUUUCCUGGAUGCAUUUUUUGGGUAUCAUCAAAUUUCAAUGGCCGAAUUUGACCAGGAGAAGACGUCAUUUAUCACAGAUUCUGGAACAUAUUGUUACAUUGUGGAACAUAUUGUUACAUAGCCAUGCCGUUUGGCCUCAAAAACGCAUGAGCAACCUACCAAAGGAUGUGAAUAGAAUUUUUCAGAAAUUGAUUGGGAAUGUCACAGAAGCUUACGUUGAUGACAUGGUGGUAAAAAAGUAUCAAAGCCAAUGACCACGCGGCCUGCCUAAAGAAAGUAUUUGACGUAGCCCGACGGAAUAACUUGAAGUCCAACCCGGAGAAAUAUGUUUUUGGCACUGUCUACGGAAAGUUCCUAAGCUUCAUGAUCACCCAAAGAGGUAUAGAGGUGAACUCUAACAAAAUAUAGGUGAUACUAGAGAUAAAGAGCUCCACUAGUAAGAAGGAGGUCCAGCGGCUAACAGGGUUCGUGGCAGCCCUUAAUCAUUUUAUGAGCUAGGCGAUGGAUAAAUGCUAUCGUUUCUUUAAGGCCAUAAGGAGCUCCUCAAAUUUCGAAUGGACUCAAGAGUGCAAAGAAUCCCUGAAAUCCUUGAAGAGGUCACUACAAUAGCCUCCAAUUCUGACCAACCUAUGGUCGGGGAACAUACUGUGUCUCUACCUCACGGUAUCACCACAGGUAAUGAGCACCGUUCUUGUGAAAAAAUUUCCAAAGGCACAAAAGCCGAUCUACUACGUCAGUUAGGUCCUCAAAGGUGCAGAGAUAAGAUACAGCUGGCCGAAUAUCUAGUGCUCGCGUUGAUUGUUGCAGUAAGGAAGCUAAGACCUUACUUUCAGUCCCAUACGGUACAAGUAAUGACUGACCAACCCAUCAAGUAGAUCCUGGAUCGACUGGAAACAUUUAGGAGGCUGCAGAAAUGAGAAAUUGAAAUAAGUGAAUUUGACAUUGAAUUUAGGCCCAGGACGGCCAUAAAAGCACAAGCUUUGGCAGACUUCAUUGCCGAGCUCACCAUCCCAACGGAGCGUCUAGAAGGGCAACAGGCAGAUUGGAAGGUUUUUGUAGACGGUUCCUCAAAUGCAGAGGGAUCAAGAGCAGGGAUAAUAAUGAUCAUACCACACUCUGAAGAGUUGGAAUACUCACUGUGCUUCGAGUUCCCCACUACCAAUAACAACGUCGAGUAUGAAGCAGUAAUCACUAGCCUAGGUCUGGUAGCCAGGCUGGAGGUGUUGUCAGUAGAGGUAUGUCGUGACUUGCAGCUAAUAGUUGGGCAAGUGUUAGGGGAGUAUGAAACGAAAUAUGGAAGGAUGGCAGCAUACAUGAUGAAAGUAUGGGAUCUGUAAAGAUGGUUCACAAGCUUUAAAGUGACCAAGGCCCCAAGAAAAGAUAAUGAGUGAGCAAACGCACUGGCAAAGCUUGCAUCUGGCACCCAAGGAAUUUUCCACGGAUAACGAAUAUGCAAGUCCUACAACAACCCAGCAUUUAGCUUUGGGCAGAGGUGAAAAAUAUUGAACACAAGGAAAGUAGGAUAGAUCUACUGAUUAGAUAUCUCACAGAAGAUAAGGUGUCGAAAGACCCCUUUGAGGCGAGGAGGUUGAGAGCUCGAGUAGCUUCAUUUACCAUCAUCGAUGAGCAGCUCUACAAGAGGGGUCUUGCCAUGCCAUAUCUAAAGUGCAUACUCCCCACCGAAGCAAAAGAUGUACUGUUUGAGGUACAUACUGGGACCUGCGGUAACCACCAAAGGGCAACAUCCCUUGCCUUCAAAAAUUCUGUGACAAGGUUGCUAUUGGCAAACUAUAAACGAGGAUGCCAAAGAGUUGGUACGGAAAUAUGACACAUGCCAACAUCAUGGAAAUUUGAUCCAUGUCUUAGCCGAACAGCAAGCAGCUAUAUUUUGGGUAUGCCCAUUUUUCAGUAGGGAGUGGACAUUUUAGGACCUCUGCCCAUGGCUAAGGAGUAGAGAAAGUUUUUGUUGGUUGCCAUCGACUACUUCGCUAAAUGGGUAGAAGCGGAGCCACUGGCGACCAUCAUGAUAGCAAAGAUACAGAGCUUUGUAUGAAAAAAUAUAAUAUGUCGAUUCAGGAUACCCAAGGUAUUGGUGACGGAUAACGGCAGGCAAUUUGAUAAUCAUAGCUUCAAGACCUUUUGUGUAAAUCAUCACAUCGAUCAUAGACUGACCUCGAUCACCUACCCUCAAUCGAAUGGGCAAGUCGAAGUGACAAACCAAGUCAUUCUUUGGGAUUUGAAGGCCAGAUUAGAAAAGGAGAAAGGGCUUUGGGUAGAUGAGCUUCCCAAUGUGCUAUGGGCAUAUCAGACGACACCACAAGAACCGAUCGGGGAGACACCAUUCAGACUACCCUUUAGGAUGGAAGUAGUAGUUCCAGUUGAGAUCCUAAGUGACUGGUAGGAUGAAAGUCAAGUAGCCCGAUGACACAACAACUAGAGGGGAACUUGACCUGCUUAAGGAGGUAAGGGAGAAGGCAACAAUAAGGAUGAUGGCCUAUAAACGAAGAGCUACUGGGUACUUCAAUCGGAGGAUGAAACCAAGAAUCUUUCAGCUAGGAUACCUCAUUUUAAGGGAUGCAGCAACAGCAAGACACCCCUCGACAAAGUUCAAACCAAACUAGGAAGGCCCUAUAAAGUGAUCCACAGCCUAAGGAAGAGAGCUUAUAACAUGAAAGACAUGAAAGGAAGACCACUGGGUAGGCAAUGGAACACAGAGCAUCUCAAAAAAUAUUACCAGUAGACUUCAGGGUAGAUGCACAUGCUAUGUUUUUACAAAUACAGUAGGAUAGGUUAUGUUGUUAAUUCCCUCCAUGUAAUGGCUUUAGUUACAAUUAUCUAUCUUGUCUAAUGAAAGACCUUGGUAGGGACGGAUGAUGAGGUGCUAAGGAAGGGCCAGCCUAGCUGGGAUGUCUCGGUGCGCCUACUAUUUUUUAUAUGCUAACAUGCAUUUUUGUAACUCCUAUGCUCAUCCCGUAAGGACAUGCGAUCGACAUAGCCCAUGCGGCUAGGCGAAGAGUCUUGAAAAGCCAAAAAAUUGGUUAAGGCCCUUAAUCGCUAGAUCCCUCUCCCGACGGUCAACAUAGCCUACACGGCUAGGCGGAGAGCCUUGAAAAGCUAGAAAUUGGUUAAGGCCCUUAACCGCUAGAUCAUUCUCGCAACGGUCGACAUAGUCCACGCAACUAGGUAGAGAGUUUUGAAAACCUAGAAAUUGGCCAAGACCCUUAACUGCUAGACCCCUCUCUUGAUGAUCGACAUAGCCCACGCAGCUAGACGGAGAUCCUUGAAAAACCAAAAAAUUGGCUAAAGCCCUUAAGCAUUAGACCCCUCUCCCGAUGGUCAACUUAGCCCAUGUGGCUUGGCAGAAAGCCUUAAACGAUUAAAAUAUUGGCUAAGGCCAUUGACCAUUAGAAUCAAGCCUAGCAUGCGCGGGACGAAUGACAAUCACCUAUGCUGUCAAACGACUAAGUGGGGAAAACAACACUAGAAAAAAAAAAGUUAAAAGAAUGAUAAGUUCAAUAUUAAUAACCAUUGAUAACAUAGCAUUCAUACAAGAAAACAUGUGAUGUGCUCUGCCCAUACCCCGGACAAAUAGGGAAUGUUGCUACAAGUAGAAAUAAAAGGCAACACAAAAAAGAACGGGACUAGCAAAAGGUACUACUACUAAGCCAUGCUUCAACUCGAAGGGAAAGCACCGCCACUACCGUCCCACAACGAAUGACCAAGUGACCUGGAUGGCUGCGCCCUACUCUCCUUUCCCUUGCGCUGCACAAGGAACUUAUCGAAACUUGAGGGGUCAAUAGAAGGGUACUCGGUUGAUAUCCACUCCUUGGUUAGUUUGAUGGACGCCACCAUCGCCUUCUCCCAUACGAAUGCAAGGCCCUAGCAUAAUCAGACGAUGACUUGUACUGCUCCACAGAUGCCUCUAAGUCCCUAGAUACUCAGCAAAGGCCUUAUACCUCUCGACCGCCUCCUCCAGAGCACAAGCUAACACAGGCCGCAAAUUGUCAUUCUCUGUCUCCUGCUCGCGGGUUCGAGCCUCUGAUGCCUUUAGAGAUUUCUUCAAGGAAGAUAUCUUUUUCUUGUAAUGAUCAGCCUCUUUCUUCUUUUCUUCUGCAAGAGUCUUCAACUCUAGGGUCUGGCAAUGACUCGAUUCAGAAAACCCGGUCUGAAGGGCCACUACCUAGGGGAUGAGGAGACAAUGUAGAAGUUGAGUAGUAAAACCAUGCUCAAAAGAUAAGACUCGGCGUAAAAGAGAUAUGGAAUUAGCAAUAUACCCUCUGGAGAUAGACCUCACAACCCUCUCGAUGUCGUCUGCGCUACGUCCUGUAAUCGCCCUGGCCCGAGUGGGUGUCACCAAAGAUUUAAGCACCCCCAUCUUAUGAUAGCCUUUGGUGGGAAGAAACUCAAAAUUCGAAAGUGAAUCCUCGCGCUCGCACUACAUACGGCUGGAAGCGCUUGGCCUAGAGUAGGGACAACCUCAAUAGGCUCAUCUGAAGGCUGUGGAGUCUCUUUGGCCACAUGAGACCUUUUUCCUUGGACGACUAUCUUCUUCCUUUUUAAAGGAAUAGGGGAUGGAUCAACAUCACUCCUAUGCCCCUGUUUGGGUAUAGAAUUCAUGGUCCCCUCCAAAUCAAACUCCAUCCCUACGCAUGUAAAGUAAAGUCCAUUAAGUUUGGGAAAAAAAAAACAUGGGAGUGUCAAGCAAAAAAGAGGACCUUAAGAACUUACCAUCAUUGGGGGCAAGGUCCUCGUCGCCACCUAACAGGGUCUUCAAUAUCUCGUCAAGGUCAAAAUCCAUAUCUACGUACACCCGCCCAAACUCAUUAACCCUGAAAAACAACAAAUAAAAAAUAUGUACAAGCAAAGUUUGACUAGGGAUAAGGUGAAAUUCAUGUUCCUCAUGGUUAGAACCGAUCCUAAGUCAGGUGCAAGAGGGGGUAUAUCGACCGACUCCUGGACUUGAGUUUUUAGAAGAAAAGUAAUUUCUACUUGGCUAUUGAAAUGGCGAAUUUGGGGAUGCCGCCACUUUAUAUUGAAAGGGAACCGACCUUCUGGAGCUCAAGCAAAGAAGAACCUGAAUUUCUACCCACUGUUCAAAUUUCUAAACUUAGAAAAGAGCAAAAAGACCCUAGUAGUGAAAAAGACAAACACAUUACACCGAGUUAGAUCGUACAUCUCAAAGACACACUUGAAGUCUAUGGAAAGUGGAAUUCUCCUCUUAAGGUAAACAUACAAGAAAUACAAUGCCUUUCUCCAUGCAUUGAGGUUAAUUUAACUAGGGGUAGGGUGAAAUUCAUUGAAAAUCAACACCUGGAAUGGGUGAAUGAGAAACCAAAAACCCCCUCCACAAUGUCCUUAUACAUAGCUACAUCGCGCGAAUCGGAUCCGGUAAGUCUUUCUUUGGGACCUAGGGCUCUAUAAACAUAAUUAUCGACCCUAUCAUACCUACCGAGACAUUUUUCCAACUUAAGUAGGGAUUGUACAGAGUAUAACUUUUUGGGAUUUCAAGGAGGUCAAUCUCACUAGCCGAAUCCUACCCGAUUUCUAAGUUUUGGUUUGGAGACUUGGUGGGGCCAAUAUGUCUCUUGGGGGAGUUUGAAAUAAACACCUUAGAAUCUGCAGGAAGGGUUUGACUAUCAGAGUCACAAGGGAACUCAUCGAACGAAGGGAAGGAGGUCAAAAGACUUGGGCUGGUCGGACUGACUAGCCUUACGGCUGGACGACGGGGGGUUGGUCGAUUGACUAGCCCCAACAUGCUGGUCGCCUGACCAGCCUUGUCGAUCGUUGGCCGGUCGGCCGACCGAUCGACCGGACUUCUUCCGACAUCGAUCGGUCCCCCAUCACUAGUUUCGUCAGAAGAGGAAGAAAUGAUAGUCUUGUACAUAAUUUUACAAAAAAAAAAAGGAAGAAGAAAGAGGAAAAAGUCACCUUGGAAGAGAGGAAAGACUAAGAUGUUGGGAUGAGGUGAAAAUGAUUCACAUGUGAGGGAUCACCCCCUUUUUAUAAGCAAGAAAAUCCGAGUUUUUUUUUUUUGGGAAAAUUUCCUCCAAGUUAAGGCCCACUGGAUGGGUGCCAACUAUACAGUGAAAUAUGUGGCCAACUUUAAAUUGUACCGCUUGACUUACUUAGGCGAAUGAUACAUAAAAAAAGGGUAAUUAGCACAAAACGUCUCUACCUUUCGUGUUUUGACGGAUUACACCCUCACCUUUACCUUUUUUGCACAAAACAUCCUUCUGUCAACUCCCCGUUAAAAUGCUCCGUUAAAUCAAAGGGUAAUUAAUACAAAAAGUCCCUAUCUUUCAAUAUUAUAGUGUAAAACGUUCAUACCUUUCAUUUUUUAGCAUAAUUAGUACGAAAGAUCCCUACCUUUCAAUGUUAUUGUGCAAAACGUCCAUACCUUUCAUUUUUAGCAUUUUCACCCCUACCUUUCACCUUUCAUUGCACAAAAUGUCCUUUUCAUCUAUUUUUUCAAUAAAAUGACGAUUUUACCCUCCUAUUCAAAUAAAACAAAAAUAAAAGAAAAGAAAAAUAAUUAAUUAAUUGCAAUCAUAGUCCUUAAUCUUUCAAAACAUUAUAGAUAAGUCAUAAAUUCUUCACUACCGCCACUUUUACAACCCCACAAAGCCAUCACCUAUAGAUCCAUAUAGCACUACCUUUCGGCCACAACACCUAUCGAACUCCACCACCACUAGUCUCGCCUCACUCUCCCCAAUAUUCUCCUACAUAGUAUUGGUCACCAAUCUGUCCGAAAAAACCACAUUUACAGUGGUGGAGUCCGGUGGGCAUGGUGGCCAAAAUGUGGUAUUAUGUGGAUUUGUAGUUGGCAGCUUGAUAGGUUGUGAAAGUGGUGAUGGUUGAAAAUUUAUGAUUUCUUUCUAAUUUUUUAAAAAUUUAAGUACUAUGGUUGCUGUUGGUAAUUCAUCUUUUCUUUUUGUUUUAUUUGAAUAGGAGGGUAAAAUCGUCAUUUUAUUGAAAAAAGGAUGAAAAUGACCUUUUGCGUAAUGAAAGGUGAAAGAUAGGGAUAAAAAUGCUAAAAAAAUAAAAGGUAUGGAUGUUUUGCACAAUAACAUUAAAAGGUAGAGACCUUUUGUGCUAAUUAUGGUAAAAAACGAAAGGUAAUGACGUUUUGCACAAUAAUAUUGAAAGAUAAGGACCUUUUGUGCUAAUUACCCUUUAAUUUAACAGAGUAUUUUAACGGGGAGUUGACAGAAUAACGUUUUGUGCAAAAAAAGUAAAGGUGAGGGUGUAAUCCGUCAAAAAACGAAAGAUAUGGACGUUUUGUGCUAAUUAUCCCAUAAAAAAAUAAAAAGAACCAGAAAAGGGAAAUCGCUACCCCUUGCCGAAAAACAUCGAUAAGGGAUAAGGGGUUAAUAAUAUAAGCUAGCCUAGAGAACCACCCCCAACGAUGAAUGAGGCGGAUCACUACAUGUCGAUGCAAGGCCAUCGACCCCCUGGGGGCGCUCUACCUCUAUGCGAGGCCAUCAAUCCCCUGGAGCACUGUUACUCUACGUGAGGCCAUCGACCUUCGGGGGCGAUCUUACUCUACGCGAGGCCAUCGACCCCCCGGGGGCGCUCUACCUUUAUGCGAGACUAUCGACUCCUCGGGAGUUACCUAUGUAGUCACUCCAACACUUAGUCAAAAAAUCUCAGGUAAAUUUACAAAACUCCAUGGUGGUUAUUAUGGGCACAACCUCCAGGCGGGAAGUUAGAGACCCCCCACCCAGAAUGUGGAAAGUGGGAAAGCCAAUGUGGAACACGUGGCACCAUGAUCGCCUAUCACUCACCCGACUUCCAGUACUUAUAAAUACCUCCGAAGGCGACACAGAUAUGAGGAUGGACAUUUUUUUUAGCCAUCUAAAUUCCGUCUGAAUUUCACACAUACACUAAUUCUCAUGCUAGAGAUAAAACGGGGGACAAAGCCCCGCCCUUCAUUUUUUUAGGUCAUACACGCCCAUCGGAACAGUAAGAACACCAAAGAUUAGCAGGUGGACAAGGAGGUAUCUUUUCUCCACCAUUUCACGUAUUAUUGAUAUGAUAAAAGCAUAGCACUUUGUCAUGUUAGUUUGCGAGGUCUAUGUGCUACAAGUUGUAAUGCAUAGCACUGUUUAACAAUGUUGGUAUGACAGACUUAGUGACUUCACCCAUGCUUGGUGUGGCUAUUUAGCAGAUUCCUAUCAAAUUUUACUAGAUUUGACGUUGGAUUUUGUACAAUUUUAAAAUGAAGGCCUACAAAAUAACAGUUUGAAUAGAUUCAGUAGGGCAGACACACAUUUCUUACACUCUUUCGUUUCACCCUCUAUAAAGGAUGAAUACUCCUCCCAAAUAAAUACAUCUAAUCAACCCCUUUUUCACUUACAUUAGAGGACAAAAGGGAAAGGAAAACAAAAAAGCCAUAAGUUUGAGUUUGAAUGUUAUUGGAGAAACAUGCAAAUUGCAUUGGGGGGGGGGGGGGGGGGGGGGGGCAUUAAAAUUCAUAUAAGAAAACAUAGGGAAGAGAAUAGAAAAACUCAGUUGUAGAUCCUCAAUUUCUUCUCUUGUUUUUCUCUGCCUUGUUCUUGAAUCUCUUGAUGUUUUGCCCCUUUGAAUUGUUAAAUCUUGCUCCCUUGAAUUAUAUUUUUGGUUGGUUCAAUUCUUUCAGAAAAUAGGUUUUUGAUCUUAUAUUUAUAGUAUUUUUGGAGUCUUGGACGAAUUAGGGUUGAGUUGAGCUAAGAAAAGAAUCAAAAAAAAAAAAAAAAAAAUUCCCGCAUAGGCAGUACCUCGACGUCCAAGAUGGCACACUGCUGAUUUUCAGCAUCGUGGGCAUUGCAGCUCCCAUUUGCGCCUACUUCGGGUAGAAAAGAUAGUUUACAUCUCCUUCAGUAUGUUUAUCACCCGAUAUCUGAUUGAAACAAUUCAAGAUGCGAUGGAAGGUUAACUGAAAGAGCUACAACUUUGCUUUAAUUAUCGUUCUCCAAAUUGAAAGUUUGUUAUGUCAUAAAUGGGUCUCAAUGUAAGACUAAAAAUUCAGAACAUAACUUUUUGGGUUGGAAAUUGACGUACGAUCAUACUUUGGUUAUAUUUGAUCCAUUUGACAUUUUUCUUCUUCCAGUUGACCCAUAACACUCUCGAAUCUUCAUUGUUAGGUUCGACACAAUUUUUUAAGUAUAUACACUUUAGUCCCCGAAAUUUAGAUCUCUUACAAUUUAGCAAUUUUCUCCAAAUUUAUCAACUUUUGCUUAUUUCUUUUAAUUUCGUCAACCGAUAUCAUAUUAUCAAAACACACAAUAAAAUAUUCUAAGACUUGUAGGAAUAAGCUACUAUCAAGCUCAAUUGAUGUCUAAAGUAUGAGUGAAAUAUACUCAUCAACAAACACAUUUUACAUCUACAUUUCACAACCUCGAACACAAGUCCCCACAUCAAAACCCUAAACCCAAAUUUAUGAAGUUAACUAUCUCCAUCCCACAAAUCCAUCCGACAUACCUAGGUACAAACACAUUUUAUAAACACCCCACUCGCAAAUCCGAAGAGCUAGGUCUUCCACACAUUUGGUCUUGUUGCUUGGAAGGUGUUGGUUUCAGCUUCCAUUUUCCUCCUAGCCUCGUAAUAGAUCAGGAACCAGCUUCAUCAAUCUCUCACACAUUACAAGGUUACACCACACAAAGAAGGUAUAUCUACACAUAUCUUGGCUUUGAGGAUAAGUGAGAAAUCUUCUUCUUGGGUUCAGGUUCGUCCAUGAGGUCUUUAUUUGCACCGGGGAAAAUUAUUAAAAAAAUUCAUUUCUAGGAUCAACUAAUGGUCUUGAUGGUCAAACACGCGAAAAUCGUCAUUUUAGACUGGAUUUGAGAUUUUUCUAAAGGUUUGGUACUUCAUGUGGCACAAAUGAAAUGUUUAAAUCAAAACUGCUAAUAAAUGAAAGGUUUGAUACCUUGAUUGCAAUUUUCCUCAUUUUUAAUGGAUGAAGACUUUAAAUGAUCAAAGCUUAUCUUCAGAAGUUACAUGGCUAGCAAAGGGGAAUAACUAAACAAAAUUUAUUAAAAAUGCUUGAUUAGUCAACAUUUCCGAGUCUUCAUUACAUCCUAGUAUAUAUUUUUAAACGUGGGAUCUAAAAGAAUAAUCCAAUUGUUUUUAUAGUUUAUUACUUAAUAAUAAAUUUAAAAGACACUCUUAAUUUAAUGCAUGAAAUGUCUUGUUAGUAACAUACGAAUGAGAUUAUUGUUCGAAUGGACGUGAGAAAUACUAGAAUUCACUAGAGAACGGAAAUUGAAAUAUUAUUUUCCAAAACGAGUGCAGGAUUUUCAAACCCUUGAUGCAUAUUUAAAGCAUCAAACAAAACUCUAAUUAAUAGACAAAUUCGAAUACAACUAAGAAACUGCAAAAACGAAAAAAAUACUCUUAAAUUAAUUUAAAAAAAAAAAAACUAAAACGGUCCUUGAAAGGAUGAAAUUUGACCCUGAGAUUUCGACGAUGGAAAAAUUGUAGAAAACUGAAAAAUGCUCCCAAAUUGCAUUGCUUCCGUAAAUUUUACGUCGAGUUGAAAGUCACGCACAUUUUUAUAGGUCCUUAUUUAUUCUCUUUUUCAAAUGGUUUAUGAUUUUCUCUUCUAAUUGUUCUGCAUCAUAGUCAAUUUUUGAGUUUUCAAGUUUAGUCUAAAACCUAGUUCAAACUUUCCCAUGAUUUCACUAAUUUUGUGUAUUGUUUAACUGCAAAAAUUUAAUGAGGUUUGCAACGUUGAUACCAAUUCAAAAAAUUACCCAUUACUUCUACAUUUGUUCUGCUCUAUGAUAUCUUUUAACAUUUUGUUCUUAUCCAUACGAUAGUAACUUUUUGUAGCAGUGGUUUGAGUCAUCUAUGUGCUACGACGUAAAAUAAGUGUCAGCCACGUAAAAGGCUAUAAAUAACAUACAUCUUGAUAUAAGCUAGCCUAGAGAACCACCCCCAACGACGAAUGAGACGGGUCACUACACGUUGAUGCAAGGCCAUCGACCCCCGGGGGCGCUCUACCUCUACGCGAGGCUAUCAACCCCUGAGGGCGCUCUACGCGAGACCAUCGACCCCCGGGAGUUACCUAUGUUGCCACUCCAACACUUAGUCAAAAAAUCUCAGGUAAAUUGACAAAGCUCCAUGGCAGUUAUUAUGGGCACAAACUCCAGGCAGGAAGUUAGAGGCCCCCUACCCAGAACGUGGGAAAGUGGGAAAGCCAACGUAGAACACGUGGCACCAUGAUCGCCCGACACUCACCCGACUUCCAGCACUUACAAAUACCCUCGAAGGAAACACAAGUAUGAGGAUUGACGUUUUUUAGCCAUCUAAAUUUCAUCUGAAUUUUUCCUAACGCAAAAACUAAUUCUCAUGCCGAAGGUAAAACGGGGGACAAAGCCCUGCCCUUCAUUUUUUAGGUCAUACACGCCCGUCAAAACAGUAAGAACGCCAAAGGUCAGCAAGUGGACAAGGAGGUAUCUUUUUUCCACCAUUUCAUUGGAGCCGUCUGUAGGAAUUUUCUUCCAUUGAAAACCAAAGCCAUGUCAAGAAGAUGAACAAGAAGUGAUACGCGCUUAAGAGCAGUAACGAUGGAGACGAAAGCAGAAUCAGUCGCCAGGGACCCCGACCCGUCACCGCCAUCGCAGUAUGUGACACAAAGCCAGUUUAGCACCCUGGGGACCCAGCUAGCAGCUAAGAUGACCUUCUUGUAAAACCAAACACAGAGAGUUUCCCUUUCCCCACAUUCGGUAGAAGUCGCGCUGCCACCCCGGGAGGCGUACAUAGAGUGUGGCGGCACACAUAGAGACACAGCCUGUCAUCCAACCGGUAACGGCAGCUCCAGGGGUUACGGUCUUGUAGCCCAUCCCACCCAUGGCGGAUCUGGAGUGAAGGAUGGAUGAGAUAAUGACACAGAAAAUAGAUGAUGUAAUAUCAAAGAGAAAGGAUAAGCGUAGGCAGAUGGUCUUAAAAGAUGACCCAUUCGCUCCUAAAAUCAUGGCGGUCCCCUUGCUUAAGGGCUUCAAGCAACCUAUGAUAGAAGCUUACGACGGGGUCACAGAUCCACUUGACCAUCUCCAGACUUUCGUUGAUUUAAUGAGACUCUAUGCAGCACCUGAUGCAGUGAUGUGUCGAUCUUUUUCCCCGACCCUCAGGAGAGAAGCCAGAGACUGGGUGACGACACUUGCCCCUCGAUCUAAAACAUUUGAUGAACUUUCCAGAAGUUUUGUGGCAUACUUCCUUAGUAGCAAAAGAAAGAGGAAGAUGGCCAUCGGGUUGAUGCAGGUGGUCCACGAAAAUGAUAAGUCUCUGCAAGAGUAUUUGGCCAAAUUCAGCUGAGCGACCCUUGCAAUAGAGGAUCUUCAAAUGUCAACAGUGGUGACUGGGUUGAUGAACGAAACUUGAAAUCGGGCCUUCAAGAUGUCACUUCCAAGAACCCUUCAAAGUCAAUGCACGACCUGUUGAAAAAAAGAGACAAGUACUUUGAUGCCGAGGAAGUGGAGAAGGUCACAAAACACCUCAGAGAGGGAUGGGAAAUGGAGAGUUACAAGCGAAAGGUAGGGGAUGAGCUAAGAUCUGGCAAGAAAAAUAAGCUAAGUAGUGAGCAGACGGGUAGGGAAACCACCCAAGACCGACAAAUCAGGCAGAAACGAUAGGAGCCCAUGACGUUCACCCCUUUAAAUACCCCGUGCGCGAAGCUAUUGAUGGAGAUAUGAGAUAUGAAGGAGCUUGAAUGGCCGAUGCCCAUGGCAACGCCACCCGACAAGAAAAACCAGGGCCGAUAUUAUCAUUUCCACAAGGAUCACGAGCACGAUACUGAAGAGUACCUGCAACUGAAGGAGGAGAUCGUGCGCUUCCUGAGGCGAGGGCUCUUAGGCAAAUAUGUGAAGGACAAUCGAGGUAAACAAAAAGUGAAGGAUUGUCCCCCGCCCAGGGCGGGAGUGAUAAACACGAUUGCAGGGAAAAUAGCAGUAGGCAGAGAUUCAACCUCGCCGAGGAAAAGCUACGCGCGUUCUCUUGGGAACUGUUUCAUCCAAAGGAAAGCGAGGUUUAGUCAAAACAUCACUUUUGGGGUGGAGGAUUUGGUAGGCGUAGCACACCCCCAUGAUGAUGCUUUGGUAAUAGUAGGCGACAUAGCUGAUUUCGGCGUGAAGAGGGUACUAGUUGAUGGAGGAAGUGCUGCAAAUGUACUUACAUGGGAUGCUUUUUUGGGCUUGAUGAUCUUUUCUAACAAGUUGAAAAUAGUAACCACCCCCUUACAGGGCUUUAGAGGGGCCACAGUAAUUUCGGAGAGGACCGUAGAACUCCCUGUCACACUCAGCACAUAUCCAACUACUGUGGUAAUUGUGGCAAGUUUCUUAGUUGUCAAAAUUUCCAUGGCCUAUAAUGAGAUCUACGAUCGGCCAUUGCCGAAUGUAGCUGGAGCCAUCCCCUCAACCUAUCAUCGAGUCAUGAUAUUUCCAACCACCAGAGGGCUCGGGCGUGUGCGAGGAACCAACAAGCAUCCAGAAAAUGUUAUGUCGACGGUAUAUCAGUCAAGGGAACACCAUCAAUCAUGAUGUUGGAGGCUGAACCUUCGAAGGGGCAGAUUGAACCACUUGACAUGAUUAAAAGGAUCUCCGUAUCAAAUGGACGGGAAUUUAGCGUUGGGGCCAAUUUGGAAUCUGACGAAAAAGGGAAAUUGGUAAGGUGCCUGACACACAACUUAGAUGUUUUCGCAUGGAGUCCGAAUGAUAUUAUUGGGAUCAACCCAGCCAUUGCUCAACAUCGCUUCGACGUCCUCCUCGGAGCCAAACCAGUGAAGUAGAAGAAAAUAAACCUCACCCCCAAAAAGUAGGAAGUAGCAAAAGCAGAUGUGGAAAAGCUACUACAAGCUGGUUUCAUUCGGGAAGUGCGGUAUCUUGAGUGGCUAGCCAACAUCGUGCUAGUAAAGAAGUCAAAUGAGAAAUGGUGCAUGUGUGUAGAUUACACCCGGCUAAAUAAAGCAUGCCCAAAAGACUCAUACCCACUCCCCCGAAUAGAUCACCUAGUCGACGCCACAUCGGGUCACGAAAAGCUCAGUUUCCUGGACGAAUUUUUUGGGUAUCAUCAAAUUUCAAUGGCCGAAUUUGACUAGGAGAAGACGUCAUUUAUCACAGAUUCUGGAACAUAUUGUUACAUCGUGGAACAUAUUGUUACAUAGCCAUGCCGUUUGGCCUAAAAAAUGCAUGAGCAACCUACCAAAGGAGGGUGAAUAGAAUUUUUCAGAAAUUGAUUGGGAAUGUCACAGAAGCUUACGUUGAUGACAUGGUGGUAAAAAAGUACCAAAGCCAAUGACCACGCGGCCUGCCUAAAGAAAGCAUUUGACGUAGCCCGACAGAAUAACUUGAAGUCCAACCCGGAGAAAUAUGUUUUUGGCACUGUCUACGAAAAGUUCCUAGGCUUCAUGAUCACCCAAAGAGGUAUAGAGGUGAACCCUAACAAAAUAUAGGUGAUACUAGAGAUAAAGAGCUCCACUAGUAAGAAGGAGGUCUAGCGGCUAACAGGGUGCGUGGCAGCCCUUAAUCAUUUUAUGAGCUAGGCGAUGGAUAAAUGCUAUCGUUUCUUUAAGGCCAUAAGGAGCUUCUCAAAUUUCAAAUGGACUCACGAGUGCAAAGAAUCCCUGGAAUCCUUGAAGAGGUCACUACAACAGCCUCCAAUUCUGACCAACCUAUGGUCAGGGAACAUAUUGCGUCUCUACCUCGCGGUAUCACCACAAGCAAUGAGCACCGUUCUUGUGAAAGAAUUCCCAAAGGCACAAAAGCCAAUCUACUACGUCAGUCAGGUCCUCAAAGGCGCAGAGAUAAGAUACAGCUGGCCGAAUAGCUAGUGCUCGCGUUGAUUGUUGCAGUAAGGAAGUUGAGACCUUACUUUCAGUCCCAUACGGUACAAGUAAUGACUGACCAACCCAUCAAGUAGAUCCUGGAUCGACUGGAAACAUUCAGGAGGCUGUAGAAAUGAGAAAUUGAAAUAAGUGAAUUUGACAUUGAAUUUGGGCCCAGGACGGCCAUAAAAGCACAAGGUUUGGCAGACUUCAUUGCCGAGCUCACCAUCCCAACGGAGCCUCCAGAAAGACAACAGGCAGAUUGGAAGGUUUUUGUAGAUGGUUCAUCGAAUGCAGAGGGAUCAAGAGCAGGGAUAAUAAUGAUCAUACCACACUCCGAAGAGUUGGAAUACUCACUGUGCUUCGAGUUCCCCACUACCAAUAACAACGUCGAGUAUGAAGCAGUAAUCGCUAGCCUAGGUCUGGUAGCCAGGUUGGAGGUGUUGUCAGUAGAGGUAUGUAGUGACUUGCAGCUAAUAGAUGGGCAAGUGUCAAGGGAGUAUGAAGCGAAAUAUGGAAGGAUGGCAGCAUACCUGAUGAAAGUAAGGGAUCUGUAAAGAUGGUUCACAAGCUUUAAAGGGACCAAGGCCCCAAGAAAAGAUAAUGAGUGAGCAAACGCACUGGCAAAGCUUGCAUCGGGCAACCCAAGGAAUUUCCCACGGAUAGUGAAUGUGCAAGUCCUACAACAACCCAUCAUUCAGCUUUGGGCAGAGGUGAAAAAUAUUGAACACAAGGAAAGUAGGAUAGAUCCACUGAUUAGAUAUCUCACAGAAGAUAAGGUGCCGAAAGACCCCUUUGAGGCGAGGAGGUUGAGAGCUCCAGUAGCUUCAUUUACCAUCAUCGAUGAGCAGCUCUACAAGCGGGGUUUUCCAUGCCAUAUCUAAAGUGCAUAUUCCCAACCGAAGCAAAAGAUGUACUGUUUGAGCUACAUACUGGGACCUGCGGUAACCACCAAAGGGCAACAUCCUUUGCCUUCAAAAAUUCUGUGACGAGGUUGCUAUUGGCAAACUAUAAAAGAGGAUGCUAAGGAGUUGGUACGAAAAUAUGACACAUGCCAACAUCAUGGAAAUUUGAUCCAUGUCUUAGCCGAACAGCAAGCAGCCAUAUUUUGGGUAUGCCCAUUUUUCAGUAGGGAGUGGACAUUUUAGGACCUCUGCCCAUGGCUAAGGGGUAGAGAAAGUUUUUGUUGGUUGCCAUCGACUACUUCGCUUAAUGGGUAGAAGCGGAGCCACUGGCAACCAUCAUGAUAGCAAAGAUACAGAGCUUUGUAUGGAAAAAUAUAAUAUGUCGAUUCAGGAUACCCAAGGUAUUGGUGACGGAUAACGGUAGGCAAUUUGAUAAUCAUAGCUUCAAGACCUUUUGUGUAAAUUAUCACAUCGAUCAUAGACUGACCUCGGUCGCCUACCCUCAAUCAAAUGAGCAAGUCGAAGUGACAAACCAAGUCAUUCUUUGGGAUCUGAAGGCCAGAUUGGAAAAGGAGAAAGGGCUUUGGGCAGAUGAGCUUCCGAAUGUGCUAUGGGCAUAUCAGACGACUCCACAAGAACCGAUCGGGGAGACACCAUUCAGACUACCCUUUGGGAUGGAAGCAGUAGUUCCAGUUGAGAUCCUAAGUGACUGGUAGGAUGAAAGUCAAGUAGCCCGAUGACACAACGACUAGAGGGAAACUUGACCUACUUAAGGAGGUAAGGGAGAAGGCGACAAUAAGGAUGAUGGCCUAUAAACGAAGAGCCGCUGGGUACUUUAAUCGGAGGAUGAAACCAAGAAUCUUUCAGCUAGGAGACCUCAUUUUAAGGGAUGCAGCAACAGUAAGACACCCCCCAACAAAGUUCGAACCAAACUGGGAAGGCCUUAUGAAGUGAUCCACAGCCUAAGGAAGAGAGCUUAUAACAUGAAAGACAUGAGAGGAAGACCACUGGGUAGGCAAUGGAACACAGAGCAUCUCAAAAAAUAUUACCAGUAGACUUCAAGGUAGAUGCACAUGCUAUGUUUUUACAAAUAUAGUAGGAUAGGUUGUGUUGUUAAUUCCCUCUAUGUAACGCCUUUAGUUACAAUUAUCAAUCUUGUUUAAUGAAAGACCUUGGUAGGGACAGAUGAUGAGGUGCUAAGGAAGGGCCAGCCUAGCUGGGACGUCUCGGUGGGCCUACUAAGCUCACGAAUCCAAGUAUUUUUUUAUAUGCUAACAUGCAUUUUUGUAACUCCCAUGCUCAUCCCGUAAGGACAUGCAAUCGACAUAGCCCAUGCGGUUAGGCGAAAAGUCUUGAAAAGCCAAAAAAUUGGCUAAGGCCCUUAAUCGCUAGAUCCCUCUCCCGACGGUCAACAUAGCCUACACAGCUAGGCGGAGAGCCUUGAAAAGUUAGAAAUUGGCUAAGGCCCUUAACCGCUAGAUCCUUCUCGCGAUGGUCGACAUAGUCCACGCGACUAGGUGGAGAGUUUUGAAAAGCUAGAAAUUGGCCAAGACCCUUAACCGCUAGACCCCUCUCUUGAUGAUCGACAUAGCCCACGCAGCUAGACGGAGAGCCUUGAAAAGCCAAAAAAUUGGCUAAAGCCCUUAAGCGUUAGACCCCUCCCUCGAUGGUCAACUUAGCUCAUGUGGCUUGGCAGAAAGCCUUAAACGAUUAAAAUAUUGGCUAAGGCCGUCAACCAUUAGAAUCAAGCCUAGCAUGCGCGGGACAAAUGACAGUCACCCAUGCUGUCCAACGACUAAGUGGGGAAAACAACGCUAGAAAAAACAAGUUAAAAGAACGAUACGUUCAAUAUUAAUAACCAUUGAUAACAUAGCAUUCAUACAAAAAAACAUGUGAUGUGCUCUGCCCAUACCCCGAACAAGUAGGGAAUGUUGCUACAAGUAGAAAUAAAAGGCAACACAAAAAAGAAUGGGACUAGCAAAAGGUACUACUACUAAGCCAUGCUUCAACUUGAAGGGAAAGCACCGCUACUACCGUCCCACAACGAAUGACCAAGAGACCUGGAUGGCUGCGCCCCACUCUCCUUUCCCUUGCGCUGCACAAGGAACUUAUCGAAACUUGAGGGUUCAAUAGAAGGGUACUCGGUUGAUAUCCACUCCUUGGUUAGUUUGAUCGACGCCAUCAUCGCCUUCUCCCAUACGAAUGCAAGGCCCUAGCAUAAUCAGACGAUGACUUGUACUGCUCCACAGACGCCUCUAAGUCCCUAGAUACUCAGUAAAGGCCUUAUACCUCUCGACCGCCUCCUCCGGAGCACAAGCUAACACAGGCCGCAAAUUGUCAUUCUCUGUCUCCUGCUCGUGGGCUCGAGCCUCUGAUGCCUCUAGAGAUUUCUUCAAGGAAGAUAUCUUUCUCUUGUAAUGAUCAGCCUCUUUCUUUUUUUCUUCUGCAAGAGUCUUCAACUCUAAGGCCUGGCAAUGACUCGAUUCAGCAAACCCGGUCUGAAGGGCCACUACCUAAGGGAUGAGGAGACAAUGUAGAAGUUGAGGAGUAAAACCAUGCUCAAAAGAUAAGACUCAGCGUAAAAGAGAUAUGGAAUUAGCAACAUACCCUCUGGAGAUAGACCUCACACCCUCUCAUGUCGUCUGCGCUACGUCCUGUAAUCGUCCUGGCCCGAGUGGGUGUCACCAAAGAUUUAAGCACCCCCAUCUUAUGAUAGCCUUGGGUGGGAGGAAACUCGAAAUUCAGAAGUGAAUCCUCGCGCUCGCACUACAUACGGCUGGAAGCGCUUGGCCUAGAGUAGGGACAACCUCAAUAGGCUCAUCUAAAGGCUGUGGAGUCUCUUUGGCCACAUGAGACCUUCUUACUUGGACUGAGACCUUCUUCCUUGGACGACUAUCUUCUUCCUUUUUAAAGGAAUAGGGGAUGGAUCAACAUCACUCCUAUGCCCCUGUUCGGGUAUAGAAUUCAUGGUCCCCUCCAAAUCAAACUCCAUCCCUGUGCAUGUAAAGUAAAGUCCAUUAAGUUUAAAAAAAAAAAACAUGGGAGUGUAAAGCAAAAAAAAGGACCUUAAGAACUUACCAUCAUUGGGGGCAAGGUCCUCGUCGCCACCUAACAGGGUCUUCAAUAUCUCGUCAAGGUCAAAAUCCAUACCUACAUACACCCGCCCAAACUCAUUAGCCCUGAAAAACAACAAAUAAAAAAUAUGUGCAAGCAAAGUUUGACUAGGGAUAAGGUGAAAUUCAUGUUCCUCAUGGUUAGAACCGAUCCGAAGUCAGGUGCAAGAAGGGGUAUAUCGACCAACUCCUGGACUUGAGUUUUUAGAAGAAAGGUAAUUUCUACUUGGCUAUUAAAAUGGCGAAUUUGGGGAUGCCACCACUUUGUAUUGAAAGGGAACCGACCUUCUGGAGCUCAAGCAAAGAAGAACCUGAAUUUCCACCCACUGUUCAAAUUUCUAAACUUAGAAAAGAGCAAAAAGACCCUAGUAGUGAAAAAGACAAAUGCAUUACACCGAGUUAGAUUGUACAUCUCGAAGACACUUGAAGAAGUCUAUGGAAAGUGGAAUUUUCCUCUUAAGGUAAACAUACAAGAAAUACAAUGCCUUUCUCCAUGCAUUGGGGUUAAUUUAACUAGGGGUAGGGUGAAAUUCAUUGAAAAUCAACACCUGGAAUGGGUGAAUGGGAAACUGAAAACCCCCUCCACAAUGUCCUUAUACACAGCUACAUCGCGCGAAUCGGAUCCGAUAAGUCUUUCUUUGGGACCUGGGGCUCUAUAGACAUAAUUAUCGACCCUAUCAUACCUACCGAGACAUUUUUCCAACUUAAGUAUGGAUUGUACAGAGUAUAACUUUUUGGGAUUUCAAGGAGGUCAAUCUCACCAGCCGGAUCCCACCCGAUUUCUAAGUUUUGGUUCGGAGACUUGGUGGGGCCAAUAUGUCUCUUGGGAGAGUUUGAAAUAAACACCUUAGAAUUAGCAUGAAGGGUUUGACUAUCAGAGUAACAAGGGAACUCAUCGGACGAAGGGGAGGAGGUCAAAAGACUUGGGCUGGUCGGACUGACCAGCCUUACGGUUGGACAACAGGGGGCUGGUCGAUUGACUAGCCCCAACAUGCUGGUCGCCUGACCAGCCUUGUCGAUCGUUGGCCAGUCGGCCGACCGAUCGAUCGGAAUUCCGACAUCGAUCGGUCCCCCAUCACUAGUUUCGUUAGAAGAGGAAGAAAUGAUAGUCUUGUACAUAAUUUUACAAAAAAAAAAAGGAAGAAGAAAGAGGAAAAAGUUACCUUGGAAGAGAGGGAAGACUAAGAUGUUGGGAUAAGGUGAAAAUGAUUCACAUGUGAGGGAUCACCCCCUUUUUAUAAGCAAGAAAAUUCGAGUUAUUUUUUUUGGGGGGAAAUUUCCUCCAAGUUAGGGCCCACUGGAUGGGUGCCAACUAUACAGUGAAAUAUGUGGCCAACUUUAAAUUAUACUGCUUGACUUACUUAGGUGAAUGAUACAUAAAAAAAAGGUAAUUAGCACAAAACGUCUCUACCUUUCAUGUUUUGACGGAUUACACCCUUACCUUUACCUUUUUUGAACAAAACAUCCUUCUGUCAACUCCCCGUUAAAAUGCUCCGUUAAAUCAAAGGGUAAUUAACACAAAAGGUCCCUAUCUUUCAAUAUUAUAGUGCAAAACGUCCAUACCUUUCAUUUUUUAGCAUAAUUAGUACAAAAGAUCCCUACCUUUCAAUGUUAUUGUGCAAAACGUCCCUACCUUUCAUUUUUAGCAUUUUCACCCCUACCUUUCACCUUUCAUUGCACAAAAGGUCUUUUUCAUCUAUUUUUUCAAUAAAAUGACGAUUUUACGCUCUCAUUCAAAUAAAACAAAAAUAAAAGAAAAGAAAAAUAAUUAAUUAAUUGCAAUCAUAGUCCUAAAUCUUUCAAAACAUUACAGAUAAGUCAUAAAUUCUUCACUACCGCCACUUUCACAACCCCACAAAGCCAUCACCUAUAGAUCCAUAUAGCACUACCUUUCGGCCACAACACCUAUCGAUCUCCACCACCACUAGUCUCGCCUCACUCUCUCCAAUAUCCUCCUCCAUAGUAUUGGUCACCAAUCUGUCCGAAACAACCAAAUUUACGGUGGUGGAGUCCGGUGGGCAUGGUGACCAAAAUGUGGUAUUAUGUGGAUUUGUAGUUGGCAGCUUGAUAGGUUGUGAAAGUGGUGAUGGUUGAGAAUUUAUGAUUUCUUUGUAAUUUUUUAAAAAUUUAAGUACUAUGAUUGCUGUUAGUAAUUCAUCUUUUCUUUUUGUUUUAUUUGAAUAGGAGGGUAAAAUCGUCAUUUUAUUGAAAAAAUGAUGAAAAUGACCUUUUGCGUAAUGAAAGGUGAAAGAUAGGGGUGAAAAUGCUAAAAAAAUAAAAGGUAUGGAUGUUUUGCACAAUAACAUUGAAAGGUAGGGACCUUUUGUGCUAAUUAUAGCAAAAAAUGAAAGGUAAUGACGUUUUACACAAUAAUAUUGAAAGGUAGGGACCUUUUGUGCUAAUUACCCUUUGAUUUAACAUAGCAUUUUAACGGGGAGUUGACAGAAUAACGUUUUGCGCAAAAAAAAAGUAAAGGUGAGGGUGUAAUCCGUCAAAAAACGAAAGGUAUGGACAUUUUUCACAAAAAUAUUGAAAGGUAGGGACGUUUUGUACCAAUUACCCCAUAAAAAAAUAAAAAGAACCAGAAAAGGGAAAUCGCUACCCCUUGCCCAAAAACAUCGAUAAGGGAUAAGGGGCUAAUAAUAUAAGCUAGCCUAGAGAACCAUCCCCAAUGAUGAAUGAGGCGGAUCACUACACGUCGAUGCAAGGCCAUCGACCCUCUGGGGGCGCUCUACCUCUAUGCGAGGCCAUCAACCCCUGGGAGCACUGUUACUCUACGUGAGGCCAUCGACCUUCGAGGGCAAUCUUACUCUACGCGAGGCCAUCGACCCCUCGGGGGCGCUCUACCUUUAUACGAGGCUAUCGACUCCCCGAGAGUUACCUAUGUAGUCACCCAAACACUUAGUCAAAAAAUCUCAGGUAAAUUUACAAAGCUCCAUGGUGGUUAUUACGGGUACAACCUCCAGGCGGGAAGUUAGAGACCCCCCCACCCAGAAUGUGGGAAGUGGGAAAGCCAAUGUGGAACACGUGGCACCAUGAUCGCCUGUCACUCACCCAGUGCUUAUAAAUACCUCCAAAGGCGACACAGGUAUGAGGAUGGACAUUUUUUUUAGCCAUCUAAAUUCCGUCUGAACUUCUCCCAACACAUACACUAAUUCUCAUGCUAGAGAUAAAACGGGGGACAAAGCCCCGCCCUUCAUUUUUUUAGGUCAUAAACGCCCGUCGGAACAGUGAGAACACCAAAAGUCAGCAGGUGGACAAGGAAGUAUCUUUUCUUCACCAUUCACGUAUUACUGAUAUGAUAAAAGCAUAGCACUUUGUCAUGUUAGUUUGCGACGUCUAUGUGCUACAAGUUGUAAUGCAAAGCACUGUUUAACAAUGUUGGUAUGACAGACUUAGUGACUUCACCCAUGCUUGGUGUGGCUAUUUAGCAGAUUCCUAUCAAAUUUUACUAAAUUUGACGUUGAAUUUUGUACAAUUUUAAAAUGAAGGCCUACAAAAUAACAGUUUGAAUAGAUUCAUUAGGGCAGACACACAUUUCUUACAAUCUUUCGUUUCACCCUCUAUAAAGGAUGAAUACUCCUCCCAAAUAAAUACAUCUAAUCAACCCCUUUUUCACUUACAUUAGAGGACAAAAGGGAAAGGAAAACAAAAAAUCCAUAAGUUUGAGUUUGAAUGUUAUUGGAGAAACAUGCAAAUUGCAUUGGGGGGGGGGGACCCACAUUGCAACGGCAUACAGUCGAAUUUUUGAAAGAUUAAUGAGAUCAGACGGACGCUUAGUGUUGUCUUCGACUCUAGGGAUUUUAAUAUUUGUUAUGUCCCGUUAUCUUUUGCCUAAUUGACACAUUUGGCACUUUCACUUAGUAACACUUGACGCAGUUCAAGAAACGCGUGCUAUAGUGUUGAUACAAUCAAGUGUUAAAUCCAAUUAUUACUACUAAUAUUGUUGUCAUUUAUGUUACUUUUCUACGUGUAGUGUGGUAUUGACACAGUCUAAUGUUAACUCAGAUAAUUACUACCAAUAUCGCUGUCAUUUUGUGUUACUUUUCCAAUCUCUUGUGGGACUAUAAAAUAAUUAACUGCUUUCUUUAGAGCCAAACAAAUCUUUGUAUUAAUUCUCACGCCAACAGCCAACCGACCGACCAAUCAUAACAAUCUGAAAUGACUAAACACCAAAAUUUUAUUAUGUAUUUAAGUUAGGUGAACGACUUAUUUUUCUCAUUUUAAAGGGGGAAAAAAUUAAAAAGCAUGGAAAAAUUCUGCAUAUUGCAUCAUGCACGAGAUUAAUAGUGAUUAAAUAAAAUUAACGUACGUUAGAAAGUCAAAUCUAAUUAAUUAUUUUUCUGAAAACUAUAUUCUUCCCAUAUUUAAUAUAUAAAAAAUCUUUAAUAUUUGUCCAUUUUAUAGAAUGUAUGUCAUCGUGAACAUGAUAAUCCUGAACGAUAUUAGAAAGGAGAAAAAAAGGAAGUAAAUAAAACUCUUUAUGCCCUCUACAACCUAAUAAAUAGUUACACUUUAAAGAUCGUUUUCGUAUGAUUGUUACUUUCACUUUCGCUUCUUGUAAAGAGUUUCAUGAUAAAAUUAUCUUAAUUUUUGUUUAAAAGUUAAUUUUUAAAAGAGUUCUAUAUUCGAGAAGUACAUUUAAAGAAAAUCAUAUCGGAUCAAUUUAAUUUAAAAACUCUUUUAACUGAAAAAAACACUUUCAUGAAAUUAGUCACGACUCAAAAAACAGUUUUUGGGGCUCAAAAACUCACUUUAACUUCUUAAAAGUCAUAUAAAACGAGUUGACGUCAGUUUUUCAUAUUAAUUUAUAGGCUUUAUUUGAUUAUAAUAUAAUUACUUAUUUUAAAAUGAAAUUAAGGCUAAACUCUCCCACAUUUCACUUGAUGUGAUUAUAGAAUUUUAACAUUUAAAAAUGAACUUAUGGCCUCCAAAUUAUUUAAAUAUGUAAAUUCGAAUUCUUAUGGACCGAAUUAUUAAUGUAGUUGCUAAAAUUGCACGUAAUAUUCAUGAGACUUAAAUCUAGUGAAUAAAAUCAUCGAAGCACUUCAUAUUUCAACAUUGAAAUUUAAUCAUCUAUACAAAUAGUUUUCAUCACGAGUAGAUUGAAACUCAUUAACUUAAAUAAAUUAGAUUCUCAAAAUUUCACUUUUAAAUGUUGAAAAUUCGUGUAUCCAACAGGAUCAAUAGCUCGGACUCCCAUAGGGCAAUAUUGGGGAAUCUUGAACAAUGGACAAAAGCGCUAGUGGGGCCCAGCAGCCCUAAAUUUCUAUAAUUUUAAAGGUGUUGCACCAUAAUUGGCUUAUCUUCAUGGACAGUACGAACACACGAUUUAACACCGGCCAACGUGACUGCUUUAACAUAAUUGGAGCUUUUUGUAUUAAUUAAAGAUUUUAGCGCGGUGUCGUUUGCAUCAUCAUUGACCAUACUUUGAUGGUGACCAGAUAAAGAAUCGAACAUUUAUUCUGAAAUAUCUUAUUUUUUUCUUGAAAAUCAACUCAUACUAUAUUAUACUACCCUUCUAAUCGGAUUCACUGAAAUUGAAGUAGAAUAUUGAAAGAAAAUGUGAGGGUAAUUUAUCAUUACAGAUCCUUCUGAUCCAAUUCGGUGAAAUUGAAGGGAAAUUGGGUGAAUUGUGCAGAAAUUGCACGGAGUUGAGUAGAAUUAGUCGAUAAUUUGAGUUUCCAACUGAGGGGGAAAAAAGUGGGAUUGGAUGCGGAAUUCUGAUUUACGAGUUGGAAUUGAAGAUAGACAAGGAGCGAUUUAAUAGUGAUAUCAAGGAAAGCAAUUGGUCAAUUUUUGCUGGUAAAUUAUCGAUAUCAUUUUUUUCCCUCUUUUUUGUUUUAGGUUUGGUUGAAUUGUACUUGAAUUUUGUGAAUUUACAGUGCUGAUUACCAGUAUUUGUGAUUUACACAUAAUUGUUUAAUUUCUGUCACUGUCUAUAAUUUUUUUUUUUUUUUACCUUUCUUAGAAGAUUUUUAUAUAGUGUUUCUUUGAAUUUUUAAAAAUGGAAUAAAAUGGGAAAGUUCAUCUUUUCAACACAAGUCAGCUCUUUUUCUACACUGUUAAUGUCCUGAAAUUUCAUUAUGGAAACUACUUCAUUAUACUGAAUGUGGGAAGAAUUUCUUCUCAAUGAAAGCUAAUUUGCGUAAAAAAGAUAGUUUUCGAAAAUAUUUUUGUUGGGUUUCUCAAUUGAAUGAAGUGAAGUCCAUUCAUUAGUUGAAAGCAUGUUUAAAAUUCAAAUCUCCGAAUUAUUCUGUAUGAUUUCUUUAUAAGUUUUAUCACUUGAUUAAGUGCAGUCCACUCAUUAGUUGAAUGAAUGUUUAAAAUCUUGGAAUUAUCUUGUAACUACUCUGCAUCUGUAUUUUCCUUAUUGAGCAUUGCAUUUGAGUGAUCUCAUCAUUGUUUAAUCGUUUUUGAAUUUUUUCUCUUCCUUGUUUCUGUACAAUAUGCAGUACAGUCAUUUGUCCUGUUAUAACUAAUGGUGCAUUGCAUCAAAUAUUUGUCGUUAUUUGGAUGGUAUUGACUGAUUGGUCACAUUAGACAGCCACAUGGUUUAGCUGUCCCUUGAAAGGUGGACAAAAUGUGUGAGGACUGUCCAUGAUCAUAGGAACGAGAACAUGUUAAUUAUACAAUGCAUCUAAAAUAAUGGAAACUAUCACGAGGUAGAAUGAUAUUCUUAAGGUUCAUUUGUAUGGAAUGCUCCUGGAUGAUGUGAUAGGUGCACUUAUGUAGGCCCAGUUUUUUUUAGGAUUCCUUGUUCUAUAACUAUGUGUUGCAUAUGGAUCCUUUGGAAUUUGAUCCGUUUUGUAAUCAUUUCAGUUGUAUGGCAACUCAUGUUGAGCCUCCGAAUGGGGUGGGAACACCAGGGAAGCAUUACUAUUCCAUGUGGCAAACACUGUUCGAGAUUGAUACGAAGUAUGUGCCAAUCAAGCCUAUUGGUCGAGGGGCGUAUGGUAUUGUCUGCUCGUCUGUCAACAGGGAAACCAGUGAAAAGGUUGCAAUCAAAAAGAUAUAUAAUGCCUUUGAAAACCGCAUUGAUGCACUAAGAACUCUGCGUGAAUUGAAGCUCCUCCGCCAUCUUAGACAUGAAAACAUCAUAGCUCUGAAGGAUGUUAUGCUUCCAAAUCAUAAGAGAAGCUUCAAGGACGUCUACUUGGUUUAUGAGCUUAUGGAUACUGAUUUGCAUCAGAUAAUUAAGUCGUCCCAAACACUGUCGAAUGAUCAUUGUCAGUAUUUCCUAUUCCAGGUACAUAGGGUGAUUAUUCGAUAAGCCAUGUUCAUUCCCUUGCAACUUCUGCUCUUAACUUGCAUUAUUACAAUGGCGAGGAACUUCUGAAGCAAAAAUUGAUAAUAAUGAAAAUAGAAGAAAUAUUUUUUUACAUAUUUGAUCGCCUAUACAAAGCUUCACCUUGUGCUUGGCAGAUCUGAUUACUUGACAUAUUUUGUAUAUUACAAUGCAGUUACUUAGAGGUCUGAAGUAUCUACACUCAGCAAACAUUCUUCAUCGGGAUUUGAAGCCUGGGAACCUACUUAUCAACGCAAACUGUGAACUGAAAAUAUGCGAUUUUGGGCUAGCACGUACAAGCAGUAGCCAGGGCCAAUUCAUGACUGAAUAUGUGGUCACUCGAUGGUAUCGUGCACCAGAGCUACUUCUCUGCUGUGACAAUUAUGGCACCUCUAUUGAUGUGUGGUCUGUCGGUUGCAUUUUUGCCGAACUUCUUGGUCGAAAACCCAUUUUUCCUGGUACAGAGUGUCUUAACCAGAUUAAACUGAUUAUCAACAUCCUCGGUAGCCAGAGGGAAAAUGAUCUCGAGUUUAUUGAUAACCCAAAGGCGAGAAAGUACAUUAAGUCACUUCCUUACUCCUUCGGAACUCCUUUCUCCCGCCUUUAUCCAAACGCCCAUCCUCUGGCCCUCGAUCUGUUACAGAAGAUGCUUGUCUUCGACCCUACGAAGAGGAUAAGUGUAACAGAAGCACUUCAACACCCAUACAUGUCUCGCCUUUACGAUCCAAGAUGUGACCCUCCCAUUAAUGUUCCAAUCAAUCUCGACAUAGACGAGGAUUUAGACGAAGAUAUGAUUCGAGAAAUGAUGUGGAUGGAAAUUCUUCAUUACCAUCCUGAAGCUUCUGCAGCCAAUAUGGAGGUGAACAAGUAAUGGUUAGUUUCUCCAUUGCUGGUGAUUUGAUCUUUGUUUUUGUAACAUCAGAACUUUAUAUGUAUCUUUGGUUGUCUUUUUAUUUAUUUCUAUAAUCCUUGAAAAACAAUACAUUAGCAGUUUAGGCUGUUAAUGCGCUUUCUCUGUUUAUGAAAGUUGUUUCACUUCUUGGAAACUUUUUGGACAAGUGCCUUCAAAUCAAGAAGCUUUUUCUCUGUAAAAUACUAGAAUUGUUCGAAUUGGUGAAGCUUAACUGUACUGUUCACUUGUCCCCUCGACUGGCUUAACAUUCUUACUAUAGAAAGGCAGUGUUUGAGUGUGCGAUGCGUGGCAAUCUAGAAAACUUUUAAAAUUUAGUAACAUUUGAGAAACAUUUAGGAAAAUACAAUAGCAUUUGGGAUAUUUAAAGUGUGAGCAUAUUUAGACACCUUACAUCUUAUAUUAUUAAGGAAAACAAAGUGUUUUUUUUUUUUUUUUUANNNNNNNNNNNNNNNNNNNNNNNNNNNNNNNNNNNNNNNNNNNNNNNNNNNNNNNNNNNNNNNNNNNNNNNNNNNNNNNNNNNNNNNNNNNNNNNNNNNNNNNNNNNNNNNNNNNNNNNNNNNNNNNNNNNNNNNNNNNNNNNNNNNNNNNNNNNNNNNNNNNNNNNNNNNNNNNNNNNNNNNNNNNNNNNNNNNNNNNNNNNNNNNNNNNNNNNNNNNNNNNNNNNNNNNNNNNNNNNNNNNNNNNNNNNNNNNNNNNNNNNNNNNNNNNNNNNNNNNNNNNNNNNNNNNNNNNNNNNNNNNNNNNNNNNNNNNNNNNNNNNNNNNNNNNNNNNNNNNNNNNNNNNNNNNNNNNNNNNNNNNNNNNNNNNNNNNNNNNNNNNNNNNNNNNNNNNNNNNNNNNNNNNNNNNNNNNNNNNNNNNNNNNNNNNNNNNNNNNNNNNNNNNNNNNNNNNNNNNNNNNNNNNNNNNNNNNNNNNNNNNNNNNNNNNNNNNNNNNNNNNNNNNNNNNNNNNNNNNNNNNNNNNNNNNNNNNNNNNNNNNNNNNNNNNNNNNNNNNNNNNNNNNNNNNNNNNNNNNNNNNNNNNNNNNNNNNNNNNNNNNNNNNNNNNNNNNNNNNNNNNNNNNNNNNNNNNNNNNNNNNNNNNNNNNNNNNNNNNNNNNNNNNNNNNNNNNNNNNNNNNNNNNNNNNNNNNNNNNNNNNNNNNNNNNNNNNNNNNNNNNNNNNNNNNNNNNNNNNNNNNNNNNNNNNNNNNNNNNNNNNNNNNNNNNNNNNNNNNNNNNNNNNNNNNNNNNNNNNNNNNNNNNNNNNNNNNNNNNNNNNNNNNNNNNNNNNNNNNNNNNNNNNNNNNNNNNNNNNNNNNNNNNNNNNNNNNNNNNNNNNNNNNNNNNNNNNNNNNNNNNNNNNNNNNNNNNNNNNNNNNNNNNNNNNNNNNNNNNNNNNNNNNNNNNNNNNNNNNNNNNNNNNNNNNNNNNNNNNNNNNNNNNNNNNNNNNNNNNNNNNNNNNNNNNNNNNNNNNNNNNNNNNNNNNNNNNNNNNNNNNNNNNNNNNNNNNNNNNNNNNNNNNNNNNNNNNNNNNNNNNNNNNNNNNNNNNNNNNNNNNNNNNNNNNNNNNNNNNNNNNNNNNNNNNNNNNNNNNNNNNNNNNNNNNNNNNNNNNNNNNNNNNNNNNNNNNNNNNNNNNNNNNNNNNNNNNNNNNNNNNNNNNNNNNNNNNNNNNNNNNNNNNNNNNNNNNNNNNNNNNNNNNNNNNNNNNNNNNNNNNNNNNNNNNNNNNNNNNNNNNNNNNNNNNNNNNNNNNNNNNNNNNNNNNNNNNNNNNNNNNNNNNNNNNNNNNNNNNNNNNNNNNNNNNNNNNNNNNNNNNNNNNNNNNNNNNNNNNNNNNNNNNNNNNNNNNNNNNNNNNNNNNNNNNNNNNNNNNNNNNNNNNNNNNNNNNNNNNNNNNNNNNNNNNNNNNNNNNNNNNNNNNNNNNNNNNNNNNNNNNNNNNNNNNNNNNNNNNNNNNNNNNNNNNNNNNNNNNNNNNNNNNNNNNNNNNNNNNNNNNNNNNNNNNNNNNNUGUGUCAUUUGUAUCGAUCUUGUGAACCAUCCAUCUGUACACGUAGUGUGGCUCAAAUUCGUUUGCAAAGCUCUUUCAUCGAGUGAAACAUGGGGCCCAGCAGCCCUAAAUUUCUAUAAUUUUAAAGGUGUUGCACCAUAAUUGGCUUAUCUUCAUGGACAGUACGAACAUAACACCGGCCAACGUGACUGCUUUAACAUAAUUGGAGCUUUUUGUAUUAAUUAAAGAUUUUAGCGCGGUGUCGUUUGCAUCACCAUUGACCAUACUUUGAUGGUGACCAGAUAAAGAAUCGAACAUUUAUUCUGAAAUAUCUUAUUUUUUUCUUGAAAAUCAACUCAUACUAUAUUAUACUACCCUUCUAAUCGGAUUCACUGAAAUUGAAGUAGAAUAUUGAAAGAAAAUGUGAGGGUAAUUUAUCAUUACAGAUCCUUCUGAUCCAAUUCGGUGAAAUUGAAGGGAAAUUGGGUGAAUUGUGCAGAAAUUGCACGGAGUUGAGUAGAAUUAGUCGAUAAUUUGAGUUUGCAACUGAGGGGGAAAAAAGUGGGAUUGGAUGCGGAAUUCUGAUUUACGAGUUGGAAUUGAAGAUAGACAAGGAGCGAUUUAAUAGUGAUAUCAAGGAAAGCAAUUGGUCAAUUUUUGCUGGGUAAAUUAUCGAUAUCAUUUUUUUCCCUCUUUUUUGUUUUAGGUUUGGUUGAAUUGUACUUGAAUUUUGUGAAUUUAGAGUGCUGAUUACCAGUAUUUGUGAUUUACACAUAAUUGUUUAAUUUCUGUCACUGUCUAUAAUUUUUUUUUACCUUUCUUAGAAGAUUUUUAUAUAGUGUUCCUUUGAAUUUUUAAAAAUGGAAUAAAAUGGGAAAGUUCAUCUUUUCAACACAAGUCAGCUCUUUUUCUACACAGUUAAUGUCCUGAAAUUUCAUUAUGGAAACUACUUCAUUAUACUGAAUGUGGGAAGAAUUUCUUCUAAACGAAAGCAAAUUUGCGUAAAAGAGAUAGUCUUCAAAAAUAUUUUUGUUGGGUUUCUCAAUUGAAUGAAGUGAAGUCCAUUCAUUAGUUGAAAGCAUGUUUAAAAUUCAAAUCUCGGAAUUAUUCUGUAUGAUUUCUUUAUAAGUUUUAUCACUUGAUUAAGUGCAGUCCACUCAUUAGUUGAAUGAAUGUUUAAAAUCUUGGAAUUAUCCUGUAAAUACUCUGCAUCUGUAUUUUCCUUAUUGAGCAUUGCAUUUGAGAUUAAUCGUUUUUGAAUUUUUUCUCUUCCUUGUUUCUGUACAAUAUGCAGUACAGUCAUUUGUCCUGUUAUAACUAAUGGUGCAUUGCAUCAAACAUUUGUCGUUAUUUGGAUGGUAUUGAUUGAUUGGUCACAUUAGACAGCCACAUGGUUUAGCUGUCCCUUGAAAGGCGGACAAAAUGUGUGAGGACUGUCCAUGAUCAUAGGAACGAGAACAUGUUAAUUAUACAAUGCAUCUAAAAUAAUGGAAACUAUCACGAGUUAGAAUGAUAUUCUUAAGGUUCAUUUGUAUGGAAUGCUCCUGGAUGAUGUGAUAGGUGCACUUAUGUAGGCCCAGUUUUUUUUAGGAUUCCUUGUUCUAUAACUAUGUGUUGCAUAUGGAUCCUUUGGAAUUUGAUCCGUAUUGUAAUCAUUUCAGUUGUAUGGCAACUCAUGUUGAGCCUCCGAAUGGGGUGGGAACACCAGGGAAGCAUUACUAUUCCAUGUGGCAAACACUGUUCGAGAUUGAUACGAAGUAUGUGCCAAUCAAGCCUAUUGGUCGAGGGGCGUAUGGUAUUGUCUGCUCGUCUGUCAACAGGGAAACCAGUGAAAAGGUUGCAAUCAAAAAGAUAUAUAAUGCCUUUGAAAACCGCAUUGAUGCACUAAGAACUCUGCGUGAAUUGAAGCUCCUCCGCCAUCUUAGACAUGAAAACAUCAUAGCUCUGAAGGAUGUUAUGCUUCCAAAUCAUAAGAGAAGCUUCAAGGACGUCUACUUGGUUUAUGAGCUUAUGGAUACUGAUUUGCAUCAGAUAAUUAAGUCGUCCCAAACACUGUCGAAUGAUCAUUGUCAGUAUUUCCUAUUCCAGGUACAUAGGGUGAUUAUUCAAUAAGCCAUGUUCAUUCCCUUGCAACUUCUGCUCUUAACUUGCAUUAUUACAAUGGCGAGGAACUUCUGAAGCAAAAAUUGAUAAUAAUGAAAAUAGAAGAAAUAAUUUUUUACAUAUUUGAUCGCCUAUACAAAGCUUCACCUUGUGCUUGGCAGAUCUGAUUACUUGACAUAUUUUGUAUAUUACAAUGCAGUUACUUAGAGGUCUGAAGUAUCUACACUCAGCAAACAUUCUUCAUCGGGAUUUGAAGCCUGGGAACCUACUUAUCAACGCAAACUGUGAACUGAAAAUAUGCGAUUUUGGGCUAGCACGGCUAUGAACACAUGGUUUAAGAUCAUCAAAAAUCAUUCUAUUCCUCGCCAUCCAAAUUUGGUAGGCUGUGCAAGCAAGUGCAAUCAGGGACGGAUCCAGGAUUGGAUCCAAGAUCGGUUUACAAAAUUUCAAACCGGGCUACUACGUGGAAAAAAAUUUUACACAUAAAAAAACUAGUAUUUUACCCAAAAAAAAAAAAAAAACCUUUAAAAAAGCUAUUUGCCAUAGGGGGUGGGGCUACAACCCAGCCCAGCCCCCAACUAAAUUCGUCUCUCAGUGCAAUUCUCUUGCCCUUAGCUUGCCAAGAUGUGCCUCGAGCUUUUUUCUUCAUCCACUUUAAUGCACUAAGUAUUGUCGUCAUCGACCUUUUAAUUCCUAACCAAUCUUUAAUAUGCCCCCAGAUAUUUGUCACAUUGGAAAAAAAAUGUGUUUCCUAUAUUCUAGGUUUGAAUCACAAAAGACACACGUUCUAUCAAUGUUAAGAUACAUUAACAUGCUUUUUUUUAUUCUAGUGUUGGAAAUACGUAUAAAAAAUAACUUGUUUUUAAUUUUGACCUUAAAAGAUUUAAUUAUUUUAUAAUAAACUAAUUUACUUCAAAAUAACUUGCUUAUAAGUACAAUUUUAAGCUUAGUCAAACAUGGACUAAUGAGUUGUGAAAAAGACCAGAAAGAUGCCUCAUUUAACAAUAAAAAGUUGCCUAACACAGAACCCCCAACCCCACGCCCACGCUCACCCCCCAACCAAAGCAAGGUAUAUAUGCUACCUUGAUUGUUAAUUGCUUCAUGUAAAUAAUUUAAACUUUUAGAUAAAGUAGUUAAUUUGUUGCUCAAUUCUUAUAGUCAAUUCAUAAAAAAAAUUGUACACAUAUUAAACUUUUAAUGAAAAAUAAACGUCUUCAACAAAUAAGGGAGUAAGUAAGUAAAUGCCACAUUCACCUCCCAGGGCAUAAUCCAAUGGUACAAAGGAUAGGAGUAUGAUUAUUUCACGCCUUGCUGGCAGUCGCAAGGGGUUCAAUUCUUGAAAUAUGGAAUUGGACUCCUUAUAGGCGCAGUGUAUAAACAGCUUUUGUUCCCUAACUUUCUGGGACAUAUCCUGCGAUUUACCUUCCCCCACAAAAUUCUAGGGGCGGGGUGGUAGAGGCUCUCAAAGUUAGGGUUCAAUCUUUUGAGUAAAUGCCACAUUCAUCACCAUGUGAUCGAGAAAGGCUACUCAAUUUAACCCGAUCUCACAUUUUCUUUUUACAUUUUGCGUAUAAUUUGUUUACCCCGUAAAAGUUUAAACACAAACAUUAAAUUCUCUCCAUGUUCUUGAUCGGAUUUAUAGCAUAAAUAUAAUGGAUAUUCAAAUAUUCCUCAAAGAUUCUGUUAAUCCAAGUCCAUGGAAUUAAUAUGUCAAUCUAAAAGACAUUACUACAAAAGAAUCAUAUUACUGGUAACUAAUUGUGUUCUUCACCAAUGUAGGUGGCAGUAGUCCUGAAUCAUUGUUCAAUGAGUUAUCACCUGGAUUGAUGAUGAUCAUAAUUAAUAAUUAAUAGCAUUACUCUACGAUAAAUUCGUUAUCACCGACGCGUUACCAAACAUGAGUUUUUUAACGUUAACCUCCAAAAUAUAAAGGAUUAAAGAAAGUUAUUAAAUUAGAAUUUAUUUAAUCAAAUUGUAUAAUCUUAACUUCUUCUUUUUUUAACUUAUAAACUUAGAAAAAUACCGAACAUUAAAAAGUUGCCUAACACAGAACCCCCAACCCCACCCCCACGCUCACCCCCCAACCAAAGCAAGGUAUAUAUACUACCUUGAUUGUUAAUUGCUUCAUGUAAAUAAUUUAAACUUUUAGAUAAAGUAGUUAAUUUGUUGCUCAAUUCUUAUAGUCAAUUCAUAAAAAAAAUUGUACACAUAUUAAACUUUUAAUGAAAAAUAAACGUCUUCAACAAAUAAGGGAGUAAGUAAGUAAAUGCCACAUUCACCUCCCAGGGCAUAAUCCAAUGGUACAAAGGAUAGGAGUGGGAUUAUUUCACGCCUUGCUGGCAGUCGCAGGGGGUUCAAUUCUUGAAAUAUGGAAUUGGACUCCUUAUAGGCGCAGUGUAUAAACAACUUUUGUUCCCUAACUUUCUGGGACAUAUUCUGCGAUUUACCUCCCCUCACAAAAUUCUAGGGGCGGGGUGGUAGAGACUCUCAAGGUUAGGGUUCAAUCUUUUGAGUAAAUGCCACAUUCAUCACCAUGUGAUCGAGAAAGGCUACUCAAUUUAACCCGAUCUCACAUUUUCUUUUUACAUUUUGCGUAUAAUUUGUUUACCCCGUAAAAGUUUAAACACAAACAUUAAAUUCUCUCCAUGUUCUUGAUCGGAUUUAUAGCAUAAAUAUAAUGGAUAUUCAAAUAUUCCUCAAAGAUUCUGUUAAUCCAAGUCCAUGGAAUUAAUAUGUCAAUCUAAAAGACAUUACUACAAAAGAAUCAUAUUACUGGUAACUAAUUGUGUUCUUCACCAAUGUAGGUGGCAGUAGUCCUGAAUCAUUGUUCAAUGAGUUAUCACCUGGAUUGAUGAUGAUCAUAAUUAAUAAUUAAUAGCAUUACUCUACGAUAAAUUCGUUAUCACCGACGCGUUACCAAACAUGAGUUUUUUAACGUUAACCUCCAAAAUAUAAAGGAUUAAAGAAAGUUAUUAAAUUAGAAUUUAUUUAAUCAAAUUGUAUAAUCUUAACUUCUUCUUUUUUUAACUUAUAAACUUAGAAAAAUACCGAACAUAGUAAUUUGAAAUGUGUUUUGUUUUUUAUUUUUUUUUCUAAUAUUUAAAAAAAAAAAAAAAAAGGCUAGCUGGAAAAGCUUUCUAUAGUUGUGCAGUGAGCUUGCAAAAAAAAUUUGACCUAGUAGACCUUGAUGAAAAUUUAUGAAAUUUUAGAGGAAAGAAUAAAACUCAUAUAAGUACAACAUAAAAAAUUUGGAAUCUCAACGACAACGUUUGGAGCAUGAAAUUAUUUUUCAAACAAGCUGGCCCGUGUUUCCCGAAUUUGACUGUCACAGUUUUCUAAAAUUGCUAUAAUAUAUUUUAUGGGACUCCGAUAGACCGGUUUUCAAUUGCAUAUGAUAGAUAACUCACAUCAUUUCCAAUUAAAAACAAGCCAAAAUUCUAAAUAUACCGACCAUAGUACAAUUUUAAAAACAGUGGCAGAAUGCUAGAAGUUACUAAAACACAUAGUCAAACGUUAAAAUUUUCUGUCUCAAAACAUGAAUUUAAACUACAAUUUCUAGGACACCUCGUGAUUAUUAAACAUAAAAUGACAAUCUAAAACAUAAUAAAUAAAUAUCUCUAAAAAUAACAUAUAUAUGACAUUUGUGGUGAACCACCGUAGGAUCUCCAAUUACUCUGAAAAAGUUAAAUAGAAGUAAGCAUAUAUAUAUAUAUACACACACACACACUCAACAAGCUGUACAUGCUAUAAGAACAUAAUAAUCAUAUAUUUAAUUAUGCAUCCUUACAAAUUGCCUUUAUAAAUAAGUAAAUCAAUAAUCAAACGACGAGUUCUUUAACAUUAACCUCCAAAAUAUAAAGGAUUAAAGAAAGAAAUUAAAUUAGAAUUUAUUUAAUCAAAUUGUAUAAUCUUAACUUCUUCUUUUUUUAACUUAUAAACUUAGAAAAAUACCGAACAUAGUUAAACAUGUAAUCUUUCUUGCAUCAACAUUUAAGAGAAAUCCUUAAAGGCAUUUCAUAUACUUCAUGAGCAAACAUAAUGGAUAACACGUUUAAAUGAAAAUUUAAUUCAUAUAACAAUAACUUUGCAUAGGGAUCCUACUUUAAUUUGUGGUGAUGACGUAGUGACUACAUUGAAUCGAAAUUCUUUCCAAAACUUUUCUAAAGACUAGUUUGCCACCUGUGCAAUGCAUGGGUUGAAUUAUUUUGAACGUAAUGUUAGCAUUUUUAAUGUUGGUAUGAGUUUAGUGAUUAAAGAAGUUGAAGAAAAUUUAUGAAAUUUUAGAGGAAAGAAUAAAACUCAUAUAAGUACAACAUAAAAAAUUUGGAAUCUCAACGACAACGUUUGGAGCAUGAAAUUAUUUUUCAAACAAGCUGGCCCGUGUUUCCUGAAUUUGACUGUCACAGUUUUCUAAAAUUGCUAUAAUAUAUUUUAUGGGACUCCGAUAGACCGGUUUUCAAUUGCAUAUGAUAGAUAACUCACAUCAUUUCCAAUUAAAAACAUGCCAAAAUUCUAAAUAUACCGACCAUAGUACAAUUUUAAAAACAGUGGCAGAAUGCUAGAAGUUACUAAAACACAUAGUCAAACGUUAAAAUUUUCUGUCUCAAAACAUGAAUUUAAACUACAAUUUCUAGGACACCUCGUGAUUAUUAAACAUAAAAUGACAAUCUAAAACAUAAUAAAUAAAUAUCUCUAAAAAUAACAUAUAUAUGACAUUUGUGGUGAACCACCGUAGGAUCUCCAAUUACUCUGAAAAAGUUAAAUAGAAGUAAGCAUAUAUAUAUAUAUACACACACACACACUCAACAAGCUGUACAUGCUAUAAGAACAUAAUAAUCAUAUAUUUAAUUAUGCAUCCUUACAAAUUGCCUUUAUAAAUAAGUAAAUCAAUAAUCAAACGAUCUAUUUAAAGUUCUAAUGAAUCUUUAUGACCAUCGUUUAAACAUGUAAUCUUUCUUGCAUCAACAUUUAAGAGAAAUCCUUAAAGGCAUUUCAUAUACUUCAUGAGCAAACAUAAUGGAUAACACGUUUAAAUGAAAAUUUAAUUCAUAUAACAAUAACUUUGCAGAGGGAUCCUACUUUAAUUCGUGGUGAUGACGUAGUGACUACAUUGAAUCGAAAUUCUUUCCAAAACUUUUCUAAAGACUAGUUUGCCACCUGUGCAAUGCAUGGGUUGAAUUAUUUUGAACGUAAUGUUAGCAUUUUUAAUGUUGGUAUGAGUUUAGUGAUUAAAGAAGAACCAAUUAGUUGUAAAUGUAAUAAAAUGAGGUAAGUUAUUUAUGAUAUUAAGGUAUGAAUGGAAUUGUUGAAUAUACUAGUCAUUUGAAACACAUUUGAUAGUUGAUAAUAUUGUUAACAUAAUUAUGAUGUUUAGGAUGAAGUAUACUACAUGAGUCUAUUUAUUGAUGAUGAAUCAAAAUUCAUAUGUUAGUAUGAUUCAGUCAUUGUUCAUAAUGUUUGUAUUUACAAAAUCCUUUAUUUUCUCUAUAGAAUUUUCAUGCAUUAAAAUGUCUACAAUAAAUACCUGGUGGCAAUACAUAUGCAUUAGAUGGCACAUGAAGUACAUUGUUAUUUUGUUUGUGUUGAAAGUCAAGAAUUUUAUAGUUUCGUUAUCUAAAGUAUAAAAGUCAAAUUGUUCAUAAAUUACAAGUUGAUUAAGUCGAGGAACAACAUAAUGAUUAUUUUCAGACAACGCAGACUCAUUUAUCCUCUUACGACGAUUAAUAUAAAAAGUUUUGAGAUGGCCUCACCUAUCCCCAUUUUUUUUUAUUUUUUUUUUGGGAGUAUGGAAGCAUUAUACAAGUUCUUUUGAGUUUCUGAAAUAGUUUCAAGAUAAAUAGAACUAGGGUCAACUUCAGCAAAUAAUUCCGAAAUUUCCAUUACAGCAACAGAAAAAUAGCUGAAUAUUCGUACUCCAAGCAAAUUAGUAUACACUAAAAAAGUAGAGAAAAUUAGAUAAAAGAAAAUAUUGAAAAUAAAUAAGAUUGUUCACAACACAGAAAUAAAUAAACUGCUGCACAGUAACAUUUAAAAUAGGAAGAAUUUCAUAUCUACCAGUAAAUUUACUCUAUUAGAAGUUGACGUAAAAUUAGUUCACAAACAAUUCAACGUUGGUACAAUUUAAGUAGACAAGAACAAAACAAAAGAUGUCAUAAGAGGGUGUUUAGGAGCCUUUUUUUUUUUACGUAAAAAUGCAUUUUGGAAUAGUAAAUUGAUGAGAAAUGUGUGACUGAAAAAUAAGAAAAAAAAUUUGAUUUACGUGUAAUAUUAUUUUAAUGAAGAAUGUGUGGUUGAAAAGAAAAGAGAGAAAAAUACAUUUUGAAAAAAAAUGGGUACCAAACGAAUCCUAAUUCAAGACUUCUAAAGUAAACAAGAGUUUUUUUGCGAAAAUCCCUAUCCAAAUGAUUCUAGAUACUCUACGUAGAUAGUUUCAUACGUUUAGCUUCAAGUUUUUUUAAUGUCAAUUAGAUUAUGCAAUUUACACCCGAGUAUGCUGAGAUAUUACUUUUCUUAGAAAUGAAUGAAAACUGAAAUUGUAAUUGUAUAAUAGAUAACUUCUUUUCUAGGAAAGGAAAUUAAAUAAUAUAAGAAUUAAUUAUAUAUUUGGCGAACAAAUGAUUGAGUAUCAUCAGUCAUUUGAAACACAUUUGAUAGUUGAUAAUAUUGUUAACAUAAUUAUGAUGUUUAGGAUGAAGUAUACUACGUGAGUCUAUUUAUUGAUGAUGAAUCAAAAUUCAUAUGUUAGUAUGAUUCAGUCAUUGUUCAUAAUGUUUGUAUUUACAAAAUCCUUUAUUUUCUCUAUAGAAUUUUCAUGCAUUAAAAUGUCUACAAUAAAUACCAGGUGGCAAUACAUAUUCAUUAGAUGGUACAUGAAGUACAUUGUUAUUUUGUUUGUGUUGAAAGUCAAGAAUUUUAUCUGUAUCUUUAUCCGAAGUAUAAAAGUCAGAUUGUUCAUAAAGUAUAGGCUGAUUAAGUCGAGGAACAACAUAACGAUUAUUUUCAAACAAUGCAGGCUCAUUUAUCCUCUUACGACGAUCAAUACAAAAAGUUUUGAGAUGGCCUCGCCUAUCCCCCNNNNNNNNNNNNNNNNNNNNNNNNNNNNNNNNNNNNNNCCCCCCCCCCCCCCUUUUUUUUUUUUUUUUUUUUUGGUGGAGUAUGAAAGCAUUACACAAGUUCUUUUGAGUUUUUGAAAUAGUUUCAAGAUAAAUAGAACUAGGGUCAACUUCAGCAAAUAAUUCCGAAAUUUCCAUUACAGCAACAGAAAAAUAGGUGAAUAUUUGUACUCCAAGCAAAUUAGUAUACACUAAAAAAGUAGAGAAAAUUAGAUAAAAGAAAAUAUUGAAAAUAAAUAAGAUUGUUCACAACACAGAAAUAAAUAAACUACUGCACAAUAACAUUUAAAAUAGGAAGAAUUUCAUAUUUACCAUUAAAUUUACUGUAUUAGAAGCUGACCUAAAAGUAGUUCACAAACAAUUCAACGUUGGUACAAUUUAAGUAGACAAGAACAAAAAAAAAGAUGUCAUAUUAAGAGGGUGUUUAGGAGCCAUUUUUUUUUUAUGUAAAAAUGCAUUUUGGAAUAGUAAAUUGAUGAGAAAUGUGUGACUGAAAAAUAAGGAAAAAAAGUUUGAUUUACGUGUAAUAUUAUUUUAAUGAAGAAUGUGUGGUUGAAAAGAAAAGAGAGAAAAAUACAUUUUGAAAAAAAAUGGGUACCAAACGAGUCCUAAUUCAAGACUUCUAAAGUAAACAAGAGUUUUUUUGCGAAAAUCCCUAUCCAAAUGAUUCUAGAUACUCUACGUAGAUAGUUUCAUACGUUUAGCUUCAAGUUUUUAUAAUGUCAAUUAGCUUAUGCAAUUCACACCUGAGUAUGCCGAGAUAUUACUUUUCUUAAAGAUGAAUGAAAACUGAAAUUGUAAUUGUAAAAUAGAUAACUUCUUUUCUAGGAAAGGAAAUUAAAUAAUAUAAGAAUUAAUUAUAUAUUUGGCGAACAAAUGAUUGAGUAUCAUUUAAACCUAGCAAAAAAUCAAUCAACAAACAUAAAAUUGAACUGGUAAAACUAACUUCUAUAUAAAUGAAAAAGAACAUAUCAUUCAUAGAUUAAAGAAUUUUAAAUUUAAAAGAAGAUAAAAAUAAAUAAAUAUCAUACUAAAUUCACAAACUUCAUUAAAUAGACCAUGCCCAAACUCCAAAUUGACUUUACCAUAUCUUUUCAGUCAUUGAAUUGCUUCAACGUAGUCGAUGCUCUAGAUUUUUCAAAAAUUUUGGCAAUUUAUGACCAAACUUCAAAUUUCUAAAAGCACAGUGUCCGAUUGGAGACACAAAAUCUACUAAAUUCAAAACAAAAAUGCACAAAACUCCCUGAAUCAAAACUUCAAAUUUUCUUCAAAAACUCAACUUUCUUUUUUAUAUCAAUUGAAUCAUAAAACUUAAUUCCAAAACCAAAUUAGUUUAUCUAAUAUACCCUUCUUCUUUUUUCAAAACCCAACCGAACAGCAGGCCAAAAGAACAUAUUAACCAUAGAUUGAAAUAUUUUAAAUCUAAAAGAAGACACAAAAAAAAAAAAAUAAAACAUGAACAAGAUAACAAUUUUCAUAGAAAAUGUAAAUAAAAAUUAUAGAAGAAAUUCAGAUUUAUAGAGAAAAGAUGAAGAAAACUUACUUUCAACCUCUCUCCAUGAACUUCAUAACACGAAACCGAAAAAAAAUCAACAAAAGCCGAGCGGAGACAAAGUAAGAGAUGGAAAAGAAAAAGCGAAAAAAAAAAUAGUUGCAUAAAAAUACAAAAAUGAAAUAAAAUAGAGAAAUAAAAAAAAAACACGAACAAAUUUACCUUUAAUACCACGUUAAUAUGCAAAUCUAUCAACGAAAGAGAAGAGCAGAAAAAGACGAUUUCUAGGGUUUCUUUUUUGCUCGAGAAUGGAGAAUAAGGGUGCGUUUGAUUGCAAGAAUGAAAUUUGCAUGGAAAAAAAAUAAAUUUUAGGUAAUUCAAUUGUCUAGAAUUUAUUGGUAUGUAAAUUAUCAAUUAAAUGCGUUUGAUUGAUUUAAUUUUCAAUCUAGAAAAUAUUAUUCUUGUCCAUUUUUUAUUGGUGGGUUAAUGAGAGAGAGUAGAUAAAUAAAAGAGAGAAAGAAAGAGGAAAUUUCGUCGAAAAUAAAAUCAUACUCUUUCUAAAAAAAAACUUUAAUCCGGUCAAAAAAUGAAUAUUAAAAGAGGAUAGACUAUUUAAUGUGGGCCACAGUACAAUUGGGCCAAAAGUAAAAAUUUCAAAUGACAAAGUACAGAGAUAAUAAAUUCGACUAAAGUAAAAUUUCACAAUUACCAACAGCACUCAUAAAUGUGGACCCACAAUUGGAAAAAAUUGAAACCAAAUACAUGUGUUCUGUUGCUUUUCUUCCAAUCUAAACCGGUUAAGCAUCAAAAUAGAAGAAAACUUCAAUCUAAUCAAGUGUGAACACGAGUGGACAAAAAUGAAUAGAAAAAGAGGAUGGACUUUUUUAAAGUAAAGGGGGAAAAAGGGGAUAAAAGCUAGGAUUUAAGGGUAAAAUGGGAAAUACAUAAAUGAAUGAACAGUGAAGGCAACAUUGCCUCUUUUAAGGGAGUAGAGAUAGAGAAAUACAUGUGAAAGAGUAUAUAAUAGCUUAGGAAAAAUAUGAUGAUAAUUAAUCGAACUUUGUCUUUGUUGUUACUUGAUGAGUUUUAGAGUUAGUGAUAUCAGUAAUUUUUUUUAUCGAUAAAUGUAAAAUUUUGUAGAUAAAAAUUUCAGUAAAAGUACACUGGACAAGAUAAAUAGAAGUUCAUAUAGACAUUGAUAAAGCAUGAAUUAAAAAGGAAUUAUUUAUAUCAUAAAAAGAAAUUUAAAUUGAACAAAAAAAUAUUUAUAAUAAGAAGGAAAAAUAAAAUUUAAAACAAUUUUAAAAAAUAUAUAUAAUAAAAUAAACAAAAGGAAGUUAUAAAAAUUAAAUAAAGAAUAUAUAAAUAAUAUUUAAUUGAAAUUGAAAAAAAUGUAAGUUUUAUCAUAAUGAGAAAAGAACUAAAAAAAUUAUAUUGAAAAAAAUUAUUUAUAAUAUGAACAAAAUAAAUUAUAAAAAAAAUAAAUGAGGGACAGAGUGAUGAAAAGAAAUCUCACUAUGUUAUGGAUUUCUCUCUGUGUUAUGGACAUGGAGAGUUUCUCUUUGUGUGAUGGAGGGAAACUCUCCAUUUCUUUUUUAAUUUAUUUUGUUCAUAUUAUAAAUAUUUGUUUUUUUGAUUUAAAUUUUUUUUUCUUUUUGAUAAAACUUAAUUUUAUCAAUUUUCAUUAAAUAAUAUAUUUUUUUUAAUUUUCGUAACUUUUUUUGUUUAAUUUUUUUUUUAUUAUUUACGUAUUUUUUAAAGUUGUUUAAAAUUUCUUUUUCAUACUAUAAAUAAUUUUUUGUUCGAUUUAAAAUUAUUUUUGUUUUAUGAUAAAAUAUAAUAUUUUCAGUUUUAAUUAUUUCAAUUUAGUUAAAUAACUUUAUAACUUUUUUUUUUUGCCUGCAAUUCUUUUUUUUUUUUUUUUUUUUUGUCGUUAAAUCAAUUAGUUUGGAUUGGGACUAGUAAGUAGAUAGUCAAAACAAAGAAAUGAUAAUAGGAUAAAUGAAAUGAACAGUACAAGACCAGUUUGAAAAUAGAGUGUGGCAAAAAUGAUAGUACUCCUCCAAGUCUCUCUUUCAAGAGAAAGUAAAUUCGAUGUGAAAAUGAUUUCUUCGUUGCUGUGUUUCUUCGGAAUUUUGAAAUGGGAAGCCGCGUGACACAGAAAGUUGGAUAAAAAUUGAAUUCAAAAAUAGUAGAAUUUGGAUAGGAAAUGAUUUCUUGUUAUAAUAUUAGGAUAGGGGUUUAAUAAAGUCCAAUUUUUAUUUAUAACCUAAUAAAAAAUACAUCUAUUCAUUUGAAAACAAACAAACUUAUGCAAAUCGUAAUUUAAUUUCCUAUCUCAAAAUUUGUAAAAUACCAAAUUCCAUUUCACAUGUUGCGGUCCAAAAUCCAUUUAAUCCUUAACUUUAAUUAAAUAUGAAUUCUUUGAACUUCAAUAUCAUGGACCUAACUUAUUCGAAAUAACUUUUUCUCGAUUCCAAAAUGCGUUUAUUAAUAUUAGCAACAAAAGGAGCCCAUUAUUAAAUGGGAAAUUCUCACUAAAAGAAAACUUGAUUAUUUGAGCGAAUAAAAAUAGUGGCGUCAAAUUUACAUAUUAGUCUCACAGCAUCCUUCUAUAGACAAGUACCAAAAUAAAAUAAACAAAAUUUCAUUUUCGUUUGCUACAUAUGCACUAUCACGUGGUUGGUUACAAAAUUGAUUACACCAUCUAUUGUAACGUGCUACUUACGCAUGAUGCUUAGUAUAAAUUAAGCACAUAUGUUUAGGAAAUCAAAUUCGUGUGUAUAUGUAGAGCUUGUUUUGGAGUGAUUUUUCACCCCAAAAGAUUAAUUUUUUAACUGUUAUUUCACUAUUUUAACCGUAAAAUUUGACUUUUUCUCUUACAGGUGACCUCCAGUUUUCUUCCAACGAUCACAAAAUCAAUUCUCAAAAUCACUUCCAAACAGAGCCAUAAGUUUUAAGAAGAAUUGCUUGUGCGUUGUUCCCAAAAGUCAUUAACUACUUAAAACUUUUAAAUGGUAUGAUUCAACAUAUUCAACACAUCAACGUCCCAAUUCAGAACAUCAAAUUACCAAAAAUAUAAAUAUGAAAACUUUAAAUGUACAUAAGCACAUGCAAAGAUAUACAGAAGAUUAUAUUUGGUUCAAAUUGUUUCCUUUGGAACAAAGCAAGUUGCAAGAUUGGAUGGAAAAAAUACUUUUUGACUCUCGUUGGCUAGUCAAGCACUAAACCAAGAAAGUUAUAUAUCGACAACAACACAUAUUUUUUGUAAUACUGUUAUACUUUGAUUUUCAACACUCUUUAUCCUGCCCUUGCCUGUGCAUCUAUAUGAUAACCCUAAUUGCUUUUCAGUUUAGAGAUUGGGGAACAUGAUACCUGAAAUAUAUUAAAGUUGAAAAGGAAAAAGAAAAGGAGAUUUCUGCUUUUAAGUUAAGCCCUAUUUGGUAGAAAUUAAAAUAAGUUUUUUAAUAAAUUUUCAUAAAACGUGUGGUUAAAAUUAAUAAUUAAUUUUGACUUAAAUUAAUAUUUGGUUUUAAUCCCAUCAAAUAUGGGCUAAAUUUAAUUGGUUAGAUGUGAGAUGCACAUGUUUUACUUAUAGGUCCAAUUAAUAGAACUUGGCAAAAAAAUUGAAAAAUCGACCAAACCAAUCAAAUCAAAUCCAUUCAGGUCGAUUCGGGUUGGUUGACAUAGGCAAUUGAUUCGGGGUUUUUUUUUUUUUUUUUUUUUUAACCGACGAUUGGUAGGCUCAUUCAUGGUUUGAAAUCUCAAACCGUCAGUUAGGUGAAUCAACGCAACUCACUUACGUGUUUACCUUCUUUUUUUAUUUAAGAAAAAUAAAAAGAUAAGUUAUAAUCUCAUAACUAUAUCUCGGUUCCUUCUAAUCUAUAAUGUUGUCGAUAAAUAAUAGUACUGAGAAUUUCCUUUCACAAGCCUAUUAUGUUAUGCUUAGCAUUUCUCAUAUUCAGACAAUCAGACUACACAAUACAUAAGCAACAAAAUGUUUAAAUUUUCUAUUGAUCUGUCUUUAUUAACUUAAUUUUAUUUAUUAGUCAAUAAUUUUUGUAACAUGAAAUUAUUUGGUUAUUUUAGUUCUUGUAAUCUAAGUAGGCCCAAAACUCGAACAAUUUCUUUAAAAAAAAAAUUGGACUAAAAGUUCAAACCGACUAGCCAAACCAAAUGAUUUAACUUGUUCGGUUUAAAAGUUAGAGUGUGGUGGUUUAGGUUGAAAUUCGCUUAAACCAAUUAAUUCGGCUUUCUUUCGAGUUAGAGUUGAAACCGACCCGAACCAAACCACGCUCAGACCUAAUUAAUAGUGUUAAUUUCACUUUUUAGCGAGUAUAUGUAUAUAUAGUAAAGCAUGAUAGAUUAUUUAGAUGAAAUAACGAAGUUGUCCAUAUUGGCAAAAUUAACAAAGACAACAACCAAAUUCAAAUCUCAUAAAAAGUUAUUUGCUAAAAAAUUGUAAAAAUAAUUUAGUUGUUUGUUAAAAAAAGAAAAAUUAGUUUACACUUUUUUUUAAAUAAGUUAUUUUUACAAGCUUUUCUUUAAAGUACUACAAUUUAUAAAAAUUUAAAAGCUAGUAAAAUAAUAUAUGAUAUCAUUUUUAAAUUGAAUUUCUCAUUUAUUUUAAGUUGAGGUUAUAACUUUAUAAAUAUCAUGUUAGUAGUGUAGUCAACAUACUUGAAUGUAUAGAAAAUUAAAUUAUGAAAAGUUAGGUGCACGAAAAUUAAAUCAUAUGGAUAGUGCCUCAAAAAUUUUCUACAAAAUGUGAUUUUUGUUACCAAAACAUAUUAUGAAAAUUGAUUUUGUAAAUUUCCCUCAAAAUUAUCUCAGAUUAAAAAUCAUUUACAGCUUGUCAUUAUAGCCCAUGAUUUAAAAGUUCUGUAUUUUGUCCUUCAAUUUCUUUAUUUUAUUAGAAAAAACACAAUUUUGGAAAUAUGAUUUCUACAAGGCAUCAAAGUUUGUCUAAAGAAAUCAAAUUUUGUAAUAUUCUGAUUCUGAUUCUAAUUCUAGAAAUCUACUUACCUCAUCGAAACACUUCUCUAUAAAUUUAUUCAAACUAUAAUUACCUUUGGUAUUUAAAUGCAUUUGGAUAGAUUAUCUUUCAUUACAAUAUAUUAUGAACUAUAAAUAUUUAAGAUGAAGUCUAUAAAUUUUUCCUAAAGAACUUUUGACAAACACCAUUAUGGUAAGUUCGAUACGUAGUAUUCGACUGAAUUGAACAAGAUUUUUAAAUAGAUUUUUCUUCUAUAAUUUUUAGUACUUUAAAGUAGGGGGGGCAACUUAGUGGGUAUAGACCGGAUCGGUCACUCUCACCUCCCAUUUCGUCGGACACUUUUUCUCACUUUCCCUCGUCCCCGUAUUCAGUUAAAGCAAUAUGGGGGCGGCGGGGGACCUGAGCUGCCCCGCCUCCAUUUAUCGUCCCUGUUUAUUUAUUUAUUUUUGUUUUCUAUUUAUUUUUUUUUAUUUUUUUAUGUGUUUAGUUAAUAAAUGUUAUUUUUUUUAAUUUUUAAAAAAACAACUCUUGUGUCUCUUUAAAAAUGAUGAUAAAUAUUUUAUUUUUAUUUGAUUAAAAAUUAAAUUUGAUAUUAACUUUAAACGGGACGGAGAUUAUGUUUCACGUAUCUGUGCCAUACCCACUCCGAGGCAAUGACCCUUGUCUUGUUUACCCGAUUAGACUGGUAAUCUCUAUCCCAAUCAGGACGGAGUCCGCGGGUAUUGAGAUAAAGGAUUUUUUUGUCAACCCCACUUUAAAGAUUACUUUAUCAAACAAGGCAUUAAUGUUUAGAGCCGAGAAGUAAGACAUUAGUUUAGUUUUCUUUUUUCCUUCCUUUUUGACAGUUAUGAACAUGUUUGCAAAGUUAAAAUUAUAAUUCAAGAUAGUCAAACAUAUUUUUUACUAUAUAUUUCAUAAGACUCAAAAUUUACUACACUUAGUCCCUUUUUGAUUUGUAUAAAAUCAAUUUUUAAUAAAUUUCGAUAAAAGUUAAUGGAUUUUAUAGUUGAAAAGUUGUGAAUUCCAUGAAAUGUAUGGUUAAAAUUAAUUUUUAAUUUUAAUUUAUAUUGAAAUCAAAUUUUUAUUUGAAAAAACAAUGACAUUAUUCACAUAAUUUGUAGUGUAACAAUUUAUAAGUACUUAAAAGUCCAACCAAACGAGUAGUUGUGAAAAUCUUCAUGCAUCACUUGUCACAUGCAUAAAGUUUAAGGCAACCUCAUUCCUAACAACCAACCACUUUCAUUUUCAAGGAUGUCAUCUUCUGUCCCUACAAACCGACCUUUCAGACCAUUUUUGUUCUUUAAUGUAAUAAUACAAACACACGCACAUUGAACAAAUUCUUGGUGUAAUUAUUGUUUUAAUUAAUACAAAAAAGCAGUCCAAAGGUUUUCUUGGUCCACCUAAUUUGUGCACUUGGAGCUUAAUUUUCUAUGAUAAGCAACAGUUAUUUUCACUGAUUAUUUGUGUGAAACGAGUUGUUGCGAAUAGCUUACGCAAACAAGACAUGACGUUAUAAGAUUUAUUAAGACUGUGUGGUUACUAACUAUAUCUCUCGAGGACACUAAUCCAAGCAAGAGUUUUCCUGACACCAAUAAAGCUCUGAUUAAACAAAAGCUACCGAAAGCAAUAUACAACUUCUUUAAAUCUUGAGACGUGACUAACCAUUCACUCAAGAAAUGACAGUGAUUGUAGGUGCAGAAGCAACCCAUCGUCAUACUUUAUUAAUAACCAUCAUAAAGAAUCUUAUGUAUCUAAAUAUUCGUGAACCUCUUUUUUAUGGAAAUUUUUUAAACCUCCAACCCAAAAUUUUUAAGAAAAAAAUACAUACGUACAUGCAUACAUCAUAAAUGCAUACACACAUAUAUAGCAUUGGUGUAUAUAUCCCUAAAAAGUCUUGGGGCAACAUAUUUGGGAUAGUGUUGGUUGCUUUAUUUGCUUUUCUAAAGGCGAGAAUGGAAGACAUGAGUGAAACCAAUAUAUUUGGAAAAGUACAUUCUUUUGGAGCCAAAGAUUCUCACCAAAUGCUUUUGAUUGCAUAUCAUUGAGUUUAACGGACAAUUUUCCUUUUCCUCCUGUUUUUCCUCCUCUUUUUUAUUUUUUAUUUUUUCGAAUGGCAAAUCACAGUUUAACCUUUUAGAUAGAAUUUUUCUUCCCAUCUUAAUUAAUUAUUAUUUGUUCCCAUAAUAUUCUUUUAGGUUAAAAGGACAUUUAUUGCUUUGUAGGGUUCUUGAAAUAACAUGGAACCAACAUUGUAAUCAAGUAUACGACUAACUUAUGAAGUUGUGACGUUCUUUAGUAUAAAUAUUGUUGACAUUGAAAAAAUUGUUAUUUUAGUUUUCUAAUAAACUUCGGAAAUUUGUUUUAGAGGAAAAAUUACGAAAUAGAUGAUCGAUCAUUGAAGCAAGAGAUCAUGUCCGAAAUAACUCAAAAGAUUGCGCAAAGUUUUAGAUAGAGUAACACUAAGUUUGCAAAAUAUUUUUCAUACCUUAAAAUAAAAUAGCGAUAAGGCUUUUAUAGGAGAUUGAGCCGAUGUGUAACAUACAUUGUUACAUUUUCGUACACUAAUUAAUAGUGCUUGUUUGGUAGGGAGAGAAGAAUUCAAAAAUGACGGCUGAAAUAGUAAAAUAAUGGUUAAAAAAUUAAUUUGAAUUGACUUUUAAGAUGUACCAAACAAGCUCAUAGUUUAAAAAUCUAGCUUAUAGAAAAAUUAAGUUGAUAUAAGGGGGAAUUGCACAUUUGGUCCCAAUCUUUUCAAAUUUUACUAACACCAUACAUCCCAACCUUUCAAGUAAUUAGCACUGUACGCUCAUCUACACGUUUCCAUCCAACUUUUCAUUUAAUGCGAUCUGUCAAAUGGAUUGAAAUUGUGUAAGGGACGAACUGUGCUACUUACAUGAAAGGUUGAGGUCGAAUGGUGCCAAUAAAAAAGAUUGGGGUAUAUCCCAACUAUUUUGGAAAGAUUAGGAACCAUAUGAAAAUAAUUUUAAGUUUGGUGAAAACAAGGUAAGACAUUUGUCAGACUUCUUGGAUUAGUUUUCCAGCAAAUUUAACUGGCAAUAUCCUUUGCUUUUCAGACCACAAUUUGAAUGUCACCUAUUAUGUUGGAAUAAUAAGUUGAUAUCAUGGACAUUUUGCUGCAGUUGCACAGGAAAUUUCUUGCGGUGAAGAAGUUCCAAAAUUUGUUAAAUUCUCCUGUCGAUGUUACAUGUCUAUCUUUACUAACGUUAAAAUUUUUUAAAUCAGUCAUGUUUCAACAAGGACGUGUCCCGAAUUCUAGAGUCUUUGAACUGUGGGGAUUGAUUGUACGCAGUAAAACCUCUAUAAAUUAAAAAGUUUACUUUGAAGAAGUUAUAUAUAUAUAUAGAUCACGUGAAGUUAUAUCUAAUAUGUGUUUCAAUAAUGUGACAGAUGUUGAACAACUCUUAAAUGAUCUUAGGGCUUGUUUGAUACAAGCCAUUCUCCAUGGAAAAUGGAAAAUUUCCACAUUUUACUUUGUUUGAUUGCAAGAAUUUUCCCUGAAAUUGAUUCCCCCCCCCCCCCUCCCACCACGUGACCCAUUUUUCUUUGAUUUGGUGGAAAAUUAAUUCCUUUGAUUUUGGUGAAAAUUUGUUUUCUAGCUUUUCUUUGCUUUUUUAAAUUUUUUGGCAAUUGGAACAAAAUCUAUUGACAAUUGUAACAAAUUCUAUUAUUUUAAUUGACAAUUUUCUUGAAAAAUAAAGUCAAAUGAACACCAAAAGAUAAAAAAUUUUAACAUUUUCUAGGUGAAAAAUUAUAUUAGUCAUACACAUUUAAUUAACAAUUCACAAUAAAACAAGUUCUAGGUAAUUCAAUUACUUGAAAUUCGUUUUCUUUUUACCCAAAUUUCAUUCUUGCAAUCAAAUGGAUCCUUAGUAAAAUUGAUGUAUAAAUGCAAUUGACAAAACGAUUAUUAAAGGUGAACUGAAUAUAUUUAAUGAGGAUGAUCAUAUUUAGAUGAUAGCUGUAAUUUAUCAACUAUUUCUCCCUCGAAAAAAAAAAAAAAGUCUUCGAACAACUGCAACAGUAAAUAAUUACUUUCAAAAAAUGAAAAAUUAUUUCAAAUGUAGUACAUAUAUUGCAAAAAAUGAGGACUAAUGUUGACUUCGGUUGGAGUAGAAAGAAAAGGCAAGCAAUUUAAGAUCAAUAUUUUUCAGAAAAAAAAAUAAAUUGAAUAAAUAGAAGUUGUCAAGUAAAAAUUUUAUUAAUUUGCAUUACAUUAUUUUAUAUUUUCGUUGGGCCCCAAAGGGUUUUAAAUAAAAUUAUUAUUUUAUGCGUUUAGCGAGAUUAUAAAUUUAGUACAUUUUUUUACGUGAUAUCGAAAAUUUUUAUUAAUAGAAUAUUUUAAUUAAUUUAUUCAACUUUCAUUUAUCAAAAUUUUAAUAUAAUGAAAGAUUGACGACUAGCUUCACUCUAUAAACGUUGGAACAUAAGAAUAAAUUCUUCCAUUUUCUUGAUUUUCUUGCCUACCUUUUCCUUCUAUAAAUCAGCCUCCCAUCAACCUCAUAAACCUCCUCCUCUACUCUUCCCUUUCAUCCCAAUACAUUCUGAGUUCUCCUCUCUUUUCUUUUCCUUCAGAAUUCUUAUUUCUUAAGUAUAUUCUGCUAAUUUGGAACUGGGCAUUUGAUGAUUCAAAAACCCAUUUGUUAAAUCAUCGCCUGUUUCCCUAUAAAAAAAGAUUUCAAUAUGCUCUAAAAAUCUGACCCUGCAUAUUUUGUUCUUGAUGUUAUGUCUCAUGUACUCAGUGGAAUCAUUCGUUUAAGGUUUAUGAUAAAUUUCUCUCUCACACGCAGGACUCUUCUUGUUCAAUCUUUCUCUGUUAUCUUCCUCUACUGGUUCUAUGUGUUUUCAUAAGUAACCUUUUUUUUAAACACUUGUAAUAUUUAGCAUAAGAGGUCCUGCAAUUUUUAAGUUUUUGUUCUUCAGAAAUUUAAGUUAUUUAUCGUACUGUCUCGACUCUCGAGUUUAAUCAUAGUGUGGACUUAUCUUGACCACAUAUCGACCUAAUAUUUCAGGGGUCGGUUUAGUGUGUAUGAGAAGUGGUAUACCAUUUAAACUUGAAAACGUAUUUGUAGUAACAAAGUGGACGUAACUCUCACAUACUGUUAUAAUACAUUUUUUUUGCUUGUUUUCUGAUUUUAUUGUUGUUUGUAAUCUCCACGAUUUCGUGUAAACAAAAAAUGGCUUCUCCUAGUGGAAAUUCCUCUGGAUCGAUACAGAUUCAGAACUCUGGUUCUGAAGAAAACUUGCAGGAUUUGAUUGAUCAAAGGAAGAGGAAAAGAAUGGAAUCAAAUCGGGAAUCAGCAAGGCGAUCAAGGAUGAAAAAACAGAAGUAUUUGGAUGACCUGACGGCCCAAAUUGUUCUACUGAGGUACAAAAACAGCCACAUUUUAACAAGCUUAAACCUCACCACACAGGAUAAUAUAAAAAUGGAGGCUGAAAAUUUAGUCAUCAAGGCUCAGAUUAUGGAACUCAGCCAAAGACUGCAGUCCCUAAAUGACAUUCUUAGUUUCUUCAAAUCCAACAAUCCCAUGUUUGAGGAUUCCCAGGGCUGUCCUGAAAGUUACUUUUGCCAACAACCCAUCGUGGCCUCUGCUGAUAUGCUUUAUUUUGAUUAUAUUUUUGGGUAGACGGUGAAGUAUUGCACGGUAUUAAUAUUAUUCUACUUUUCGAAUAUGUAAAGAUGUUAAUAUCUUUUCAUGUGGUUUGUAUAAUGGUAGAUGGAUUGUAUUGUUUAGUUCGAUCGAGUAUUGUGUAUAAAAAUAUUUGUCAAGUGUCCUUUCUAUCUUAUGUGUCAAGAAUAUCAAAUAUGUUACAAGUUUAUUAAGGCUCCAUUUCGUAAGAUUUUUACUUGUUUUUGCUUUUGCUUUUGCUUAUUGCAUAAGAGUUUUCUAAGAAAGUUACGAUGCGUUUGACUGCUAAUAUUUUACAUGGAAAAUGUGUUUUUCUACCAGAAUUCUUUCUUUUGUGUUGUCUGAUUGAAAAUUUUUUCUAUGGAAAAUAUUUUCCCACUUUUGUUCACAUAACCAUAUUUUCUUCAAAAUCAAGAAAAAUAUUUUCUUUAAAGGAAUUAUGAUUUAUUUUUCAAGGAACCCACUCUAUCUUCUCUCUCUCAUCUGUCACUUCUCACUUAUCAAUCCACUAAUAAAAAAUAAAAAGUGCAAUAUUUUCUAAAUUGAAAAUUAAAUCAACUAAACACAAUUAAUUAAUAAUUUUCAUAUGAAUAAGUUCUAGACAGUUGAAUUGCCUAGAAUUUAUCUUUCCAUGCAAAUUUCAUGCUCUCAAUCAAACUCAUCCUUAAUUUUUUCUAAAAACUCUUCUAGUCAUAAAGGAGUAUUUCUAUAAAAUUAUUUAAAUAUAUUCAAAAACAGUUUUUUGACUUUAAAUGCCUACCAAACAUGCCAUAUUCAUCAUUUGGGCCGCAACCAAUUAAGCCAUUGUAUUUUGAAGAAAAUGUAUUUUGGAAUAGUAAUUUUUUAAAGAAUGUUUGGUAAAAAUGUAAAGAACAAUUUUUGGUUUACGUAUAAUAUUAUUUUUAUUGAAGAAUAUAUUGUUAAAAAUGGGAAAAAAAAAGAAGAGAAAAAUAAUUAAUUAGAAUGGAGCCCAAAGGGGCAGCAACGGCGGCUCUGUCAAUUGUCAAAUAAAAUUGGAUGGAUAGGGGAAAAAAACAAGGUUCAGAAAAUAGGAUGAUUUGACAUGAUUUGAUUGAAUGUUUUUGUGUAGUUCUUUUCUAACUUCGAAUGUUAAAUUGUCAAGUAUUGUCUAUCAAUGAAAAUCUGUCAUUUUCCCAGUUGUAUAGCUUGGUCGAAAAUAAAUUCAUGGUGUUCUUUUUUUGUUGACUGUUAAAGUACGUUUGAAGUAUAUUUAUGAUACAAUCAAAAGGUGCGGUGGCAAUGUUGCACCUUUUGUAUUUUCUUUGUUAUAUUUUUAUAAAUUUCCUACUAAACACAACCUAUUCGCGAUUCAUCCAAAUAACGAAUGAAUAUUGUAUCAUACUAAUGUUGAAUUGACAACAGCCUUGUGUAGCUUUCGAUAUUUUUAUUUAUUUAUUUGUUUUUUUGGCGGGAAAAGAAAAUGCAAGACUAAAAGCAAUUCUAGUUCAAAUUUAUAGUUCUAGCUCUAGCUCUAGCUCCAAUUACUCUCAACUCCUAAGCUAAAAAAGAAAAGAGGUUUUUCAACUUUUGCUUGAGGCUCUUCCUAUUUUAUGCUAGAUUAAAAGACAAUUCAACUUGAAUUCAACACCUCCUUCAGCUCGACUUUAACUCUCUCUUAAGUCAACUCUCUCUUAAGUCAGAGUCUAUUUUGGUGUCAAAUGACCAUCAAUAUCAACUAUGUUAUUACUCUUAAAGCCUGUUUAACAUGACUUUUACUUUUAAUUUUACUUAUGCUUCCUGUAGAAAAGUUUUUUUUUUGGGAAAAAAAAACCACCUUAAUCUUAUUUGAAAAUUAAUUUUUUAAAGAGCUUCAUAUUUCGAAAGUGUUUUUAAAAGAAACCAUAUUGAACUAGCUUUCUCUAAAAUCUCUUAUUAAAAGAACCACUUUCAUAAAAUUACUCAAAUGGGUUCGAAAGCAACUUUUUUUUUUCUUUUCUUUCUUUCUCUCUCUCAACUUUUUUUUUUUUUUUUUUUCAAUCUCUAAAGUUCCUUUUAAUUUUUUAGAAGUCAUACCAAAUGAGCCAUUAACAUGGUUCAAAGGCUCAAUAUUAAAUGAUUUAUGUUCGCAAAUUUAAUCAACAUAUCUUUGAUCCCAAUUUACUUGUCAAUCCUCAAAAGAUAACAUUAUAAUUGAGCUAGAUGUAGACAGAUAGAUAUAGCCAUAGAUGACCUAUAGAUACAUGAUUUUACAAGCUCAAAUCAAUCUAUUCUUUGAAGCAAAACAUCAUACUCCUGUAAGAUCAAGUCACUUUAAGCCUUUAGCAUUUUUCUUGGCCUUUUGCAAUUCCUCCUUCAAGAUCAAGGAAAUUCUACAUUCACAUAACUCUUUUGAGAAGUGUCGAGUUAUGAGCUUAAUUUUCUGAUCACCUCAUUGCUCAACGAAGCCUUCGGUGAAUUCCACCCAUAGAGAUUUGGAACUGAAAGGCUUGGAGAAUAAUUGAGAAUUACUCAUUUCCUGUGCUUACCACAAAAAAGUUUAUUGUUGACCGGAACUAAUAAAUGUGAUUGGUAAUGGGAGCUAAGAGACAAAGAGUUUUACUGCUACACAGUUAGAGCGUCAAUUUAACUCGUCGACUCGGACGGUCGGUGGCUCAAUUCAGAAAAAACCCUAGUCGGCCCAGCUCGCUGCUCAAUUCUACCUUAGUCGAGGCUUGGGUUUAGCCCAUUUUAAAGCUUUGGUCAGAGCCCAAGCCAGAGCUUGGGCCAUUUUUGGACUGUGAGCAAAAUUAUAAAAAUAAAAUAAAAUAAUCACAGCCAUGUUGCUGCCUUUUUAAAAAUUAAAUAAUAAUAAUAAUAAUAAUAAUAAUAAUAAUAAUAAUAAUAAUAAUAAUAAUAAUAGCCGGCUCAGCUUGGAUCGAGUGUAGAUUUAUUUUGCUGAGCCUCGGGCUAAAAAAGGCCAAAAACUUUUUCACUCGAGCCGAGCCCAAUCUUUGAUUUUCGGCUUGCAAAGAGAUUCGACUCAAUUCGUUGACAUCCUUAUACACACUACAAGAUUAGAUUAUAUAAUAAGCCCUUGUCUGGAGUCCAUUUUUUGGGCAAAAAAAUGAUUUUUAUUACCGUUGGCAACCGUCCUUUUUGACCACAAAUCUCACAUACCAAAAAGCGUAAAAGUUUGAUUUGAUUUGAUUUUAUGUUUUUGGGGAAAAAAGUUGCGACAGACAGGCACUGAAUAAGAUUUUACUUCAUUUGCAUUCUUAAUAGUGCGGAAUAUAAUCCAAGAAAUUGUAUUCAAGCAAACAUCUUUGGCAUUUCCACCAUGACCUAGACUUUGUACUGCCGGAAUUUGAUAAACAAAUAGAAAAACGUGUCGCAAAGAUUUUUAUAUUUCAUACUCGAAGAUUUAAAUUUUUUGGACAAGCCAGUAUAUGGAAUUGAUAAAUCCAGAAACAGAAUUUAUUCAAUAAUAAUAAUUGAUAAAUCCAGAAACAACGUGUAGAAAGCCAUUAUAUUUAUUCAAAAGUAAGCUCCUUUGGGAAACGGAAUGUUACAAGAAAACUUAAAAGUGCCUGUAGUUCUGAGCAUAUGGAAUUGAUAAAUCCAGAAACAGAAUUUAUUCAAUAAUAAUAAUUGAUAAAUCCAGAAACAACGUGUAGAAAGCCAUUAUAUUUAUUCAAAAAGUAAGCUCCUUUGGGAAUCGGAAUGUUACAAGAAAACUUAAAAGUGCCUGUAGUUCUGAGCAUAUGGAAUUGAUAAAUCCAGAAACAGAUAAUCCAAUUAUAUCAGUCAAAGGCUUACAAAAACAGGAAGCUGAAAAGCCAUAGCUUCAAUGGUAAUCCUCCCAAAACACUCUCCCCAUGCCUGCAUGUUGAAAGAGACGGAAUAAAUAAAUAAAUAAAUAAAAUAAAAAUAAAAAAUUGCUUCUUCAGUAAGAUGAACAAAAAGAUCAGUUCUAAGACAUGGAUAUCAUUAGAUUACAUUUUAUUUUAAAGAACAAUGUUUUCAUUGACUAAAGAUUUUGUGAUGUAGGACAUAAUAAGUAUAUUGAAAAAAGAGUGCUAGUAGGAAUAUAACAUCUUAAUUUCGGAUGGGGCCCAUAAGAUCAUUUUGGAAAGAAAAUGACGAGGGAAACAAUACUCACCUGAUGUACAAUGAAUUUCGGCCAUUCGAGUUCGUUUAGGACUCGAAAACUGAUUUUUAGAGUUUUGGCGCUAUUUUUGUCAAUUUGAUUAUUUUGGUUUUUUUUUUUUUUUUUUUUUUUUUUUUUUUUUUUUUUUUUUUUUUUUUUUUUUUUUUUUUUUUUUUUUUUUUUAAAUUUUUUUUUUUUUAAAACUUUUUAAAAAAUGGGUUUUUUUUUUUUUUUUUUUAAAUGUGUGAUUAAAAAAGAAAAAAUAUUUUUAAAUUAUAAAAUUGGUGAAGCUUAUUUUCUCUUUAAUUUAGUGGAUUCCGAAUUUCGUGGUUUCAAGGUUUUCGCUUGAAUUCUUUUCUUUUGCGGCGUCACUUUAGUUUGCUUUCCGAACAAAAAAGUUUAUAUGCACUUCGACCCAAAAAAAACUCAAAACAAUUCCUUGUCAAGAUCCAACAAGGCAUAGAAGACAUUGACCUUAACCAACUUUAUUUAGAGCAUUUCCAGUUCGAAUCAAAUCUAUGAUUUUAAUUGAUUUACUAUGUUUCUUUCACUAAAUCAUCGAUCCCACAUAAUAUCCAUUAAUAAAGAAGUACAAGCAAAAUAAAAUAUAAGAUUUAAACUAGAAUAUGUAAAUUAUUGUCAAAGAUAUUGUUAGGAUUUUUCUUCAUCUCAUCUCUCAGGAACAAUGAUCAAUUCUUAUUUGCAAACUAGAAAAGAAAGCACAGUAAUGACAGCACAUAAAACUAGGAAAGAAUCAAGAUUAUGGACACAAGAACAUCAUGUUUUGGAACAAUUUUCAUCAAUCACUUUCAGAGAAUUUACCCAAUCUUCCAUAAAAGAGAAGAAAUUACACAAUGUUUAUUACACAAAACACUACCACUCACCACUCAAUCGGGAAUACAUCAGAAACUUCACACAGAAAAUUCUCACAGAAAGUUAUAAAGAUUGCCUACAGAGAACUUUCUCUCAAUCUUACUUUCUUUGUCACGCUACAGAAUUUUCUCACACUACAGAAAUCCCCCUCUUGCUCACUCAUUCAUGCUAACAGCCUUGGUCCUAUUUAUAGACAUAGGAACCUAGAGAUAUACAAGAAAAUGUAUCUAAUAUUCAGUUAAAACUACUACCAGAAAUUUUUUUAGAAUCUAAGAGGCUCCAACUGAUUUUCUAACUCAUUAAACUGAUUUCUAACUAAAGAGUUUAACCAACCGAAUCAAGAGUCAAACAAUUUCUUUACGAUAUGAAUUCAGUGCCGUACCUGUGCUUUGCGGGGCCUGAGACGAACUUCAAAAUUUGGGCCCUAGGCCCUAAGUCGUAGUAAACAAUUCCUUUUUAUAAAAAAUAAAAUAAAAAAUUAGAAGUUUACGGAAUUAAAUUUGUUAACUUAAAUCAACAAUAAAACAACAAAUAAAUUUUUCAGUAUUCCUUCUUUCUCUUCUCAUUAAAGUAUUUAUUCGUUUAUCCAAUCUGACUUCGAAUUAAUGCCUCUACUCUUUUCUCUCUCUCUCUCUAUCUUUUUUUUUUUUGAGCUCCAGAUGCAGAUUUAGGAGCCAUGGUAUUUGACUCAAGUCACUCGUUAGCUAACAAUUACUGAAAAGUGAAAAAAGUAAAGGCAAAAAACAAGCUGUAGGGAUCCCAAAGCAGUCUAUAAAUAAUAUCUCAGCAAAGGCCAUAGAACAAAGGCAAAAUGAAAAUGAUAAAAUCUUUAUUUUCUUAACUCUCAAUUUCUAUUUUUAUUACUUGGGAUUGGGACUAAACCUUCCCACCCCCUUUUUUUUGGAAUAACCUCACUAUUAAUCAUUUCUAUGUAAGAAAUAAAAAACUUGGUGACUGCAACAUCCUCUUCUUUAAGUGCCACUCCACCACUUUUCUAUGAACAAACAAUAUCUUGUGGAGUGACAUCCUUAAAAUUGUCUAGUUGCUCCUCGAAAAAAGCAUACUCAUUACAAAACUGAUAUAAAUUUUUCUGGCGAAUGCGAAGGAUCAAGUUCCUCAUUCCUUUAAUUCUAGGUCUGGAGCUGUCUCACUAGUUUGGAUUAUUGUGUCAUCUAACUUCCAAUAUUGUGAAGGAUCAUGUAUAUGAGAUGCUAUCUCUAGAAAAUUAUAUGCUUUCAAUAAGGCAUCUAUAACCAAUAACUCGAUUGCCUUUCGAACUAGCAAGUAUCAUUUCCUUUACUCUUUUUAUAGCCUCGGAUUCUAUUUCAAUAUGAUGUACAUCUACAAUAUGAUCCACCACGUCUACAGGCAUUUGCUCUGGUGAAUUGAGAGGUGGAUUGUUGAUGGUGAAUCGGUGAGGACGGCCACAACAUUAGCUCCGACCACCACCGCUGAACAUGUAGGUUUUGCCGUUGAUUUCUCGGAGUCUGGAGGUCUUUUCUUUUGAAUGCAUGGGCAAAGUGGGUUUUUUCCAAAAAAAAAAAAAAAAAAAAACGUAAAAAUUGAAAAAAUUAGCCCCCUAAAAUUUUGGGCCUGAGGCGGAGGCCUCUUGGGCCUCCCAUCAGGUCCGGCUUUGUAUGAAUUCACCACCAGAGAAUCCUGAACAAGAAUAUUGAUAGAGGCCAGACAGGGAGCGACAUUUAGCAUCUUGUUCACAAAGUGAACACGAUUCUGAAGUUUCUUCUCAGCCACAAAGUUACGAAGUUCUGUUUCAAAUUCAGUCUGUGCUAAUAUGCCAUUUCCCACUACAACUGCAUGCAUAGAUGGCACUUGUAGUUUUUUCUCUUGGACAAGUUGCAGACUUUCAUAGAAAGACUUGAGAAAUAGAUCCUGACCUUUCCCACGUGAAACACCUAAAUUAAAUGUAAUAGAAGUUAAGAUCACGGAUUAACAAAUGAAAACAUGAAUAUAUAGAGGAAAAAUACUGCACAUAAAUUUCCACUUGAAGGUGGUCAGAAGUUCAAAUGGUGCCUCUCAAUAAAAUGGUCAGAAAAUCAAUCAGCUCAAUGAGUACAAGAAAUAUGUGCUUUGGUGACUGAAUUGUAUUUAUUAAAAGGAAAUAAACGGAUUUUAGGAUUAAAAGUUGAGGAUGAUAUAUCAACAGUAGAUGACCAUGACAGUUAAGGCAACCGGUCCAAUUUUUUCUUCAUUCAACAAUUUUUUGAUCAGUCACAUAAUUUUUCAGGUAAAGAAACGUGAUCUGAAAAAUACAAUUGACAUCUCCAUCAAUAUCUCCAAUCUCCAUGAAUCACCAGUAUUAUCUCUUUAGCAUUUUUUCCAUUGAAAAUUUUAUAUGGCCUUGUUUGAGCCGCAUUAUUUCAAAAAAAUAUAUUAUUAAACAGUGAUUUGAUAUAAUUUCAACAAUACAUUCCUCAAUAAAAAAAAUAUGACACACAAAUUUAAGACUUUUCCUUAUUUUUUAACUAUACAUUCUCCAUUAACCUACUAUUCCAAAAUACAUUCUUUCAAAAUAAUGUGACAGUUGGGUUUUGAUACCCAAUAAAUUCGAGCAAUGAUUUAAAACACGAAUUUUUUAUCAACACCAAAGUGAUGGCUCGACUCGAAAACAAUUAAUACACCUUUGGAAGGCCUAAGUUUUGAGUUGGGUUGGUAGCUUGGUUAAUGUAUAGAUUUCGUUAUUGUUAGCCCAUUAACUUGGCCUAUUAAGAGUAAGUGGUGGCCCAAACCUAAACCUAAUGCUUAUAUACACAUAGCCGUGUCUUUCUUCUCUUUGUGGGAGUGUAUUGUUGCAAGAGAGAGAUGUAGCCUACUUGAAGGGUGAAAGGGGGGUCGGUUUUGGUGUGAAAGCAAGAGAGAUUCAACUAUUGUUUCUUCUUCUCCUUCCUCCAUUUGUAGCUUGCAAGUACCACCACCAAAUGUCUCCUUUGUGGGGUUAAAACUGAGGAAACCAAAGGUGUUGAGGCUUGUUGGGUUGAGUCGAUUGAUUGGUGUUUGUUUGAUUGUUUUCUGAGCUGACAAUCAAUAUUUCUCGUGAGAAUUCCGUGUCAAAUGGUAUCAGAGCUUGUGUUGUCAAGAAAUAUAUGAUUUUUGGGUACCAAAUCUGACUGGAAAUUGGCCAGAAAUGGAUCUAAAAAAGAGCAGAAAACAGAGUACGAUUCUGUAUAGAUUUUUGCAUUUCUAACCAAAUUUGUUUUGGUGUUUUUCAGCCAAACCAGUGGCUAGUUGGAGAAAUGGUGACCACUAAUGGACUGUGCAGGUGGAGGCGCGUCUGGAGGUGCAUCAGGAUCUAGUCCCGGCACGUGGCUUAGAAUCCGGUGAUGAUUUCAAAAGACAUAAUUUUGCUGGUGUUGAUAUGGACCCUGCGGUAUUUUCGGAUUUCAAUUUUGAACAAUGCAGUGAAAGUUGGAUGAUUUUGCAUUUGGACAUUCAGCUGUCAAAUGCCUUUUUGUGUUGCUGGGAUUGCUGGUGACUUUAGGAUGAACAGUGACAAUCCUAAAGUGGUGAAUUCACGUCUCUUGAUAUUUACGGACCUUCAGACGUGAUCCACUUAGUAUCAUUUCCUUUGCUUUUUAUUAUUGCAAUUAAAUCUAUUGUGUAGAUGAAUUAUUUACUUUUCGCAUUAGAAGUCAUUGUGUGGAGUGGCGUUAGGUUUGGGGUUAUCAUGAAGGGAUAACCAUUACUUGUUGCUAGACUUAGAAAUUAUUUGUCUUAAAUUCUUUGUGAAUUUGUUGCUAAUUUUUCUACACUAUUAGAAUUGCAUGUGACCAUAGGAAAGCUUAUUUGAUCAUUCUAUGUGAAUUAUGUUUAUACUUUGUUGGGAAAUACUUGGAAUUGAUCCAUUUGAGAAGGCCAUUUUGGACCAUUCAAAGAAUAAAAACUACCUAAAAUCCCCCCAACAUAAAAUUUAUAACCAAGCCAUCUUAAUUUUAAAAGAGUUCAAUUAAGCUCUCAAAUUAUUAUCUUUAAUUUUUCUACCUCAUAAAAAAUUGGUAUCAGAGCCUAGUAACGAAACUGAAGAAUAUAUUAUUUAAAAUGAAUAGAAAAGAUAAAAUGAUUUUAGAAGAAUUACAAAAUAUUGGUAUAUUAACUAAUACUAAUCGUAUUAAAUUGCAAGAAUUAGCAACAAAUUUAAGUACCGAAUAUAAAUCUCUAAGUGAAGAAAUAAAACAAAUUAAUAAUUCUCAACAAUUAGUUGAAACAAAAAAUAAAGUAUUACAAAUCUUGGUAAAUGAGUCUAUCAAAUAUGAAGAAGAAGAUAUUAUUAUAAAUCAAUUUUUAAAACAAUAUGAUAAUUAUGCUAAGCCUUUAGGAAACCCAGACAUUAUAAAUCAAGAUGUCAUAACUAGUAUAAAAAAUAUGGAAUCAAAUUUAGAAAUUGUUAAUAACAAUAUUAAGAUAGGACCAAAAAUCCUAUAUAAACAAAUUAAAUCAAAAUUUAAAGAAUUAAAAAAUAAAAAAGAUUCUUAUAUCUUUAUUGAACCACCCUUACCGGCAUAUGUUAUAGAAGAAUUAGAAACAAAAUUCUUUGAAGCUACUGGAGAAGAAUUAGAAGCUUAUAAACAAAGCUUAGAAUAAUUAGCUAUGCAAACUGAAAAUAUAUAUAUGAAUGAUCCUCCACCUAAAGAAGAAACUACUGAAAUUAAUACUCCACCUUUAAAUCAACAAGUUAAAAACUGGCCGUUAAUUGGAGAAACUAGUAGAACUAAUAUUAAUACAGAUUGGACUCAAGUUGAAUCUGAUGACUGAAAUUUUGAAUGGAUAAAAGAACAAGAAGGCUACAAUUUCAGAAAGGAACCAAAAACUAUAUCAACCAAACAUCUACAUCUUAGAGAUAAUAAUCCAGUAAAAUUAUUUACUGAACAAAUUCCUACUACAGGAAUAUGGUUAGAUAUUGAUGAUAGCAUUAAUAAAAGUGAAAUUAUUGACUCUUGGACAAAAGCUACUGAUUUAGCUGUUGCUUUUCAUAAAUAGAAUACCACUCAAGCGUAUAACUUUAUAAUCCACACCUUUAGAGGAAUUACUUCAGAUAUCUGGAGAAGAACAUCUGAAGAAACUAAAAAUAAAAUUAAAUAUGGCAAAAAAUCUACAACUACCAUAGAUAGCAAUGAAAGUUUAGAUGUUAAAAAUUUUAAAGAAGCGUUAAAACGAAUUGAAAUUUUUUUUAGACACAUAUUAUUAGGAGAAGUUAUACCAAAAACUAAAAUUGAUAUGAUUACUCAAGAAACUUUACAAGCUGAAAGAGAAAUGGAACUAUUAAAAUUUUGUGAUAUGUGUGAAUUAAAUGAAUAUACUAAGAAAUUUGAAAGAUAUAUAUCAAAGCAUCUAAAUAUAUAAAAGAAUGUAAUCUAUCAGAAGAAGAUAAAAAAUUAUUAAAUAGAUAUUUUCUUAAAUUAAAAUACAAUUGACAUCUCCAUCAAUAUCUCCAAUCUCCAUGAAUCACCAGUAUUAUCUCUUUAGCAUUUUUUCCAUUGAAAAUUUUAUAUGGCCUUGUUUGAGCCGCAUUAUUUCAAAAAAAUAUAUUAUUAAACAGUGAUUUGAUAUAAUUUCAACAAUACAUUCCUCAAUAAAAAAAAUAUGACACACAAAUUUAAGACUUUUCCUUAUUUUUUAACUAUACAUUCUCCAUUAACCUACUAUUCCAAAAUACAUUCUUUCAAAAUAAUGUGACAGUUGGGUUUUGAUACCCAAUAAAUUCGAGCAAUGAUUUAAAACACGAAUUUUUUAUCAACACCAAAGUGAUGGCUCGACUCGAAAACAAUUAAUACACCUUUGGAAGGCCUAAGUUUUGAGUUGGGUUGGUAGCUUGGUUAAUGUAUAGAUUUCGUUAUUGUUAGCCCAUUAACUUGGCCUAUUAAGAGUAAGUGGUGGCCCAAACCUAAACCUAAUGCUUAUAUACACAUAGCCGUGUCUUUCUUCUCUUUGUGGGAGUGUAUUGUUGCAAGAGAGAGAUGUAGCCUACUUGAAGGGUGAAAGGGGGGUCGGUUUUGGUGUGAAAGCAAGAGAGAUUCAACUAUUGUUUCUUCUUCUCCUUCCUCCAUUUGUAGCUUGCAAGUACCACCACCAAAUGUCUCCUUUGUGGGGUUAAAACUGAGGAAACCAAAGGUGUUGAGGCUUGUUGGGUUGAGUCGAUUGAUUGGUGUUUGUUUGAUUGUUUUCUGAGCUGACAAUCAAUAUUUCUCGUGAGAAUUCCGUGUCAAAUGGUAUCAGAGCUUGUGUUGUCAAGAAAUAUAUGAUUUUUGGGUACCAAAUCUGACUGGAAAUUGGCCAGAAAUGGAUCUAAAAAAGAGCAGAAAACAGAGUACGAUUCUGUAUAGAUUUUUGCAUUUCUAACCAAAUUUGUUUUGGUGUUUUUCAGCCAAACCAGUGGCUAGUUGGAGAAAUGGUGACCACUAAUGGACUGUGCAGGUGGAGGCGCGUCUGGAGGUGCAUCAGGAUCUAGUCCCGGCACGUGGCUUAGAAUCCGGUGAUGAUUUCAAAAGACAUAAUUUUGCUGGUGUUGAUAUGGACCCUGCGGUAUUUUCGGAUUUCAAUUUUGAACAAUGUAGUGAAAGUUGGAUGAUUUUGCAUUUGGACAUUCAGCUGUCAAAUGCCUUUUUGUGUUGCUGGGAUUGCUGGUGACUUUAGGAUGAACAGUGACAAUCCUAAAGUGGUGAAUUCACGUCUCUUGAUAUUUACGGACCUUCAGACGUGAUCCACUUAGUAUCAUUUCCUUUGCUUUUUAUUAUUGCAAUUAAAUCUAUUGUGUAGAUGAAUUAUUUACUUUUCGCAUUAGAAGUCAUUGUGUGGAGUGGCGUUAGGUUUGGGGUUAUCAUGAAGGGAUAACCAUUACUUGUUGCUAGACUUAGAAAUUAUUUGUCUUAAAUUCUUUGUGAAUUUGUUGCUAAUUUUUCUACACUAUUAGAAUUGCAUGUGACCAUAGGAAAGCUUAUUUGAUCAUUCUAUGUGAAUUAUGUUUAUACUUUGUUGGGAAAUACUUGGAAUUGAUCCAUUUGAGAAGGCCAUUUUGGACCAUUCAAAGACUAAAAUCUACCUAAAAUACCCCCAACAUAAAAUUUAUAACCAAGCCAUCUUAAUUUUAAAAGAGUUCAAUUAAGCUCUCAAAUUAUUAUCUUUAAUUUUUCUACCUCAUAAAAAAUUGGUAUCAGAGCCUAGUAACGAAACUGAAGAAUAUAUUAUUUAAAAUGAAUAGAAAAGAUAAAAUGAUUUUAGAAGAAUUACAAAAUAUUGGUAUAUUAACUAAUACUAAUCGUAUUAAAUUGCAAGAAUUAGCAACAAAUUUAAGUACCGAAUAUAAAUCUCUAAGUGAAGAAAUAAAACAAAUUAAUAAUUCUCAACAAUUAGUUGAAACAAAAAAUAAAGUAUUACAAAUCUUGGUAAAUGAGUCUAUCAAAUAUGAAGAAGAAGAUAUUAUUAUAAAUCAAUUUUUAAAACAAUAUGAUAAUUAUGCUAAGCCUUUAGGAAAACCAGACAUUAUAAAUCAAGAUGUCAUAACUAGUAUAAAAAAUAUGGAAUCAAAUUUAGAAAUUGUUAAUAACAAUAUUAAGAUAGGACCAAAAAUCCUAUAUAAACAAAUUAAAUCAAAAUUUAAAGAAUUAAAAAAUAAAAAAGAUUUUUAUGUUUCUAUUGAACCACCCUUACCGGCAUAUGUUAUAGAAGAAUUAGAAACAAAAUUCUUUGAAGCUACUGGAGAAGAAUUAGAAGCUUAUAAACAAAGCUUAGAAUAAUUAGCUAUGCAAACUGAAAAUAUAUAUAUGAAUGAUCCUCCACCUAAAGAAGAAACUACUGAAAUUAAUAAAUCUUGUAUAUAAGAAAAUUAUAUUUACUAUAAGACCUGGAUUUGCCAUGUCUAUAUUAGAUGAAAACUUAAGUUUAGGAUUUAAUCUAUAUCACAAAAUUGAUAGAUUAAGUAUGCCACCAAGAAGUAAAGUUGUAACUUUACAUUGUAAAGCUUUAUAUGCUUUUACUACUACACACCAAAAAGAAAUCAAUAAAAUUUCAGGAUAGAAAUUCAUGAAGAAUUUAAAAACCUAGCACAAUUUACAUCACCAAGAAUGCUAAGUGAUUGUAACAUUUCGUUACCACAAGAGAUAUUACUUGAUUUUCAUCAACGAUCUAGAAGAAUAGACAGUAAUGUAGGUAAUCAAGGAUUAGCAACUUUGAAUACUUUUGGACAAUUUGUAAUUAGUAUGCCUAGUAGAAGAAUAUAAAGAAGUAUCAGUACUAGAGAACUCUCAAGCUCUAGUAGACCAUCUACAAGUAGAAAUUACACAACUAUACCUAUAAAUAGUAUUGAUAUUGAUUCAAGAAAAAGUGAGGAAGAUAAUUUCCUUAGGGUGUAUUUGAUUACAUUUAUUUCCCAUGGAAAAUAUCAGUUUUUCACUCAAAUUCCUAUUUGGAGUGUUUGAUUGCUAUUUUUUUUCCAUGGAAAACAUUUUCCAACUUUUGAAAAUAUACGUAAUUUUCAUUGUUUUUAAGGAAAAUAUUUUCUUUGGGUAGAUGUGGUUUUUAUUUUCCACAAAAGAUGGAAAAUAUUUUCUUUUCUAAGUGGUAUUUUUCAUGUCAAUCAAACACACUUUUAUAUUAACAGAAUAUUUCAAUAAUCAAAAUAACUACGACGAAAUCAUAGCCCUUGUUAAUACAGGAGCUUGUACUAGCCAUAUAAGAGCAAACUUAGUCGAUCAUUUAGUAGAAGAAAAUCUGCCACAAGGAAUAACUCUUACAGAUUAUCAUGGAAUUAAACAUGAAAUUAAAACAUUUGUUAAUCUUGAACUAAGUUUUACUAACAUAGAAGGAGAACAAUUUAAGCUAAACCUUAAAAUUCAUAAAGAUUAUAGAAAAGGAAAAGAUACUAGCCCAAUAUUACUUGGAAUGAACUUUUUUGAAAAGGUAUCACCAUUUGUUAUUCAGAAAAACAUAUGCAAAUAACUGUUGAAGGUAAACAAAAAAUGUUGCCUAGAGUUAAUCAAAACUAUUAUUUUGAGCCCAUAUAUUGAGAUAACUCUCAAUUUACUAGACUAGUGUAUGAUAAGAUUUCAUGCAACACUUGAUACUGGAUCAGGAAUUUGCCUAUGUAAAAGAAAUGUGUUCCCAGAACACUAUUAUAAAAGAGAUUAUAAGAAAACAACUUACGGUCAAACAGCUAGUGAUAUUGUUGAAAUAUAUAGAGAUUUUGUGGAAAAUGUUCCUAUUAUUAUUGGAAAUAGAGAAUAUUUUAUUCCACGAAUAUUCGCUACAGAUAAAAUUGGAUGUGAUAUUCUCUUAGUAGAAAAUUUUAUCUAUACAUAUAGCCCUUUUACGCAAAAUAAAGAUAGUUUUGAAUUUAUUGCACUUUGUAAUUAAAAAAUUAAAACAUUCAAAAUUUAUAAAGCAAUUGGAAUUGCACAUCAUCCGAUUAACCAUAAACCUAGAUAUCAGAGUUCUGCAGGUAAUCGUGGUGGAUGUUAUACAGAAAUCAAUCAAAAACAAAGAAUUCAUGUAUUAAGAAUUAACAAGUUAGAAGAAGAAUUAGAAAAUAUUAAAAUUGAACUAAAAGAAUGUUAUCAUGAAUAUCCCUUAGCGAGAUGGGACAAAGAUAAACCUAUGGCAACCAUUGAAUUAAAAAAUCUAGAUGUUAAGGUAUCAGGAAAAAAUUCCCUUAUAGCGAAGAAGAUAAAAAGGAAUUUGAAAUACAAAUUAAAGAACUUUUAGAAUUAGGAGUUAUAAGAGAAUCAUCUAGUCCAUAUAAUAGUCCUGCAUUUAUGGUCAGAAAUCAUAGUGAAAUUAAAAGAAGAAAAGCUAGAAUGGUAAUUGAUUAUAGAGAUCUAAAUUCUAAAACUAUACCUAAUAGCUAUAAAUUACCAAUAAAAGAUUUGUUAAUAAAACAAAUACAAGGAAGUAAAUUAUAUUCUAAAUUUGAUUGUAAAUCUGGAUAUUGGUAAAUAAAACUAGACGAAGCAUCAAAACCUUUAACUAGUUUUACUACCCCUAAUCCAUUAGGACAAUUUGAGUGGAAUGUUAUGCCAUUUGGAUUAAGAAUGCCCCACCAAUAUUUCAACAAAAAAUGGAUAAGAUUAUUAGACCAAUAAAAUUUUUUUGUAUUGCUUAUGUAGAUGAUAUCCUUAUUCAUAGUAAAAAUUUAAAAGAACAUAUCAAACAACUUAAAUUUUUUUAUUAUAUUGCUAAAAAAUAUGGUCUAGCCCUAUCAGAAAGAAAGGCAAAAAUAGCUAAAACUGAAAUUGAAUUCUUAGAAUAUAUUUUUACAGAAGAGAAAAUACUCCAACAACCUCAUAUUGGAAAAAAGAUUAUCGAAUUUCCAGAAAUAAUUAGAGAUAAGAAAGAGCUGCAAAGCUUUAUUGGAUUAUUAAAUUAUUCUGAAAAUUUUAUAAAAAACUGUUCAAAAUACAAAGUUCACUUUACCAAAAAGCUUAGAAAAGAAGUUGUAUGGGAAUGGACACAAGAAGAUAUUGAAAAGAUAAACAAAAUAAAGAAAAUAUGUGAAAAUUUACCUGAAUUAAAUAUUCCAAAUGAUGAUGAUUUCUAUAUUUUAGAAACUGAUGCAUCUCUAUUACACUGGGGAGCGAUCCUCAAAAGAAAAGAAAAUCAUAAAUAAUUUCUUUGUAAUCCAUUGUGUAAAUGCCCAGAAGAACUUGUUGCAUACACUUCAGAUGCUUUUAAGGAUGCAAAAACCAGAUAUGAUAUUAAUCGUAAAGAAUGUUUGGCUAUUAAGAAAGGAGUAGCAAAAUUUGAACCUUAUUUGUUACCAAAGAAGUUUCUUAUUAGAACUGAUAAUACUCAGGUGAAACCAUUAUUGACAAAUAAACUUUGAACAAGUGCAGGUGAAAGGCUACUUAUUAGAAUGCAAAUGUGGUUUGCGCCAUUUAAAUUUGAUAUUGUCCAUAUUAAAGGAAACGAGAAUUUUAUUUCAAAUUUCUUAACUAGGAAUGGAGCAAAUCAAGAAGGAACUCGAAACAUUGAAGCUCGAGAUGAAUGUGAAGAUAGUUGCGAUAGAAUCCAGGAUAAUAAUGAUGGAAAUGGUUGCUGCCAAGUCAGUAUCUGAGAAAGCCAAUAGGGCUAUAUUAUCUGAAGGCCCUAGUGCUAAUGAAUCUGAAGGUUUUUAUGCCAAUAUUGAACAAGAAACAUUAAACCUUCAUAAUCUAUUGGUCAAGGAGAAUACUACUUUGUCUUCCUCAUCGGAGAAAAUUUAUACAAAAGAUAAUAUCUCUAUACCAGAGCUAAAUCACUCAAAUAUUAUCAAAUCCUGCAACACCCCUGGUGUUAUGGAUAUCAAAAAUAAAGAUGAUUUUAUUUUGGUCUACGUAUUGUUCAAUCUUGCCUGCUGCUGGUUCACCAGUAUAGGAGGAUGGAUGAAAACUCUAACGUAUGGAACUUAUAAAAAAGUUAAUCUAUAUCCAGGAGCCCCAGCUUAUUGGGUUCGCACUCUUUAUGAAAUGGGAAAUAUAAUUUGUAUUUACCCGUCUGAAUCAUUAAAAGAAAUUUCUAUGCUGCCAAAGGAUGUUGUCCGAGCUAUUGAAAGAUGUUGUCAAGUUCUUAAACACAAGAAAAUUUAUAUUAGGUUUUUCUCUACUUGUCCUGAAUGGGAAGAUGAAGAAGAGAAGUUGCUUCCAGUAAGCCAUGUCAUAAGAAUAGCUACCACUUCUAAGCAUUUUCAACCUGAGAAAAGUGAAGUUCAUGAAAUUACACCAGAAGACACUAUCAAGAUGAUAGCUUUCUGUAGAGCCAAAGGAUAUAAGGAGUAGUUCGAGCAUAUCCAAAAUGUUAUUAUAGAANGAGUGGUUUGAGUCACAUAUGGAAAAGUAAGGGACCCCUUUAUCACUACUUUAUCAAAAUCAUUUUGAUAAAGAAAAACUGUGGGUUUACCUCAAUUAUUUCCAGAUUACGACAAGAAAACUUUAGGCCAUAGUAAGAUAUCCAAUAUCUUACACAGUUAAAGCAACAAUAAUGAAUGACAACUGUGGAGCUUUUUCCAGUCUAUAAAUUGAAGACUAAUUCUCAAGAGCGAGGAGGGAGUCAAAAAUCAAAAAUUUAUCUUUCUACUUUGUAUUCCAAGUCUUGUAACAAUUUCAAUUUUUUUUCUUUGAUGUGAAGUGUGUAAUAAGGUAAUCUCUAUGUAGUUCUAAUUUCCUUUGAGAAAGUACCAAGAGUGUAGCCGAAAUAUGUAUAUGUACUCUUAUAUGAGAGAGAUUAGUGUGAUGUGUUUAUAAAAGUUGUUUGGAAAGGGUGUAUUCUCAUCCUUAUUACUUUCUCAAAAACUCUUUUCUUACUUAUACUCUAACGGCGAAAACCUUGAGGGUUAGUGCAAGUAUCUUGUUGCUAUUUUACCCAUCACUUAUAUAUGAGUAUAUUAACAUAUAGGUGCAAGCUCAAGGGAAAUCUCAUUGAUAUUACUCUGCAUUUAUCUUCAGCUUCAAUACUGUAAGAUCUUUUUUAUUUAUAUCAAAUACUUGCAUUAAUUGUUGCACUCAUGUUAUUUAUGAAGUUUUUAUAACUUUUAUUCAUAGCCUAAGAAGAAAAUCUUAGGGAUUAUUUAUCAUAAUAUUGAUAGUUUGAUGCAAGGAUAUACUAUUAAAGGAUUAGAUAAUUUACUAGAAAAUUUGUUAGAAAAUAUAAAUAAUAUUACUUCUCAGUUAGAAAAUAUUAAUAUACUAUCUGAAUAAUAUAAUAGACUUAAAGAAAAAUGCGAACAAUAUGUUAUAAAUUAUUCUAAUUUAUUAGAUCAUAGAAUGAAUUUAUAUUUUGAUAUUCAAAAUAAAAGAAAUACAAGAUAAACUUAAAAGAUAGGACUAAUUCUGCAAUAUACUUAUUUGAAUUCAUUAAGGGUAAUUUAGACCUUUUAUCAAUUGAAAAGGUUAAGUGUUUUGACCCGGCCAUUUUGAAAAUUAUCCCUACUUUGUUUGUGGUCAUUAUUUGGUAUUGAUGAAUGUAGAGGUCUAAGGCAAGUGCGAAAAAUAAGAUGUGUUUUGACUGUGGUAAAACUGGACAUGGUGAGAUAGAUUGUCCUAGUAACAAUAAUAAAAGGAAAGAUAAUGAGAGAUGUGAGGCGAAUGUGACUAUAGGGUCGAAUGAUGACCUGUGUGAGGUCUAUUAAGAGUAAACCUGGUUACUAAAUUUGCAUCUAUGUGUAAUCAUUUUUGGAUGCAUGUGAUUGCUUAAUUAUGUUGAGUUGGUAUGUUACACUUUCAAUUUGUUUGAUGUGUGUAAUUGCAUGAAUUAGAGNNNNNNNNNNNNNNNNNNNNNNNNNNNNNNNNNNNNNNNNNNNNNNNNNNNNNNNNNNNNNNNNNNNNNNNNNNNNNNNNNNNNNNNNNNNNNNNNNNNNNNNNNNNNNNNNNNNNNNNNNNNNNNNNNNNNNNNNNNNNNNNNNNNNNNNNNNNNNNNNNNNNNNNNNNNNNNNNNNNNNNNNNNNNNNNNNNNNNNNNNNNNNNNNNNNNNNNNNNNNNNNNNNNNNNNNNNNNNNNNNNNNNNNNNNNNNNNNNNNNNNNNNNNNNNNNNNNNNNNNNNNNNNNNNNNNNNNNNNNNNNNNNNNNNNNNNNNNNNNNNNNNNNNNNNNNNNNNNNNNNNNNNNNNNNNNNNNNNNNNNNNNNNNNNNNNNNNNNNNNNNNNNNNNNNNNNNNNNNNNNNNNNNNNNNNNNNNNNNNNNNNNNNNNNNNNNNNNNNNNNNNNNNNNNNNNNNNNNNNNNNNNNNNNNNNNNNNNNNNNNNNNNNNNNNNNNNNNNNNNNNNNNNNNNNNNNNNNNNNNNNNNNNNNNNNNNNNNNNNNNNNNNNNNNNNNNNNNNNNNNNNNNNNNNNNNNNNNNNNNNNNNNNNNNNNNNNNNNNNNNNNNNNNNNNNNNNNNNNNNNNNNNNNNNNNNNNNNNNNNNNNNNNNNNNNNNNNNNNNNNNNNNNNNNNNNNNNNNNNNNNNNNNNNNNNNNNNNNNNNNNNNNNNNNNNNNNNNNNNNNNNNNNNNNNNNNNNNNNNNNNNNNNNNNNNNNNNNNNNNNNNNNNNNNNNNNNNNNNNNNNNNNNNNNNNNNNNNNNNNNNNNNNNNNNNNNNNNNNNNNNNNNNNNNNNNNNNNNNNNNNNNNNNNNNNNNNNNNNNNNNNNNNNNNNNNNNNNNNNNNNNNNNNNNNNNNNNNNNNNNNNNNNNNNNNNNNNNNNNNNNNNNNNNNNNNNNNNNNNNNNNNNNNNNNNNNNNNNNNNNNNNNNNNNNNNNNNNNNNNNNNNNNNNNNNNNNNNNNNNNNNNNNNNNNNNNNNNNNNNNNNNNNNNNNNNNNNNNNNNNNNNNNNNNNNNNNNNNNNNNNNNNNNNNNNNNNNNNNNNNNNNNNNNNNNNNNNNNNNNNNNNNNNNNNNNNNNNNNNNNNNNNNNNNNNNNNNNNNNNNNNNNNNNNNNNNNNNNNNNNNNNNNNNNNNNNNNNNNNNNNNNNNNNNNNNNNNNNNNNNNNNNNNNNNNNNNNNNNNNNNNNNNNNNNNNNNNNNNNNNNNNNNNNNNNNNNNNNNNNNNNNNNNNNNNNNNNNNNNNNNNNNNNNNNNNNNNNNNNNNNNNNNNNNNNNNNNNNNNNNNNNNNNNNNNNNNNNNNNNNNNNNNNNNNNNNNNNNNNNNNNNNNNNNNNNNNNNNNNNNNNNNNNNNNNNNNNNNNNNNNNNNNNNNNNNNNNNNNNNNNNNNNNNNNNNNNNNNNNNNNNNNNNNNNNNNNNNNNNNNNNNNNNNNNNNNNNNNNNNNNNNNNNNNNNNNNNNNNNNNNNNNNNNNNNNNNNNNNNNNNNNNNNNNNNNNNNNNNNNNNNNNNNNNNNNNNNNNNNNNNNNNNNNNNNNNNNNNNNNNNNNNNNNNNNNNNNNNNNNNNNNNNNNNNNNNNNNNNNNNNNNNNNNNNNNNNNNNNNNNNNNNNNNNNNNNNNNNNNNNNNNNNNNNNNNNNNNNNNNNNNNNNNNNNNNNNNNNNNNNNNNNNNNNNNNNNNNNNNNNNNNNNNNNNNNNNNNNNNNNNNNNNNNNNNNNNNNNNNNNNNNNNNNNNNNNNNNNNNNNNNNNNNNNNNNNNNNNNNNNNNNNNNNNNNNNNNNNNNNNNNNNNNNNNNNNNNNNNNNNNNNNNNNNNNNNNNNNNNNNNNNNNNNNNNNNNNNNNNNNNNNNNNNNNNNNNNNNNNNNNNNNNNNNNNNNNNNNNNNNNNNNNNNNNNNNNNNNNNNNNNNNNNNNNNNNNNNNNNNNNNNNNNNNNNNNNNNNNNNNNNNNNNNNNNNNNNNNNNNNNNNNNNNNNNNNNNNNNNNNNNNNNNNNNNNNNNNNNNNNNNNNNNNNNNNNNNNNNNNNNNNNNNNNNNNNNNNNNNNNNNNNNNNNNNNNNNNNNNNNNNNNNNNNNNNNNNNNNNNNNNNNNNNNNNNNNNNNNNNNNNNNNNNNNNNNNNNNNNNNNNNNNNNNNNNNNNNNNNNNNNNNNNNNNNNNNNNNNNNNNNNNNNNNNNNNNNNNNNNNNNNNNNNNNNNNNNNNNNNNNNNNNNNNNNNNNNNNNNNNNNNNNNNNNNNNNNNNNNNNNNNNNNNNNNNNNNNNNNNNNNNNNNNNNNNNNNNNNNNNNNNNNNNNNNNNNNNNNNNNNNNNNNNNNNNNNNNNNNNNNNNNNNNNNNNNNNNNNNNNNNNNNNNNNNNNNNNNNNNNNNNNNNNNNNNNNNNNNNNNNNNNNNNNNNNNNNNNNNNNNNNNNNNNNNNNNNNNNNNNNNNNNNNNNNNNNNNNNNNNNNNNNNNNNNNNNNNNNNNNNNNNNNNNNNNNNNNNNNNNNNNNNNNNNNNNNNNNNNNNNNNNNNNNNNNNNNNNNNNNNNNNNNNNNNNNNNNNNNNNNNNNNNNNNNNNNNNNNNNNNNNNNNNNNNNNNNNNNNNNNNNNNNNNNNNNNNNNNNNNNNNNNNNNNNNNNNNNNNNNNNNNNNNNNNNNNNNNNNNNNNNNNNNNNNNNNNNNNNNNNNNNNNNNNNNNNNNNNNNNNNNNNNNNNNNNNNNNNNNNNNNNNNNNNNNNNNNNNNNNNNNNNNNNNNNNNNNNNNNNNNNNNNNNNNNNNNNNNNNNNNNNNNNNNNNNNNNNNNNNNNNNNNNNNNNNNNNNNNNNNNNNNNNNNNNNNNNNNNNNNNNNNNNNNNNNNNNNNNNNNNNNNNNNNNNNNNNNNNNNNNNNNNNNNNNNNNNNNNNNNNNNNNNNNNNNNNNNNNNNNNNNNNNNNNNNNNNNNNNNNNNNNNNNNNNNNNNNNNNNNNNNNNNNNNNNNNNNNNNNNNNNNNNNNNNNNNNNNNNNNNNNNNNNNNNNNNNNNNNNNNNNNNNNNNNNNNNNNNNNNNNNNNNNNNNNNNNNNNNNNNNNNNNNNNNNNNNNNNNNNNNNNNNNNNNNNNNNNNNNNNNNNNNNNNNNNNNNNNNNNNNNNNNNNNNNNNNNNNNNNNNNNNNNNNNNNNNNNNNNNNNNNNNNNNNNNNNNNNNNNNNNNNNNNNNNNNNNNNNNNNNNNNNNNNNNNNNNNNNNNNNNNNNNNNNNNNNNNNNNNNNNNNNNNNGAAAUGUGAUUAAAUGUUGGAAUACUUUAUCUAUGAAGAGACCCAUACAUGUGGAGUGUGAGAGAGACACUUCUAUUACUUCUGUUAGGUGGAAAUCCAUUAUUUACGUAGGUUAGGAGAAGAGAUGUGGUGAUAAAGGAUUAUCCCGAGAACUUAAAAUCUAUUGUGAUUUACAAGUUAGACACGAAUUGAGUGAACAAUCUAGUGAGCAUAGUGGAUGAUGAGAGAAGAUAUGUGUUCUCGAGGUGUGAGCAACACAGAAUGAGAUAUGAUAAGUGUGGUGAGAUCUUUUCGUGGGCCAUUUAUGCAUUUGUCGUAUAUGUGUUUGACCUUGUGUUUUGAUUAACUUGGUAUUAAUUUGUGGUUCUGUGUGGACAUAUUUAUGAAAAGAUCAAUGUGUGUUAUCCUAUAAUAUAUCGUUAUCGCAUGUUUAUUUGCUCUUGCUUGCUUAUUGUGACAAUUUGCUUCUACUUGGGUAUUUUUGAUCUUAACCCUGGUGAGUACAUGGAGUAGGUAUGGUAUAUGUUUCAGGCUGGAAACACGAGGCAAGGUCUGUGAUACCAAUUUUAUUGGUUACCUUAUGCAAAUAUAAACUCUGUGUUUUGAUUGGUUGCAGAUUUAUUGAGUAUCAAGGUGAAGAUUUGUUGGGUUUUGAUACUAAUAAAUUUGGACGAUGAUUUAAAAUAAUUGUCGAAUUUUUUAUGAACACCAAAGCGAUGGCUCGACUCGGAAACAAUUAAUACACCUUUGGAAGUCCUAAGUUUUAAGUUGGGUUGGUAGCUUGAUUAAUGUAUGGAUUUGGUUAUUGUUAGCCCAUUAACUUGGCCUAUUAUGAGUAAGUGGUGGCCCAAAUGUAAACCUAAUGCUUAUAUACACAUAGUCGUGUCUUUCUUCUCUUUGUGUUAGUGUAUUGUUGCAAGAGAGAGAGGUAGCUGACUUUGAGGGUGAAAGGGGAGCCGGUUUUGGUGUGAAUACAAAAGAGAUUCAACCAUUGUUUCUUCUUCUCAUUCCUUCAUUUGUAGCUUGUAAAUACCAUCACCAAUUGUAUCCUUUGUGGGGGUUAAAACUGAGGCAACCAAAGGUGUUGAGGGUUGUUGGGUCAAGUCAGCUGAUUGGUGUUCGUUUGAUUGUUUUCUGAACCUAGAAUCAAUAUUUCUCAAGANNNNNNNNNNNNNNNNNNNNNNNNNNNNNNNNNNNNNNNNNNNNNNNNNNNNNNNNNNNNNNNNNNNNNNNNNNNNNNNNNNNNNNNNNNNNNNNNNNNNAACACGAAAAAUGUUAGAAAUAAUACAAGGAACAAACUGUCUGAAGGAAACUUCCCCAGAAACUUCCGCACGCGCCCACACGCACCACGCCGGAGAAGCCACGCGCCGUCGCCGCCGGCGUCCGUCUCCCACACGCGCCGAUCACACAGCACCGCCUCCACCUGCAGAUCACGAAUCCGACCUCCUUUUCACCAAACUCCUUCUGGAUUGGUCAGAAAACACCAAAACAGUGGCUGAUUUUUGCAGUUUUCUGGACAGUUUUUCGAUCUGAUUUCUGCCUCGUUUCUGCCGAUUUUUUGGACGAUUUCUGGUAGAUUUCUCGAGCCAAAACCUUCACCUUGAAGCUCUGAUACCAAUUGUUGCGGAAGCUCUCUCAAAAGGAUCUUCAAACGGUGAUUUUCCAGGCUCAGUCCAACGUACCUUUCUCUACCAACAACCAAUCCACACGGCUCCAAACCACAACCAAAUUGAUUCACCUUGGUUGCUAUACAAUCUUACCCACGUAGGACAAGAAGGGAUGAUGAUUUAUCGCCACAAAGGCUAGGAGAAGACACCACAAAGGUAUAAUAUGAAAGAACUACCAAUUGCACACGUUAUACAAGCGUUUUGGACACUUCUGGACACCUUUUUCUCACACAAAAGGAGGGCAGCCGGGAUUCACUAGUUUCUUCUCUCAAAAUCACAUAAUCAUCAUCAUAAAGAGGCUAGGGUUAUAUUCAUAUAUAUACUCUAGGGUUAGGCUUUAAGUUGGGCCACUAAAGGGGGUAAGCGGGCCAAGAUUCAAGCCAUCCAUAAGGAAUACAAUUGGGCCGGGUGUAGCUCAUGGACUUGGUUGUUGGACUUAUUUCAUUCAUCGGCCUAUGCCUAUGAAAUAAUAUUAACCCACGUUAACAUCAUAGCCUAGGAUUUAUUGGGUAUCAAAAACCCAACAGUGUGCCACCCCAAUAUCACACACAACGAUUAGAAGAAUCAAGAUUCAAUCACUAAUAGUGAUGGAAAAUGCAUUCCCUUUUCUAGGACUUGUUUGCUAAUGAUAAUACAAUGACUUCACGUCAAACAGGUGAUGAUGAUUAAUUUGUAUGCCAUCUUAGACGUCGUAAAUUGCAGCAAUUAACUCUACGAAGUUGGGAAGAUUGCAACAUUUAUCAUGAUGCUCGUAGUUGAGAGUAUAGGAAGUUCUCCAACGUACUUUAUUUAUGACUUAUCUUAUAUUAUUAUGCAAUCUAAAUUUUAUCAACUGAUCUAUUGUCCCUACCACUGGAAUAUUGUAAUUAAAGAUUAUUUAUUGUGCUUCCUUCGAAUGAGUGAAUUUCAGAUGAGUAAUGUUUAUACAUAUAAAAAUAAAAGAGGUAGCAUUUCAAAUUGAAUUCAGUUCCUUGUGCCAAUCCCAAUACCUCUUACAUCAUCUUCAAUGGCUGCAAUACAAGCAA